RNAcentral lists this long non-coding RNA (244751 nucleotides) under Triticum aestivum (bread wheat). RNAcentral's name for it is "long non-coding RNA (TAES_LNC000700)". Lineage: Eukaryota; Viridiplantae; Streptophyta; Magnoliopsida; Poales; Poaceae. The record is from RNAcentral.
UCCUUUUUACUUCGCGUAUAAGAUUUGUGUCAAGUCAAACUUUGCGAAGUUUGACCAAAUUUAUAUUAGAAAAUAUCAAUGUUUACAAUACCAAAUAUAUAAAUAUGAAACUACAUUCCAUAAUGAAUAUAAUGAUAUUGAUUUGGUAUUGUGAAUGUUGAUACUUUUUUCUAUAAGUUUGGUAAAAUUAGAAAUACUUUGACUUCAGACAAAAUUUAUAUGCAGACUAAAAAGGACCAGAGAGAAUAUGUGUUAAUUACCGCCUCAUCAUAGAGCGAAGCAUGUAGUUGUAAUGUACCAGAUGCCCAAAAGUGAAAAGGAAAUGUACAACAUGCCUCUCUGAGGAGUCAACUGCUAGGGGUGCGUUAUGGGCGCGUUUGGUUGGAGGCCACACAAGCGAAAAUGCUAAACAGAGACCGAGCUCCAUGGAGGUCUUUAUUUGAAAACUUCAAAGUUCAAACUUUUCAGUUUCAAAAAAUUCUGAAAAUAAAUACACAUAUACCUAGAUACAUAAGGUAUAUGUGUGCAAAUUUUUAGGUCGAAAUACAAUAAAACAUGAGCUACACAAAAAGACAAAUCUGAGGCUUUUUAGCAUAGGUACUGUUCAUCUUUAAAGUCUAUGACUUUGUUUUUUUUUGUGCAGUUCGCAAUUCAAGGUAUUUCAUCCUGAAAUUUUUCACACAUACACUUUACAUCCUUGCAUACAUGUGUAAUUUUUUUUCAGAAUUUUUUGAACUGAAAUUUAUGAAUUUUGAAUUUUUCAAAGUAAAGGGCUCCAUGGAGCUCGGUCUCCAAAAUGCCCUACUCCCACACAAGCGAAAAUGCUACUUAGCCAGGCAGUAAUUUCAAUGUUAGGCUUGAGAAAUCUAACGUUCUUUUGAGGAAGCAAACCAAACAGGCCCUACGAUCUGCCAGCCGACCACCUCUAGACCAUCCAGCAUGCUGCUUAGCCGGCCUCUGUCCCACCGCCUACACAACGGAUGUCACUGCUGUAAAAAUGCCAAAAAUUUGAACACAAAGUCAGAAGCACGAUGCAAGAACUGCUCAAUGAUGAUCUUAUUAUCAUAGUCCAAAUGGUUCACAUCAUAGCCGUAAGCACCAAUAAGAAAAAUGAGCUUGCUUCUUUCAGUGGUUAAAGUUUUGUGUUUUUUCUUUUCUUUUGAUGACUCAAGAUUUGCUCAUUUUACUUAUUGAUAUGCAUAAAUGAUGUAUGCAGAGAUGAGUGAAUAAUCUUAGGCCACUUAGCUGACGUAGACCCCGGCUGCUUAAGAGUCUAAACUAGUGUCACCAUCAGUAGUGGAUAUGGAUGCCACCACAGUUCCCGCCCGCGGGAAAUGCAACUAGCCAAUGUCAAUGACUGCACAGCGUGUGAACGCCCUUGACGAUACCGUUCGUCAAGUCAAGUCGAUAUAGUUAAAUCAGUGCGUUGCGUGAGAGAGAAGGUGCACAAGCGUAAGCGUGUGUGACGACACCGAUAAUUUAAAUUUGUGCGUGGCGCGCGAGAACAACAUAUCCAAUGAGGCGAGUCGUCGCCAUCACCCGGCUCAGCUAGCCUCGUUCUCCCCCGGCGAGAGGGAGACCAGUUCGACCAGAAAACACCAGCCGGCGGGCGGAAGGAGAGGGAGGAGCCAUGGCCGAGCUCGCGGCGGGCGCCGUGAGCUCGCUGCUGGUCGUCAUCCGCAGCGAGGCCCUGCUGCUGCGCGGCGUCCGGGACGACGUGCAGUUCAUCAAGGAGGAGAUGGAGAGCAUGAAGAGCUUCCUGGCGCACCUGGCCAGGUGGGCGCCCCCCGGCGGCGAGCACGACGAGCAGGUGCGCACCUGGAUGAACCAGGUGCGGCUGCUCGCCCAGGACUGCAACAACUGCAUCGACCUCUACCUCUACAGGGGGAAUCCUGACAUCCACCGCGCCAGAGGUGGGCUCCGAGGCUACCUCUGGUGGGCGACCUGGUUCUUGCACAAGCUGGCUGCACAGCACCGCGCGGCUGAGCAGCUGCGUCUUCUCAAGGAGCGGGCACGCGAUGUCGGCGAGCGGCGGUUGAGGUACGGCGUGGAGGUCCCGGACAAGUCCGGGAAGGGGCAAUUGGCUCUGACGGCAUCCUCGUCAUUGUGGGCUGCUGCGGCAGGUGGCUAUGCGGCCGGGGAUGACGAAGAAGAAGACGGUGAUGGUCAACUCAUGGGGGCAAUGGCGACCGACGGCCAUUCUGGUCCAAGAGCCUUCACUAAGCCUCGCACUCUGGACGACUACGUCAAGGCAAAGCUAUGGGAGUGGUUGCAAGGAGUUCCUGGUAACGCCGGCGAAACUUUGUCCAUGGUCGUGGUGGCACCCUACACAUAUGAGGACCUCCUCGCUCUUGUACAAGAAACUUGGCUUUUGAGUCAAAACCGGAGGGGCUACCAUCGCAUUGUCGUGGUUGACAUCCCAGCUGUGCACCCUGAUUUUAUGCUGCUACGGCCCAAGGAGGUUCUCUUCUACAUUCUGCGGGAGCUUAAGCUUGCCAAGUCCAAUCCCCAGGAGCAAGGCACAGAAGGCCAAGAGGAUCUGGACUCUUGGGAAGUUUACCUAAGAAGAUGGCAAAUUUACCGUGAAAAGAAGAGGGCUAUUGCUCUUCUUGACAUCGAGGAGAAUAUCGAAGAGAUGAAGAUUUAUGAAAAGCUUGACAAAAUCAAAAGUGAUAUUCAAGGUCGACUAGAGAAGGGCGACGGGCUUCCCAAGGGCGACAAGCUUCAGGGUGAUUUUGACAAGUUGGACCUAGACGUACUACUUCAGCUGCUGCUCCAGACAGCGUCUCAACAAGAUCAAAAGGGGAAGAACAAAGACAUGCAUAGAUUACCACCGUGGGACAAGGACAACAUCAUCGUCAAGAAGCUCAAGGAGCAUAUGGAAGUAGAGGAAAAGGACAAGAAGAUUGAAGAGAGAGAAGCUGCCAAGAAUAUGGGGGUGGAAGGAGAAGCCGCAGUUAAGCAUAUGGAAGAAGAGGGAGGAGGAGAAGUAACAUCCAAACAUAUGGAGGAGGGGGGAGGAGAAGUAGCCAUACAUAGGGAGGAGGAUAUGGAGGAGAGGGAAGGAGAAAUAACCAUACAUAGGGACGAAGAGGAAGAAGGGGGCGGGAGAGGAGAAACAACCGGGCAUAUGGAGGUGGGAGAAGGAGAAGUGGCCAUACACAGGGAGGAGGAUAUCGAGGGGGGAGGAGAAGUAGCCGCACAUAGGGAGGAGGAUAUGGAAGGAGAAGUAACCAUACACAGGGAGGAGGAGGAGGAGGAGAAAGAAGAAGAAGAAAAAGAAGAAGAAGAAGAAGAUGAUGAUGAUGAUGAUGAGGAUGAUGAUGAUAAUGAUGAUGAAGAAGAAGAGGAGGAGGAGGAGAUGAGGAGGAUGAGGAGGAGGAGGAGGAGGAGGAGGAGUACGCCACGGAUUCAGCUCGAUGAGGCACAAUAUGCACACAUCCUGAGGAAGCUGUUUCCCAAGAGCAGCAGCAGCAGCAGCAAGCCCGUGCAGGCCCAAGACAGAUCCUUGGACAAGCAAGCUACAAAGACCACAACGCCUACACUGGGUGAGGAUCAAAUCAAAAAACUCAUCCAUGACGCAAAGGAAGACAUCUUACGGGAGUUGCAGCAAGGCAAAUAUGACAAGAGUGAAGGGACAGGUGAACCUGGUGCUCCGGAUCAAAACCCAGAAACUGUUUCUGAAAAAAUACGUGCCGGUUUCGUGGACCAGAUGAUGGAAAAAAUGAAGCACGAGUUCAAAGAGCAGCUCAAGAUCAAAGGGCUCGUGAACGAGAUUAAAAAUAACUUGAAUCCUCAUCCGUUCCGGGAUAACAGGUGUGAGUGCCCCCUGUUUAUCCUAAAAGUUGAUGAGCUGAUGGAUGUUUCCACAUGUGAGGAUAUCAGAAAUGCUUUGAGCCUGUUAAACUGCAGUGCCGAUUUGAUGAUUGUCACCGCCGCAAAGGACAUCCAGCUGGCUAAAGAAUAUUGUUACCCACCUCGGGAACCAAUAGACUAUUCUCUUGCUGGCCUCUACCAUGAUACAGUGCUCAAGCUAACUAGUCAGCAGAAGAAUGAAGACAGCUACAACCCCCAAAUUUUUCAUGAUAUCUUGUAUGAGUGUGAGCCACAUGAAUUCUGCAUGAAGGUCUUCACUCAUGCUUUGUAUGCUAACCCCAAGAGGAGCGGCGAGGAGUUACAAAAGCUGCAUAGCACCUUGCAGGCUUUACCAACAACAUCAUUCAACAACAUUGCUAAGGUGAUGGUCAAGUUCUCUUACAAUGACCUGCCUAAAGAAUACAAGUCCUGCUUUCUGUACCUAGCUAUCUUCUCUCCGGGACAAAAGAUCAGUCGGUCAACCUUGGUUGCACGGUGGGUUGCAGAAGGGCUGACAUCCAAGGAAGAUUGGCCCAGUUCUAUGCGUCAGGCCAACCGAUGUUUUGACGCACUUGUUGGCCGGUGCCUUGUUCAUCCUGCAGAUAUUGGUACCACAGGAAAUGUAAAGAGUUGCAUCGUUGGUGAUCCGGUUCAUGGAUUCAUUACUGCCAUCGCCAGAAAACAACACAUUGUGGAGACACGCCUGUCACAUCACUUGGCUCGCCACUUCUCCAUUUUCAACGAUCUCCAACUCCGCAGCUCCGAUAGAAUUGAUAAAUUCUUCCAGGGCCUCUCUAAAUCAUCUCAAGUGUCACUGCUCAAGGUGCUAGAUCUAGAAGGUUGUCAGUGCUUUGGCGGGAAGAACCAGCGGUACCUCAAGGAUAUCUGCAACAAGAUGUUAUUGCUCAAGUAUCUGAGCCUGAGGAGAACAGAUAUUACCCAGCUACCCAGUGAAAUCAACAACCUCCGUGAGCUAGAGGUACUGGAUAUCCGACAAACUGCAAUACCUCAACAUGCAACAGCGAAUAUCCUGCUCUUGAAGCUGAAGCGUCUGCUUUCUGGUCACAUUGAUCCAAACAAUUUUGGAUCUAGUAGUCGGAUUCCUCAUAGGAUCGACAAAAUGGUAAGCAUGGAGGUACUAUCCAAUGUCAAGGCCCAGCAGAGUUAUGAUUUAAAAGAUAUUGGAAAGCUAUGGCAGCUGAGGAAGCUAGGUGUGGUUAUCGAUGAUAAGGAUAGUCACCUCAAGAAUUUGCUUCAGACGAUCAGUGACCUACAUGAGUGCCUCCGUUCUCUGUCAAUCACUACUAUUCCCGUAGCCACACCAUGCGAGGCAGAGUUUCCAGAUGUCAAGAACCAUCCCAAGAUUCUCGAGUCUCUAAGCAUCAAGGGAACCACACAAAAUGGGCGUCUUCUUCCAUUUUUCAUAGAAGGUAAUAACAACAAACUUGCCAAGAUAACUCUAGGUCACACUCUGCUGAGCCAAGAUGAUCUGAAAGUCCUUGCCAAGCUGCCCAAGUUACGGUGUGUUAGGCUCCAACACAUUGUAUGCACCGAGCACAUGCUGAACUUCAAGGAAGGUGAAUUCAGAUGCCUCAAGUACCUUGUUGUUGAGGGCUCGGACUUGACUAAUAUCACUUUUGAGGAUGGUGCAGCCAGUGAGCUCGAGAAGAUGGUUUUGUCUAUCACCAGCAUAUGUUCUAUUUCUGGAGUUGAGUAUCUUUCUGAAUUGAAAGAGCUUGAGUUGAACAGCAGCUUUUGCGGCAGUUUGCUGUCAUCAUUUGACAAUGCCAAACAGAUAGCCAAGCUGACUCUUCGUAAUACAUUGCUAGAGCAAGCUGCUCUACAACUGCUCACCAAGAAACCAAAUAUACGCUGUCUGGUGCUCUUGGACAAGUCUUUUGGUGGAACACAAAACAAGAUCACAUUAGAAAAAGAUGAGUUCUUAUGGCUCAACCUCCUUGUUGUUGACUGCUCGGCCAUCACCAAGAUUGUCUUCAACAACGGGUCUGCUUCUAGGCUCGAGAAGAUUGUCUGGUCAUCUUCCACAUCUCUGUCCGGCAUCGACAAACUUCCCAGAUUGAAGGAGCUCGAGUUCAAGGGUGACCAAGUCCCUCCUGAGGUGAGAGAUGCCAUUGAAAACCAUAAAAACAAGCCUAGUCUUAAACUCAAUGGACCAAAAACUCAAGACUAAGCAAAAAGGAGAUGAAGAAGAGGAUGACAAGGAUGCUGCAACAUUCUCUUUCUGCUGGAAGAAACAGGUUUGACACCGGAAGGGCCUCUCCGUUGAUCGCACGGUGUGGUUUGCGUGUGCUAGUGUGGAUUGCAAUCUGUUCUUCUUGUCUGUUGAAUUUUUUUCUGAUGCGUGUUUAAGUUCUGCGUGCAUUACAACUUAAGUGUGUCCGUUUACUUGCUCUACAUGAGUGCCCUAGUGGCUCCGAUUGAGCGUAAACGGUUGUAUCUAUGCUUGGAUUUGAAUUUGUGUGACUUUCCUUUGUAUAAAACAUCGUAUGCAUUUGUGUACAGUAUCAUGUAAUAAAGUGUGAUGAUUGUGGACACAUUUGACUUCUUAUUAAUAUAUACAGUGUGAUAUCAGUAUGCAUGCUUUGAUUGGGUUCUGCAACUCAAAGAUGAACUGGAUACAGUUACCUCUAAUGUAGGCAUCCGUUUGCUUCAAACCAGCUGAGUAGCUCUUGCACUGAUGCCUGACUAUGUACUUGAAGCAGAACUUUAUGCAGAUUAAGAAUGUGUGACACAAUCUGUCUGCAACUCUGCAUCUUCUGAUUGUCAGGCAAGCACUAGCGCCCCGGGAAGAAUCGAAAUUGUUUUCAGCUGUAUGUUGGCGUGCAUUUGGUAGCUCGCGUAGUCUCUCCCAUUGUUUGCUGGUGGAGAUGCCAAUACAGCUCCAUAUUUACCAAUCCACUUGAAAUGUUCAGACACAUGCGGCAAUCACGGUUCUUCGCUUCCUCAUGUAACAAACCAAAUCGAAGCAUAAGACCUGCAGAGAUAGAAGCAAAGAUAUUAGGCAUAUAAACUCAGCCGGACAGGGUACCUCGUCACCCAAUUGUCACGACCCGGAUCAAAACCUCGACAGCCAAUGUGGAACUAAACAGUGAGAAGUGCUCCAUUAGGCUCUGACGUAUCUAUUGUAGUCAUCUAUCCGAAAAUCCAUCCACUGCAAUUCAUUCAGAAAAAACCUGUAUAACGAUGUAUAUGGGUGGAGAGGAGCACUAGCACCUACCAAUCCACUUGAAAAGUUCAGACACUUGCAUAACAAUCUUCACUUCCUAAUGCAAGAAAUCAAAUCGAAGCAUAAGACCUGCAGAGACAGAAAAACGCCUAUUAUUGAGGCCUCGAGGAGGAAAAUCAUCAAGAAAAUGUAGUCUCUGCUGCUCUAAUUCCUGUUUGAGAUCGGCAGAUCGGAAGGGGUUGGGGGGAGGCGCGGUGCCCCCACCUUACCUCGAAUCCGUGAACGACGACGAGCCGCAAAACACGACACUGACGACGGCUUUGUCCUUCCACUUCGUUGGUACUGGGCGAUCUUUUUCGGUUUCGAUCGAGGCCGCGACGGAGGAGGCCACGGCGAGGGUCCAGCCGCCGAGCCUGGAAGAGGAGGACGGAGAAAAGAGUGUGGGGAUGCGGAGAUGUCGGCCCACGUGUCAGCCACUGUAAACUCACCUGACUUAAGUUAGAGAAACAAGGAAGUGCAUUCUCCUUUUUGGCAAUAAUUCACCUUUUCUGUUUAGCCCUUAACAAAAUUUUGGCCCGAUCUAGUCUCGUAAACUAUUAUAGUUGGACUAAUCUGCCCCUAAUAUUUUUUGCUUUGUACUACCUCUAUCUAAAAAACGUCCUACGACGGAGGUAGUAUUAGUUAGGCCGUGCUUGGAAUCCUGUAAUUUUUUACAACUAUGUAUGAUUACCCCUGUAUAUUACUAGAAACCAGUAUAAUACAAAUCUUAUAUAGGAUGCUUAAAAUGGUCUGCGCUGAACCGGGCAAGACACUGGCUGUGUAUGCCGGCGACGGGGUGGCGGCGGCCAUCAUGGGAACCAAUCUGCGGCUACCUCUCAUGUUCUACUUUUCGUCGGUGUCGGCGGCCGCCGCAGAUGCGCUGACUGCCUCCGACUGCAGGGCGCAGUUCCGCCAACGUUUGCGGCAGUUGACGUGGCUGAAGGCGUGGGACGAGCGUGACGACAUGACGGCGUCCAUGACAGGCAUCAUGGUACUGACGGCCUGGGACGGCGAGGGAGGUGGAGCAGCGAGUUGCCUAGCUCGUGUAUCAGGUUGGCUUGGCGACCCACACAGCCGGCUUUUAUGCUGGAGAACCCCUCUUCCCUCUCGCCGGAUGCCAUGAAGAUUGUGCAAAAUAUGGUGCAAAUAGGAGAUGAGGAGCGGAGAUGUGGUGCAGGUCUUGCCCGGUGUCUGACCUCAUUUAAAUAGCUAGGGAUGCGAGGAGCCAACCGGCAUUUUGUUUAAUGUUGGACGGCUCACGGGCGGACGUGUGUCAGGAGUAGGUUUCUUAGCCCACGCGCGGGUUCAAUGGAGAUACGCGGGGCAAUCUGAAGCUGGAUGAAUGCGACAAGGAGGCGUGUUUAGUCGGGCGUGCAGCCGGUAGUGAGAGGUCGCCUCGUUCUGCGCCAGCGUCAACGCGGAUCGGACGCUCUACAAAGACAUGAAUGCGAACAACUGACACCGGGAAGCGCGAGCGGGCGAGGGGGGGUUUGGUGGGGCCAAGAUUGUCAGAUGUGGGCGUGGCAGCAAUCCGGACUGUAACACCCCGGUAGAUAAGCUGUCGGUAAUCCCAUACUAAUGGUGUCAUGUCAUCAAAUUUUUUGCUAAACCUCACCUUGAUCCAAACCCAAUUCAAAAUCAAAUUUGAAAUAAAGUCAAAUAAUUAAAAUUUUCAAAAGGUAAAGUAAAAAUGUAGGUUGGGUUACAAAUAUCCACUAACUAAUUGUUAUGUGAGAAUCAACAUUUUGGUUGUGUUUUCAGGGAAUGAACUGUUGAGCAGGCUGAAUUGCUAUUGAAUAAUAUAUUGAGUAAUGAUAAUUAUUGGACAUUUCCUGAACCAACUCCUAAGCCGACUCUAAAGAAAAGGGGUAUUCUAUUUCUCAGUCCUGAAGAUAUGCAAGAGGCAAAGAAAUCUAUGAAAGAAAAAGGUAUUAAAGUUGAAGAUGUUAGGAAUUUACCGCCUGUUGAAGAAAUACAUGGUCUUGAUAAUCCUACAUAGGUAGUAGAGGUAAAUUCUUUCUAUGGAUUUGAUGAAGGUGAUAUCCCUCAUAAUAAUUCUGCUAGUCAAUGCUUGGAAGAGUUUGAUAACUUUAUUGUUAAACUAGAAAACUUUAAUGCUUAUGUUAGUAGACAAUUGAAACGUAAUGCUUAUAUGGUUGAACACUUGAGUGAUUAUAUGUCUAGAGUUAAAAGUGAUCUUAAGCUUAUUAGUAAAUAUGAUUCCAUGGUUACAACUCAAGUAGAACAAGUACUUAAGGCACAAGAUGAUUUGCUCAAUGAAUUAAAUAAUAAGAACAAUGAUAAUGCUAUUAGGGUUAUGACUAGUGGUGGUAAAAUGACCCAGGAACCUUUGUAUCCUGAGGGCCAUCCUAAGAGAGUUGAGCAAGAUUCUCAGAGAAUUAAUACGGAUGCACCUUGUCCCGCUAAUGAAAAGAAAAAGAAUACUGAUAGGACUUUGCAUGCUUCUAGUGAACUUAUUAUAGACAUACCCGAGAAUCCCAAUGAUAUUUCUAUUUCUGAUGCUGAGACACAAUCUAGUGAUGAACAUGAACCUAGUGAUAAUGUUAAUGAUGAUGUUCAUGUUGAUCCUCAAACUAGUAAUCAUAAUGAUGUAGAGAUUGAACCUGCUGUUGAUCUUGAUAACCCACAAUCAAAGAAUCAACGUUAUGAUAAGAGAGACUUUGUUGCUAGGAAGCACGGUAAAGAAAGAGAACCAUGGGUUUAGAAACCCAUGCCUUUUCCUCCUAAGCCAUCCAAGAAAAAGGAUGAUGAGGAUUUUGAGCGUUUUGUGAAAUGAUUAGACCUAUCUUUUUGCGCAUGCGUCUGACUGAUAUGUUGAAAAUGUCUCCUUAUGCUAAGUAUAUGAAAGAUAUUGUUACAAAUAAAAGAAAGAUACCGGAAGCUGAAAUUUCCACCAUGCUUUGUAAUUACACUUUUAAGGGUGGAAUACCAAAGAAACUAGGAGAUCCAGGGAUACCAACUAUACCAUGCUCCAUUAAAAGAAAUUAUGUUAAAACUGCUUUAUGUGAUUUGGGAGCCGGUGUUAGUGUUAUGCCUUUCUCUUUAUAUCAUAGACUUGAUUUGAAUAAGUUGACACCUACUGAAGUCUCUUUGCAAAUGGCUGAUAAAUCAACUGCUAUACCCAUCAGUAUUUGUGAGGAUGUGCCUGUUGUGGUUGCAAACGUUACUAUCUUAAUUGACUUUGUUAUUCUUGAUAUUCCCGAGGACGACAGUAUGUCGAUCAUCCUGGGUAGACCCUUUUUGAAUAUUGAAGGGGAUGUUAUUGAUUGCAACAAAGGCAAUGUCACUUUUCAUGUUAAUGGCAAUGAGCAUACGGUACACUUUUCGAAGAAACAACCUCAAGUUCAUAGUAUCAAUUCUAUUGGAAACAUUUCAACUAUUACUAUUGGAGGUUUUGAAUUCCCUCUUCCUUCUGUCAAAAAGAAAUAUGAUAUUCUUAUUGUUGGGGACAUGCAUAUCCCCGUUGAGGUAACAUAGUGUUAUUCAAAAAUUCUCCGGUUUCAUGUCAUUCGGAAGAAGUUUGUUAAUAAGACUUGAUCAACCUUGUUAAUGGAUUCCUUUUGAUGAGCAUGAGAUGGAUGAAUUUAGAAAGCACAACUUUCUGUACCUACUUUUUACCUUAUGUUAUUUAGAAUAAAUAAAGCCAAAAUAUUAUUUUCUGCCUGUUUUCUGAAUUAUCCUUGUAAUAAAAAUACCCUGAAAAUAUAGUAUGAUUUUUUCUAGAAUAUUUGAGAAUUUCUGGCACUGAGAACACACUAGGGGGCAUCACCAGUGGGCCACAAGGACGGAGGGCGCACCCUACCCCUGGGCGCCCCCUGUCUUGUGGGCCCCAUGUGGGUCCCCUCCACUUAUUCCAGCAUCCAUCCACUUCGUCUUCCUCCAGAAAAAAUCAUCCCGUAGCUCAAACCCGUGUUCUUGCUCAUUUUGCUGCCAUUUUCGAUCUCGUUGUGCAAAGCUCCAUUCAGAAAACUGCUUUGGGUAUGUGACUCCUCCAAUGGUCCAAUUAGUUUUUGUUCUACUGCUUUAUUUAUUGCAAAUUUUUGCUACUGUGGUGACCCUGUUCUUGAGCUUGCAUGUCAAAUUUAUAUGGUCCAAAGUAGUUUUAAUGCAUGAUUUAGCCUCUAGGUACUUGUAGGAGCAGUUGCUAUCAAUUUUGUUGAGUUUGGUUCACUUUUAUUUUGAGUCACUAAAAUUUAAAAAAAAUCACAAAAAAUUGUCUAGGAAAAUGUACCAAGGUGGUUCUUCAAGGAAGCAAGCACCGAGGCUCGCGAUACGUGAGCCGAACCUUGAACCACCAAGGGAAGCUCAAGUGCGGCCUUGUGAAUGGCCAUCAGAUGAAUUUAUGGUUCAUGCAGGCUUCAAGGAUGAAUUUCAUGCUUAUGUACGUAAUGCUGAUCUUGAUGUGCGGAGAUUUGAAUUUUCAUCUAAGCACAAUACCCAUACUGUUUUAUUUGAUCUUUAUGAUGAAUCAUAUACCAUGGACCUUGAAGAUUUUAAUACUGCCUGCAAAAUCCCACAGUGGGGCAUUCAUAGUGAGCCUCACAAAUCUGAAUACAAUGAUUUCCUUGCUAGCAUCACUAUGGGAGAAACUAGAAAUAUCACACAAGCUACCAUAGGGAGCAUUCACUUUCCUGCCAUACAUUACUUUGCUCUCUUUAUAGGUAGAUGCAUUAACGGUAAGCAUGAGCAUAGCCACCUUUGCGUUCCUGAUCUUAGUGUCCUCAAGAGUGCGGUGUUAGGUGAUAAGUGAUAUAACUUGGGGGCUAUUAUUGCGAGGAGGUUACAUCUUAAUGCUAAAUAUGGAGAUUUAUUUGGGGGGAUUUAUGCAAGUCAUUUAGCUAAUUAUCUUGGUGUACCUGCUGGGAAUAUAACUCCCAGGCAUGACCCGCCAAGGAGGGACCGAGUCAUACCAUUGGCGACUUAAGAUGAGAAGGCCCAAUGAGGUCCAAGAAUCCAGAUGGUGGUUCAUAGCGCAAGCUUAUUGGAGGCCCAAGACCCGGAGAAGGCUCGAGGCCCAAGGGCAUGAGCCGUCAUGUGUUAAACUUGUUCUGUAAGGUAGGUUUAGUUAGAAACCAAGCCAGUCACGUUUGUGUGAGCCGGCCGAGACUCUAUAAGCCGCCGAGAACAUCAACCUAUAUAUAAAGGGGUGACCUGGCGGCGGGUUAACUCAAGAAACAAGCAAUCGAAAGCUAGAUCGAGCGUAUUCGCUCCCUGGUAAUCGAAACCCAAGCAAUACAACUAAAAGAAGGAGUAGGCUUUUACCUCCACCGUGAGGGGCUGAACCUGGGUAACUCUUUGUGUCCUUUGUCCCGUUCAACCCCUUGAAGCUAACCUAGUUGCGAUGGCUCCACACCUAAGUCCUUUCACUAGAACAUCUGUCGUGAAACCACGAUAGUACCCAUAAGGGGAAAUGACAUUGAGUUGCCACCUGAUUUUCUAGAUUAUAAUGCUAUGGUACGCUACCAGUUUCUUGAGAGGAACGAAUAGUCCCUCCAGUACCGACUAAUCUUUGACAAACGGCGUGCUGUCCAUAUUACCCUUUCGUGUAUACAGAGCGAGCUGCCUUGGAUGCGGAAUCACAACGGAUUCAAGCAGAAACUUAUCGCUUAAGCUUGGAUCAGAAUGCAUCAAAUGCCGUUCUUCGCAGGAGGCACCAGAGUCGUCCGCCUCUGGAGUUUGAUACAAGAAAUCUUUUCAAUACGCCUGGGGCAGGACCAAGUAACCCGCCCGACAUGACCCGGGCCCCUGAUGCGCCUAGGACUAGAGCGGCGGCUCAGCCGCGCAGCAGACCCGCCCCGUGAUUUAAACCCACCUCAGCGAGUCUCAACACCUCCAGGUCACUUCUCUAACCCGUUGGACAACAUGAUUGCUGCGGCCUCACGACUGGGGGCUCUCCCGGUGGAAGGUGAGUCUCCUGUGACGGUCGAGGCUUGGAAGGCUGUGGAGCUUCUUCAAACGGCGGUAUCUCAGCAGGCGGCUUACUCCUACAGUCGCGAUCGAAUGCACUCAACUCCGCGUCAGAGUCGAAGUUACAGCUGGCGCAUUGAAUCUCCGGCGGUUUCCAGCAGUGAACGGCACCGAGCCCCGCCCCGUGGUAAUCAAGAUGCUCAGAACCAGGCAGAUCAGACUCGCACACGCCAAGAGGCGGAGCUCACGGCUCAGCUGGCGGCUCUUCGACAACCUCAAAUGAAUCCUUCAGCAUCUAUAGAGGCCGGGAUGACUUCCAGGACAACGGGUGCGCCAUGCUUAGUGUCGGCUCUACGCAAUGAGCGCUUUCCCAAGGACUUCAAGGGCCCUCGAAAAGUACCCAAUUACACGGCAGAUCAGCCUCCGGAUGCUUGGAUCGAGAGGUACGAGCUGGCCAUGGAGAUGUUGGACUUUAAUGAUGUUGUGUGCGCCAAAUAUUUCACCAUGAUGUUAGAUGGGCUGGCUCACACCUGGCUAAAGGGAUUGCCUCCAAAUUCCAUCAACUCAUGGACUGAAUUGAAGACGCGUUUCAUUCAGAAUUUUAAAGAUACAUGUAAGCAGCCUCUGUUGAUCAUCGACCUAGACACUUGCAUCCAGCGUGAGGAUGAGUCAACCUCCCAUUGGGUUCGCCGGGUCUCAACUAUUAUCCACUCGUCGGAUAGCAUCAACGUUGGUUCUGCUGUUUUAAUUUUGGAGAAGAAUUGCCAGUUUAUUCCCCUCAAAUAGAAGCUAGGGCAGAUUAAACGUCAUUGCAAUGACAUGGGAGAGCUUGUGGCGGCUCUUAUUAAAUACGCCGACUCAUAUAAUACUAAGGAUCCUGAUCCAGAUGAGAAGUUUGGUAAGGGGAAGAAAAACGGCAAGGGGCAGCAGCAGGAUACAACAGGUCAGAGUCAAGGUAACAAUGGUAAGCGCAAGCAUGCUGAUGGUGGAUCAGACUUUGUGGCCAACACUAAUGCACAGAUCGGUGAUCGCCAUCGCAAAAAAUUCCAGCCCUGGUCUAGAGGGCCGAAGUUCAAUUUAGAGGCGAUAUUGAACCAACCAUGUCCAAAACAUAGUCGUCCCGGUAGGCUAUCAACCCACCUCUGGAAAGAUUGUAGUAUCAUGAGGGAGUAUAGGAAUUCCAGCCUUUACCAGAACCACAACAACGGUAAUGGCCCGCAUGGCGGGUCAAGCUCCGGUUCGCACGGGUCUGGCUUUGGAGGUGAUGGUUCAAAUUCCGAUUUUCAAAGUCAGGGCAAUCAAGGAGGCUUAACCAGCAGCCCAAUCAGGGCAAUUAGCAACAAUAAUCAGGGUAUCAGAGCAACCCGAAGCAACUAAAUAGUGGCCAGUAUAAUGUUUUUACUACUAGCUUAUGCAAGCGAGACCAGAAAGUUCAUAAGCGAGCAGUGAGCGCGGUUGAGCCAGCCGUACCUCGAUACUUAUGAUGGUCAGAGCAGCCAGUCGUAUGGAGCCGUGAGGAUCACCCGCCCUGGGUUGAUAAUCUGGGUUAGCUAGCUUUGGUGGUGGCUCCUCGGGUUGAAGUUUACAAGUUCACUAAGGUGCUCAUGGACGGAGGCAGCAGUAUCAACAUCCUUUGUUAUCAUACUUUUCGCCGGAUGAAUCUGACUGGCAAAGAUCUUAAGCUGUCCUCUACAGUCUUUCAUGGAGUGGUGCCUGGUAAGUCGGCCUACCCAGUUGGUAAGAUUUCUUUGGAAGUAGAUUUUGGUAAUGAACACAAUUACAGGAUAGAGACAUUAACCUUUGAAGUGGUCAAGAUCAAAGGCCCCUAUCACGCUCUGUUUGGACGGCCGGCUUACGCCAAAUUUAUGGCACAACCUUGUUAUGUGUAUCUGCAGCUUAAAAUGUUGGGUCUCGAGGGUACCAUCAUAGUGCAUGGUGACAGGAAAAUAGCUCUGGGAUGUGAAGAAGGCGAUGCUGCUUAUGCUGAGUCUGUCUGUGCAACGGAGGAGCUGAAGUUUUAUAAAGACAAUGUUGACCCGCGGAUAUGACCCCUUUGAAGAAACCAACAACAGAGCAUGACCCGUUGCUAAAGUUUAAGUCGGCAGAUGACACCAAACAGGUUAACUUUGUCCCUGGUGAUUCAUCCAAACAGUUCACCAUUGGUGCUAAUAUGGAUCCGAAAUAGGAAAGCGCACUCAUCGAGUUCAUCCAUGAGAACCAGGACACCUUUGCAUGGAAACCUUCAGACAUGCCAGGUGUACCGAGGGAACUCGCUGUGCACACUCUCAAUGUCGAUCCCAAGUUUAAACCGGUCUUCGUCGUUUUAAUGAAGAGAGAAGCAAGGCCAUUGGAGAAUAAGUAGCCCGGCUCUUAGCAGCUGGGUUCAUCAUUGAAGUUUUCCACCCGGAGUGGUUGGCUAACCCGGUGCUAGUACUUAAGAAAAUGGCACCUAGCGCAUGUGUGUGGAUUACACAGACCUUAAUAAGGCUUGCCCAGCUGAUCCCUUUGCCCUCCCCCGUAUUGAUCAUAUCAUAGAUGCUACGGCAGGUUGUGAACAUUUGUAUUUUCUGGAUGCUUAUUCAGGAUACCAUCAGAUCAAGAUGGCAGUCAAAGACCAAGAGAAAAUGGCUUUCAUAGCACCCUUUGGAGCUUUCUGCUAUGUGGCUAUGCCUUUUGGGCUUAAGAGUGCCCAGGCGACUUAUCAGCGUUGUGUGCAGAACUGCUUUCACAGUCAGACUGGGCGCAAUGUUCAUGCUUAUGUGGAUGAUAUUGUUGUGAAAUCCAGAAAGAAGGAGACUCUGUUGGAGGAUCUAAAAGAGACCUUUAAUAAUCUCUGGGUCUACAAGUUGAUGCUUAACCUGACCAAGUGCAUUUUUGGUGUACCUGCAGGCAAGCUCUGGGGCUUUUUGGUCUCUGAGAGAGGCAUCGAGGCUAACCUGGAGAAAAUCAAGGCUAUCACCUCGCUAGCUAAGUCGGCGUGUGUUAAUGAUGUUCAACGACUGGCGGGUCGUAUUGCAGCUUUAAGCCGGUUUAUAAGCCGCUUGGGAGAGAAGGCUAUUCCUCUGUACCAGAUGAUGAAGAAAACAGAUCAUUUUGUUUGGAGUGAUGCUGCCAAUAAGGCAUUUGAAGCACUCAAGAAGCAACUAGCUGAGCCACUAGUUCUCGCAGCUCCUAUUGAGAAGGAACCUUUGCUCUUAUAUGUGGCAGCAAAUAGCAGAGCCGUCAGCAUAGCAGUUGUGGUGGAAAGGAAAGAACCGGGCAAGGAGUAUCCUGUCCAAAGGCCGGUUUAUUAUGUCAGUGAGGUUUUGAUUGUGUCAAAACAGAGAUACACGCAUUGGCAGAAGCUAGUAUACGGGGUGUUCAUGGCUAGUCACAAACUGAAGCAGUAUUUUCUUGGUCAUCCCAUUACUGUGGUAGCUCUGCUCCCUUAGGCGAUAUUAUUCAGAACAGGGAGGCCACAGGCAGAGUGGCUAUGUGGGCCAUAGAACUUGGUCCCCAUGGGUUGAAAUAUCUGCCAAGGAUAGCUAUCAAAUCACAGGUUCUUGUGGAUUUCAUCAACGAUUGGACAGAGUUGCAGACACCAGAGGAAAAGCCAGAUAACACUUACUGGACGAUUCAUUUUUACGGGUCAAGGCAGCUGGAGGGCUCGGGUGCUGGAGUUAUCUUGACUUCCCACGAGGUGAUAAGUUUUGUUAUGUGUUACGACUAAUGUUCCCUUGCACUAAUAAUGCAGCUAAGUAUGAGGCUCUGCUCCACGGCCUUCAGGUGGCUAAAGAGACAAACUUAAGCCGGGUGAGGUGCUUUGGCGACUCAGAUUUGAUGGCUCAGCAGGUCUCAGGCACUUGGGUCUGAAGACCCGCUUAUGGCGGCUUAUCACCGGGCGGUUGACAGUAUUGCUGGCCAUUUCAAAGGUUAUCAAGUGGAACACAUUGAUCGUAUAAAGAAUGAGGCGGCAGAUGCUUUAAGCCGGCUAGGAUCUCAGCGUAAGCCGGUGCCACCCAAUAUUUUUCUUGACAUAUUGCAUAACACUUCAGUUAAGCUACCAACAGAAAAGGAUCUUGCAAUCCCUGACCCGGAGGCACAGUUGGUGGUAGCUCUUCGUGCUAUUCCUAAUUGGACGGUUCCUUAUUUGGCUUAUAUGACCCGGGGAGAGUUGCCUGAGGAUGAAACGUUGGCCAGGCAAAUAACCCAGAGGUCUAAGUCGAUGACUAUUGUCAAUGGCGAGUUGCACCGAUGCAGCGUCACAAGUGUGUUCGACCACUGUAUUUCCCCUAAAGAAGGCUGUGAGAUUCUAAGACAGAUUCAUGAAGGAGACUGUGGCCAUCAUGCCGAGUCUAAGUAUCUCGUGGCUAAAGUUUUCGACAUGGGUUUUAUUGGCUGACGGCUCAUGCUGAUGCGGAAGAUCUGGUUAGCAAGUGUGAUGGUUGUCAGAAGUUUUACAGACGAGCUCAUGUACCGGCUCAAGAAUUGAGAAUGGUUCCAGUCACUUGGCCGUUUGCAGUCUGGGGGCUAGAUAUGGUUGGACCUUUCAAAAGAUCCAAGGAUAAAAAGACCCACCUUUUGGUGGCAGUUGAUAAAUUUACAAAGUGGGUUGAGGCAGAGCCGGUCAGCAAGUGUGAUGCGGCAACGACGAUUCAAUUCAUUAAGAAGGUGAUCUUCCGCUUUGGCUACCCACAUAGUAUCAUAACUGAUAAUGACACUAAUCUGUCCAAAGGUGCUAUGAAAGAGUUCUGUCAACAAGAACAUAUUCGUCUUGACAUUUCCUCUGUAGCUCAUCCCCAGUCCAAUGGUCAAGCUGAACGAGCCAAUCAAGAAAUCUUGCGAGGAAUCAACCCCCAGCUCAUGGUCCCUUUACAAAGGACGCCAGGUUGUUGGGUUGAAGAGUUGCCCUUCGUGCCGUGGGGUAUAAACACCACCCCCAACAGAUCGACUGGUUACACACCUUUCUUCAUGGUUUACAGAGCUGAGGCGGUUCUUCCAAGCGAUAUCUGUCAUGACUCGCCCCGUGUGGCGGCUUAUGUUGAAACUGAUAAUGAAAAAGCAUGUCAGGAUGCUCUUGAUUUGUUGGAUGAAGAGUGUGACCUGGCGGCGGCUCGUUCGGCGAUAUACCCGCAAGAUCUACGUCAUUAUCAUAGUCGCCGGGUUAAAACUCAAACCUUUCAAGAAGGUGACUUGGUGCUCCGGCUCAUCCAGGAUCAAACAGAUAUGCACAAAUUAUCCCCGCCUUGACAAGGGCCUUUUGUGGUCAACAAGAAUCUGAACAACGGGUCAUACUACCUCAUUGAUAUUCGGGAGAAUAAGGACUCGCGCACAUCAGAGGAGGAGACCCACCGGCCGUGGAACAUUGCUCAUCUGCGAUAUUACACUUGAGCCACCGGCUCUUGUGCUGUACAUACCUUCAUCAAUGUAUAUAUUUUGAUCAGUAUAAUAAAGUCGACAUCCCUGAAAAUUUGGGGCCUCUGUCGUUUCAUUUCAAAGUAUUUGAGUCUUUAUUGUUUGUUCAUAAGGUAAUUUGGGGGCUUCCUGCUCACCGAGCAUAGCUGUUCACACCCUCUUGAUCCGGUUUUCAAGCCGACUCAUUGGUCACUUGGGGGCUUCCUGCUCACCGAGCAUAGCUGUUCACACCCUCUUGAUCCGGUUUUCAAGCCGACUCAUUGGUCACUUGGGGGCUUCCUGCUCACCGAGCAUAGCUGUUCACACCCUCUUGAUCCGGUUUCCAAGCCGAAUUUGAGUUAAACCUGCCUGUUUGCAAGAUGCUACUCCGCUAGGUGACCCGCCGAACUCUUGAAAGAUACUCUUUUCAAUAAGACCCAGAACUUUUCAAGGUUAAAAUGGCGGCCUUUGUCACGAGAGAGCUGGCUUCACUACAAAAAAAGACACAUCCGUGACAUUUUGGGCCGAACGAAUUUUUUUCCUGUCAUACUUAUGACACUUCUAUGACAAUAAUUGUGACAAAAGCCGGUAUCAUCAUAGAUGUGGUGGGCUCCUACUUCUAUGACAAAAAAUCAUGAUAGAAAAUGGGCUUUUCUUCCUGGGCGGGCCGGAGACGCAGCUGCAUGACAUUCUUUGGGCUGUCCAUGACGGAAAAAACCGUGGUAGAAGCGAGGGCGAGGAAAAUAUCACGGUGUUCCCGGUUACGGUGGGUGGUCGGGGCCAAGUGAUGCAUGGAGGUUUGCGCAUUUCUCUCGCACACGCGCAUGGGUGCGAGGCGUUGGGCUCUAACUGAACCCGAGCGAGGCAUUCGCCUACUGAAUCCAAGCGAUUGCACUGCAGGCUACACGUUACUGAACCCGAGCGAUCGAUCGAUGGCUGUUAACUGAACCCGAUCGAGCGAUUCCUUCGCUACUGCUGCUAACUGAAGCCAAAAGAUGAAAUAAGUUGAUAGCGCGAUCUCGUACUAACACAUACUCUCUAAAUAUUGAAGAACUUGCAUGCGGCCUUCAAGCCACAACCGCGGUAUGAGUUCUGAUCUCAGACUUUGGUUUGGGGGCUGCUGGCCCCUUCGCGUCGACAAGGAAACUGUGGACGACAAUGGGUUUAGAAUUAGAAUAAAACGAAGACCCUAUCGAACAAAUAGAGGAAAGGGCGGAAAGGGGAAAAAGUAAAGUCUGAGGAAAUUGGACUUCGUAUUCUUCCUGGGUCUGGCUCGUGGGCCGACGUCGUCUUGUGUUGUAAUCGGGGCACGAGUAUUCGAAGUAGAAGCGCUAACAUUCCCCCUUCCUUGAGACCGAUCUGUAGCUGAUCUUUGAUCCCGAGCUUGAGCUUCUCUUUGAUGUCGGGUGAAUUGAAUUUCAUAUAUGGAGAAAUGUGUCGCUAGUCCAAGUCCGCUAUAGAAUUGUUUGUCUAUCACUUCGGCAACGAAGGUCAUUUCUUUAGAAGAUCGAUACUGGUAGUUGCUUGCGGUGUCUGAACAAGUUUCGAAAAAACUACUGUGUCUGCAUUUUCCUAAAGAUUGCUGUGAGGCUGAUAGUGAUAUCUUUCCAAUAACUGACUCAGCAGGUUCAAUUGAGGUAUCAUUCGAUUGAUAUUUCGAACCGUGUAGUGGUUAGGAUCCUCUUAUUGCCGUCAAGGGCUAUUUUGGUCGAUUCCAGCCAGAGAGUUAUGAAUAGAAAUAGCAGACCUGAUUCGAGACAACAGGAAGUUCCCGUUUGCAGAUCUACAUUUCUCAGGUUCAGGCUAUUCGUGGAGUCGAUCACCACCACUUGAGAUAGACGAUCAACUUCAUUAAAGAAGCAGUCAUCUCUAUACAGGAAGCAGCAUGUUUUCUAUGGUCCUAUGAAAAGGUUCCAGUGGGUUUCUCUUGCUGAAUGGUGGUAAAACACCAGCUUUCAUUCCUCACUGCAAGCUGCCUCGAUCGAUACCAUCCACUUAUUUCUCUUUCUCACGGGACACAUAAAGAUACCAGCGCUUGUGCGAACAGUUGAUGCUUGGCACCGGCAAGAAGCUUCUCGGCCACCCUACUCUGACUUGAUUAGCUACUAGUAACUAGUGUGAGGGGUGCUACUUUAGUGUUAUUCCUAGACUGAUGAAGUGAAGACUUUAGGCCUCGCUAAUAGUGGACCAACUGAGAAUGUUUGUUUCUCUUUUCUAUAGAUAUCUCAUCGAUGCUGCCUCUGGAUGAAUAGUGAGUGUUGUUGGGGGGUUUGCAUGAAUAGUUCCCGGUGGGGGUUGGAUGAACAGGACCCCGUGGUGUUGCCGCUGGAUGAACAGGACCCCGAUCGAUCCAGCCGGUUGGGCGUGGAUGAACAGGAUCCCGUGGAGGGCUGGAUGAACAGGACCCCGUGGAGGGCUGGAUGAACAGUAGCCGUUGGAGGGCUGGUUGAACAGUAGCCGGUGGAGGGCUGGAUGAACAGUAGCCCAUGGAGGGGUGGUUGAACAGGACCCCGUGGAGAGGGCUGGUUCAACAAUAGCCGGUGGAGGAGCGCGCGGUGGAGGCUGGUUGAACAGGAGCCCGCGGAUGAACAGUCGCGAGUGGAGGCUGGAGGAGGUCAACGAUGGAUGAACAGUAGCCCGGGGAGGCUUGAGGAGGUUGACAGUGGAGAUGAACUGUAUCCCGUGGAGUCCCGUUUUGCGGUACGCCACACCCUCCCGACCAACAGGACCCCGUUUCGACCGUAGGAGGUCCAACAGAAGUCCGUUUCCUCCGUUUUGCGGUACGCCGGACCCCUCCCGAUGAACAUGAUCCCGUUUCGACCGUGGCCAGUUGAACACAAGGCCGUUUCCUCCGUUCUGCGGUACGCCAGGCCUCGUUUCCAUCGGUUGUUCCGUCCAAGCCCUCCCGAUGAACACGACGACGCAUUCCGUUCUGACCCAGCCGGUUGGCUCCCCAUGAACACGACGACAACGUAGUUUCUCCGUUCCGACCCAGUCAUGUACAUGAGCCCUGGCCGUACGUAUGCGCGAGUAGGCGUUUGAGACCCCGCCCGUAUGUACGUACAUGGCCGUAUUUACUUUCUUGUACCCUGGCCGCUAUACGUACGUGUAUAUGCUACAUGCGCUCCUCUUCUACGACACAUGCGCGCCUCUACAUCGACCAGUAUGUAUGUACACGUUCGCGACUAGAAUUUCAACAGUAUCCCGAGUGUCAGCCACUUCCUUGCGUGCAAAGAUGUAGCUGGUGGGUCCCAGCAGUCAGGGGGGCGAAUCAUUUUUUUUGCCCGUAAUAUGGACGCACUUCCUUGUGUGCGAAGAUGUAGCUGGUGGGUCCCAACAGUCAGGGGGGGAAACGUUUUUUUCACGAAAUACAGUGGUCCAUCCGGUGGGUCCCUGCUGUCAGGUGGAGGAAUACUUAUUUUGCGUGCAAUAAGGAGCCAAUUCCUUGCGGCUGCCGUGGACCCAGCUCUUAGCCUAUCAACGUACAACACUCUUCCGAUGGAAGUCGUUCCUUGACCACGUUGACCACGCCGCGCCGAGAGGACCAGGGCGGUGGACGACGGCGAGGCCUAGGAAGGGGACGACGUGGAGCCGGGGAAGACGCGGCAGUGGAUGCCCACGCGUAGAGGAGUACGAGGGUUCACUGGUUCGGCUGCGGUGUGAGGCUGCCGUCGCCGUAGAAUAACAGGGGGUGUGGGUGAGUAGAGGGAUGGCCUGGCCAGCGGUGGGAGUAGUAGGGGGUGGUGAGGCCUCCGCGGCAUCACAGCCGUCCACGGGAGGCAGGAGCAUGAGGCACGACCGGCGCUGGUUUGGGCGGCUGGAGCAAGAAGACCAGAGGUUGAAGAAGCACUACGGCCGUUGGAUGGACAUCGUACGGUCACUGGAGCUAGAAUCGUUCAUAUAUCGACUAAGUUGACAAAGCCCUCCGUCCCCGUCAACUUAGUAGGCCCACAAGUUAGCCUCCCACUAUGGUGGGUCCUAGCUGGCAGGGGGGUAUUUAUUUUUUGUGCGCAAUAAGGAGACACUUCCUUGCGUGCGAAGAUAUAGGUGGUGGGUCCGACCUGUCAGCGGAGGGAACGUUUUUUUCGCGAAAUACAGAGGCCCUUUCGGUGGGUCCCAGAUGUCAGGUGGAGGAAUCAUUAUUUUGUGCGUAAUAAGGAGGCAUUUCCUUGUGUGCGGCCAUGGACCCAGCUGUUAGCCUCUCCACGUACAGUCCACUAGCGAUGGAUGUCGUUCGUUGACCAUGCCGCGCCGAGAGCACCAGGGCGGUGGACGACAGCGAGGCCUAUGAAGGGAACGGCACGGAGCCGGGGAAGACACGGCAGUGGCUGCCCUCGCCGUGGAGAGUAUGAGGGUUGACUAGUUCGGCUGCCGUCACCGGAAAAUAACAGGAGGUGUGGGUGAGUAGAGGGAUAGACAGGCCAGGGAUGCGAGUAUGGUGGGGCCGUGAGGCCUGCCCGGCAGCACAGCCGUCCACGGGAGGCGGGAGUAGGCGGUUCCGACGGCGCUGGUUUGGGCGGCUGGGGCAGGAAGAUCAGAGACUGAAGAAGCACGAUUGCCGUUAGAUUGACAUCUAACGGUCUGACGCUGGUAGAGUCGAUUGUUGACUAAGUUUCGUUUUUGAGAAACCUUGUGUACGCAUGAACUUAGUGGGCCCACAAGUCAGCCUCCAAAUCUAUGGCAGACAACAUAGAGCCCAUUUGCUAUUUUUUUAAUAAUUUGCAGCCCAUUUGCUAAUUCUUAAGUAAUUUAUUACAGCCCAUUUUCUGCCCAGGACCAUGGUCAAAAAGUUCAACCUUAUUUUGCAUAUUUUGGUGGAGUCCGAACUGUUGUAAUCCCGAAAUGAUAAACAUUUUUUAAGAACUUAUUGAUUUGCCAAAAAAAUCAUUUUGUUUUUGUAAGCAAAUAAGACAUGGGACAAUUGAGUUGGUUUAAGGGAAAACCAGUGGUAAAAAAAUCAGCGCUGGGAGGGAAAACAACAACAAAAAUAAGGAUGUAAAUAUGAAAAGGUAAUUUUAUGUAUUUUCAAUAUAAUGAUACGUGUAUAUGAUCUAGUAAACCUAUAGGUAGAGAUUAUAAAACGGAUGUAGGACAUGCGUUUCAAGUGGAAAAUAGAACUGGGCUGUGUGUUUGAUUCAGUAAAAAACUGCCUGCGUAUGUUGUAAGACAAAAUAUAACUAACGCUGGCAGGCCAGAGGCCAGUAGAUACCUGCUGGAUCUUUGUGCCCCGUUGUCGUCAUGGUCUGGGCUUGUUAAAAACAAAACCAAGCCUGGGCAGUCUACAGCCCAGUUGAAACUUGCUCGACCUAAAAAAACAAUAUACCUGCUCAAAAAACGAGAGAAUUCUGGAAGUACAGACUAAUAAUUGGGAUGCAGCAGGGAUAUUGUUUUUUCAUCAUGAUAAUAAGUGCAUGCACUUGUUUCGAAAAAUUUGGAGAACUGGGAAUUCGAACGGCAGGUGCUUAUGCUACCCAUCAAAUAAAAAUUAGGUGCCUGAAAAUUCAUUUCGAAACAAAUGAUUCAGCUUUAUAUCCACGUCGACCCUCGGCAUGAUGGUUGGAAGCAAAUGCCAAGUUCAUACCAAAAGAUCAUUAACAACAAUUCCAACUUGCGGACAACAAGGUAGUACAAGUACCAAUACCAAACUAACUUACACUACAAAAAAAUACACUUCCGUGAUGAUACAUGUUUGUCACAGUAGGUCGCAUUUUUUGUCAUGCAUAUACAUCCAUGAUGAUUUUAUGACAGAAUCAAGAUAGUCAUACCUGUGCUGUGGUAGAAGUGUUCCAUGACAUUACCAAAAUUAUCAUCACGGAAGUGUCCACUUCCAUGACGAUAAAUCGCGCGUCACAGAAGUGCUUUCGUCAAGGGUGACCGACACGUGGCAUCCACCGUAAUGGAAUGCCUAUAAGCUAUCGGGUCCGAUUUUGGAUCCGAUAACCCGUUAACAGCCGGGACCAAUGGGAAAUUUCCACGUGUAAAAUUCUGAUUGGCCGGAGGGAACACCUGUCAGCUCGUCAGUGGGCUAGAUGUCGCCCGUCCAUUGGAGGAGACAUGUCUAUGAUACAUCAACACAUGGCUGGGCCCAACAGAGGCCCAUAUAGGUUAAAAAGGCCAGCCCAGUCAAAGGCCCAUAGUACUUACUCAGGUACUAGUGGGCCAGCCCAAUAACGGCCUGCUUAAUAAAGGCCCAUUUACGGCCCGAAGCCAGAUCUGGCCCGUUAAUUGUUCGCCGAAUAUUUGGGCCCAUUUACGACCCGAAGCCAGAUCUGGCCCGUUAAUUGUUCGCCAAUAUUUGGGCCCAAUUACAGCCCAGUGACUUUCGGCCUGUUAGAGGCCCGAUGUACACAUGGGCUCAUUUCAGCCCGGUGUGACUUUCGGCCUGGGAAUGGCCCAUGCUGCCCAUGGGCCAUAUAUGGUCCGAUGGGACAUCGGGCCCACUAACGGCCCAUGAUAAAGGUGGCAACAGUUAAGCCCAACGUGACUUUGGGCCUGUUAAAGGCCUGUCGCAUAAUUCGGCCCGUUGAUGCCUGUACUAAGCUUUCGGCCUCUUAAAGGCCCAUGAUAUCAGUUGGCCAACUAAGGCCCGAGAUAUGUUUCGGCCUGGUAACGGCCCGUGAUAUAACUGGGCCCAAAAAGGCCCGGUCUACAUUUCAGCCUGCUGAAGGCCCGUCGACGACUAGUGAAAAUUGAGGCCCAACAUGCAUUUUGGCCUGCUAAAGGCCCAUGGUUUCAUCUGGGCCGUAACAGGCCAGUACAAUAUUCAGCCUGUUAAUGGCGCAACGCUACCUGGGCCACACUAAGCGCUGGGUCCACAAAAGGCCCAACUAAAAUAUAGGCCGGUGUAAGUUGUGGGCCUGGCACAAAGUGUGAAGGCCCCAAUCAUUCGGGCCCAAGAAAGAUGUAGGCGGGCCUGUUAGAGGCGAAUGUUUCGGCCCGGUCGACUACAUCUGAUUUUUUUCAGAUAGGGAAUGAUGGCAGUAACUAGUAGGAAUUAAGAAUAAACCUACUCUAUACAAUAAAUAAAUUACGGCAUAGUAACUAAGAAUAAACCUACACUAUACAAUAAAGGAUUUAUGGUAUAUCCACUGGGCAUCGAAGUUCGCCACCAGUGAUCAUAAAGCGCAACGAAGAAGCAGAUUACAAAAAACUAGGCACCAUUGCAGCGUAACAAAAUAAUACUGAACCGAUACCACUUCCAAGACAGUUCAAGAAAGGUUAGCCUUGCGGGGGAACUGCUGCGCAAGCUGCUGAGCAAGGCUGUGAGACCGGCCUAGCAUGUCGGUCAUAGCUUCCAGGUGUAGCUGUUUAGCGAUGAGGUUCUCAUUGGUGUUCUCCGCAAAGAUAGGACUUCAAGUCGAAGUUGAGUUGCAGAAUGCCUUUCUGCUAGAACUUGGGACUGAAGAAAUCAAACUGAUUCAGACAACGAAUUCUGUGAGCUUGUCUGACUGCUAGUCUCAAGUAACUUGAACACUGCAUCAAGACAAGACUUUGGAGUUGUCUCGCUAUCUUCAAGAUGUUUUGCCUUCUUUGCUGCAAUAUAUGUUGGGUUUGUCUCACAGCCUUCAGCAGACUUGUGCAUGCCAUUAGGCAUAUCGCCCUGAAACAAAGCAGAGAGAUGACAAGUUUUUCAUGUGUAUAAACAAAUAUGAUAACUGUGCUGUCAACCAUCCAAUUUCAAAUUAGAAAAUAAAGAGUAAGUUCAAAAUAUCAAUAACAUAAUUUGGCAUUGUUCAUAAUGCGGGGAGCUUCACCACACUACUGGAUUACCAUGUCAACAUAACAAGCAUAGAUGAAGGGCAAAGAAAAUCAUUAUAUCGAUUUUGGUUAAUGUGCAUGGCAUGUUGUUCAUAUCAUCAGCCACAUCAGUAAGAUAAAACAGGAGAUGACAAGGUGCAAACGUGGGCUGCUUCACCACACACUGGAUUAUAGAUCCACAAAAACAAGCAUACAUAUAGGGAGUAUUGAGUAAUGUGCAUGGUAUGAAUAAGGAAUUUGGUUUUACAAGUAAAACUUAGAACUUACGAUUCUUGCGAACAUGCAUUUUGGUAGAAACAGCAAACUAAAUAGCAGUAAACGACAGGGGGUAUGAGAAAAUUAAACAACAGUUGAGGAUAAAGGCUUUAGAAGGACUGACUUACAUUAACAGUUAACACUGGCUUUAUAAUGCCCUUCUCCGUGUCAAGGGAAGGAUAACUCAAGAAUUUCAGCACAGAAUCUUCUUCAUAAGCAUUGCCUGUACUCUACAUUUUGUAGAGAGUAAUUAUAGAUAUGAUAAUACUGGAAGGGAUAGAGGAUAAUGAAGAUAAGAUGCAGAUUGAUGCUACAUAAUCAACUACCAAUCCCUGGAAGUAUAAGCGUUACAGGACAAAAUGUACUGACAAGAGCAAUGGGCUACACUUCUGCACUGGCAUUGUCGGAGUAAAUGACCACGGGUAGCCUAACCGGCUCCCCCUGGCUCUUCAAAAAUAUCUGGCCGGCCGAGCCCUCAAACGUCCAAGACGCAGGGCCGCCUUCUCUUGGCUGGCUGCCCCACUGGCCGGCUGCUGGAAGGCGGCAAGGCCCUGAGAGCUCUCGUGAAGAGGGCCGACUCCUAGCAGCCGGCCACCAGAAGUCCGGCUCCUAGCAGGCGGCCAAGAUCGCACCCACAAAGUUCGCACCCACAUAAUGGCGAUGAGACGGGGCAUGGCUACAGUGGAGCCUGCCACCCCCGAAUCCCAGAGCAAGCGUGGCCACAGUACGCCGUACGGGGCGGCCAUCCCCCAUCCGGUGCAGCAUUGUUGCCAUGUUGACCACGACGCCACCCACGACAGGCUGUCAGUACAGCCCGUAGGCGGCGGGCCCCUCUGGCCAGAGAGAUACCAGAAGGCGGCCGAGCUUCAUCAAGUCAACCUGGGAGGGAGCCGGCUCCCAACAGUCGGCUCACCCUCUCCCUUGAAGUUCGUGUACCAUUAAGCUGAAAGGACGGGGUAAGGCUACAGUGAAAGCCCGUCAGGCGGCGGCACUGUAGCCAUGCUUACCCCGACGAAGCCGUCGUCACCAAGAGCGAGGCUACAAUAACCAGCCGCCGACAAGACCCCCAGCCGGCGGGACCCACCAGUCGGCGGGCCCUAGCGGCCGACAGAGAAGCCGGCGAUUACAGACACUGACGACCGGGACCCGCAUCCAUUCGGAUUACCAUUGUACCCCUGGGGGUAGGCCUAUAUAAACCCCCCCAGGGCACCCAUGCAAAGGGUUGAUCUCUUAGAGUUUUAUACACCACAUAGAGAGAAGAGGAGAGCUAGCCUUGUCCUUCUUCUUCCUCUAGCCGAACAGCUCAAGGAGCCUCCUGUAGCCACUUGUGUUGAUCUAGUGAUCAUGCGGAGACCUCGCAGAGCAGGACUAGGGGUGUUAUCUCCUAGGAGAGCCCCAAACCUGGGUAAGAUCCGCCGGCGUGCAUGUCUUCGCCUUAUCUCGUUUCCAGGCACCGGCGAUGUCUUACUGGCUCCCACAAUGAUAAGCCACCCGUUGGCAUAUGUCGCACCUACCACCCGACAUGCAUCGUCUGUGUAUUCUACUUGUUGGUAAGAUUAAAUAUAGAUCUGAUCUUUUUUAGUAAAUGGUGGGCGAGGGAGAUAAGAUGCAGAAUGCUACACAAUGAACCAAUCCCUCUUCCCAUAAUACAAGAGUGUUUUGAACACUAGUGUACUGUACAAAACGUUCUUAUAUUAUGGGAUGGAGGGAGUAGCUGUUAAUGUAAGUACAGUGAUAGACGACGUUUAGUCCUUACAAGAGGACUGCAGAGCUAAACCUCUUCAAAAGCAUUGGGUUGAUUCUAAACUUAUGUAAGAUUCCAUACGGAUCUUAUAAUGUCCACCAAUUGGACGAUACAAGGCUAACAUGUGCAGUGAUGCUACAUAAUCAAACAGCUAUGAAAGUAAGUAUGGUCAUACAGGGAAGAGGUACUCACAAGAGCAAUGCAGUGUGCAGUAUAGUUGCAAGAUUCUGUGGUCCCUUGAGAAUGAAUGUUCUUCUGCUAAUAGUUUUCGUACAAGUGAGACGUUAAGGCAAAUGCAGAAAUGUAGUUCAAAUUGUGAUGUGAUAUCAUAGGCAGUACCUUACGCUACAGCCGAGACCAAUGUGUAACAAGAUUAUUCCAGUCACCGUCGGAUAAAUGUAGCACCAGAGACUUUACAGAAAUUUCGUUUAGAGGCUUGCCAUCGAAGUGUGCUUGCCUCAGGUAGGAAUGAUACUUCAUCAACGAGUGCUUGAAAAGCGCAACCAACCCUUGCUCAUCUUCACAAUCCAGUUUGCUCCUCGCCUAUUUAAAAGAAUGAAAUCUGGUGUCUUUUGUCAGCAGAAACAUAUGCAGUAAUGACCAUGAAUAACAUUAGUACAUUACUUACGCGUAAGUUGCGGAGGAAGACUGGAAAUUGUUCUGUGUCUGCGGUGUAAUCUUUCCAUGAAGGAAAGAUGCGCAGAAAGUUCCUGACAACAAUAUAAGCUUCAUCUUCUAAACUGGGAAGAAAUGGAACAUGGGUCCUAUUUGCUGCAAUUGGGGCUCUCUCUGGUUCGAAAAGGGAUUUGGCAACUGGAUUUGGUGUACUCUUGCUGGAAUGGGGGUUUUGCGUCGUAGAGCUGGUGCUAUGUCAACUGGCAUAAUCAUACUGUUUGUUGCAGUUGGGGUCUGCUGAGUUGGGGCAUCAGAAAUGACCAGUGUAGUAGGGCUAGAGUCUGAUAGAGUUGGGGUGUUCUGUGGGUCAGGUGAUAUUUCAACUACACCUAUGGGCUAUUUGAUUUAUCAGGUGCCACUACCUUUCCCAAAUACUUUGCUUGUGCUCCUCCACGAUCAGCAAUCACCCUCUUCCUUUUGAACGUUUGAUACACAAGAACAACAUUUGAAUGAAUAAAUAUGGUAUGAUGACAGAUGGAAUAUGUACUGAAAAUGGAUAGGCAGGGCGUAUUCACAUACACAAUGUGUAAACUAAGAUAAUGGCAGUUCAACAAAGUAGAAGCAAUGCAAAGCAUGAGUUGCAAGAUAUGUGCGACCAAUAUAACCUUGGAAAGUUGGAGCAAGCACCUUGAUGGGUGAAUAAGAUAGGGCAUCUUCCUCUGACUCCUCAACUAGGGAGCUACAUUGACUCAGGUCUCUCUCUAGCUCAGAAUCACUAUUAGGAUCAUAUUCUGAGCAUGAAUCUGUAGGUGGAGAGCAUUUGCAUUGCAUUGCAUCCAGACUUGAUUUUAGUCCCUUAAUGCCAAGUUUGACAGCCAUGGCAUUGUUCUGCUUUAUUCUUUUCAUGCGCGCAAGCUCAUAAACAUUAUGAUGCUGUUCAGAAUCUGAGAUUCAUGAAAACAUAAAAAGUAGUUAGAUUAUCUAUGGAAUGCAUUGCGGAUUCAACUCGAAGAGUGUCUCCCUAUAAACCCCUGCAUAUGCAAAGUUCACCCCAACCGUGCUGACCAGACCACACACAGAAAUACAGACCCCUUAUGUCUCUAUAACCGGCAGACACACAUUUCAAAACUGAAGUAGGAACAUUAGAAUCAUAUGAAAUUCGUAUUUGAACAAAUAAACUAAAGAAUUAUGAGUGGCAUAAUGUUUAGAUUCAAGGGUGGAGUGUUGGUAGUGCGACACAAAGCAAGUAGGCAGAUUGUAUUCCAUGUAAAAGAUCGAAGCCUAUGUAAAAGCUGGAAAUGACACUUUCUUUCUAUACAAUGCAGUGUUCGUUGCCCACACAUGAUGGAAGAGAUCACAUAGAGAAAUACUAUUCACUCAUGUCUACGGUUCCAGUAUUUAGAAACAGGGUGGUCCACCCUAAAAGAAUAUUGACAACAAAUAUGACAAGGCAAGCAUAGAUGUAGUGAAUCAAUCAUUUACUUGUGAGCUUACUAGGACAAGUAUGCAGAAUUGUAACUGCAGUAAGAGACUGUCCAAAAUCUGAAUUAAGAAGUUUGUCUAGCACUUAUUGGUUGCAACUAAUUGACGUGAAUAAUUGGAUAUUAUAUCGAAUAAGUAAGAAAGACAAGUAAAAUUGUCAACAAACCUGGCUUGCAGUAGUAAUCUGGGUCAAUGUCACUACGACCAACAAUCCAAAAUGACUAUUGUCUGUUCCGAGGGCCGAAAUUUUGAAAACCCUGUGAACUUUACAUGUACUAAAGAUUACCAAAAUACAUCUGAACCAUUAAGUGUAGGUAGCACUGAGCACACAACAAACCCUAAUGACAGUCCUGCCUAAUGAGUAAUGAAUCAAUUAGAAAAUGGGUGAUGAGGAGUGGCUGCUGAGUGUUGAGGACAUAUCUCAGGAUAAAUCGGGUUGGCUUAGUGGGUGCUGCACGCUUGAGCCCUGAACGGACUGGGAAGGUAGGCACGGCGACGCGCCCGGGCAGCGGUGACGCUGUUGGGCGAGCGGCUCCUGACCUCCUGUUAGUCCGGCGUCUCCUCCUAGAGUCAUGCCGUCCGGGGACGGCAAGUCGCCCGCGAGGCAGGCGGCUGGGGGCGAGUAGAGAUCGGAAGCACGCAGCAGAACAGAGGGGAAUCGGGGCCUGGGACGACCCAAAAUCCGAGGGUGGGCCAGCCCACCGUGGGCACCCUGUAGAGAUACACACCCGAGCGGCGAACAUGCAUUUUUGAAACUAAUUUAGGAACAUUUAGCGGACCAAUUAGACGACUCUAUUUUAAUAAUAUCAGAUUUGUAUUUGAACAACUAAGCUUGUUUAGCUUGAUGGGUGGAGCAGUGCUAUUAUGACACGAAGCACGUAUUCUGAUCGUAUAGUUAUCAUAAAAGGGGGAAACUCUAAGCAUAUUUUUUUAGCAAAAGAGGGUUUCCCCUCCGAUUUCUGUUAAAGAAACCACCACGGAACCAACAUGAUCAAUUAAACCCUAAGCAUGAUCAAUUAAACCGUAUGAUGACUGUGCCAUGGCAGAUUUGAAGCUGCAAAUCGGAGAAAUGAUAUUUAGCAUCCAUUGUUUGCUUCGAACUAAGAACUAAAUUCUAAGAGCUAAAAAGAAAGUAGAGUAACCAAGUUAAGAUCUAUUUUCUAGUUGAGAUCAAAAAGUUGAGGAGAUAUGAAGUACCACCUCUCUUGCGGUGCCGUGUAGGCAUCGGGGGUGCGAUGGCUGUCAGUGGCGUUGAAGCAGAUCUGCGACGGUAGACGGGUGCAUCGGGGGAUAAGUCCCGUUUCGGUGGAGGAGAAGGUCGUGUGAGCAGCCCCGGCAAAGAGGACGACGGCGCCGAUGAAGUGAGAGGGCGCGAUGCAAGGCUCUUGGUUCAUCGCCGUGGAUGAGAAACGUCCAUCUCUAGCAGUGGACAACGCGGUCUUGGUAGGCGCUCCGGCAUGGUGGAGGACGGUGGCGAUGGAUGUGGUGGAGGACGGCGGUGAUGGAUGGGGUGGAGGACGGCGGCGAUGGAUGGGGUGGCAGACGGAGGCUGGUGUGGGGAUGGUGUUCUAGCGCGGACGGUGUAUGAACGGGAAAAUGGAGGGAGGGGUAUGGGGAACCAUGUUUUUGGGACGCGCCUGUCUGAAAUAUGGGAAAGUUAUGAACUUAGCCCGCGUUUAAAAUUUGGACGUCUCGUCAGUUGGGGAUAGGACGGUAAUCUCGCAUCUCGCUAAUAUUUGCCCAGAGCGAUUUCGGGCGAGGAGAGGGUGGUUGGCGCCCAUGGUUGGCGCCCACGGUGUAUGAAUGGGGCUGACAGGUAGGGCGGUUGUGUCACGUCUGAGUGAAGUUACAAACCUGCCCCUAUUGAAAAUAUUUGCCUACAUCGAUUUCGGUCGAGUCGAGUUUGUUUUGCCGCCCACCGUGUAUGAAUGGGGAAAUGGAGGGAGAAACAGAGGUCCUUCAUACGAGCUUGAAUCAAUUGUGUUUUGCCGGCCAUGUUUGGCGCCCACCGUGUCAGAAUGGGCUCAGAGGUGGUCGUGUCACGUCUAAUUGAAGUUACUAACCUACCCCAAUUUAGAGCAGUGGAAAUCGGGUCGAUGGAUUUUCCGUGUAAUGGGUAGACAGUAAUUUCCAUCUCCCAAACACUUCGCUUCGGGCAGCCGACGUGGGAGUGGACAUUUUGCCGCUUCUUUCGAAUUUUGGGACAAUAAACAUCCACGUUUACCCUAGCAACUCAAUUCAAAUCCAUUUUGUAUUCCUAUACGAAUCUUUAUAAAUCAUUCUAUGUGUUUUUAUAUAUCUUCAAAAUGACGACAAAGAUGUAUUCCACUGUCAUAUAUGAAUAUGGUUUACAAAUGCCGAUACUCAAAUUCAUAAGCUAGAAUCCAGUUUAAGGUGAAUUCGAAUAUUUGGAACACUUCAUGUCCAACUCAAAUGUCACACGCAGCAUAAUGUGUACUCCCAUUUAAAUAUGUACACAAGCGAUGUAUCAAGGUUCAAAUACCGAGUCAAUCAACCAAGAAUGUACAUAACUAACAGACAUAUAAACACUUAUAGAGUAUAUGGGUCAAUAAUAUCAACUAACAUACAUAAGCCAGGCCGUUGUACUUUUUUUUGCUACAACAGCAUCCUUUUUUUAGCCAAGCUACUACAGCAUCUUGGCCCUUUCCGAUGCGUGCCACUUAUGGUCCAUCUAUACUACUAUUAUUGCUGAAUGCACAUUCAGCCCGAUUGGCAUAUUUGUAGGUCUGGCACAACAAUCAAAAUGAAAUGUCUCCGAGUCUUAUCAAUUAAUACAGACUUGUGCUCAAAUAAAAUUACAAACCAAAAAACAAAAAACAAUUAUUACAUGAUCUCUAAAACAAAUGGUUUGAUUGAUUACAUGAACAGACAACACAAAGGUUAUUCAACGAUGGAAAGAACAUUUCACCUAUGAUUUACCAAGUGGGAAUUUAAUUUCCUUUUUUCCUUCAGGACCUUAACAAUGUGGUCAGUCUCAGCUUGCUUUGUUUUGAAGUCCACCAAAUAUUUAAUGGUUGUCUUGAGUACUGCUUGUGAUUGUGCCGUUUACUUCCUCAACAUGUCAACUUCAUCUCUAAGUGCAAAAGCAGAAUCUCUUUCUACCACUAGUUUAGCCUCUAGAGCAUCAGCAGUUGGCAAUUCAUAAUGCAGGAUUGGGCCAGUGCCACUGCUGUGGGAUGAUACAACGUCCAUGGGGACCUUGCUCUUUGAUCUUGGACUAACCUGUUUUGCCAUUAUAGUUCCGAUUGGAUUCAGAAAAGUUGAAGUUAGCAAAACAUCUCAACUGGGAGUUAUAACAGCAAACCAGUUAAACAAACAAGGAAUUAAAGAGUUUCAAUUGGAUGCUGAAAAGUAGUUAUUAACAUCAUUGUAACCCGUUGUUGCAGCAGCAAAGCAGUUAAACAAACAAGUAGCUAUUUAAGUUCAGGCAAACAGGUAAUUCUUAACAGUAAGUAUCAAACACAUAGAUAGACGCAGUCUAUAAUAGAAUUAAUAGGCUAUGGCAUUAUGUAAUCAGUAGGAAACUAAAUUAAGCCAGUCAACGUAAUUGAACAUUUUGCAAUAAGUGGCUAACUAAAAUUUCGAGAAGCAGGUAAUUGAACUUACGCUAGUUCUUUGUACAGGCACACUGCAACUUCUUUUUCGCUUACAAGGUUGUACGAAGGAGUCCAUGGCAUCAAUUGCUGGGAUAUGAAGUCCCAGUACUUAUUUCUUCUCACACUGCAUUGGUAAGUCGAAUGGUUAAUCUGGUAAGAUGGUGCGUCCUUGAUAUGCUAUAUGAGGACGUGUAGUCAGACUAGUUGUAGCCACACACAUCACACUGGCUUUUACUGUAUAUUUCAUGCGAUUACUUUUGGCAUAUCGAGAUCUAAGCAAUCUACAAUAGGAUGAAAAGACUGGCAUCCUUCACAUUAUUGGGGAACUCAGUUCAUAACAAGCAAUUCAACCAUUCUGUGGGUAAAUCAAAAGCGCCACUUGAAUAUUUUUCACUACCCCAAUCAUACAUGGAAAAGGGGCGACGCCACCAUAGGGGCUGGUAUGGGCGGCCGCCUCGGAUGGCUGGAAAGUGUGCACCGAGUUUGAGUCGUCCAGGUUGGCCCAGGCUAGUUUUGUUCGUCCCAACACACGAGCAGGCAAUGUAAAAAAUGAAGAAAAAUGUUUCAAUUUGGAUGGGCCAAUAACAUAAGUGCAAGGCAGGCCCUAUAGCAGGCUCGCGGCCCAAACGAGCGCCUCCCAUAUCGAUCGACAACAGGAAAAAUCCCAAUUCAUUCGCUCCAGCCUCUAGUCUGGUUCGCUCCUAACCUAGCCGCCGCUGGAUAGACCGACACAACACUUCCUCGCGCCCUCGUUGGAAGGCGGUCGCCGGGCUUCAAGCGAACAGAAGGACAAGAAGAUGAAGAUCCAACCCUGGGUGUAGCCUACAUGGGAGGCAGCGGCGGCAGCACGGGCAUGGCAUCGAGCUUGCGCAAACGGACAGUCGCAACUUGCAAGAGUAGCAUGCGCAACGAGCAGGUACAUCACAUCCCUGAUUAUAUCUAAUUCAACUCUUCAAUUUCUGGCCAAUAGUUAAACCUGAUGGUGUUGUAAAACUGCUUGUAUGUAGGGAAUCUAUGAGAAAAUGAAACCAAUUUCUACUUAUUUUAUAACUCCCCCAAUCAAUACAGAACUGACUGAAUCUAAUGUAUCUAAUCAAGUUUCCGGUGCAAACAUACAAGCUCAUGUUGUUCUUGAGCCUGAAGUGUCUAAUGAACAGACUGCUAAUGAAGGAUUUGAUGCAAACAUUUUACAUGCUCCUGGUGAUGACCAUAUAGUGUCUAAUGAGGGAUCUAAUGCAAGCAUUUUGCAAGCUCCCAUUGAUGGAUUUAGUGUCUAAUGAUGACCUGCUAUGUUGAGAGAGACAUAGAGAUUUGCAGGCAUUGAUGACAAGCAAAUUAUAGUGCAUUUUCAUGGCUUGAGGAAACGUCGAGGCCAUCUACCAGAAAGUCCCCGUAUCAUGACAACAUAGCAUAAAUACUUUUCUUAUCUGUUGUUUGAAACUAUUGGCAUACUUGUGCAGGAUAGAUAUAUUGAUAUGCAGUUUGCGCACUGGUUAUAGGUGCAAUUACACUUCGAUAUUUUUAGCCAGAGAACAAAUAAUUCAAGCAGGUACAGACCAUGUUUGUAGUCCUUGUACACCAUGUUGCAUUUUGUGUUUUUUGGUGCUUGCAUCAUUUAGUGUUUAUAAUCUGAACUACUUUGGAUCAUUAGCUGGUUUUCAAAGUGCAUGUAGCUUCACAUUUCUCAAGUUAUGUUGAUUUCCGGAGUGCAAGUGCCUUCGUAUUUUUUAAGUUAAAUGUUCGCCCCUGGUAACUUGAAUUCGUGGAUCCGCCACUGCACACAAAUCAUACACGAAUGCCAGUACGAAUUAAAUGAAAUGCAGGGACUUACGCUAGCUCUUUGUACAGGCUCACUGCAGCUCUACUUGCGCUUGGGAUGUUCCAUGUACAAGUCCAUGUUACCACUUGCUUGGAUGUGCAGGCCUUGUGCUCCUUGCAUCCCCCUCUGCAUUUUUGACACGGCGAAUGGUUGAUCAAAUAAGAGGAAUCGACCUUGCUGUUAUACCGGAGGACAGAUACUUACAAGGUUAUACGGGUGUGCAGGAUGUGUACGAUAUCCCGUAAAUCCGUCAUGCUUCGCUAAAAAAGGAUUUGCUUGUUUCAGAUGAUAUCUCCAGAAGAAAUAAGAGUUAAAGUCAGAGUUGCAUAGGCGUGUAAGCUAAGAGAGCAGUGAAAGGAUAUCCAAACAUCGUCGGAACAGUGCACAAGGGAGUGAUGUGUGGAUACCUAGUUCGGGCCGGCGUUUGGGCAUGCUCGCCUAGCUAGAGUGCGGGUCACUUCAGAGCCGUUGAGGGUGAUGCGUUGGCGUUGGCUGGCCACGCACGGAUGCAGAUCUUGAGUGGCAGNNNNNNNNNNNNNNNNNNNNNNNNNNNNNNNNNNNNNNNNNNNNNNNNNNNNNNNNNNNNNNNNNNNNNNNNNNNNNNNNNNNNNNNNNNNNNNNNNNNNNNNNNNNNNNNNNNNNNNNNNNNNNNNNNNNNNNNNNNNNNNNNNNNNNNNNNNNNNNNNNNNNNNNNNNNNNNNNNNNNNNNNNNNNNNNNNNNNNNNNNNNNNNNNNNNNNNNNNNNNNNNNNNNNNNNNNNNNNNNNNNNNNNNNNNNNNNNNNNNNNNNNNNNNNNNNNNNNNNNNNNNNNNNNNNNNNNNNNNNNNNNNNNNNNNNNNNNNNNNNNNNNNNNNNNNNNNNNNNNNNNNNNNNNNNNNNNNNNNNNNNNNNNNNNNNNNNNNNNNNNNNNNNNNNNNNNNNNNNNNNNNNNNNNNNNNNNNNNNNNNNNNNNNNNNNNNNNNNNNNNNNNNNNNNNNNNNNNNNNNNNNNNNNNNNNNNNNNNNNNNNNNNNNNNNNNNNNNNNNNNNNNNNNNNNNNNNNNNNNNNNNNNNNNNNNNNNNNNNNNNNNNNUGGGUUGGUGGCGAAUUAGGGAUUUGAGCAAUCUGGGCGCGGAAGGGGAUGGUGGAGAAGGGAGAUUUUGCAGGGCUGGAAUUGGGGCCGCCAGAUAUUUCAAUCCGAAACGUGGAAGCGCGAACUUAUUUUGUCGUCGUCCUUUUUUUGUGGGGGAGGGGGGAGGGAGGGAGGGGGUGGGCGGCUGGGUGCUACGCAUCUGUCCGACACAUGCGACCACCACGACACGACCCUGGUCUGCCUGGUGCGCCUACAUUUGAGAAUGCAAACGAAUCUUCUUUCAUUUGCAAACGAAUCUGUAUGUAUUACCAUGCCCAUGUUUUCCUUGCAAUAAUUAGUCAUUCGAAAUGAGAUACUCCCUCCGUUCACUUUUGUAAGUCGUUUCAGACAACUUAAAAUGAGCUGAUUUGCACAUUGUCUGAAAUGUCUUCAAGGUCUUAUAAAAGUGAACAGAAGGAGUACUAUAAAUUAAUUAAUGAGGAGUUAUUUGAAAAAAAAUCGAAACGGUAUCCACGCUAACGUGGAUUAGAGUGUGUGUCACAUAAUUAGUUAUUUGAAUUAGAGUGUGUGUCACGUAGCGAUCUCCAAUUCUAACGUGGAUUUUGCAUUUCACUGUAUCCAUGCUACUUUUUUAAUACAAAUUCAUAUGUAUAUGAUGAACACCAUGGUAGUGAGUAAACUUUUGGAUGGAUUCAAACAUAUGACCUACAAAAUAGCACAACAAAUUGAGUCAAUGUCAACUUUUCGAAACCUAGUAUGGCACGAAUUCGAAAUAAUUGCCCAUAUGCAUGGUCCUCAGUUCAAAUCUUACAAUGUACACCGAAUUGAAACAUCGAUAUUAAGUCUCGUACUAUCUACAUUCAAAUGUUGUUUUUAGCCCUCCCCCCCGCACACACGCUACAUACUUCCUGUAUCGGUCAAUCUUCCUCUCCUAACCACCUUAGGAAGCUAUCGGUUUCCAACACACAUUCAUUCUUUCUCUCCAUGUUUCGAUCUCUAACUCUCUCAACUACACAACCCCCUUUUUCCACUAUGUUACCAAAUGUAUUUACCUCACACACCCGCCAUUGCACCCCAUGCCGAGCUCUCUCUCUCUCCCUCUCCCUCUCACCCUCUCGCGCUAAAUACAUGCAUUUCCUAUCUAGCCCCCACCCUCUUGUGCGCACGCACGCACGUUGUCUAUCUAGGUCACUCCCUCGAUACUGUCUCACUCUUUCUUCCGCACGACGGGCCACACUCGCUCAAUCUCGCUCUCUUUAUCUGAGUCUCGUUUAACCUCGUUUUAUUUCACACACAAAUGAUAUAUCUCCCUAUUCGGGCCUCGAUUGACACACUCUAUACUCUCUCAUGCAGAUUGUCUAUCUAGGUCAGUGCAUCCAAGCCGCCCCACUCUUUCGAGCUCAUGGCAGGCCACGCCCGCUCAAUGUCUAUCUCUCUCUCUCUCUCCCUAUCUCUCUCUCUUUGUAUGUCUCGAUUGACCUCGCUCUUUCUCGGAAAAAAACGAUAUAUCACCAUGUUUGAGCCCAAUUUGACCUAUUCACAUUGUAUACUCUCUCACGCACAUUGUCUGUCUAGGUCACUCUCUCCAACCCGUCUCACUCUUUUGAUCGCACGACGCCCCUAUGUGAUCGAUUGACCUUGCUUCCUCCCACGCACAAAAUAUAUCUACACGUCUAUGACUGGAUCAUCUCUCAAGCUCUAUCUUACAGCACUCACCCUUGCCAAAAGCUAAAUCGGAAAAUAUCUCUCCAGAGCAUAUAUAUCUGUUCAAUGAAUGUCGGACCACACUCACUUUGUCUCUCUAUCUAUAUGUCUCUCGAUUGACCUCGCUUUCUCACGCCGUAUCUUCCACGCAUUGAAGCUACCUCUCCAUCCCUCGCAAAGCCGGAGCUAUUUACAUUGCGAGGGGCACUCCAACCUUAGAUUAAUUUCUGUAGGCAUUUAUUCCGGUCGGUUUAGAUUAUAUUUUCGUAGCAUUCGGCCCACAACUACUCCAAACACUGUUGCAACCCCCGCAACUCCCGUAGUUGAUUUCCCUCUGGCUCGGUCAUCACUCUCUCGCACGUCCUUUCUCGCCUUCAACGUCGUACCAUGGUAUUAUUGCAAAAAACUUUGUUGUUCUCUUUAAUUAUUAUAAAUAAGCUACAAAACUACACAGCGAUAGUCCACUUGGAAUGGAACAAAUUUCGACCCACAAAUUAAAGUGCUACAAACUACACACCGAGGGGCCCACAUGCCAUGAAACAAACUUGGACCCAUAUACAAAUUAAAAAUAAAGGACAAGGAUCGAACAUGCGACCAGGGCCUUCAAGCCGCACGUCAAUAGGCAACAUACGUAGAACAAUAAUGUUUGUUGUACCCCCUUUGUUCACAUAAUGUUUUUAUAUUACCACAGCCUAUUUAAUGGAUAACAUGUAAUAUUAUUUUUAGUACAUUAGUGGGACCGGCUCGUUAGCAUGUACUAUUCGCCUUCACUUACUGGUGGGUUCCAUGUGUGCUCUCUCUCUCUCUCUCUCUCCUCCCCUUCUGCGUUUAGACGCACGGGCAAACACGAAGAACUCGCGGGCGAUGUUGCCGUUGACCAUAUCUGGACGCGUUCACAAGUUACGGCACUAGUUUCACGUACUAGUAGCACUAGUCAGUGUGUACGUCCAAUGCACGUUAAUUUGGAAGUAUAUUAAGUGCAUGCGGAUAUUAAGUAGGAUAUUAUUUGCGUGUUAUUAUGUGAUUAGCACUAUUUUUGGCAUGAAAUUAACUGCACGCUAAACGUGCUGAGCGCUCGACAUUGAAGCAGUCUAGGUUGUUGGAUGACAAGGAAUACAUGUGGCUUGAUGACGUUUUAUAUUUAAUUUGAUACGGCUCUAGCAGAACAUUCAAUCGAUCAAACCAUAGAUUUCGUUCAGUCUGACUCCGACUUUAAAUUAUACGACGAUCGAUCUAAAAUAAACGGAAAUGAUAAACGUUCGGAUUUUAAGCAUGGCAAUCCGAACAUUUUUCAUGGCAAAUUUAGAAUACGUGGCGGCGGCGGGGGCGUCUUGCGGUGGGAAGCGGCUGCUCUGCCGUGCUCUGUGUGUCGUCGGGCCACUGACCGAUGGCGAUGGCGGCGCCUUGCGCCGUUGUUGGCGUACUCCUGGGUGUUGGCCUAGGUUCAAGGAAGGCCAAAAGUUCUGGACUUCGGAGCAAGUCAACUAGCGGGAGGAGGCGACUGGCGUUGGUGUAAGGAAGCGGUCGACGGCGGCCAUCCAUGCCGCUGAGGGGGGCACUGGCACCCGCGCGGGGACAGGCGUUGUCAAUGGCGCGACGGAGACAUUCGUGUUCAUGGGCACCGGCACGGGCGCACACGUCACUACACGUGUAGGCGCAUGAGCUGGCAGGUGCACGGGCACCGGCACGGGUGUGCGCAUAAGUGCACGCGCAGGCGCAUGCGCUGGCAGGUGCACGGGCGCGUGAAAGUCGGUGGGGACAUCGUGGAACCCCGUGGCAUCAAGCUCGGCGACAAUGUGCGGCUCCCAGCCCAUCAAUGCCACGGGGAUGGGCGCUGGUGCAGUCGGGGCGACGGGAGCCGGAACGGAAGCGGGGACAGGCACGGCGUCUUCCCGCAAGGCCAGUUCAAGCUCGUCCCAAAGCACCUUAUGUUCUUGAGACUCCGGCUGGGUGUCUUCCUCAGGAAACUGGAAGACUAAGGGCAGACCAUCGUGAUGCGGCAUGGCGUACAUUUAGGUCAGGCUGGUGGGAGGUAGACGACAGGAGAAUUGGAGAGGAAGAGAGAAGAUUAUAGCGAUACCGGGUAGUGCGGGGUUGAUUUUAAACUGCGGCACCGGCGACAUUAAAAGUGGGAGCAGUUGGGACGAAGGUGGGCGGUGGAGCCUGGUCAAACGGCUUGCCUCCCGGUGAGCCUGCACAGCGGUCUGCUCGCACGCCUCCCUGUCAGCCGGUGCAGCGGUCUGCUCGCACGCCUCUCGUCGACUCACACGCUUGCUCGGACGGCACCUGCCGAUGAGAAGCGGGACUCGUGGCGGCACGUAAACGCCCACGGUUUCAAUAGUGAAAGCAUUCACAUUAACGUGAUAGGUCUUUGUUCCAAAAUACCUUGACUCUUCAUUUGUGCAACUUGUCAUAAGCACCUUGUCUCAAAUUGAAGAAAAAAUUACAAAGUAAUAUUUGUGCCAUAUCACGUGACCAUGCUCAGUUUCAAGAAUUUAUGGUCACUUUUGGAUUUUCUGAAAUUUAAGAUCCAGGUUUCGAAACAAUGUCAUAACCUGCAUCAUGCAAUAAAUUUUCAAGCCAUACAUAUGUCCUGUUGUAUUUCUUAAGAAAGGAUUUGGUCAAACAUUUUGCUUAGUUAGACUUUAGACAAGUUAUAUAUGCAGAGUAAAAGGAUAAUCCCUCCGUACCAGUGCAUUGCCUGAUAUAUUAACUCAAGUACUAGGCACAAACAAACGGGCUCAAUUCUGUGCUCAUCCUGGUGUAGUAGUAGUACUAGGAAAUGCAGUUGAUGGGUGACCUUGGCGAGCGGCGACCGAGGGAAUUGAACCGUGCUCGGCAGGGUAGGUAACGUUGUCUAGUUCCUAAGCAUCCCUCCGUUGUUCAUCGGUAGUAGUCAUUAUGGACCGGGGACAUGAGGGGAAUUUCCUAGGGCUGGAAUUCUGGCCGCCAGAUAUUUCGACUCCAAACGCCGAGGCUUGACUGGUUAGGGUUGCCUAUUGUGCGUACCACGUACGCCACCAGAAGGACACGAGCCCGGUUUUUUUAUUUUUUUUUAUUUUUUUAGGAUCGACACGAGCCAAGGUCUGGCUGGCAUGCCGUUGGGUCCUACCAUUCGAGAAUACGAAAUGAACCUUUUAAAUUGCCGAACGAAUCUAUAUGUAUUACAAUACCCGUAUUUUCCUUGGAAAUACUAAUCUCAACGUGGUAAUUGAUUUAUGACGAGUUGUUGAAUUAGAGUGAGUUUGUGAUAUAGUGAUCUCAACGUGGAUUUCACAUUUCAUGGUAUCCCUAGUAAGUUUUUCAAUGCAAAUUCAAAUUAAAAAGAUGAACAAUAUGGAGGUGAGAAAACUUUGUAUGUAUCAAGCAUAUGACCACACACACACACAUACACAGAGAGAGAGACACGAACACAACAACAAUCCAAUAAGUAUAGUCCAUCUAUUUUUCCAAACCAUGCAUGUAUGACACGAAUUCAAAAAUACUCCUUCUGUUCCUAAAUAUUAGUCUUUUAGAGAUUUCAACAAGUGACUACAUACGGAGCAAAAUGAGUGAAUCUACACUCUAAAAUAUGUCUAUAUACAUCCGUAUGUGCCAGUCCAUUUCAAAUCUCUAAAAAGUCUAAUAUUUAGGAAUGAAGGGAGUAAAAUGUAAGACAUGCAUGGUCCUCAAUUCAAUAUUUAAAAUGAACAUGAAACUGAAACAUGAAUAUUAAGUCUAGUACUACAGUACAUGCAAAUGUUGUGUUUAGGCGGAGCUAUGAUUGUCGGGGGUCAACCCCUCGACCUUAGAUAAAAUUGUGAAGCUCUGUUUAGGGUUGUUUAGAUUAUAUUUGUCCCCACCCUCCCAACUACCGAUUGGUUGUGCACCCCCACCCCUCCUCACCGGGAGAAUAUCAUGUGCCCCCAUACCUUAGAUGCUAUAUGCCGAUACGAGUUGCUUGGAGCUUGUAGAUCUGAGAUAUAGCAGCUCACAUGAUGUCUUAAUAUUUUUACAGGAAAUCUUGAUGAGUUUGAGAAUUGCACACAAUUUGUACAAAAACUACUCAGAUGCCCUUGGAUCCCAUAUCCAACGACCUCGAAGCUCGUAUCACUGUAGCAUCUAAGAUAAAGGAGGACAUCAUAUUCUCCUGUAUGUAAGAAUAUCAUGUGCUACCACACCUUAGAUGCUUUGGUGAUACAAGAUCUUCGGAGCCGUUGGAUUUGUGACCCAACACCUCCUCGAUGGUUUGAAUGGUUUUUUGCAGAAAAGCCCCCAAAGAGUUCGACCACUGCUUACAAGCACAAAGACUGCUCAGAUGCCAUUAGAUCUCAGAUCAAACGACCUCGAAGCUCGUAUCACCGUAGCAUCCAAGCUGUGAGAGCAAAUUAUGUUUUCUCGCACGGGAGAAUAUGAGGUGCUCGCGCACCGUAGAUUCUAUGGUGAUACGAGUUCACGGAGGUCUAACGGCCCACAGUAGGAGGUUUGAAUGUUUUUGCAAUAUACGGCUGAGAGAGUUUGGGAAUUGCGCAGAAAGUACAAGUACAAUGCAUGUGCCAUCUGAUCACUGAUCAUACGACCUAGAUGCUCAUAUCACCGUAGCGGGUAAUUAAGCUACAGGGAGCACCUAAUAUGAGCAACGGGGAGCCGUUGGAUCCAAGAUGCAGCGGCACACACGAGGCCUGAAUGUUUUAUUUGCAAGAAAUCCUUUGGAGAGUUUGGAAAUUGCUCAUAAUUACAAAGACUACUCCCAAGCCAUUGGAUCUCACUUCCAACGGUGUAAAAACUCGUAUCACCAUAGCAUCUAAGCUGCGGGGUGGAUGUGAUAUUCUAUGCCGCUGUCAUUUUUGUUCAUAAACUUGCAAAAUACGUGUAACUCGUGCCGUUACUUGUCUAACCGCGUAAAGUGUUUGUUCAAAAAAACCAUCCUACACUGAAAUAUCGGAACAACACACGGGGGUCCCACUUGUCAUUAAUCAAAUUUGGACCUAAAACUAACAAAUCUGAAAGACGAGAUUCGGACUGGCAACCUGGACUACAAAGUGUAAGUCGAUAGCCUGAAAUAACAACGGUUGUUGGCUUUGUCCCAUAAAUUGAGUUUAUACAGUAUUACGUUGAGUAGAGUAGAGGGAGUGCCUCGUCAACACGUGCAUGACCGUUGACUCACUUACUGGUGGGUCCCAGGUCUGCGAUCUCUCUCUUCUCUCCAUCGUCUAACCUUUGCACAGGCACACACGAAGAGCGGCGCUAGCUUGCCGUGGUGUUAUUACAACCAAAAAAAAGCUUGGAAAAUAGAAGAAUCGCCUAGAACAAGAGACGUUGUGGCUGGUCGAGACGGAUCUAACCACACCUAUCCUCCGUGCCACGUUAGCAUGAUGAAGCUGUGUGGCUAGUGGGGUGUUUUCGACCGAUUGUCUGGGUCCCGAGGUCGAACCAUAGGUACUAUGUCUGAUACAGUAUAUUUUUACACGCACAUUUUUCCUCCAUGCCGAGACGUAUCACACCCUACCGCGCGGUUUCGGGGGUCCUCCUGGGUGGUGCACACAUAAAUUCUUCCUGACGUGGGACGCCCUACCGCGCGUUUUCUGGGUCCUCCUCGGUCGUAGCGCCAAAGCAAGUAAAUGAGUCGUCAAAUCACGAAAGCCCACUUUUCCCGCCGAGUACAUCAGUGAAGCACGGUGGCUAGCUAGUUGGGCCAGUUCGACCGAUUAGCUAGGCCGCCGCCACAUUUGUUUUUUCACCCCUUUUUUUAUCUACUUGCUGGCAGGUAAAUUUAAAUAUCCACCGCGGCGUUGCUCUGGUGUUUGGGUGCGGUAGGAUUUUUAAUUUUUUGAUUGACGGGAGCAGGCGCGGUAGGAUUUUUAAUUUUUUGACUGACGGGAGCAGGCAUGGCAGCAAUUAGUCACGAUGACUCCGCCUGUAAAACCGACUGCACCCUGAUGUGAGAAGUCGUCGACUGGUGUUUUACCAUGGUGAAAACCAAAAGAUUCCCCGCUCCUCCACUGGCUCCCUCUGCCUUCCUAUAGAUUGCAUUGCCUUUUAGCCGUUUCGCCCCGUUUGCUUCCUCUCCCCAUUGCUUCUACCUGGUGCCAUGGCGGCACAGUAGAUCACGGAGUCCGAGGUGAGGCGCUUGACACAGGAGCUUCAGGCCAAGGAUGCGGAGCUCGGGGCCAAGGAUGUGGAGCUCCAUGAGCUCAAGGAGGAGAGGAGUGCCAUGCUCCUCCGUUAUGUGCGGGACUUCACAGAGCUUCAAAAGCGGCAGGCGUCCACCACAAAGAUGCUCGAGGCGUCGGUGGCGUUGCUGCAGAAAGCGGGAGAUACGAUAGGCCGUGAGGGGAGCCGGCUGGAGCGCGAGCGGGCCGAUCGUGACGAGGUCCAGGAUCGCCUCAGCCACUCGGUGAACCAAGUUGCCACGCACGUGUUGCAGCUGCGCGAUGCCUACCGUUGUGCCAGCACGACCAUGCCGGCCGUCGGGCUAAACCCGUUCGACCACCCGAUCGACUUCAAUGAGCUGCGGCUUCCUGACCUGGUCUCCCUAGUACAACAGUAUUAUUUAUCACAUGGUAUAUCGUUGAUAGAAUUGCAACUCUCAUUGCUGGUUAGGAACUGUCGUUCGAUUUCCAACAGCUGCCGUGCUUUAUUCAAUUUUGUGUAUUCGCCUUGCGACAGCAUCUAAAACCAGCGUCGUACCGAUCGCUUGCAAUAUGUAAAGCGUUGAGGUAGAACACAUGGGCCCCCAAACAUGCAGGGUGGGCCUGCGGCCCAAAGUCCAUUACCGUGAGCCUGUCUGAGUAUUAUAUUCUCAGUUGAACCCCCAUAAUGCCCGUACGUUGCACGUAACACCAAGAUGCAUUUGUAUGAGUAUUUUAUCUUGUGAGAGAAAAGGAUGAACGAGGGAAGGCCUUAUUUGCAAAUGUGGAGAGGUCCUUUUUCCAAAAUUGCCACACUUUCCUUCCUAUCCGUCAGAUAUAAAUCGGACGGCCUAUAUUGCAGGAUGGCAGACACACCAUCAUCACCAACUCGUCUAUACUGUGUUAAAAACAACUCUGUUUUUUAUAAUUAUAUAUGUUAUAUAUAUUCCCCUUGAUUUUUCUUAUGUAUAAAGUUGUGAUAUAGAAGAUUUGUAUAUUUGUUUACAGAGGGAGUAUCUCUCUGUCAAAAAUAUAUUUAUGUGUAACUAGUUACUCCUGUCUUUCUACUUCCUUUCGCUGAUAUGUAGGGCAUCCGGCAACGGGGUCCACGUGCCAUAUGCACAAAUUAGAGUGCACAACUGCAUGGUAGACACACCCCGGUCGUAGCGCCGCAGUAAUGCCUAAUGAGCCAUCAAAUCACAACCCCCCUUUCCAGCUUUAGCAGUAAGCUGGACGGACGAAGCGACAAUAUUUCACUAGGCCUGAAUGACUGAAUCCCCUUCUCCCUCGUCUGCUUGUUCAGAGAAAACCCCCUCUCGGCGAUUGCAUAGGGUUUUCUCAUGGAGAACCAGGUAUGAUUUCUUCAUCCAUCCCCGAUAAAUCCAAGUCCCUUGGUCACGGGUAAUCCUAGGAUGGCAGCUGUCGCCGUUGAUGCAUUUUUCUUCCUACUGAAUCUAGUGUGUUUCAUUUGCAGUGCUCAAAGUGCGAGGACCCUAGAGGUUUCUGCGCCCGUGGCGAGACGCCACACUUGUUCCUUCUCAUCCUAACACAGGAUUUUAAAACGCGCACAAUAUGUUCCUAGAAUCCUCUUUUCUAUCCGAGAGGGUGGGUUUUUUUUGAACAUGCUAUCGACUAAUUUGGAAAUUUGGAUUGCUAUAUUUGGAUAAAAGGUACUACUAAUACGAUGGUCAACACUGAUGUGACGGAGGAAGUUAUUUCAAGGUUUGGAUAGGGAAUACAUUGUGUUCUCAUAUUAUUUUUCCUGCAGUGCAUUAUUUGCUCUGCCAGAACACAUGUACUCAAGAUGCCCGGCCUUGCCAUAACUGAAUACACCAGUUUAAUGGUCACAGUGAAGACAAGCCAUGGGUAUAAGUUCCAAGUUGGGUUCAUGAACCAAGAAGAUCACUGCUUUUUUUAUGGCCGAACUUGGAUAAACUUUCUCAAGUGUUAUAGACUGAAAGUUGGCGCACGAAUGUUGAUGGAAAUAGCAGAACCUGGUCUCAUCUUCACUGCGAUCUUCCACCCCGACGUUGUUCCAAUUGUUCAUCCAUGUUAGUUUUGUAUCUGGUUCUUGCUUGUUGCCUCGAUUACUUCUUAAUCCACCUAUUCUGUCUAACUAAUCACAAUUUAACUUUAGAAGUAGCAACGAAUCUCUCACAAAGAUGCUACUUCUAACUAAUAUUUUCUUAUAAUUGGUGGUACGUGUAGGUUUUUUCAGAGUUAAGCAGGCUGCUCAUUUGUUAUUCUGUAAUAAGUCGGCUGUUACUGAUGGCACUGAAGUUGACUGGGAUGACAUCCACAAGUUCCUACACUUUAUUGAUUGUCUUGAGGUCCUUGUGGGGCGUUUCAAUGGUGGAAGGCCACGUGGGAUAUGUGUGCCACUGCUGCACUCGUUGAACAGGUCCAACAGCGUCGAGAAACUUAUCGUACGAGCUGUUUUCUGUUAUAUAUGUUGUUCAUAAACUAUUGCUUAUACACAUCUUUACAGAUGUGAUCUUCUUGAAACAGAAACUUCCCAGUUCUAUUGUUCCUAUAUAGAUGCCUGACCAUGGUCGGGUCAGACUUGCGCUUGGUCACAACAUGAUGUUUAUGUCGACCUACUCCAUUCCCCUUGGAGGUGAAAAGAUACUUAUUCAUGGGUGGUCUCAAAUAAUGAAGGCCCGUCCAUCUUGGAGAAUAGGACAGAAGAUUAUGUUCCUGCUUUUCCAUGGCUCUAAAGCGAAUAUCCUGUUUAUUGACCACAUUGCGAGUUGAAGCCGCUUUCAGAAGGUUGUGGAUGCGCGGGGUGGCGCCUGGGCCUUGUCCUGGGGCUUGGCGGCCUCACCCUUGGUUAACCGUAGGCAAAGUAGCACUGUUCGAGGCGUGCUUUGUAUGGUUGAACCUGUAUAAGUACUCAUACUACUUUCAGCUAUGGUUGUUAAGUGCCCCUGCUGGUUUUAGUUAAGGUUGUUAAGUACUCCUGCUGCUUUUACUGUCUGUCGUGUUUCUUCAGUCCUGUCUUCCUCCAGCCGCCAAAACCAAACCAGCGUCGGCGGGGCCGCCUGCUUCCGCCUCCCACGGCUGGCUGCGCCUCAGCGCACGCAUCGCCGCCCCACCGUCUCUUAAUUCGUUAACGCCGACGUCCGAGGCCUCGCCAUCGUCCUCCACGCGCUUUGGUGCGCUUGCCGCGGCGCCUCCCUCUUGCGUUGUCAACAUGGUCAAUAAACAAUAGGAAUCGGCAGAAGUAUGUGGAGAGGAUGACAGUAGGGGCCCACCAUGUCAGCGUAUGGAAAAGUAAAAUGCUUCCUCCUAGUGUUUUCCUGACAUCUAGGACCCACGACAUUGUGAGCGUAUAUAGUCAAUAGACAAGAGCACAUCACAAGAUCGGCUAACACCUGGGACGUAGCUGCUCGAGCAGUAUUUUUUUGUUAUUGUUGAGACGGAGUAAGGUUUGAACUGGGCUGUGGCCCGUCUAGCCCAGGCUUAUAUUUUAUGUUCACCAUGUGACCAGCCCAGCUAUUUUUUGUUUGUGAAAAUGAGCCUAGUUUAUUUUUUCUGAAGAAUACCCAAUCCAGGCCUACUUACUUUUCUACGCCCUGAUGGGCUGCAACUCUUUCAAGACGCCUGCAAAUCUUGAAAGUAAUAUUAAAUGGGUUGUAAAUAUAAAAACAGAUGACAAAUUGGCAAUUACUUUAUAAUUUCUGAAUUUUUUCACAUUUUCAGAUUCCUAGUUCAUUGGGCAUUAACCUAAUUUAAAUAUAUCUUCAAAGUAAUUUAAAUCUGGCUCAACAUUUCGGUAUUAAAAAUAGUUUGGAACCCACAGAAAUAUGCGAAAUUGGCCCUGGCCAACAAAAAAAAACAGACUGCAAUAAAUUGCAUAAGAAGUUGCAAUGAGCUAUAUAUAAAUUAUUAAAAAAAGAGGGAAUGGUCUGACUUGUGGGCCUAUUGAGUUGAUGCGUAUGCAAGAUUUUUUUAGUUAUUAUAUACGUCAACAAACGAUUCUAGCAGAUGUAACCGUUGGAUGUCAAUCCAACGGCCGUCGUGUUUCUUCAAUCUCUGAUCUUCUUGCUCCAGCCGCCAAAUCCAGUGCCGGUGGGACCGCCUGCUCCCGCCUCCCGUGGCCGGCUGUGCUGCCGCGCAGGCCUCACCGCCCCCUACUACUCCCACCGCUGGCCAGGGCAUCCCUCUACUCACCCACACCCCCUGUUAUUCUGCGGCGACGACAACCUCACACCACAGCCGAACCAGUGAACCCUCCUACUCCUCUCCACGCGGGCUUCCACUGCCGCGUCUUCCCCGGCUCCGCGUCGUCCCCUUCCUAGGCCUCGCCGUCAUCCACCGCCCUGGUGCUCUCAGUGCGGCAUGGUCAACGACCGACUUCCAUCGGAAGAGUACUGUACGUGGAGAGGCUGACAGCUGGGUCCAUGGCAGCCGCAAGGAAGUGCCUCCUUAUUACGCGCAAAAUAAUUUUUCCUCCACCUUACAGCAGGGACCCAUCGGACGGGCCACCAUAUUUCGCGAAAAAAACGUUUCCCCCUGAGUGCUGGGACCCACCGGACGGGCCACCGUAGUUUGCGAAAAAAAACGUUCCCCCCGCUGUCAGCUCGGACCCACCAGAAGUGCCUCCUUAUUACGCACAAAAAGUGAAUAGUCCCCCUGCUAGCUGGGACCCACCUUAGUGGGAGGCUGACAUGUGGGCCUACUAAGUUUAUGGGGACGGAGGGCUUUGUCAACUUUGUCAAUAUGAAUGAUUCUAGCUCCAGUGACCUUACGAUGUCCAUCCAACGGGCGUAGUGCUUCUUCAACCUUUGGUCUUCUUGCUCCAUCCGCCCAAACCAGCACCGGUCGUGCCGCGUGCUCCUGCCUCCCGUGGCCGGCUGUGAUGCCGCGGAGGCCUCACCGCCCCCAACUACUCCCACCGCUGGCCAGGCCAUCCCUCUACUCACCCACACCCCCUGUUAUUCUGCGAUGACGGCAGCCUCACAUCGUAGCCGAACCAGUGAACCCUCAUAAUCCUCUAUGCGUGGGCAUCCACUGCCGCGUCUUCCCCGGCUCCGCAUCGUCCCCUUCCUAGGCCUCGCCGUCGUCCACCGCCCUGGUGCUCUCGGCGCGGCGUGGUCAACGCGGUCAAGGAACGACUUCCAUCAGACGUGGACUGUACGUGGAGAGGCUGACAGCUGGGUCCACGGCCGCAGCACGAAAGUGCCUCCUUAUUACGUGGAAAAUAAUGAUUCCUCCACUUGACAGCAGGGACCCAUCGGACGGGCCACCGUAUUUCGCGAAAAAACAUUUCCCCCCUGACUGCUGGGACGUACCAGCUACAUCUUCACACGCAAGGAAGUGCGUCCACAUUAUGGGCAAAAAAAUGAUUCGCCCCCUGACUGCUAGGACCCACCAGCAACAUCUUCACACGCAAGGAAGUGCCUGACAGUUGGGACCCACCUGGUCGAAGCGUACGUAGCGUUGUCAUUCUGGUCGCGAACGUGUACGUACAUACUGGUCGAUGCAGAGGCACGCACGUGUCGUAGUAGAGGUGUGCACGUGUCGUAUUAGAGGCGUGCACGUAGCAUGUGCACGUACGUACAACGGCCAGGGUGCAAGAAAGAAAAUACGGCCACGUACAUACAUACGGGCGGGGUCUCGAACGCCUACUCGCGCAUACGUAUGGCCAGGGCUCGUGUACAUGGCUGGGUCGAAACGGAGAAACAACGUCGUCGUCGUGUUCAUGGGGAGCCAACCGGCUGGGUCGGAACGGAAUGCGUCGUCGUGUUCGUCGGGAGGGCUUGGACGGAACAACUGAUGGAAACGAGGCCCGGCUUACAGCACAACGGAGGAAACGGCCUUGUGUUCGACCGGACACGUUCGAAACAGGAUCCUGUUCAUCGGGAGGGGUCUGGCGUACCACAAAACGGAGGAAACAGACUUGUGUUGGACCUCCUACGGUCGAAACGGGGUCCUGUUGAUCGGGAGGGGUGUGGCGUACCGCAAAACGGAGGAAAUGGACUUGUGUUGGAGCGCUACGGUCGAAACGGGGGUCCUGUUCAUCGGGAGGGGUGUAGCAUACCGCAAAACGGGACUCCACGGGAUACUGUUCAUCUCCACCGUCGACCUCCUCCAGCCUCCACGGGCUACUGUUCAUCCACCGUCGACCUCCUCCAGCCUCCACCUGCGACUGUUCAUCCACAGGCUCCUGUUCAUCCAGCCUCCACCGCGCGCUACUCCACCGGCUACUGUUCAACCAGCCCUCUCCAUGGCCUCCUGUUCAACCACCCCUCCACGGGCUACUGUUCAUCCACCCGUCCACUGUCUAUUGUUCAUCCAGCCCUCCACGGGGUCGUCCUGUUCAUCCAGCCCUCCACGGGGUCCUGUUCAUCCAGCCCCAACCGGCUCGAUCGAUCAGGGUCCCGUUCAUCCAGAGGCAACACCACGGGGUCCUGUUCAUCCACUCCCACCUGGAACUGUUUAUCCAAACCCCCCGGGCAAUGCUCACUGUUCAUCCAGAGGCAGCAUCGAUCGGCUUCAGUUAGCAGCAGCAGCGAAGGAAUCGCUCGAUCGGGUUCAGUUAACAGCCAUCGAUCGAUCGCUCGGGUUCAGUAACGCGUAGCCUGCAGUGCAAUCGCUCGGGUUCAGUAGACGAACGCCUCGCUCGGGUUCAGUUAGAGCCCAACGCCUAGCACCCACGCGUGUGCGUGUACGAGAGAAACACGCAAACCUUCGUGCAUCGCUCGGCCCUGACCACCCACCGUAAACGGGAACACCCCGAUAUUUUCCUCGCCCUCGCUUCUACCACGGUUUUUUCCGUCAUGGACGACCCAAAGAAUGUCAUGCAGCUGCGUCUCCGGCCCGCCCAGGAUGAAAAGCCCAUUUUCUGUCAUGAUUUUUUGUCAUAGAAGUAGGAGCCCACCACAUCUAUGAUGAUACCGGGUUUUGUCACAAUUAUCGUCAUAGAAGUGUCAUAAGUAUGACAGAAAUUUUUUUUGUUCGACCCAAAAUGUCAUGGAUGUGUCUUUUUUUUGUAGUGUUAUAAUCUUUUUACUCCUAGCCCUAGUGUUUGUCUGGUAGAAAAUCUUGCAGAGGACCAGCUCCCGCUCCUUCUCUUGCUCCAGGUCCCCGAGGUGGUACUGGUGCAUCACCCAGUUGGUCCUCUGCUGGUCGAAGUUCUUGUUGGUGUGCAGCACCAGAACCUUUUUGCUGCCCGUCUGCCUACCGUUGACCAUCACCGGCAAGGUAUUGCCGAUCUUGUGCCACAUCGCAUGCAUGCCGCACUCCGAUUGUAUCUUGCGACGCGUCCACAUGCCCCUUUCGAACGCCCUGGAAUUGCGCUGGAAGAAAUGCUUGCUUAGGCCACUUACUAUGAUACCUGCAGUAUUGUCGAAUACAGGUCUUAGUGUACGUAGUUGGCAUUUUCAUAACAUCUUUGGCAUGUUGCAGUCACUUGUUUCACUUUUUAUUAACUGUCAAAUUGUAAUUGCUUCACUAGGUCUGCGUCUAAAAAGAACAAUAGAGCUAUAAACAAAGGAAUAUGUUUGUGCAAGUAGACAGCCGAUCGAUGUCUUACCUGGAAGUUUCUCAGGAUGGGUGUAGCAUAUGCCGUGCUCGCUGUCGAUGGUUGGUAUGAACAAAUCGAUGAGAGGGUGAGAUCUCGCGCUGUCAGCACUCACUUUGGCCUCAAGGUGCUCGAUCAGCUCCUGAUCUGUGGGAUCGAACUUGACGCCAGCCGGCAGCACCGGCCAAUCCUUCUUCGACUUGCAUCGGUUAAUUCUAGUGAUAUGGUACUCAAUGGAUGAUCAAUCGACUGUUUUAAGUGAAUGACGAAAGAUUUUGACAGAUAAGUGGUACUCCAAAUCUGAAGUCCAGAAUACCCAAACACACUGCCGGGAAUCUUGCCGGGAUUCACGUCAAUUCAAUGUGUGGACAUGAUGAAUAAUUUGACCGGCGUAUACUAGUACUGCUACUGUACUACUUACUAGUCGUAUUUAGUGUCACAUUUUAACCAUGGGUUUAACUAACAAGUACGCACUUGAAGCCUAAUUGAUAUACAUAUAUAUAUAUACAUACAUACAUACAUACAUACAUAUAUAUAUAUAUAUAUAUAUAUAUAUAUAUGGCUUCUGCACAGCAUCUCCAUCAUCAUUAUCAGUACAUCCUACGCAGGUGAGUUAGGAUGCACUUGAUCCCAGAAAGGUAUUUAUCCUUCAAACCAGAGGAGUGCUUCAAACUAACAAUAGUACGUAAUAUCCAACUAAAGAGGGUCGUGCUACAGCAGCAGAAUACAUGGCUCAGUCUAGAUAUCAGUACAAAUCAAGUUGUGCAUAUUUGCUAUUGGCAUGAAUCACAUCGCCGCAUGUCAGGUUUGCAAAAGCCAUCCAUCACAUGGAAGCUUGAUACCUUUCACACACUGACGAUUAUCUGGCAACAAGCUAUGUCGACCAAUCUCUGGAUAUGGUGAUUCAUGAAACCCAUGAUAUGAUGUGUAAACACAGUCCCCCCUGGCGAAUGGAAGUUGCAUAGCACGGUAAUCAUCGCCGGUGAUAUGAUCGAUGAUUGGUUGGAUGAUCGGAUAAUUGAGCCCGAGGAAUAUGGAGUGGUUGCCGAGGCUGUAAACCCGCCUCCAGCUGAAUACGCCUGGCCCAACGGUGCUGGGAUCUUUCUCGAACACAAAGCAGCCAUAGCCAUCAAUGUCACGAACACUCUAGAUAUUGUAUUGCAUGUGGUUUGAUGCAAUGGUUUGGUCAAUUUGGUACGUGCGAAUGAGCAUCAAAUGACCACCGUCAGCUGAACAAGCGAGAAAGCACCACCCAUCGGCUGGUAUGAUUCUAGGUCCUGGAAUCAUGAAGGCCAGCGCAUUUGCGUCUACUGCAACAAUUCAAAUUGGAGACCAAAAGGACAAAAAUAAACAAUCAGGUUCAGAGUAUGUGUGGAAUUAAGAUUAUUAUAACAGUGACACAUAUCAUAGACAGAGAAUUGCAAUGCCGUGGUCAUAAUCAUACCCCAAGUUAAAAAAAUAAGCCAAUGGCUUUCAUAUUCUAGCAAUAUGUCAUGGUUCAAGUACUACUGUUCUCAUAUCAACUCUAAGUAAUAACAUGCGUUGUUAUAAAAAUCUUGGAAAUGAGAGUAACAUAUAGCAAUCAUGAGGUUAUGCUCAUAAUAUCUAUUCUAACAAUCAUUAGAUCCCAAUUGUUCUCAUAUCAACUCUAACAAUAACAUGUGUGGUCAUAAAAGUCUAGGAAAUGAGAGGAACAUAUAGCAAUGAUGUGGUUAGACAUACUAUCUAUUCUAAAUUUGUAACAAUGAAUAGGCAGUCGUAUUCAUAAGGUAAAGAUGAUAUGAGAUAGAACAAUUACACGACAAUAGAUUCCACCAGUAUAGGCAGCCAAUCUUUGCGUCGACUGCGUAGACAAUGCCAUCGUGCACUAUACCAUCAUACAAAAAUGUUGCCUCUACAGGAUUGACGAUGAGCCAUAACCAUGUAUGGCGACCGGAUUCCAGAUAGACUAAUCCCAUGUUGGACAAGACAAUGAGCUUGUAAUCCAUGUAGUCUUCUGAUGGUGUGGGCACUUCGCACAUUACAACUUUCAGCAAACAGAGGUCGAGCCAAAAGCUUGACGCGUCUCUUGCAUAGUAGGCAGGAGUGUCCGGCGGGCCGCGAGGCUCGAUGGCGGCGGUAUCCAACGAUGGAAGGGUGAUCUCUCGGUGGGUGUAGAUAUCCACGAGACGCCAUGGACUAUCGGAUUGGUGGAUGAGGACGAUCCAGUUGGCCUUCAUGCCCGCCCAGUAGUGGUCGCGCAUGAAGGACAGGUGGACGGGUAGUGGUAGCAUGUCGAGGGGCACCACGGCAACCUCCGUAGGAUCGUCAAGUCGGUGUCUGGGCCACCUGCGAGGAUCAGGCAUCAGCAAGCAGGGUGUCUUGAAAAGAGUCGUCCGGUUGCAGACGAGUAGAAGGUACAAAGACACCGAGCAUGCAGCCAGAUGGACGAUGCCGAGUAGGUCCAUAUGAUUACAUAUCUGCUCCAAGAGAACAUCGGGGAGGGAAUUCCAAUCGCGGCUCUGCCUGUCAGUCAGUUCUGCCAUUGGGGUUUUCAGUGCCUGUGAGCCAGCGGGGAAGUGGAUUCGGGCGGGCGAGCGAAGAAGCUUCUCCUUGUGUGGCCGAGCAGUGAGUGGGGGGAUAUGGUACGCGCGAGUUACCAAGGAAGAUGGUGCGGGCGGGCGAGUAGUGAGCGGGGGGAAAUGGUGUGCGGCCGAUGAUGGGGAAGAGAGGAGGAAGAAGAAGAGAGGAGGAAGAAGAAGAGAUGAGGAAGAAUAAGAGAGGAGGAAGAAUAAGAGAGGAGGAAGAAUAAGAGAGGAGGAAGAAGACAGAAAGACGGGGAAGAAAGUGCAUUAAACCUCAAUUCUACUAGUACUACUACCAGGAUAUACCGUCCUUCGGAGUGUAAAUAGUUACACCAAUGACAUGUGGGUCUACCUCAUCAGGGCCCGUAUGUGAGUUAAUGGAGGAGAGAGGUGCGUAGGCGUAUUUGCGGAAGCGUGCUCUACCGGCAAACAUGAUGGCAGUACUGGGUAAGGCUGAUUUAGUAACACCAACACGCUGGUUCAGCUUAUUAAUUAAGUAUCCCAUGUGCUGUAGCCUGUAUUGUCACUUCACUGCGAAGACUAGUUGAAUAGUUCUCUCUGACCGUGAUGGGGAAUAAUGGAUCGCAAAGACUUCCUAUCUACAUUAUCCCUAUGCCUCUACGCUCACUUCACUCAUUUUGCUCCGUACGUAGUCACUUGUUGAAAUCUAUAGAAAGACAAAUACUCCGUAUUUGGGAACAGAGGGAGGCUUUUACUCCGUAUUUGGGAAUAGAGGGAGUAUCACCUUAUGGAGGGAACAGAGGAAGCUUGAAAUAUGAACAUGCCAAUGGGAGGGAGUAAGCCUCAUGCAUGCAUGCAUGCAUGCAACAUGCAACACUCACACGUACACAUGGACGCACGCAACACUCACGCACCCUUGCGGCACACAACACACGACGCAACACACAUGCUCAUGCUCAAGUGCUCAACCUACUCCCUAUGUCCGUGAAAUACUGUACAUUUAGAGAUUUACACAUUGACCAGGGCAUAAUUAACGCCCAAAAGUAGCAGACUUAUGUGUGCAUGCGACCAUUGAGAGAAGAAGAUUAAAUGAAGGUUGUUGCAUGCUGUAAUUAAGGAUAGGCAUGUAGCCUAUACCUAGAGCACAAGUUGGUGCAUUAGUCAAUCAAUAUUGAUUUAGAUUAAAGGCUAAAUGCAUUGGAAGUGUAGAUCUACUACACACUUUGUUUUUUAGCCGAUGUACACUCUUUGUUGGAAGACCGAGGGAGUACACGUGCAUGCACUCACAUACACAACCAGCGUGGUUCGCGCGCAAGGGUUGGACUCCUGUCGCGCCUGCGUAAAAUUUUGUUUAACUGAUUUCUUUGCUCUGCCAACUGACAGGUGGGACCCAGAAACCAGGUGAAAAUUUAACCAGUUAACAAAGUGCCACGUCGACUAUGUGGUCGGUCAGUAGGGUGCAAUACGGUGCUCUACGAUGAGCUAGUGAUCGUAUAAUCACCGUAAAACUAUAUAUAGUUACCGUAAAGAGCGUAUUGUUAAAUACGUUGACCACCAGUCUAUUUUUCUUGUUUCAAAUUAAGCCAUAUUAACCAGAAAGAACGCAGUAUGGACAAGUACUACUACUGCUGUGAUGUGUCCCGUCAACUUGCCGAACGAGGAGAAGCUUGCUUACUAUGCCUCUCCCUCGCCCACGUGCGCGGUGGCUCGCAGGAUGAGGAGAGGGUUUUGACUACAACGCCCUCUCCCUCUCCCUUUCCCUCGCCCUCCCCCUCGCAGUGGACGUGUAGCAGUUCAAUCGGCGUCAGAUUGUCAGAAGCAUAUUGUACUGUAGUAUCAUCAUUGUUGGACCUUCCGAAGAGGCGAAGAGCCAAGUGCAAGGUUCACAAGAGUACGAACUGUUGAACCUCCUGAAGAGGCAAAGAGCCAAGCGCAAGGUUUUAUUGGAGUUGUCAUCCUAGUAGGAGUAUACUACAACUAUAGCGAACGAUGCUACUGUAUACUGCCGCCACGUCACCUAUAUCCAAAGCUGUGCCACCUUUAUUUUCUCAAAGAGCAUGUUGGAGCCCGUGCAACAACCACACAAGUUGCACGUACACAUAACACAUUUACUAGUAAUAAAUUCUAAAGGACAAAUGCCAGUAUGCCACACAAGUUCAUCUCCAAUUCAUGUGAUAAAUUUGUGCACGGCUACUCUACAUAUAUUCACAGCGCUACCGUUCACAAUUUACCACGCUAAGGCCAGCCAUCUGGCUCGAGCGAAGGCCAGUGUGGCGGCUUGCUCGCUCGUGAGUCACGCUCGGGCCAGCCUGCCAACCCGUGCGGAGGCCAAGACGGCGUCCGGCCCGUCCGGCGGAGCGGCGGCCAACUCGCUCAUCACCGGUGCCACAACCGAACACGCAUCAGUACUGUUUGAAGUAAUGUUCAGGAAAAAUAAUGAUUUGAGGGGGAAUAACAGGAUAGAAGGUCAGAUGUGGGUCCCUCGUGUCAACGGUAAAAAAAAGUGUUGGUUUAAGCUGCCUCAUCAGCACGGACCUGUGGGCCAACCCUGUCAUAAACUGGUUUAAACGAGCCUAAUCGGCACUAGGUAGUAGUUUUUGGCGUGGAUUAUGAAAUUUUUGGUAUGUUUUUGCUAUUUUUUGUACAAUAGAUUCUUCGUAGGGCUGGUUGAAAGUGGUAGUUUUUUGUUAAAUACUCUACAUAUUGUAAGUAGGAGUGAAAGUUAAGAUUUGGAAGCCAAUAAGCAAGGCUAGUUACAUAGUGCAUAUGUGUACAUGAUUGAAAGUAAAUAUCAACCAUGAGUGACUAAUAUCUUGAUGGAAAACUCGAAACUAUGGAAAUACUAGGAAUUUUUUUGCUUGGUUGGAAAUACUAGCAAUGUUCACGUUCGUUGCAACGGAUCAUAAUUAGAAUAAUACUUAUUCACAAACUUGAUACAAAACACUCUAAUUUUGAUAUACAUAUAUCACUAGAGAUAUAUUAUGUUUCUUUUUUUUGCGGGGUAGAUAUAUUAUGUUUCAAUUAGAAUAUAUUCCUUGGCUGUUUUGGUGAGGUGAGGGAGGGAUGUCGUUGGUUAUAAGAUACUAAUUAUGGGUUUUUCUGCAAAUUGGUAGAGAAGUGGGAUGUUGGUGAGAAAAGGCAACAACUUACCUCACAGUCGUUAGAUGUAGAUCUAAUGGUCAGAACGACGGAUGGCAGACACACCAUCAUCACCAACUUAGUCUUUUGUAGGAGUACUAGCAAGAUCCGUGCAUUGCACGGAACAUCAAGAUGCAUUUUUUAUGAAACACUUGUUGUGAUUGACCCAUGCGGGAGUAAUCCCAUGUGUAAAAACUAAUGAUAUCUCAAGAAAUAGGAGAUAAGGUGAAGAGGAGUGGGGCGUGGUGGUGAUUGAUGGUCGGACUGAGCGGAGGCAUGGGGAUUAACGACGCCGGCAGUGGCCACCAGGCCAGUUUGUUCCAGAGGCUUCCUUUCUUAAUUGCUCAACAAUGAGGUUGUUGGAGAUAAGGAUGAACGAGGCAAGGCCUUGUCUGGAAAUGUGGAGAGAGGUGCGGGUAUCUUUUAGUUUAAUUUCCAUCCGUCAGAUAUAGAUCGGACGGUCUAUAUUGCAAGAUGGCACACGUACCAUCAUCACCAACUUGGUUUUUUAUAAGAGAAGAAAUAUAAGUAUGGAGAUACAAACAUAUUAUCGGUACUUGUUUCUGUAAACUAGCAUCUACAUUCUACUCAACGCCUCAGCAUGUGGGGCCUUAGCACAAUGACUUCUCGACUGUGUAAAACAAAGGUUUUCCCAUCGCCGAUAAGGAGGGGGUGACGGCGGCACGCUUUUUGGCUUGCUCUAGUCCUAGUAGUCAUACUAGGUAGUCUAAGCACAUGUAGAUUUAUUAUUUUUCACGUCUCGUGUUCGCCGUACUGCCACGACUGUUGAUGAAUAGACGGUAAGUUAUUCACGGGGAAACCCUUGUUGAGCGUGUUUGCAAGAGAGAGAGAGACAGUGUGCGUGUGUGAUAUGUCUAGAGAUUGAGGCAAUGAUAAGAGAUUCUUUGUGUCUAUGUGUGUGGAGGAUAGAGAGAGACAUGUACAUUGGGCUUUGUGUUGUGUAACAUGGAGACACAUAUACAUGAUCAGAGAGUGAGUGUGUGAGAUACACAUGCGGACAUGGGGAGAGAUGAUGAUCCAGAUAAAUGGGUGUUUGUGCGUGUCUGUGUGUGUUUGUGCGCUUGUUUGUGUGUGAGUGGGAGUGUGUGUAUGUGGAGUAGAGAGACCACUAAUGAUGUAAACCUAGUAUAAGGGAAGGGGGAAUGUUGUGACAUGUGUAGUAGCGGGAUAGCAUGGGUGCGGGCGGGGGGAGCAUACUAUUUGGAAGAGACAUCAAGUGUGUGUGGGAGAGGGGUGUGAGAGCAAGAGAGAGAGAGCUAGCGACGGAGAGAGAGAGAGAGGAAGCGAGGGGGCGAGAGAGGGGUCGUUUGUGUCCAUAAAUGGUGUAUAGAUAGGGAGACAAUGUUGAUGUUGUUCGAAAUUGGCCUAUGUACGGAGACGUAAGGGAAGCGAGUCAUCAUGUGUGUGAUAGGGACUUCAUGAGAGAUCUAGAAUAGAUGGUGUAGAGAACAAUGUGCGAGAUUGAGAACGAUGAUACAUUAGGGAGCUAUGGAAAGAGCCACGACAUAUAUGUAUACAUGGAAGGAGCUGGGGCGGGUCCGCAUGUGGGAGAGAUAGAAAGAGGAGAGUGGUGCACAAGGAGACAAAGUGUGCUUGUUUGGAGUGGGGGUGGUGUGUGCGGUGAGUGUGCGAGAACCACAUAACUAGGGAGAUAGACGUUUGGGGCAACGUUUUGUGUGUAUGGGAAAGAUACACUCUACAUCAUGCGUGUGCUUCGGAAGGAGAGAUGCCGGGAGGCCUAGAGAGCGGGGGAAGAGAUGUGUGCAUGCCUGAGAGAUAAAGUGAUAGAGACCUAUAUUGGGGUCCGGACUUUAGAAGAGAGAGGGGUGUUAAUGUGCUCGUGUGUCGGUGUCUGGGGGAGAGAACAACUUCUCUGUGUGUGUGUGGGGGGGGGCGAUGGGGGGUUGGCUUCAGAUAAAGAGUGAGGUGUUUAUAUUUGAGGGACUUUAGCGUAAUUGAGAUAUAUAUGGUCAAUAGUGUGUGCACUCAUGGUUGAUCAAUUUGUUUCACAGUUUGGACUAUGAGAUAACAAUACAUUUGAAUAUGCGUGAUAUACCUUGAUGUUCCAGAAUUACAAACCUAAGAUUGGAAUUUUGGAAUUCGACUCCAUCAUUAGCUUUUGUAAUUCAUUUAAACGGAGGUACAUUUUUUAAGCCGGGAUUUCGUGAUUUCAAAGUCAUAUACCAAACCUAGAGAUAUACACAUACAGGCAUUUUCAAACUUUAUAAUCAUCCACUUUAUUCAUACACAUACACAUUUUUUCUUUUGUGAUCAUAUUCAGGAUAAACACAUUUGGAAUUUCAUUUGAAUUGGACCGUAUGAUGGUAUUUGCUUGUACUAGCUCAAUGAGCCAUAUUUGAAUUGAAUGGAAAAUCUAAGUUUCGAGUUGGAGACAUUGAUUUUCAAAACUUGCACUUUUUUUGCGUGCAAAACAAACAAAUUCUCGGCCAUGAUAUCAUAGUCUGCCGUACAAGAGUAGAAUAUAAUUUCAGGCGCCAAAAGCUUUCAAACUUCCCGCUCACAUCAAAAUAUUUCACGCCCGAAAGUUUAGCCCUGCGAUAUUCCUGUUUUACCCCUGCCACAUGAACGGAAAAGGGAUGCUUUGGUAACUCCAUUGUUUCCCCUCUUUGCCCCCAAGAUUCUUCCCCAGAGCCCCUCCCCUUCCCCUCCCCACCCCCCAACCACGGCAAGCCGCCGAAUCUAGUCCUCCGCCACAGCGGUGGACCUCGCACCCCGCUGGAUCUACCUUCCGCACCUUGGAACCCCUAACUGCAACCUCACCACUUCACCAGAGCCGCUUCAGCGACUGGCUUGUCCACCGCUCCGGAUCUCCUUGACCGCCAUCAUGGUCCACUGCACCGGAUCUACUUAACCGGCGGCCUCGUCCACCAUAGUGUAGGCCCUUCACUGAGUCCCUCGUCCACCCCAUCGCUGGCCCUUCAUACAAGCCCUCGUCAGCCACAACAGAUCCGCCUCACCGAAAGCACUGUACAACGCGCCCGAGGAAGCCUUCGUCCACUACACCGGACCCGCACCACGGACGCCAUAUUCAACUCCACCGGCCCUGCUUUACCGACGCCGCAGCCUCAUAAGGUUAUUCCGAUUUGUACUCCUUCGGUUUUUCUCUUUAUCGUGCAACUGUUCACUUACCACAGAUGAGCUUUCUUAUAUGUCGACAGGCGCCGCAACCGUAGCACCAGAGCCGCUUCAGCGACAGCCGGCCCAAACUCAACCGCAACACGAGCACCAUCGAUGAUCCUUAGCUAUCAAGUAUGACAACUAUACCCAUACGCCGCCGAGAAUCAGGUACUAUUAUCCAACGGCCGACGCCUACGUUCACUUUCUUAGCAUAAGCACCGCACCUUUGAAUUUCUUCAGGGCAUCAUUCAAUUUUUCAUGAGACACGUUAUUCUGCUUGCAUCUGUAUUGCCAUACUCCUGGUAGUGAACAUGUUACAUGUGCUAAAUUACAUACCCGUGCACAUAUAGUUAAUAUGCUUUAGUUUUGUCCUAAGUAUUACUGUACUUCCUAGAUAUCACUGCCUACUAUUUUACUUCUUGCAUGCUAUAUUUAUGAUAAUUGUGUUGUUUUGAUGCCACCUGGUGGUUCCAUCAGACUGCUUCAUGUUCUCUAUGCUUAAUUACACAUCAGCAAACUAGCAUGUGGUUCCGUUGCUUUUUGUUUGUUUUACCCUACAUUUUCUGAUGCUAGCUAUUACAUCACUGCUCCGAGCCUCUGUUCAUUACUUCUUUGUGUGUUCUUGAUCUUCCCAAGUUGCAUGACUAAUUUGAUGCUUCUAUUAAUUAUGGAGCUGCCAACCCCAUCAAGCAAAAUAUUUGUUCUUUUGGGGCUGGCACCUCGAACAAGCACAAAAAUAGAGGGAAGCAGAUAUAUUGUCGUGUAUGCACACACCCUUUUUCAUUAGUUUAGAUGAACCAUUGAUGAUCAAUUUGGACCAGUGCAUGCGACUAAAAUUAAUUUUACCUAAAUAGAGGGUGCAGAAUAAACUACAACAACUAGAUUUGCAACCACGGGGUGCUGGCGAUAUCUUCAAAGGACAUUGCAAUAGCAGCGAGGCUUCACAGCAACAUAUGGUAAGCCAGUGUGUUUUAGUACAUGUGAAAUGUAAUGCGAGUGGGCUGCUUUCUUGGCUUGUGCCCUCAACCUGUAAUCCUACAGAAUUACAAAUAGUUCAGUUGUCUGCUUUGUUGUAUUGCUUGAUUCGAAUGCUUGUUUGUUACUUGUUACGAUAUACCUGAGUUGGCCAAUAUGUCAGCAGUGCCUGCUGUAGUAUCGUAAAGAAAUGCAUGCCUAGUUAAUUUGAGUCCUUAACUUUUCCUCUGAACUUCAUCACAAGACUGUCUUUGUAGUUUAUAUGAGGCCACACUGUUAAGUGCUUUCUCAGAUUAUUUCAACUGCUUAGAUGCCAUGGCAACUUAAAUAUAGUGGUGGUACACUCCCUUUCAACUAGUGAUGUCAACUGGGCCCCGUUUAAUCCCGAUUAAAGUCCACUAGUGGUAUGAUAGUUCAAAAGAGUUUUUGUUUUUUUGAGGAAAAUGAACUAGGGAGCUAGCAAAAACUAACUAGAUGGGACUGGCGGAUGUCUUUUAUUUGCCACUUACAUCCCUAGUUUCAUCUUACCAUUUUAAUUUCUUUUCGGCUGAUGCUACUUCAAACCUUUUAAAUAUAGCUUGCCAUGCUCGGCAAUAAUUUGUAUGUCGUGUACCAUGUAAGCUUACUGCCUGGAUCAUGCGAUAACUAUCUCUUACUUAUGUCCAGCGGAAACCUUUCAGGAUGCCGUUCACACUAGGACACAAUGUACAACCCCAAAUUCUAUUUGUGGAAGCAGUGCGCCAUCCAUGUUACCAGAUGGUAGCAGUUCAGGGGCAACACCACCGGGGAGCAGUCCGAGCAUAGAUAUUAUAGUUCUUGAGGCUCUACUAGAGGCAGGAAGAGAUGGUGUGGCUGCCAUGAAUGAGGUAAUCUUUAUCUCGAGGCUGGAAAUUAUGCAAUUAGCGGCACGCAUUAUGCAAGCAACCCAAGAAUUGCAGGAAGUAAGAAUGUUGCAUUUGAAGACGGAGGAGGUCCUGCUGUUUCUGCUAUCUGAAGCCCAGGGUAAUCCCGGUUCUUCUUUAGAUACCAUUUGAAAUUUUCAUUAGAUUAUUGUACUUGCAUGUUGUGUCAUGUCUCUGAAUGGAUUAUGUUGUAAGAACCCCUAUGUUGUCCAUGUGUUGUAAUGAUCCGAAUUUUUUAGGCGAGGUAAUCCUCAGUACUUGUAUGAUUGACAUAAGGUGAACUAUUUUUCGUGUGAGCAUAUUGUAUUGGAUGAAAUAACUAUUUGACUCAAAGUGUAUCCAACCUACUGAAUUCGAAGAUCACGGCAUUUCUAAAUCAUAAUCAUAUAUAAAGGUGGAAUAAAUAUUUGUUGUGGUUUUGAAGAAAUAAAUAAAAAAACAUAGAAUUAUCUGUGGAUAUUCGUAAUCGAAUACAAAUUGGAUUUGAAUUUAGUUGCCAGGGCCCAGGGCAAACGUGAAUGCUAAUUCUCCCAAGUUUUGAAUGAAGCGGCAAAACACCCACUGCCCGAAAUAAGUGUUUGCGAGAUGGAAAAUACUGUCUACCCCUGACACUUGACAUCCUUAUCGACCGGAUUUACACUGCUGUCGAUAGGGGUAGACUAGUAACUUCAAUCAGACGUGACACGAUGGCAUCUGAUCCCAUUCAGACACGGUGGGCGCCAAACGUGGGCGGCAAAACACAUUUGAUUCAAGCUCGUCCGAAAGACAUGUGUCUCUCCCUCCAUUUCCCCAUUCAUACAGGUGGGCGGCAAAACAAACUCUCCUCGUCCGAAAUUGAUGUAGGCUAAUAUUUUAAAUAGGGGCAGAUGUGUAACUUCCCUCAGACGUGACACAACCGGCCUACCUGUCAGCCCCGUUCAUACACUGUGGGCGCCAACCGUGGGCGGCAAAACACCCUCUCCUCGUCCGAAAUAGUUACCGGCAAAUAUUUGGGAGAUGCGAGAUUACCAUCCUAUCCCCAACCGAUGUGACGUCCGAAAUUUUAAACGGGGGAUAAGUUCGUAACUUUCCCACAUUUCAGAGAAGCGCGUCCCAAAGUUUGAGAUCCCCCCCCCCACUCGUCCAUUUCCCCAUUCAUACACCGUCGGCGCCACGACAACCUCCCCACUGCGGCCAGACUCCACCAUCCACCACCCCAUCCUCCACCUUGUUGGAGCCGCUACCCCUACCCCGUCGUCCACUGCAAGAGAUGGACGUCUCUCAUCCACGGCGCUGGACUAGGAUCCUUUCAUGGCGUCCUCUCGCUUCAUUAGCGCCGUCGUCCAGCUUGCUGUUGCCGCUCCUACGACUGCCUCGUCCACGGCAACAUGAUUUAUCCCCCGACCCAGCCGUCUGCCGUCUAAAGUCUUCUUCCCCGCCGCCGACAGCCAUCGCACCCGCAACACCCUUAAUGUAUCAGCAGAGGCCUACACGGUGUCACAAGAGAGGUGGUACUCUUCCAUAUGUGCUUAAGUUAUCGAUCUCACCCAGAAAAUAGAUCGUAAUUUGUUUACUGUACUUUUCUUGUCCGUACAAAAUCGUAGUGGCUAGUUGAAAUCAAACAUUAGUUGAGAAGUAGCUUUGUCCGCUUUGCACCUUCAGAUCCGCCAUGGCACGGGCACUAUACUCGUAAAGCUUAUGGUUUCCCCCCUUUAUAUUCACUACCAUCAUCGUAGGUGCUUCAUGUCGUGCUAGCACAGCUCCUCAAGACCUCAACCGAAAGCUUAUGUGUUGAAAUACGAAUCUGAAAUGAUGCUCAUAUCACUAAAACAGAGAACAUUUAAUUGGUGACCUAAUGUUCCUAUAUUCGUUUCGAAAAGCAUGUGCGCCACCCACUGGUCCAACUAGUUCCACUUUCCUGAUUUUACUCUUGAUGCUUAGGGUUUUCCCCUUUUAUCUACUCUACUAUGAUCUGCGUAGGUGCUUUCUGUCGUACUAACAUUACUCCACCCUUCAAGCUAAACAACACAACACUCAAAAUUCCAAAGAUUAGUUGUUCAAAUAUGAUUGUGAUAUGAUACUGAUAUUAGUUAACAGACACAUUUAAUUGGUUAGCUAAAGGUCCCACUUGAGCUUCCAAAUGCAUGUCGUGACAUAUAGAGAGACAGCAGAAUUGCAUUUAUUUGUCACUGGUUGACUGUACUUUCUUGUCCAUACCAAAUCUUAGUUGUUAUUUCAAAGCAAACAUUGGUUGCUAACUACCCUUUGCACGGUUUGCAGCUUCAGAUCUACCAUCCCACUGCCACGGUCAACACUAUACUCAUCAUGCUAACGGUUUCCCCAUUUUAUGAUGACCACGAUCAGCCUACAUGGUUCGUGUCGUAAUAGUAUUGCUCCACCCAUCGAGCUAAACAAGCUUAGUUGUACAAAUUCAAAUAUGAUAUUAUGCUGAUAUUAGUAAAACUGAGAGAUCUUUAAUUGGUCAGCUAAAUGUUCCUACUUUAUUUUUGAAAUGCAUGUGAGGCACAUAUGGAGAGACCAGAAUGAAUAGUAUUUCUCUGUGCGCUCUGGUUCAUCAUGGGUGGCCAACCGACAUUGUAUUGAAAGACUUGUAAUAUAUUCAAUUUGCUUGCUCUUCUGCUCUUCUUUAAGAUGAUCCUCUUCUCUUGCGGUCGACUGGUCAGGUCGAGUUGUUCUCCCUUAGUAUAUUUUGAAUCUGUCAGGUCAGGUCGACUUGUUCUUCUUUACUAUAUGUUGAAGCUAUCAUUUGCGAAGUGUCAUCACUUCUGGAGCUCUCAUAUUUUGAGUAGUAGGCCACAUUAUAUUAAUGCACACACCAAAUUACAGCAUGCAUGGCAUCUCUUAAAAGAAUUGCAGAGAUAGCACAAAGGGGUUUACAGGGAGGCAGUAUUGGAUUAGAAUCACUUCUAUAUUACAAAGAUAAUCUCACUUGUUUUUAUGUUUUCAUGCAUGUCAGAUAUUGAACAUUAUCAAAAGGAAUAUGAGAAUGGGCGCACGAGAGGAAUAUUGCGGAACAAUCCACUGGCUAACAAACUUGGCAUGGUGGAGGAUGGCCUAUCUUAUUCACCCAUCAAGGUGCUUGCUCUAACUUGGCUAACAAAUCAGAUAGAUCAGCAGCCAUAGAAAACACAGGCCCAACUGUACCACACUCUACCCCUACUCCACUGGCCAAACCCCUAUUAUUACUGCUGAGAGCCCAGCGUCAGGUACUGUCUAUGAUAUCAAUUCAAAAUUUGAACUCCUAAAUUUCUGUAUGUGCCUUACCUUCUCUCUUGUACGAAAACUAAUGUAAGAUGAAUCUCCUUGCUCAAAGGAUCAUACGAUAUCACAACAAUACUGGGCUCUGCAUUUCUCUUGUCAGUACCUCUCGCCCUUUUGCCUUGUAAAGCUGUACUUAAUUAAUUGCUAUUUGAUUAUGUAUCAUCUGUCUGCACCUGAGCUUCAUUAUCCUCUGUUUCUUCCAAUAUUAUUUGAUCUAUAUUUACUCUUUGCAAAAUGUAGAAUAAUGGCAACGCUUAUAAAGAAUUUUCGUUGGGGAGUUUAUUGAAUUAUCCUUCCAUCAACAUGGAGAAGGGCUUUGUCCAGCCCGUGUUAACAUGUAAUGUAAGUUCAUCCUUCUCAAUCCUUCAAACUUUGUUCUAGUAUAGAUUUGGGUAGGUAUCAUUUCCUCCACUGUUGUUUACUUUGCGUUUACAUCUGAUUGGAUGUUUGCAACAACUACCAGUUUUAAAUUGUAGUUGUAAAAACAUGUUCCUUAUGCAGAACAGAUCCAUUUAUUUGCUUAUAUAAUUCAGAAACCUAUUACGUGUCUCCUUGUUUCUCUUUCAGAUUCGUAUCUCUUAUGACAGUCAGAACUUUAGGGAAGAUAGUGAGCCAAACCAUCUUGAGGACAGCGAGAUGACCCCAAGGUCCUAUCUUGAUGAAGACAGUGAGUUGAAGGUACUCACCAGCAGGUGUGAGACAACCUCUGUGCAGUUGCUACUUCAAUCAGUUCGACUUCUUCAGUCUCAACUUAAAGCGGAAAGGCUUGCUUCAGCUCAGCUCCGACUUGAAGUCAAAGAUGUAAUGAAGAUGUCAGAGGACUGCCUUGCGCACUAUCGUGCCAUACAGCUAGGGAUGAAGCAUCUAUCGUUGACACAACUGAGGUCUAAUCAGCUUCUUCGGCUAUUUGCGGGGCCCGACCUGGCCAGGCCUAGUGCCUUCUGAAGUGCUCUCAGUUUUGUAUAUUCUUUUGUCGGCGCGUUUAUUUGCACUGGUGGCGAACUUUGAUGCCCAGUGGAUGUAAUAUGUGUAAUAGUCGUGAUAGCCUAGCGUAAGUUGCUUGCUUAUUUAUUUCCUUGUUGUCUUGUUUAUUUGUUUGCUUGUAGUCAGUGCAGUUCUUUUUCCGCGGUUUGCUAGUGGCCGCUAUGACCUAUUUUUUAAAACUAGGCCACAAUAACCAUGGGCUACAUAUUUACUGUAGUGACACUGGGCCUCCUACGGGCCGUAGAAACAAUGGCCCUUCUACGGGCCGUAGAAACAAUGGGCCUUCUACGGGCCAUAGAAAAAAUGGGCCCUCUAUGGGCCGUAUCAUCAAUGGGCCAUAUACGGGCCGUAUGAUCGAUUGGCCAAACAUGGGCCAAUAACAGACCGCAUUAUGGCGUAAACGGGCUAGAGUUGGAAUCGUCCGUUCAUGGGCCGACCAUAACGGGCCGUCGUUAAUAGGUCAUAUUUGGUGACGCUAUCAAAACGGCCCAACGUAUUAACGGGCCACAAACGGGCCGACUGUAACCACGGGCUGAAUUUGGCCCACAAGCAGAAAAUGAUAGUAAUGGGCCGUAAGUAACUGAAUGCUGGAAAUGAGCCCAAGAAUAAAUGGGCCCUGAGAAGGCCGAAAGAUAAUAAUGGGCCAUUAAUUGGUAUAAAGUGAUGCACUGUUCAUUACGGGAUAGUUUCACCACGGGUCGUUAAUGGGCCAAGAGUUACAAAGGGCCUCAUAUGGGCCGAAAGACGUCAUGGGCCAUACAUGGGCUGGAACUUAAAAUGGGAUGGAAUCAUAUUGGACGGCCCAGAUGACGCUACUGGGCCUAAUUCGGAUAGGUCGUAACGGGCCUUGGGUUAGCGGGUUGUAAAUGGGCUAUAUGCGAAUAGGCCGUUAACAGGCUUUCCGUGGGCCGGCCCGCCACCUUUUGACCAAGUCAAAUGGGCAGGCCUUUUCACAGGAAUGGGCCUCUGUUGGGCCGUGCCACGUGUCGACGUAUCAUAGGCGCCUUCGGUCCAAUGAGUGGAUGACAUCUAUCCCAACGGUGAGCCGACACGUGUUUCCUCCAGCCAAUGAUGAUUUUACACGUGGAAAAUCCCCAUUGGUCAGGGCUGUUAAUGGUUUAUCAGAUCCAAAACCGGACUCGAUAGCUUAACGGCGUUCUGUUACGGUGUAUGCCACGUGUCGGUCACCCUUGACGAAAGCACUUCUACGACGCGCAAUUUAUCUUCAUGGAAGUGGACACUUCCGUGAUGAUAAUUUUGGUAAUGUCAUGGAACACUUCUACGACAGCACAUGUAUGACUAUCUUGAUUCUGUCAUGAAAUCAUCAUGGAUGUACAUGCAUGAUAGAAAACGUGACCUACUGUGACAAACACGUAUCAUCACGGAAGUGUAUUUUUUUGUAGUGCUUACAAAGAGCUAGGAUAAACUCACCCGUUGUCGUAGUCUCUCCGCCAUGUGGCCCGUUUGUACUCUUCAUAGUUACUCUUUUCAAUAAGACCCUGAACUAGUUAAGGUUAAAACAACGGAUUUAUGUCAUGUGAGAGCCGGCUUACGGGAUAAAAACUGAUUUUUUUUCAAAAAACAGAGUAGAGCUACACUCUUCUAGACCUAUAAAGCUUCCGGCUUACAGACUUACAUAUUUACAGCAUCAUUAUGCUAUUGUCUAUAGGUAUGAAUUCAUAUUUGAAUAAAUACUUGGGUUUUUAACUCGUCCUGGUUAUAGAUUUUAACUCGCCAGAACAUAUUAUACUGAACAUUAUAACCCGCCCUGGCAUAAACCGCCAGGGUGUAUGUCGUUCACUGUAUGUGCAGGAACCUUGUAAAAUAACAUGAUAUUCCUUGAAAGCUCAUCAAUGGCACAUGGAAAAAUCAUCAGCAGUUUCAAAAGCUAAAACAUGCACGAUGGCAUGGCAGAUCAUUGUUUUCACCAGCCUAUUACACGGCUUUCCAAGCCCAAACGAUUAAGAGUUUUUCAAAAGGAGACGUCGUCCUGCAGUUGGAGAGCCGCCUCGUGGAUCAGUUGUCCUGGUCAUGGCGAGUUGAAGCUUCCGGGUUAUCCUGCGCCGGUUCUUUUUCUUCUUCUUCCGUCGUUUGGAAGUUAGGCGAUGACCAGUUGAUGCCAGUCAAGGCUUGAAAUUCAGAUUCAUCAUCGAUAAGUUUGGACGAAUCAAUGUUAGGUGCAAAAGUGUGCUUACGCAUUGGAGGGAUGAUAACCACAACGUCGUAAGCCGGCGCCCUCACAUUGGAUUUUUCCACUGUAUAAGCCGCCUGAUAUCUGGAUAAGUCAGUUUCUUCGGCGAGCUUACUUGCCAGUGGGAUCAUUUCCUUCACACAAGCAGCAAAGUCUUCUCGAUCAAAGGGAGACCCAUCUUCUUUAAAGCUUGGGCAGCCAGUGGCCAGCUCUGCCGGGUCUAGUUCUGCCUACCACGCCUUCGCCCGGCUCAAGGCAGUAAUAGUGCCGACUCUAGCAGAUGAUCGCUUUAUCUCUUUGAUUCUUGUGGGCAGGACAGGGAGUUUGUUCAAAACCUCCCUGAGAAAUGAAGGUGCGUGCUUGGUGUGAGAGAUGGCGACUAUUGAAUCUUCAGCCGGUUUAUUCAACUUCAACUUUUUGCUGGGUUCAGCAACACCGCUGAAAGCAAGACAUAUAACGAUGCUAAAAUAUCAAUUUGAAAGGUGUUCAAAGGAAAACAAAAAAGUCAAAUGUUCUCACCCAAGCGCGACUUUGAAGAGAGGAAUCUGAGUCCCCGUUGAGUCGCCAGAAGAUGAAUGAGAAGUUCCCUGAUAAUUAGAGGCGGACGAAUUAAGCAGUUGACGAAUAAGACCCACUUUAGGAAAGGAGAUGGGUGAAGUCUGUAGCACCUCUUUUCGGCGUUUCCAAGGAACCGGCGUGUUGGGUAAACCGGAGGAAAGGUUUCCACAACCGCUAUUCUGGGUGGUGCGCCAAGCUUCAUACUGUUGUUCCUUCAAAAUAAAGUUUGGAUCCAAGUAAGCUAAAGGGUGAGAAAACCUUACUUUUCGGUUCACUUGUCGAACUGACUGUCUUGGCAAAGGCUUUGAGUCGAAGGAAAGGAUAGUUACCUCUUCACUGUCUGCGUUGUUGGCCUCCGCGUCUUCCUGAUAGCAAUCAGUGUUAAUAAGAUAACUGAAAAAGGAGCCAAGGGAGUCAAGGACUACCUCCAACUCAUCAUCAUCAUUCAGCGCAAACAACUCUGAGGUGUUCGUUUUCUUCUUGGCAGGCUUCCUGACAGCUUUGUUCUUUCCCCCUACUCUUUUUGGCCGUCUUGUCUUGAAGUUUUUUGUUCCAAAAGGGGGAGUCAGCCUACAGAAAUCAAGCAAUUGUGAGAAGACAAUUUAUGUAAAUAAGGAAUGAGUUAGAAAUUGCUCCAAAUACUUACAUCUAGAGGCUUGUUAAGGGUGCAGAAGGGAUUCAACCCUGUCUUGCUGCAAGUUUCCAAGCUCUCGUUAAGCAGUCUUUUGGUCAUUCUGUUGAUCUCAUCAUCCUUCAGUCGCACUUGGCAGUGAUGUUGUGGAUCUUUGGCAUCACCGGUAUAUUCGCACAUUAAGCCGGGCCGGCGGCUCAAUGCUAAAAUUAUCCAGGCGACCUAGCAUCAGACCAAAUCAACUCCGGUCAGUCCGUUGGCCAUUAAGUCUCUUGUAUUUGAAAGAUGGGCAUAUACUUAGCUCGUUCUUCGGUGCUGAUCCGUUCUGGGAGGGGAUGUCUUCAGCUAAGCCGGUUUUCACGGAAACCCGACAGAGUAUUUUCACCCGCUGGAGAGGUAUCUUGGCAAUAAAACCAAGUUUGGUUCCAGUCCUUCGGGUGGCCGGGAAGUGCGGCUGCAUGGAAGACAGCUUAUUUUCAUCGUUGAAUAGAAAUCCCGCCAAGUUCUAAACAGGGUCCGUCUGUGAACUCAAUCUAGCGGUUCAAGUAAUAAAAUUCUCUGAACAAGUCCACAAUGGGCUCUUCUGGAAGAUACACUUUGCAAAAAACUUGGAAGUUGCAGAUAUUGGACACGGAAUUGGGUCCAAUGUCUUGAGGGUGGAGUUGAAAGAAAUGCAGCACAUCACGGAAAAAAUUUGUGCCGGGUGGCGAGAAACCCCGGAGCAUAUGAUUAGCAAAGACUUGACCUCGCCUUCCUUUGGGGCGGGUAUAGCCUUGUUUCCUGGAGCUCUCCAGUGGAUAACAUCUUUAGGUGCUAAGCCGCCCACUUUAACGUGUUCAUGGAGAGAUUGAUCUGUAACAAUGGAGACGACCCAGUUGCAUGAAGUGACGGUUUUGGUCAUUCUUGCGGAUGAAAAACCUAGAAAGAGAAGUGAUGCCGGGUCAGGAUUAUGAUGUUAAGCCGUCCAGUGAUUCGAAAGCAAGAGUAUCAGACAACGUCAAUUCGUAUGCAGAGAGUACGUGCUAUAAAGGUUGGCAUGAUUAAACCGGCAAGACAUCGCCUGGUUACACGGAUACUGGAUAUACACUAGCGGUUUAAGGUGGGCAUAACAGUGUUUGGCGAGUUACAAGCUAUCAGGUAUUUAAUCAAAAUUUAGGAUCUACCGCAGUUCAGAAAAUAAGGGUAAAUCUUAAACCUAAGGUUGCGGCAGUGGAAGAACUCGCGAAGCUAAGGUUGAAUCUGGAACAGAAGGGGGCAUUUGCAUUUGGAAAAUGAUGCUAAAACUGCUACUGCACGACCUCUGUGCCGUUUUUCAGAUCAAACUAUUCGUUUUAAAGGAGGAGUAUGAGGAACGGCGAAGAACACCGACGAACAGUGGAAACCCUAAUGCAGAUAUGUUAUGGGGAGAAGUCAGUAUUUACCGAUGCUGAUGAACAGCGGAGGUGCACCGCGUUUCUCUGGUCCGUUCAGGCCGAUGCAGCGGCCGGUGCCGACGUUGCUGAGGGAAGACGGCGGCGGCGGAGCUCGGGCUGCGGUGGCGUCGCGAGGAAGGAGACGAAGAGGAAGAGGCAGGGGUAAAAACUGAAGAAGAGGGCCCCCUAUCCCUAUUUAUAAGGAAGGAAAAAGAUGGCAUGCGCAAGAAUCGAGGCGGCAAAAUGAUUAUGCUGGUAAUGCGGGCGCCUCGAUUUUCGAAAUGUUCAUUAAGAUAAGGAUCCGUUGAGAUAUCCGGAGUCUUGUGCGGAAUUAAUGUAUACUAUGUCAUGGCGGGUUGUUAUGGUUCUGCCAUGUGACGUCAUGGCGGGUUAUGCCAGACAGGUGGAAAUUAGCAAGUAUAUAUUCUGCUAAGUGGAAUGGUGUAGAUUGAUGUGAACAAGUUCAAAACAAUCUAGGGCCUAAUGUUGGGAAUAUAACUCCCAGGCAUGACCCGUCCAGGAGGGGCCGGGUCAUACCGUUGGCGACUUAAGAUGAGAAGGCCCAAUGAGGUCCAAGAAUCCAGAUGUCGGUUCAUAGCGCAAGCUUAUUGGAGGCCCAAGACCCGGAGAAGGCUCGAGGCCCAAGGGCGUGAGCCAUCAUGUGUUAAACUUGUUCUGUAAGAUAGGUUUAGUUAGAAAACGAGCCGGUCACGUUUGUGUGAGCCGGCCGAGAUUCUGUAAGCCGCCGAGGACAUCAACCUGUAUAUAAAGGGGUGAUCCCGUGGCGGGUUAACUCAAGAAACAAGCAAUGAAAGCUAGGUCAAGUGUAUUCCCUUCCUGGUAAUCGAAACCCAUGAAUCUAUCUAUUAUAAAAUUAAAACAAGAGUCAAACAAGCCAUCACGUUCGCCCACAUAUGUUAAAUUAUAUCAAUCGUUAAUUCUAGAUAUAAACGGACAAGAUUUAAAGAAGAAAACGUUAGAUACAAUAUUGUUUGUCGACACGUUUUUCAUAUAAAUAUCCUGUCACGUAGGACAUAUAUUAGAUGGAAGGGUGCAAUCACCAUCACAAAAGAGACGUGUAGGGAGUUUGUCACAUAGUACAUAUAUUUAGAUGAAAAAAGGUGACGUGUAGGAGAAGGAGACCUACAUGUCUAUACUGAUGGAGAUUUAAGUUGGACUACAAAGAUAUACUACUGUAUAUGGUAUCAGAUAUGUGUUCAAAUGUAGAAAAUUAACGUACAGCACAUGUGGGUGCCUAGACCAACACGGAAGACAAUCUAGCAACCAAGUCUACACGGACAUAUACUGUAUAUUGCAUGCAUGAUAUCAUGCUAAUGCCAUUAAAAAAUAUGACCCGACAGACAUGUCCGUUGCUUCUAAUUAGCUUAAGCCAUUGUAAACUACGUACAUCCAAUAAAUAGCUGUGGGUCAGCAGCCUAACUGGAGUAUGAAAGACACGCUAGAAAAAAGUGGAGCCAAGAACAGAGUCUUUGUGUAUGUUUUUCUCUCUCUGAACUCCACUACAUGUACGUUUCAAGGCCACUACAUGCAAGUUUAAAGCAGUAUUAGCCCAACUCUAUUUCCAUUGCUUCUUUUCUAACACUGAAGCCCGUCCAUACGAAGCAUCCCAUGCACGUAGCAUAUUUUCCUAUCAUUCAAUCAGACUGAGCUCAGUGCACAUAGAAUUUAAUAUGUGUAGGAGACAUACAUACAUAUUGCCAAAAUUAGGGCCUCUUUUAACUUUAACAAUUAAUUAAAAUACAAAAGCGCAAAAACAUAGAAUUGCAAUUUGAUAUCAAUUUUCUGCAUGGCUGAGUUUGAAAAAAAAAAUGAUUGCAACACAGCGAAAAGAAAAUUAUUUUAGUGUUUUUUUGUCAGAUGGAAAGUUAUAUUUGAAACGUAUUGUGAGUUGUUAGGAAAAAUUCUGAUCCUCUAUUUUUUUUUCAAAAAUGAAACAAAGGGGACGUAAAAGAGAAUCAUGCCGGCCAGCACAACCGCGCGGCAUGCACGCAAACCGAAUUAUAUUAGAAUAUAGAAGAUAAAAAUGAAAAUAAUUAGAAACUUCUGUAGCAAAAAUAAAUUAUGUAUACACAUGUUAAGAAGUGUUCUAUUCGUUUGUUAUUGAGAAGCCCAUGUCAAGUGUAACAAGGUUUUUCAGAUGUGUUCAACAAUAUGACUAUGAUAAAAAAAUAUUCAAGAGAGAGAGAGAGAGAGAGAGAGAGAGAGAGAGAGAGAGAGAAUGCAACUGUUUUGUGCGUACACCUCAAUAAUUGUGAAAUAAGGAUGAGAAUGUAUGAAAAUAUUUUGUGGGAUGAUAUUGCAAAAAAACACAAGAGCAUACAACCAAUAUUUACGUAGAAUCUGGCCGUUAUCUUUAAUUUUAGUUUCUGAUGGAAUGAUGGACACAAAUGAAUGAUUGAAAAGCGCAAGUGUAAGCUAGAGUAGAAUGAGACUGUAUAUUUAUUUAUUUAUUUAUUAUAUAAUGAGCAAAGAUACUAACCACAAUGUUUCCUUUGACAUUAGCAUAUCACAAUCUUUACCAGCAAACACACACAAAUAAUGAAAAUAUUUGAACUAAAGCCCAGUAAUUGUCUCCCAAGGUAUACUUAUUGCCGAUAUUGAACGAUAAAUCAGUCAUGUUAUAUAAUCAAAUAAAUUUAAAAUAGUCUGUCUUCCACAAAUAUCUAGCUAACAUAUAUUAAAAUAAGUGUUCGCAUGGUAUAUUUAUGCUGCAAGUUUUCAAUAAAAUAUUAAAAUGUCUGUAAAAUAAACUAUUAGUACAAGAAAUGUUAGAAAACACAAACAUAAAACCAUAUAAAUCUAGCCGCGCAAAUGCGCGGGUUACCCGACUAGUUACAACUAAAAGGAGUAGGCUUUUACCUCCACUGUGAGGGGCCGAACCUGGGUAACUCUUUGUGUCCUUUGUCCCGUUCAACCCCUUCAAGCUAACCUAGUUGUGAUGGCUCCACACCUAAGUCCUUUCACUGGGACAUCUGCCAUGACAAAACCAUGACAGUACCCAUAAGGGGAAAUGACAUUGAGUUGCCACCUGCUUUUCUAGAUUAUAAUGCUAUGGUACACUACCAGUUUCUUAAGAGGAACGAAUAGUCCCUCCAGUACCGACUAAUCUUUGACAGACGGCGUGCUGCCCGUAUUACCCUUCCUGCUCCUGCCUUCUUUAACUUUCAGGUAAAAGGGAGAUCUUUUAUAACCAGAGAGGAGGCAAAUGAGUAUGAGAGAACAACAAAGGCCGCUCGCCUCCAGGAAGCAGAUCGCGAGGCGGUAGCCGCCGCAACACAGUACGACCCCAACUAUGAUUUCGGAUAUCAUGCAGGCCAGUGGUGGCCCUAGACCAAGGCCAAAAGCCUAAACUUGGGGGAGUACGUAUUUCUCACCGACAUUACAUUCAUGUUCACACACUCAUUCUAGUUGUCGGUGUUCAUACUUUUUCAUUGUAUUAUCCACGCUAGUUUAUUUUCUUUUUCUUGCUUUCUUCUUGUGUGCAUGAAAAACUUUGAGAAAAAACCAAAAAAUUUAGUUGUAGUCGAGUUUACUUUCCAUGUUUACUUAGUAGUAGUAUUAAAAGGAUAACCCAAAAAGAUUUCUCGUUUGGGAGCUUUCCCGUGUAAAUAGUUUUUCUCGUUCUUGUUUUACUUCCUGCAGAAAAAGUAAAACUUCAAAAACAUUUCAGUGUGUUUCUUUGAAAUUAUUUUCUUUUCUUUAGGGGUCGAGAGGAGAAGACCACGAUGAAAAUGAUGAGUGGCUCUCAUAUGCACUAUCGUUGAUCUAACAAAGAGCCCAUAUUACCUUGUCUUCUCCUUUGAAUAAAUGUUUGUAGAUUCCAACAUAGUCCAAUGCACGUGCACUAUUAUUAUUAUCGACACCAUUCGGUCGUGCAAGUGAAAGGCAAUAAUGACGAUAUAUGAUGAAAUGAUUGAGAUGAGGAAAAGCUGGUAUGAACUCAACCUAUCUUGUUUUUGUAAAUAUGAUUAGUUCAUCGUUCCUGAUUCAGCCUAUUAUGAAUGAAACAUGUUUGCAAUGACAAUUAGAGAUUAUAGUUAUUCUUGUCAUGCUUAAUUAGCUAGGAGUUUAUAAUGGUUUACCUUGCGUGCCAACAUGCUAUUGAAAUGGUUGUGAUGUAGUAUGAUAGGAUGGUACACUCCUUUGAAUGAUUCGAAUGACUUGACUUGGCCCAUGUUCACGCAUGUAGUUGAAACAAAAUCAACAUAGCCUCCACGAUAUUUAUGUUCAUGGUGAUUUAUAUCCUAAUCAUGCUUGCACUCAGUGUUGGUUAAUCUCAAUGCAUGUUUAUGACUGAUGUCACUCUCUAGUUGGUCACUCCCCAGUCUUUUUCUGGCCUUCACUUGUACUAAGCGGGAAUAUUGCUUGUGCAUCCACUUCCAUAAACCCCAAAGUUGUUCCAUAUGAGUGCACCAUACAUACCUAAAUUUGCAUGUGCCAAACUGUAAACCUUCAGAUGAAAUUCUGUUCUGUAUGCUCGAAUCGCUCAUGUGGCAACUAGGGCUAUCUAUAUCUUCCAUGCUAGGUGGGUUAUUCUCGCGAUGAGUGGACGUGCUCAUCAUUCACGAGAGAAUGGCUGGUAAUCAGGAUGCCCAGUCCCAUGCUCAAUUCAAAUCAAAAUAAUUGCAAACAAAACUCCCCCAGGAUCGUUUUUAGUUGGACGGUACCCGUUGUUUCGAACCAGCUAUGGAGUGUGCUUGUUGGUGGUGGGGAGUAUAAAAUUUACCAUUCUGUUUGGGAACCGCCUAUAAUAUAUGUAGCAUGGAAGAUAUCGAGAUCUCUUGAUUGUUAUGUUGACAAUGAAAGCAUACCGCUCAAAAUAUUAUUUAUCUCUGUUUCAAAAACUCAAGGACUAGCACCUCUGCAAAUCCCUGCUUCCCUCUGCGAAGGGCCUAUCUAUUUACUUUUAUGUUGAGUCAUCAUCCUCUUAUAAAAAGCACCAGUUAGAGAGCACCAUUGUCAUUUGUAUGCGUUGUUAUUAAUUGAUAUUGAGUAUGACUGUGACUGAAUCUCUUUUGCCAUGAAUUACAAUGUCUAGUCUAUCUUUGAUCUUCAGGGGUCACUACAAAAAAAAUACACUUCCAUGAUGAUACGUGUUUGUCAUAGUAGGUCACGUUUUCUUUCAUGCAUGUACAUCCAUGACGAUUUUAUGACAGAAUCAAGAUAGUCAUACCUAUGCUGUCGUAGAAGUGUUCCAUGACAUUACUAAAAUUAUCAUCCCGGAAGUGUCCACUUCCAUGACGAUAAAAUCGCACGUCAUAGAAGUGCUUUCGUCAAGGGUGACCGACACAUGGCAUCCACUGUAAUGGCUCGUCGUUAAGCUAUCGGGUCCGGUUUUGGACCCGAUAACCCGUUAACAGCCCCAACCAAUGGGGAUUUUCCACAUGUAAAAUCAUCAUUGGCUGGAGGAAACAUGUGUCGGCUCACCGUUGGGACACAUAUCAUCCACUCAUUGGACCGAAGGCGCCUAUGAUACGUCGACACGUGGCAUGGCCCAACAGAGACCCAUUCCUGUGAAAAGGCUGGCCCGUUUGACUUGGUCAAAAGGUGGCGGGCCGGCCCACGGAAAGCCUGUUAACGGCCUGUUCGCAUAUGGCCCAUUUACAGCCCGGUAACCCAGGGCCCGUUACGACCUAUUCGAAUUAGGCCCAGUAGCGUCAUCUGGGCCGUCCAAUAUGAUUCCAACUCAGUUUAACUUCCGGCCCAUGUAUGGCCCAUGACUCUUUCGGCCCAUAUGAGGCCCGUGGUGAAUCUGGCCCGUAAUUAACGGCCCGUGGUGAAACUGGCCCGUAAUGAACAAUGUAUCACUUUAUACCCAUUAACGGCCCAUUAUUCCAUUGGGCCGUUUCCAGCCCAUGUUAUCUUUCGGCCUUCUCAGGGCCCAUUUAUUCUUGGGCUCAUUUCCAGCAUUCGUUUACUUACGGCCAGUUACUGUCAUUUUCUGCUUGUGGGCCAAAUUCAGCCCGUGGUUACAGUCGGCCCGUUUGUGGCCUGUUAAUACAUUGGGCCGUUUUCAUAGCGUAAUCAAAUACGACCGAUUAAAGACGGCCCGUUAUGGUCGGCCCAUGAAUGGACGAUUCCAACUCUAGCCCGUUUACGGCCAUAAUACGGUCUGUUAUUGGCCCAUGUUUGGCCAAUCGAUCAUACGGCCCGUAGAAGGCCCAUUGAUGAUACGGCCCGUAGAAGGCCCAUUGUGUCUACGCCCCGAAGAAGGCCCAUUGUUUCUACGGCCCUUAGAAGGCCCAGUGUUUCUAUGGCCCGUAAGAGGCCCAUGGUAACUACAGUAAAUAUGUAGCCCAUGGUUAUUGUGGCCUAGUUUUAAAAAAUAGGUUAUUGCAGCCACUAGAAAACCACGGAAAAAGAACUGCACUGACUACAAGCAAAAAAAUAAACAAGGCAAUAAGGAAAUAAAUAAGCAAGCAACUUACGCUAGGCUAUCACGGCUAUUACACAUAUUACAUCCACUGGGCAUCGAAGGUCGCCACCAGUGCAUAUAAACGCGCCGACAAAAGAAUAUACAAAACUAAGAGCACUUCAGAAGGCACUAGGCCUGGACAGGACGGGCCCCGCAAGUAGCCAAACAAGCUGAUGAGACCUAAGUUGUGUCAACGAUAGAUGCUUCAUCCCUAGCUGUAUGGCACCAUAGUGUGCAAGGCAGUCCUCUGACAUCUUCAUUACAUCUUUGACUUCAAGUCGGAGCUGAGCUGAAGCAAGCCUUUCCGCUUUAAGUUGAGACUGAAGAAGUCGAACUGAUUGAGGCAGCGACUGCACAGAGGUUGUCUCACACCUGCUGGUGAGUAGCUUCAACUCACUAUCUUCAUCAAGACAGGACCUUGGGGUCAUCUCGCUGUCCUCAAGAUGGUUUGGCUCACUAUCUUCCCUAAAGUUCUGCCUGGCAUAAGAGAUACGACUCUGAAAGAGAAACAAGGAGAACCGUAACAGGUUUCACAAUUAUAGAAGCAAAUAAAUGGAUAUGUUCUGCAUAAGGAACAUAUUUUUACAACUACAAUUUAAAACUGGUAGUUGUUGCAAACAUCCAAUCAGGUGUAAACAGCAAAGUAAAUAGCAGUGGAGGAAAUGAUGCCUAUCCAAAUCUAUACUAGAACAAAGUUUGAAGGCUUGAGAAGGAUGAACUUACAUUACAUGUUAAUACGGGCUGGACAAAGCCCUUCUCCAUGUUGAUGGAAGGAUAAUUCAAUAAAUUCCCCAAAGAAAAUUCUUUAUAAGCGUUGCCAUUAUUCUACAUUUUGCAAAGAGUAAAUAUAGAUCAAAUAAUAUUGGAAGAAACAGAGGAUAAUGAAGCUCAGGUGCAUACUGAUGAUACAUAAUCAAAUAGCAAUUAAUUAAGUACCGCUUUACAAGGCAAAAGAUACUGACAAGAGGAAUGCAGACAACAAUGUGUGUAGUGGCAUUGGCUCUAUUCAACAUUGUGGUAAGAGUAAAUGUUGAUACGAUAAUUUGGAGAAAGUGGAGGGCAGGGAAGAUAAGAUGCAGAGUAAUGCUAGACAAUCAACUAUCUCGUGAUGCAAGAACAGUAAUACCACCACCGUCCGUUAUUACUUGUCGCUCAAAUGGAUGUAUCUAGCACUAUUAAGUUCUAAAUACAUCCAAUUGAUCAACAAUUAAUUCGAUAUAGAGGGAGUACAUGACAACAGGUACUUACAUGAGCAAUCCAAAACUUCAUAACCAUUGUGUUGAUUCUACAUUUAUACAAGAGUAACUAUAGAUCUUAUAAUUUCAAGCAAAGGGAGGAUAAAGAAGCAAACAUUUACAGUGAUGCUACAUAAUCAAACAACAAUGAGUGUAAGUAUGCUGACAAAGGGCAAGAGGUACGGACAAGAGCAAUGCAGAGCCCAGUAUUGUUGUGAGAUCCUAUGAUCCUUUGAGAAAGGAGAUUCAUCUGAAAUUAGUUUUCAUACAAGAGAGAAGGUAAGGCACAUGCAGAAAUUUAGGAGUUGAAAUUUUGAAUUGAUAUCAUAGACAGUACCUGACACUGGGCUCUCAGCAGUUCUAAUAGGGAUUUUUCCAGUGGAGUAGGGGUAGAGUGUGGUACAGUUGGGCCUGUGUUUUCUGUGGUUGCUGAUCUAUCUGAUUUAACAGGUAUCGCUACCUUUUCCAAAUACCUAGUUUGUACUCCUUGAGGAUCUGCACUCACCCUCUUCCUUUUGGACAUCUAUUACGAAAGAACAACAUUUGACUGGAAAAACAUAGUAUCAUGACACAUGGAAUAGGUACAGAAAAUGGAUAGGUAUGUCAUAUACUCAUAUAUGAUGCUUAAACAAAGGAGAUGGUGUAACAAACUAGAAGUAAUGCAAGAGGUCAGAUGGAAAAUAUGUGCGACCAAUACAACCUUGCCAAGUUAGAGCAAGCACCUUGAUGGGUGAAUAAGAUAGGCCAUCCUCCACCAUGCCAAGUUUGUUAGGCAGUGGAUUGUUCCGCAAUAUUCCCCUCGUGCGCCCAUUCUCAUAUUCAUUUUGAUAAUGUUCAAUACCUGACAUGCAUGAAAACAUAAAAACAAGUGAGAUUAUAUUUGUCGUGGAAUUGUCACGGCAGAUGUCCUCAAGGAAGGAAUUAGUCGUGGAGCCAUCGCAACUAGGAAGCUUAAAGGGGUUAAAGCGGGACAAAGGACACGAGGGUUAUACUGGUUCGGCCCCUUACGGUGAAGGUAAAAGCCUACUCCAGUUGAGGUGGAAUUGCUAGGGUUUCGAUGACCAGGGAGCGAAUCCGCUAUGCCCGGUUAUCGAUUUGAUGUUGCUUGUCUUGAACCGCCACUGGGUCAUCCCUUUAUAUACAGAGUCCCGGCUGGCUCAUAAACAGUGUCCGGCUCGGUCUCAGAGUCCCGGCCGGCUCAUAAACAGUGUCCGGCUCGGUCUCUUAACUAUUCUUGCCUUACAAUACAAGUCAUGCCUUUACGGCGGUUUAUCACUACGGGCCUUAAGUCGCCUAUGGGCUUUAGGUCCUUUACUGAACCGCCAUCUUCAAGCUUGAUAUUGGGCUUCAUAUGAUGAAUCGCCAUAAUGUAACUCGGCCCCUCCUAGGCGGGUUACACCAGUAGUUAUAUCCCCAACAUUAGGCCCCAGAUUGAUUUGAACUGGUUCAUGUCAAUCUUCAAUACCUUAAGAAAAAACUUUCUGGCUUCUGUCUGUGCAAAAGUUAUAACCCGCCAUGACGUCAUCUUCUAGAUUCCUGAUAACCCGCCAUGAUGUCAUCUUCCAUUAAAUUCAUUUUUUAUUUUGUCAUAUCCCAACGGAUCUUUAUCUUAAUAACCAUCCCGAAAAUCGAGGCGUCAGAGUCACUGGGUAAUCAAGUUUUCGGCCUCCUCAUUUUUCGCGCCCACUUAUCAGUCUUCCCUUAUAAAUAAGCACGACUAGGUCUUUUCUCAUUCUCCCACUUUCUGUCGUCUUCCUCCUCUCGCGACCUUGCUGCCGCUCGAGCUCCGCCGCCACCGCAGCGCACCUCAUCUUCCUCAACCUCGGCCGCUGCAUCAACCUGAGUCAGUCCAGAGAAUGGCGGCGACUCUCCGCAGUGAAUCUGCAGCCGUAAGUCUCCUCCUUCUCGAACGUCAGAUCUGCAUUAGGGUUUCCAAGUUCUUCCCUGUUUUUCGUGGUUCAUCACGGUUUCUUCGUAGUUCUUCCACUGCGGCCUCAUUUGAUCCAAAAGUAAUGUGGAAACUCAUGCGGAAGUUGUUUCGCGUCCAUUUUUAAUACUAGCAGAUCCCUUUCCUUCGUGCAGAGGCCUCACCAGGACUCACGAACUCAUAUGUACCAGUUUUUAGGUCUAGAAUAUUUCCUUUCUGAACGACCGUUUGAUCCAAAAUAACAACUGCAAUCUGUGAAACUUGUUUGUACGACACUUAGGCAAAAACUGUAUCUGUUAGCCAUGGCGGCUCUUAUCGCCGGCUUAAAGAAGGCCAUGCUCAAUCAAUAAUCCUGAUCACGCACAGUGGCUUUGAAUAACUUAACUGUUUAUGACGCCCAUGGCGGCUUGAAUAAUCUGACUCAAUUAGCCAUAUGUCAUUAGGCCCCUUCAUAAGCCGCCAUGCUGAAUAUGAAUUGAAAUAUUUUCUCCGGCUUAAAUUUGAACCGGAAAUUAUUAUUUUGUCAUAGGCUUCCAUCUUCAUAAUGCCGCCCAAGGCUCCCAAAGCACCCGUCACAUGCAACUGGGUUAGAUCCACCGUCACCGAUAGCAUCUUAAACGAUUUUGUGAAGACUGGUUAUCUGCCGAAGAAAGAGGUCAUGUCCUAUCGUGCUCCUGAUCCCUCAGAAGAAAAACCUCAACCCAAGGACGGGGAAGUUUUCAUUUUUACUGAUCACAUGAACCGGGGCUUUGCUCCACCCGGCUCAAAAAAUUUCCGAGACGUCUUGCACUUUUUUGACCUGCGACCUCAAGACAUCGGAUCCAAUUCCGUGUCAAAUAUCUGCAACUUCCAAGUGUUCUAUGAGGUGUACCUUGGAGAAGAACCCAACUUACUACUCUUUAGAGAGUUAUUUUAUCUGAACCGUCAGAACGAACGUGCCAAUGGGCCCAGCUUGGAGCUUGGCGGAAUCUCAAUCCAGCGACAGAGAGACUGCCUCUUCCCAUCUGCCGAACCGCCAAGUCACCCUAAAGAUUGGAACCAGACAUGGUUCUACUGUCAAGACACUUCUCCGGCUAACGAGAACCCUCUGCGCGGCUUUCGCGCCCUGCGUCUGGAGUCAAAUCACCCUUUACCAGAUAAACUGUCUCCGGCUGAACGUCAGACACUUGCCCCCACCCUAAACAAGCUCAAAGCUCUUUUGGGGAACGGCCUAAACAGCAUUGACUUGGUCCGGGUUUGGAUUGCCUGGCGGGUGAUUCCUUUGAGCCGCCGCCCCGGCUUGAUGUGCGAUUACACAGGCCAGAAGAAUGAUCCUCUAGGGCACAGUCCUGACGACUUAUCUAAAUAUGUUAUCGAUGAUAUGACCAAGUCUCUUCUGAACGAGAGCCUGGCAGAUUGCGGGAAAGUGGGCUUAAGCCCUUUCUGUAAGGCUAACCCAGCUCCAGCGGUAAACCAUUAACUUGAGCAUUUUACUUUCCACUUUGACAAUUUCGCCUUUACUCAAAAACCUUUGUUGUAUUUUACAGGCUGAUGAUAAAUUUUGGAAGGUCAAGUAUGACCAUGAGGCUGCAAAGAAGGCCAGGAAGGCUAAGAAAGCCGCCAGGAAAGCUGCUGCCCGCAAGAAGGGGAACAAACCUAGCGCCUCGGAUAUGCUUCAUCUGGAUGAUACCUCCGAGUAAGAGGUAGCUCUUGACUCUUUAGGCUCCUUCUUUAACCAUCUUAUUGACACUGAUUAUCAGCAGGAGGAUACAGGAGCGAGUCAUGCAGUGAUUGAAGAGGUAACUAUAAUUUCCUCCGACUCCGAGCCUUUGCCGAGACAAAAAGUCCGAAGAGUAACCCGGAAAGUAAGAUUUUCACAUCCUUUAGAUUAUCAAGAUCCUCAAUUUCUUUUGAAGCGACAGAUUCACGAGAGUCGGAGGCAGACUCGGACCAGUAAAGAUGCGGACCUCUCCUCCGGCUUACCCGAUGUAAGAAGAAAGCGCCGGGCUGAGGUUAUCUCUGAUUUAUAUUCUUUGUACCCUUUGGCGGGUUUCACUCGUCAACCACUCAAUUCUUCUGACUCAAACUAUCAGGGGACUUCACCUUCCUCCGGCGAAUCAAUGCAGUCUAGCAUGCCUGCUUUCAAAACCGCUCCAGGGUAAUGAUAAUCUGUUGAUCUUGUGCUUAUCUUACUCAUGUUUUUGUACUAACCCUUUGAUUUUCAGUGUACAAGUAAAGCCCAGCAAGAGGGCGAAGAGAAGUAAGCCGGCUGAAGAGCCGAUCUUGGCUGAACCGGAGCUCAGAACGGCUGCUCCUGAUACUUCCGCUCAUGAGCCGCCGCCUGAACCAGCCCAUGAUGUUACAACUCCCACCACUGAUCCAUCUGUCGAACAAGCUAUGGAAGGUUCUGAGAACCCGGAGGUCCCUAGCCCGGCCAGGGCGGAUGACCCGGACGUCGAAAUCACCCGGACUGAUUUUGUUGAACCGGGGAGACCUACCGUGCUGGCUAAGUGCUCUGCCAAGGAAGAACUUCUGGAACACCGCAAAGCCAAGCUGGACGUCACUGAUUAUACUCAUCUGAGUAUUGGAGACAUCGUCUCUAGCUAUCUGAAUCAAGUGCACAACAGCCGUGACCUGGAAAUUGACAUGGUGAAACAGAUUCACCAAAAAUCUGAGGUAUAACUCUCGUUGCUAUUCCUUAGUUAUCUUUACUAUACCAGCCCCCAAGUCUACUGCUUAUGAUCAAAUAUGUUGUAGACUUAACACCAGCUUAGUAAUCACUGCAAGAAAACUGGCUUACCCUGUAGCGCCCAAGGGCCGGCUUAGACAGCAUAUUUGAACCGGUCCUCACCGUGUUUUAACCAAGUACUUGACCAGCAAUAUGCAUUAGCCCCCAAGUGCCGAGUACCUUUGCCUGCAAAAGUGCUUGGGACUUAUUUCCAUGACCCGCCACUGUAAAUAGAGCUCUUCAGCAUACAUUAGCCCCCAAGUGCCAAGUAUCUUUGCUUGCAAAGUGCUUGGGAGUUAAUGUUGCAUUAUGAUGACCCUAACUGUAACCCGGCAUUUAUACAGGCCGCCAUUAAGCAAUUUGAAUCGGAGAUCUCUGAUUUGAAGAACCGCCUGAAAACUCAAGAGAAUGAGACCCAAAAGGCCAAUUCCAAGUUUGAAUUCAGUGUAUCCGAACAAGAGAAACUGAAGAAGAAGUUUGAAACAAAGAAGAAGGCCUGGGCUGAUGAAAAGAUCGCCUUGCUCAACCGGGCUGAACAAGCGGAGGCUACUCUUGCCGUUAACAACCGCCGAGCUAUCCGGUUUAAAAUGCCAUGUAUCUCAAAUGGUCUCAGCAAUCUUUGGUAAGUUACUCUGCAAGUCUGAGCAAUCUUUUUCAACAAGUAUCUCAAUUGUCAUCAGUUCACCUGAGUUUGUAAUGCAGGCCCCAGGAGUUCCAAUCUUAACCAAAGCAUGCUGACAAAGUUGAAGGCCGUAUAUACACUGGUGGAACAACUCUACACCGGGUCAUAACGUGCCUUAGCCGUCGUGGCUUUGUCAAAUGAAGUUCCCACUCAUCUGGCGGAUGUACUAAGACGGCUUGCCGUGCUACCUCAACGGUUUCAGGAAUUAAGACGAGCUUCUGCAAGAGCCCGAGACAUAGCCGCAUUAAGCCGGGCCAAGGCGUGGCUACCGGAGCUAGACCCGGCUGACAUCGCCCUUGGGUAUCCCAGCUUGAAGGAGGACGGCACCCCAUUUGAUCAGAAGGACUUCGCCGCUUGUGUGAAGGACAUACGCCCUGUGGCCACUCUGAUCGGUAAAGACACGGACCUUACCAAAUACCAACCGGGUUAUGACGCCGAGAAUCACAGAAUUCCAACACCACGUUAUGAAGCAAUCAGCCUCAUCCCUCCAACUCGUAAGCAUACCUUCGCCCCUGAAGUUGACCCGGCCGGGUUAAUCGAUGAUGAAGCUGAAUUUGAAGCCUUGAGUGGCAUUGACUGGAAAUCAUCAACCUUCCAGGACAGGGAAACAACCGGAGGAGCGGAAAGGGAUGACCGGAAGCUUCAGGCCAACAACACCUUUAACCCUUCAGGCGGCUCAUGUUUACGUCUUGAUGAAAACAAUGCUUCAUUAUUUGGACACGGGGAGUCAUGUAAUAGGGUAGAAAAACACUUAAUUUUGUCGUGCCAUCGCGCACUUGUGUGGCGCUCAACACUUCUUAAGCCGCCAUAUUAUAUUCCUCCGUACUAUGCUGAUCCUCCACUUUCCUUGCGUUUAAAGAGCUGCUUUAAUUGUCCUGCAUAGAGAACAAAUCACAAGUCCUUUGGCGGCUUACCGCAUGGAGGGUCAUAUAUUUUACAUAUAACCCGGAGUAUGUAACAAUCUUAAAAACCGGUUCUCAAUCAUAUCUUUGAGACAUAAUCAUAACAGCAUACCUGUGAUCCUUCGAUUAUGCUGCCGGUUUAUGUGAUCCGAACAAUGAGGUUAAGAACCCAACUCCUGUUUACCAGCACAUAUGAUGUUUAUUAUGUGCUAUCAACUUUAUUGAUCAGGGUUAAGCCGGUGGAAUAAAAUCAUCCUUGAACUCUUUAGAUAUGAUCAAAAGAACUUCAAGUAAAAUUAAAAAAAAUGUUUGCAAGAAGAGACUUCAAAAACUUUAAGGCUUCUGGUUCGAAUACGACCAGAAAACCGUCCCAAAGGGGUUAGGCUAAGAUUCGAAUACGAUCAUAUAGCCCCCAGUGGCUUUGGCGUUGCCGAUCAAGAGGGUACCGACAGCUAUGUUCUCUUUGGUUCGAAUACGACCUAUGUUUGAACAGGAAGCCCCCAAAUGACCUUGAGAGUUGUUUAAGGACGCUGAUUCGAAUACGAUCCACGUCGGUUCCCAAAGGGGGUUGAGCUAUGAUUCGAAUACGACCAAGAAGCCCCCCAAUGAGCUCGGCAGUGUGCCGAUCAAGAGGGUACCGACAGCUAUGUUCUCUUUGUAAUGCAGAAGUGAUUCUAAUCCAAUACUGCCUCGCUGUAAACCCCUUUGUGCUAUCUCUGCAAUUCUUCUAAGAGAUGCCAUGCAUGUUGUAAUUUGGUGUGUGCAUUAAUAUAACGUGGCCUACUACUCAAAAUAUGAGAGAUCCAAAGGUGAUGACACUUCGCAGAUGACAACUUCAACAUAUAGUAAAGAAGAACAAGUCGACCUGACCCGACAGACUCAAAAUAUACUAAGGGAGAACAACUCGACCUGACCAGUUGACCGCAAGAGAAGAGAAUCAUCUUAAAGAAGAGCAGAAGAGCAAGCAGAUUGAAGAUAUUACAAGUCUUGCUAUACAAUGUUGGUUGGCCACCCAUGAUGAACCAGACCGCACAGAGAAAUACUAUUCCUUCCGGUCUCUCCAUAUGUGGCUCACAUGCAUUUCAAAACUAAAGUAGGAACAUUUAGCUGACUAAUUAAACAUCUCUCAGUUUUACUAAUAUCAGCAUAAUAUCAGAUUUGAAUUUGUACAACUAAGCUUGUUUAGCUCGAUGGGUGGAGCAGUACUAUUACGACAUGAACCACGUAGGCUGAUCGUGGUCAUCAUAAAAUGGGGAAACCGUAAGCAUGAUAAGUAUAGUUUGACCGUGGUAGUGGGAUGGCAGAUCUGAAGCUGCAAACCGUGCAAAGGGUAGUUAGCAACCGAGUUUGCUUUGAAAUAACAAGUAAGAUUUGGUAUGGACAAGAAAGUACACUCAACAAGUGACAAAGAAAUGCAAUUCUGCUGUCUCUCUAUAUGUCGCGACAUGCAUUUGGAAACACAAGUGGGACCUUUAGCUACCAAUUAAAUGUGUCUGUUAACUAAUAUAAGUAUAAUAUCACAAUCGUAUUUGAACAACUACGGUUUGGAAUUCUGAGUGUUAUGUUGUUUAGCUUGAAGGGUGGAGUAAUGCUAGUACGACAGAAAGCACCUACGCAGAUCAUACACUACAAAAAAAUACACUUCCGUGAUGAUACGUGUUUGUCACGGUAGGUCGCGUUUUUUGUCAUGCAUCUACAUCCAUGAAGAUUUUAUGACAGAAUCAAGAUAGUCAUACCUGUGCUGUCGUAGAAGUUUUCCCUGACAUUACCAAAAUUAUCAUCACGGAAGUGUCCACUUCCAUGACGAUAAAUCGCGCAUCACACAAGUGCUUUCGUCAAGGGUGACGGACACGUGGCAUCCACCGUAACAGAACGUCGUUAAGCUGUCGGGUCCGGUUUUGGAUCCGAUAACCCGUUAACAGUCCCGACCAACUGGAGAUUUUCCACGUGUAAAAUCAUCAUUGGCUGGAGGAAACACGUGUCGGCUCACCAUUGGGACAGAUGUCAUCCACUCAUUGGACCGAAGGCGCCUAUGAUACGUCAACACGUGGCACGGCCCAACAGAGGCCCAUUCCUAUGAAAAGGCCUGCCCAUUUGACUUGGUCAAAAGGUGGCGACCGGCCCACGGAAAGCCUGUUAACGGACUGUUCGAAUAUAGCCUAUUUACAACCCGCUAACCCAGGGUCUGUUACGACCUAUCCGAAUUAGGCCCAGUAGCGUCAUUUGGGCCGUCCAAUAUGAUUCCAACCCAUUUUAACUUCCGGCCCAUGUAUGGCCCAUGACGUCUUUCGGCCCAUAUGAGUCCCUUUGUAACUCUUGGCCCAUUAACGACCCAUGGUGCAACUGGCCCGUAAUGAACAGUGUAUCACUUUAUACCCAUUAACGGCCCAUUAUUCCAUUGGGCCGUGUCCAACCCAUGUUAUCUUUCAGCCUUCUCAGGGCCCAUUUAUUCUUGGGCUCAUUUCCAGCAUUCAGUUACUUACGGCCCGUUACUGUCAUUUUCUGCUUGUGGGCCAAAUUCAACCCAUGGUUACAGUCGGCCCGUUUUUGGCCCGUUAAUACGUUGGGCCGUUUUCAUGUAAAAAAUUCGUUGGGCUGUUUUCAUAGAGUUAUGAAAUACGGCCUAUUAACGGCCCGUUAUGGUCCACGAAUAGUACGGCCCAUGAUUGGCGAAGUGAUUAUACGCCCCGUAGAAGGCCCAUGGAUCCUACGGCCCGUAGAAGACCAAUGGAUCCUACAGCCCGUAGAAGGCCCAUGGAUCGUACCUCGCGUAGAAGGCCCAUGGAUCGUACGGCCCGUAGAAGGCCCAUGGAUCCUACGGCCCGUAGAAGGCCCAUGGAUCCUACGACCCGUAUAGAAGGGUAAUGGAUCCUACGGCCCGUAGAAGGCCCAUGGAUCAUACGUCCCGCAGGAGGCCCAUGGUUACAACAGUCCGUGUGUUGCCAUGAUUAUUGUGGCCUAGUUACCAAAAAUAGGUUAUUGUGGCCACUGGAAAAACACGGAAAAAGAACUGCAGUGACUACAAGCAAACAACUAAACAAGACAAUAAGGAAAUAAAUAAGCAAGCAACUACCGCUAGCCUAUUACCACUAUUACACAUAUUACAUCCAUGGGCAUCAAAGUUCGCCACCAGUGCAAAUAUAGGGAACAAAGCACCAUAUUACAUACACUGGCCGUCAAAAUUGGCCACCAGUGCAAAUAAACGCGGCAGCAAAACAAGAGCAUAACUGAAACAACUUCAGAAGAGCCCAAGAAACGUUAUCCUGGGUAUCCACCAUGCUGGCAAUAAGCUUAGCAAGCUUAUUAGCUUUGUCCUGUUUGGCGCUAAAAUCCUCCAACGCUUGCUGUUGCACCAGAAAGUAUGCAUCUGAAUGCUCCAGGGACUUCCACAGUCCUUCCGCUUCUUGUCGCAGCACAGCUGAUCGAUGUCUUUCAGCUUGUAGUUGAGACUCAAGAAACCGAACUGAUUCAGACAGUGAGUUUGAAUAGCUUGUGCAAGCGGUAGUGGCCAGUAACUCGAACACUAAACAUAGACAGGACUUUAGGGUUGUCUCACUGUCUUCAAGAUAGUCUUCCUUAGCUGUUUUAUCAGCUUUGUUGGAGACCAACAAGGAUGUCUCACUAUCCUUAACCUUAUCUGCAUUACUUCCUUUACCAUUGCUUAAUAAGGCGCUUUUCCCAAAUAUUUUGUCAGCAUUCUAAAAGAAGAAACAAGCAGACACAUAACAUGUUUAGCAUGUACUAGUAUAUGAAACUCAUUUCGGUGAACCAGUUCAUUAGUAAGGUGGACAGGAUUAAACUACCAAGUCUUCUAUUGCCAAGUACUAGUACAUAAUAAAAGCAUCAAACAAACAUAUACCUAUGUCCUAUGGUCACGGCAUUGUCUUGCCAAAUCAAAAUAGAGACACGGUUCAAAUCAUAUCAGUUCAAGAGAAAGCAGCAGUGAAAGAAUACGAAGCGUGGGAAACUACACGGCACAACAAGAUUUCAGAUGGGUACCACGGGUCUACAUGUACAACAACACUAUUGGCUCUGUUGUGAUGUUAGUAAUGUGCAUGAUAUGAGAAGUCAACUGUAUACACAACUGAAAUUGAAAUCAACAGAGCUAUUGAUAAGAGCAAACCUGUUAAAGAAACAUGCGUGAACAUACCUGUUGUGCCAUUGGAGUUUCGAUUGGAUCCUUCAAUUUAAAAAUAAGUUUGUAUGAGUAAAUACAGUGAUACAAGAGCAAAGCAGUAUGCACGAUAGCAAUCAUAGUUAAAAAAGGCGCGCCUAAGCGAGCGCUUAAGCGUGCCUAGGCUCUAGCCGUUGGCAAAAUGCAUUGCGCAUACCUACGCUUAAUCUGUGCAUAACUGCGCAUAAGCAUGCGCUUUGGUCAGUAAAGCGCAAGGCGGUGGCAAAACACAUAAUUAACGCCAAGCGCUUUUUUGAACUAUGAUAGCAAUGGAAUAUUAAAUUAGAACAGUUGUUCUUCAGGUUUAGGCACUUGUUCUACAUGAACAGAGUACAGUAAGACGCAAGAAUAUAGUACUUAAAAAUAGAAAUUGAGCUCAUAGACCAUACCACAUUCUUGGUUCGGGACCAGUACAGAACAAGGCGUUCCCAGUCAUCGUCCAGUAAAUGUGUCUCAGGAGAACGUAAGGGAAUUUUAUGAUUUUCUUUGCCGGUGAAGUACGUUUUCUUCAGAUAAUUCCGAUACUGCCACCAAGCAUUCUUGAAGAUAGCAGAGGUAUUAGCACAGGUUACCUCAUCCUGAGUUUCCAAAUUAGUCCUUCUCUAUAGAGAAAAAUGGGAAAAUUUGCUGUAUUAUAACCAUCAUGGAGGUAGGAUGUAUGGGACAAAGCAAAGUAAUUGCCAUGAAUAACAUUACUUACACAUAACUCCUGGACAAACACCUGCAACUGGCAUUUUCCUUAAUCUUCAGUAUAAUAUUUCCAAGAUCACUACUAGGGAAAACCCUAGCAGUAGCGCAGGUAUUUUGCCUAUCAGUAGCGCGGGACGUCGCGCUACUGAUAAGGCGCUACAGCUAACGUGUAGCAGUAGCGCCUGUCAUCCCAUGCUACUGCUAUACAUGGCUAGCAGUAGCGCGCUUUAGGGAAGAGUGUUGCUGCUAAUAUCUGCAGCGCUUUUUAGAAGGAAGCGCUACUGGUAAGGGAGCGCUACUGCUAACUUUGUUCCCCUCGCUACUGCUAGUUUUAUUAGUUUCUGUUUUUUUUCUACAUAUUUGUUUUGUAUUUGAAUAGGCUUUAUACAAUAAUCUUUAGCAUAUCAUACACAUACAAAUGUAAUCAUAGCAUAUACAUACAAAUAGUCUCAUCAAAUCAUGUCAUCAUCAUAAUCAUCAUCCAACACAAAGUGGUCUCUCGUCAUCAUCUCGACAAUAGCGAUACAAGUCUCGAUUACUUGCAACUACAUCGUCAUCCAUCUGAACAAUGAUAUACGCGAGAAGAACUACACUAUGAGUGAGAGCAGAACUAUGAAGUACAUGAGUUCGUAUCCUCUCUCGCAUUAGCGUGAACCUAAACUAACUAUUGGCUGUCGCUUGGAAACCGGAAACCGGUACACCUGGGCCUGACACUCCGGCCACUCGUCGUAUACUCUUGGCGUAGCACUUCUUCGCCAUCGAUGAUCUAUGCACCUGCAUCGUCACAUGAGUCGAUGAUAUGCAACAUAUAUAGUUGAGCAACAAAAAGAGACAGACUUGGCAAAAAUAGAAGCAACAUAUCAUAAGCAUAAAUAACAAAGUUCAUCGUACCCAAAAUGCCCUAACUAGAGUGAUCUUCGCUAGUCGAGGAGGAGGACGGUUUAAUUACAUCACAAAUAAAGUUUCGCCGUGCAUAACUCAAAGUUUUGUCAUAUAGAAAGUAUGGACUAAACGGACACAUUGUCAUAUAUCGACAAUCAAUCCAACAUGUCGUGCCAUCCAUCCAUGUCAGGAAGAAAGUCCCCGAGCUUAGUGAAAGGCUUCAUGUCAAGACGCUGAGAGGCUACGCGUGUUCGGACGUCUUCCCGCGACAUUUCUCCUUCUUCAUAGAACAUCCCUGUUUUUUCAACGACCUCCUUCAUGAUGAUUUGGGCAAGUUCGCGCUGGAUGUGAUAGAACUCAGCUCGAAGUCGAUGAUCCUCGAUAUCUCCUAAGUGCUUUUCCCAUUGCAGAAUAUGGGCAUCGCCGGAUUUAGGUGACAUGAGAAGGUUCUGGUGAUCCCGUCUGUACUCCAGCAUGUGGUGUAGGACAUACAAUCCAUCAUUAAGAGAAUCACUCGGUUGCUGGAUGCAGCAGAAGUCGGUCUUAUGGCUGAAGGCGGGCCUGCUGUUCCUUGUCUUCUUGUCGUUGACCUCUCCACCCCCUUUGCCGUAGUAAAAGAUAGCACUGUCGAGAACAGACUUGAUGUGGGUGUAAUCCUUUUUGGUAAUGUUCUUCGAUGAGUCCAAGUAAAGAGCGUGGGAGUAUCAGGGGUAGAGGAUGAUGAGGACGGCGCGCCCGCCGCUGCGCAAAAUAAGUACACCUCAAAUUAAUUAGCCUCCACCGUGCAAAUGAAUGAUUGAAAUCGAAGGAAGGAUAUCCGCGCGGACCACUUACAGGGGAUGAUAAGGCACGAGAAUCGCCUCCUUGUCCUUAUUGGCGAGCAUGAAAUUGACAAGGUAGUCCCUCGCGAAUUCACAGUGUUUUGCGCAAACUGGCAAGAAGCCCUCGUGCAUGAAGUACGGGUCAGCGACACAGAUAAAAGGUAUCUGCUCAACCCUGAUGAGGUAGUUCAUGUGCAAGGCAUAAAGGCGGACAAACGUAAAUUCUAGCUUCUUCCAGUGAUACAUGUCGAAGAUGUAAUCGUAUCGAAGGAAGAACUUGUCCGCGGGGAAUGUGUCGACGUACAACAAUUGCCGCGGCACAUUAACCACGUAGAGUGGGUAUCCUGGAUUUUUCGAGGCGACGAGGCCUUUCUAUCUCCGCAGCACAUCGUCAUGAAGUCUCCUUACAUCGCCGAAUUUGGCCCCUAUCGCUGCUUCAGGUAGGAUUGGUUCACCGGCGAUAUGCCAUUUUGCCGCACCGGGGAUAUCUAUACGGUCUUGAUCCCGAGGCUGCUGAGGCGGCUGGAUCAUCGAAUCAGGUUUUUUGCCUUUCCUCGGUCUCUUCCUAGACUUCUUUGGUACCGGAAGGUUCUCCAUAAUACGUUCAGACUCCGGAGGCAGCAAUUCAGGCACCGACUCAUGACGCUCAAACCCUAAGUAGGCGCCAGUAUUGACAUAUUGUUGAGUGUCAUCGUCAUCCUCAUCCUCAUCUAUGGCGACGUCACCAACGACUAAUGGAGCCUCUUCCUCACCCCCUCCGCUAUCACCCAGCACGACAGCCAACGCUAAUUGAGUAGGUGAGGUGUUGAUGUUCAUACCUAACUGCGUGCUCGUGGGUGUGCUCCCAGCCACCUCCAGACGAAGCAGACUCUUUGGCCACAACAGGACCCACCCAUUGCAACAAUCACCAAGCCGCCGCGGGGUCUCGUCGUCAUCCCCCACUACUACUAGAGGAGCCAAAUUCUUGUGGCCCGGUUUGACACUGGCCACGGAAACCUUGAAGACAUCCGGGGGGAUCGGCCGGCUGUGGAAUAAUGGUUCCAUCGGCUCCAUUAUCGUCGCCUUCCCCACGUCCACCUUCUGGUCGUCGAUGGUGUACAAUAUGGUGCACGGGGUUUCGUCGGCCUGCAAAGAAAAGUCUGCGAUGUGAGACAUCCUAAAGGCAACGAAAACGGGAGAUUAUACAUUUAUUGAAGAGGGCCGGUGUGAUAGAUACCGUGAGGGCGUCGAGCUCAGCCAAAGACGAAGCACCGCCGAGCACGUCCGGUGCCGGAGCCGGUGCUGGAGCAGGUGCGGGAGCCGGUGCGGGAGUCGGAACCAAGGUAGUAGACAUAUCUACAAGCACCUGUUUUGCGGUAGCUACAGCUGUUGCGACUGUCUCAGAUGAUUUCUUCUCAUCCGCAAUCUCAACCUUCUUGUCGAUGUUUUCUUCAGUUAACCUCCGUCUUUCCUUUCUCUCCUCCGUGGUCUCACGGUAGUACUUCUUCCAUGUAGCGCCGUCUCCGACACCCUGCACGCGUCCAUACGACGGUCGAGUCUCCACCGGGAGUCCUUUCAAUAUGUUCAACGCCCGGUUGAAUGGAGUGUCCCACUCGGGCCUCGGCAACGCCUCAGACGGCGAGUCGCUUUCGGCCGCAAUCCUGUGCUGCUCUCUCAGCAAAAGGCACAAGGAUCGUUUACAAAUAUGACUAACGUGCAGUCAAAUUGAUCAGAAACUAAAAUUACCAGCAGUCUCAUGAACUCCAUCGUGACCGAGUUCCUCUUGAAAACCUUCUUCACUGGGUCCCAACGGUGCCAGGCCCUGAGGAUGUCACGCUCCUGCGGGACGGUGAACUCCGCCAAGGGGUCUGGGAUGCCCAGACUCGCGGCUUCCGCGUCCUCCUUGGCCCAUAUGGACCUCUUCCUGCCGUAACCACGGCUUCCGAGGUGGUGGCUCCCAAUGUUCCUCUGUUGAAUCCCCUUCAUGUACUUUGACUUUUUUUGGUAGCUUCAGCCUCGCAAGACGCCUUGAAUAUUUUAAAGUGCUCUGCCGUGAUUGUCGGAUUAUCCUUUACAAUCUCGGAGUAGGGUUCCUUUUUUAUGACGAUCCGAUAUUUCACCCUUGAUUUCCAGGCGGCCAACGCGUCGCUAAACUUGGUCAUGACGUGUUUGUUUAUCUUCUUCAUUGUCGGGUCCUUAUCUGGAUCUUUAUAAUCCUUUUCAUUCCGGCCCAGGAACAAGAAUAUCUGGUGCAGCUUCUUUAGGAGGGAGGGCCUCAUAUUAUCUAUCUUCUUUAGUUUCUCAUCGUUGAUGGUGGCAGUUGUCCGUAUGAUGCAGCCUAUUUGAUUGCCGUAGCACACGCGCGCUUCCUCGAGCGCGGUUGGCUCAAAAUUGCCGUCGUCCACAUCCGUGACCACCAGUCUAGUAGUCACACACACAUUAUAUUCUCGAACCCUUCUCUGCCUAGGACAGAACCCAAUUAAAUUGCAAAGGAACUCCAUUUCUCUAACCCUUCUGACCUAAUGCUCUAAAAUAAAAAAUUUCUCUAACCUAGCCAACCUACUUAAGCUAGCUUGUUAAUCCAACGAACCUAAUUAACCUACCUAUUUAACCUAGUUAGUUAACCUAGUUUACCUAGAUAAUUAACCUAAUUAAACUAGUUAAAUAAAUUUUUGCACUAACCUAGAUAAUUAACCUAAUUAAACUAGUUAACCUGACUAGUUCUCUGUCAAAGCCCUAACUAAAUUUUUGCACUAACCUAGAUAAUUAACCUAAUUAAACUAGUUAACCUAACUAGUUCUCUGUCAAUGCCCUAACUAAAUUUUUGCACUAACCUAGAUAAUUAACCUAAUUAAACUAGUUAACCUAGGUUCUCUGUCCAGUGUUUGUGCUAUAUAUGCAUGAGAGAGAGAGGAGGGGUGGGGGCUUAUAGAGGAUGGCUCCGGUGGUGGCGAGGGAGGCAGUGGUGGUGAGGGAGGCAGGGGCAUCUUCGGUGACAUUGAGGGAGGCAGUUGUGGCGAGGGAGGAUCCGGUGGCUUCGACGGUGGCUCCGGUGGCGUUGAUGAGGCCGCGCGGCUCCGUGGCGUUGGGGGCGGCUCCGGUGGCGUCGACGGCGCGCGGCUCUGGUGGCUCCGGGGGCGUCGACGUCGGCAGGAGACGGCGGCGAAGUGGGGCGACGGUGAAUCGGGGAGACGGCGGAGGGGUGGGUCGAGGGAUUUGGGGGAGAACUGGUGGCCGGGGGGAAAUGGUUUUUUGGUAAACUUAGCGGUAGCGCGUUUCGCAAAACGCGCUAUAAAUAAGGUAGCUAUAGCGGUUUUAGCGAAACGCACCACUGCUAUAGCUAUGUAAUUUCCUUUCAUUUUCUUAUUUCCUUUCCUGUUUCUAUAGCGGGGGCCUAGGAAACGUGUUGCAGCUACAUUAGCUAUAGUGCCUCUUAUGAACAUACGCUACUGCUGCGCCUUUCUCCUUUUUCGCUUUUUCAUUUAUUUUGCCUUACAUUUUAUUUUUCCUUUCUCCUUUUUCUAUUUCUUUCAUUUUCAUUUACUUUUCUAUUUGUUUUUAUUUUAUUUUAUUUCAAUUAGCAGUAGCGCUUUUCAUAGGAAACACGCUACUAAUUAUGUCCUAGCGGUAGCGCGCUUCUUUCAAUCCCGCUACUGCUAUGCGUAGCCUAUCGUCUUAGCAAUGGGAAUAUUAGUAGUAGCGCUUUUACACGUGCAUGCGCUACUGCUACAAUUUUAUCUGUAGCGCCCUUUUCACUCACGCGCUACUGCUAUCUAGCACUAGCGCCCUUUUUUGACCCGCGCUACUGCUAAAUUUCUGUGUAUAAGGUUUUCCCUAGUAGUGGUGGGAAGAUACGCACAUAGGAUUUAACAACAUCAAAUGCGAUAGAUGCUAAACUACGACUAGCUGGUUGUGCUUCCUCCACAGGAAUAGGCGUACUAACUGGUGGAGUUGGGGUUGGCUGUGGUAGUACUGGCCCUUUGGGCACUGGAGCUGCCUUACUAACUGCUCUUGUUUGGGAGCUGUGUGGUAGAGAUGGUGCUGUGUCAACAGGAACUGGGUUACUAUCUGCUGGGGUUGGGGUUAGAUUCGGUGAAGCUAGUUCUCUGUCCAUCGCAGUAGGGGUACAAUCUGCGGGAGUUUGGGUUAUGUGUGGUAGGGCUGGUUCUCGUGCAUGUACAACCGGGGUGCUAUCUCCAGCAAGAGGUAGCACUGUUUUAUUUGAAGACCAUGUUUUUACUCCGCUAGAUACUGGCAUCACCCACUCCAAUUCAAAUGGCUGAUAAACAGGAAACAUAGUUGAAUCUACACACAUUGUAUGAGAGACAGAUGCAAUAGAUAGUGUGGAAAAAAGAGAGCAUGAAAUAGUUGACAUGUAUAUUGUUUAACUAAAACGGAUAGCAUGACAUAAUUUCACAUAUAUGACGUCUAUCUAAAAUGGAUAGCAUAGCAUAACAGAAUUCAAAGAUAUGAUGAAUAACUAAAAAGGAUCGCAUGACAUAAUUCACCUACAUGUUAUCUAAGUAAUCAGGAUCGCAUGAUUUAAGUCACACAUGUGAUUUAUAUGCUAAACAGAGGGCAUUCGAUAUGAUGUCUGAACUAAGAACAUGGUGUUGAAUAUUGCAUAUAUGAUGUCUAAACUAUGCAAUGCAAGACACCAUAUGCAUGAUAUGAGCAGUAUAACCGUGCCAAGUUAGAGCAUACACCUCGGUGGGGGAAUAGGACUGGUCAUCUGUCUCUGAAUCCAUCUCUGAGGAGCUAUCGGGACCCAACAAGAGAUCUGCUUCGACAGGUAGCACUGUCUGUUCUAAAGGCCUUGUUUUCACUCCAGAUUUUUCAUCUCCCACCCAAAUGGCUGAUUCAAGGGAAGAGUAGUUUAAUGUACAAACAUUGUCGACAAACGGAAAUGUAAUGAAGAAAAGGAUGGGCAAGAUAUCAUUCAAAUAUAUGAUGCCUGGUUAAACAGGAUGGCAUUGCACAUUUCACAUAUCUUAUGGCUAGCUAAAAGACAUGAGACUGCAUAAUUCCCAUAUAUGAUAUAGAAACUAAACAGGUGGCAUUACAUAACAUGUCUAAACUAAGCCGAUGACAUAUAUGAUGUCAAAAGUAGGCACUGCAAGGCAACAUAUGCAUGAUAUGACUAACAUCAUCAUGCCAAGGUAGAGCAAACACCUUGGGGGGUAAAUAGGAGUGGUCAGCUGCGUCUGAAUCCGCCUCUGAACAGAUAUCUUCCGCUGGAUUACAAUCUGGAGAUGGGGGGAGGGUUUUCCAUUGAACCCACCAUGGAGCGAUGUCCGCAUGACAUUGUAUUGCCGCGCAAAACUCUUCUCUUUUUCUCUACAUGUUCAGCAUGACUAUGUACAAUAUCUGACAUGCAUACGAAAAAAAUAUGGUGAGAUUAUGUAAGGAGAGCAUGCAGAAAUUUAGAGUGAUGGUAAAAACCAGUGGAUGGAUCCAAAAAUAAUGAUAGCAUGCUGAUGAUUACUUUAAUUUAAUAAAAAGACAGGUGAUGAUUGCAUUACUCUUUGUUUCCCACCCAAGAUGAACAACAUAGGGAUACCCUAGGUGAACCAGAUAUUAGACAGAGAUACUAUUCGUUGCUGCCUCGAUAUGUGCCCCACAACUAAUUUAGAACUCAAGUUUGAACAUUAAUUUGGACCUGACUUGGAGUUCAAGAGGUGAACAGGACGAUAAAGUCGCAAGUAAUUUUAAGCAAUGCAUAACAUAAGCAGAAACAAAAGAGUGCGACCUCUCUUGUGGACCCGUGUACUCCUCAGGUUCAUCUGCUGAGUCGAUGAUGGUGAUGCCGUUGCGGUGGGUGCCGGCGGCAGGGAAGGAGAUCUGAGGCGGCGAAAGACGGUCAGGAGUCGUGAUGUCUGGUUUGGUGGAUGCUUCUGUCGAUGGAGCAGCUCAGGUGAGGUGGACGACGUUGCGGCAGGAGCAGGACAAACCACACAAAGUUCCCUUCGACACCUACCUGUAACUGAAGUAAUUCUGUAAGGGCUCAUUUGGCUUGCAUGAUUCUAAAAAUGCAGGGAUAGGAAAAACACCGGAAUAGGAUAGGAAUGCACAUGGUAAACAGAGCAUUUGUAAGCACAGGAUUUCAGUCAACUUGGGUGUUUGGUUGACAUGAAUUGGAAGAGCAGAGGAAUGCAAAGAAACAUGGCCAAAUUAAAGUGAAACCAUAUGAAAGCGUGUACAGUUAGAAUGUUAUUCUGCCACUAAUGCACUUGUUCUUGUUUUCAUGCAUAGGAUUUUGAAAAGUAGGUCCAGGUGGAUGUUUUGCUCCAUUCCUUUCAACAAAAUGCAUGAAUAAUUGAAUAGUAGAGUGCCACAAUUCCCUAUUGCUAUGUUUUUCCGUUGAACCAAAAUAGCCCUAAUGGAUCGACAUGAAUGUAUAGUAAUAAGUGAUGCAACAAGUGUACAACCUCUUUGUCGUAGCCGUGUCGACCUCAGCAUCAUUUGGUUGGUCGCUGAAGCAGUUGAGGCAGAGGUGGCUGUCGGAGGUGUGGAGGAAGAUCUGAGGAAUCUGUAGACGGCGUCGAGGGCACUGCUCUGUUGUGAUGGAUCGUUCUGUCGUUGGAGCAGCUCCGGUGAGCCGUAAGACGUCAACGCUGAAGCAGCACAAGACAGACAUCGUUAAUCUCAAGUGGGAUUCUAAUAGUAUCUCCAAUAGAUGAUGUAAAAUAGAUGUAAAAUUUACAUCACCAAAAACCGCGUGACUACAACAGAUGAGGUAAAAACUGUUGACUCUGAACUUAACUGUCGAAACUGAAAUUUACUGUGGAAUCUGAAUGUUACUGUCGAAACUGAAUGCAAUGGUAGCAGAGAGGCACUUGACAUGUAGAUUAGGGAGGGAUUGCAGUUCAUCUUCCCCUGAGCCGCCAGCCACCACCGGCCGAACCGGCGGCCCCAGCGCCGCCUCGCCGCCCCGAAACAACUCCCCACCGCCGGUCCGCCGCCGCCCCGCCGCCCCGGCCAGCCCUCUAGCCCCCCCUGCCCCCACCCUGAAGCCUAAGAUAGAUAGUGGGGUACCUCUCCGACGAGCCCCCCUCCCCACUGCGGGUGGUUCUUCCUUAACUCCGGCGAGCCCCCCCUGAAAAUCGACUGACCCAAAAGUUGAUUCAGUCGACUGAAGUGUAGCUAAAUCGGAGCAGAGGAGCAGCACGAGCGAGAGGGAGAGCAGCAGCAGUGCGAGCAAGCGAGAAAGAGCCGGAACAGCAGCGGCAGCAGCGUGAGCGAGCGAGAGCCAGAGCAGUAGCAGCUGGGCGAGCGAGCGAGAGCCGGAGCAGCAGCAGCAGCGCGAGCAAGCAAGAGCCGGAGCAGCAGCAGAUUCGGCUGGUAUGGACGCCGCCGCCGAAGGGGCCUCGCACAGGGGCAGAGCCGCCGUGGAGAUGUCGCCCGCGGCGCCGGCUUCAAGGUAGCCGCUCCAUGGGGGUGCGGGAUGGAGCACCAUCGGCGCCGGGAGGUCGAGUUAAGGAGAAGGUGCGAUGCAAUGAGUGUACAACUUCUUUAAUGGCGCCGAGUAGGCCUCGGCUUCGUCCGAGGAGUCGGUGAGGAUGUUGUUGUUCCGGUGGAGCAGGUUAAGGCGGCGCUGUGGGGAUGGAGCAGCCGCGAUAGAUGAGGCGAUCGUCGGAGCAGCUCCUUGGAGGUGGAGGACGGGGCGGCUGAACCGGCGGGACAACGAGAUGGACGACGGAUCCUCAUCCGGGGAGGUGGACGAGGGACGUAGAGCUGUUGCGGUGGAUGAUGUCGUCGGGGAUGAGGCUCCGGUUGGGCAGCGGUGAGGUGGCGACGGAGGAGGGUGGGGUUUCGCGGCUGGAGCGGAGAGGUUAUGGCGGCCUGGGAGUUCGAAUGGCGAAAAGGAGGCGAUGGGAGGGGGUGAACCAUGACUUAGGGACGCGCUUGUCCAAUAUGUAGGGUGUGUUACAAAAGUACCCGCACCGAUUUGCACUAGCGGCCCUUUUGGCUUGGGGUUAGAAGGGGGAUUUUGCGUGUCGGGAUUUGGCAGCUGGAAGGAGUUUUCGCGCGCGUUGUAAUUUCGGGAUAGCAAGGCACGGGUUGUGAAGGCGCCAGUUUUGGGAGCACGAUAUCUGAAUUUUUGGGAUAUAACAAGGCGCGGGUUGAAUUUUAGGGACAAGCCUAACGUGUAAUAUUGUACUUGUACGUACCAAAUCGUGCUCCCAAAACUGGCACCUUGCUAUCCCAAAAAAUUUAGGGACAAGCCUAACGUGUAAUAUUGUACUUGUACGUACCAAAUCGUGCUCCCAAAAUUUUAGGGGCACGAUAUCUUCUUCAAGUAUCCGUAUCCACUUUUUUAUAAUGAAUUAUGAUCUUUGUUCGUCUUUUACAGCUUCACGAUCCUCUUCUAUUUGUAGCUAGCUAGCGCUAACUUUCUAUCAUGCAUGCACACGCUCGCCCCUCUCUCACCCUCCCUCAGCAUCCCCUCCAUCGCGCACGUUCGUUAUUUCUCUUUAGGUCAUUCACCCGCAGUGUGUGUAGGCCCCCAGCUCCUUCUUUCCGGCACACACCGGUCGAUAUACCUCUCUAGCCAAGUGUGCCUACCACAAACACAUAUAUACUUCCCCUCUUCUCUUCUCACCGUCCAUGCCCCCCUAUGUCCAAUACGGUUCCACGCAGGUGCACAUUCCCGCCCCUCUUUUCAUUGAUCUCAUACUCGCACACUCCUCCCCCCUCGACAUGGUAGGCCUAUCACACCACCUCCUAGCCGCACCCCUCUCCCAUGUCUGUCUCUCCGAACCUUAUUUGCUUCUAACACAUGCAUGCAUGUAUACGUACCGAUCUCCCUACAUAUAGCCAGGUCGACUAUAAUUCGUUUUCCCCACGCACCGAUACACUUACCUCGCUAGUUAUGUCUCUCCCUUUCUUGGGCACACUGAGGGAGUCCUGGACUAAGGGGUCCUCAGGCGUCUGGCCUGUUAGCCAUGGGCCGGACUGAUGGGCCAUGAAGAUGUGAAGGCCGAAGACCCUCCGCGUGUCCGGAUAGGACUCUCCUUGGCGUGGAAGGCAAGCUUGGCGACCAAUUAUGUAGAUUCCUGUUUAUGUAACCCUAGAUCUCUCCGGUGUCUAUAUAAACCGGAGAGAGUCCGGAUAGGCCGACACACACAUUAUCAUAACCAUAGGCUAGCUUCUAGGGUUCAGCCUCUACGAUCUCAUGGUAGAUCAACUCUUGUAAUUCUCAUAUUCAUCAAGAUCAAUCAAGCAGGAAGUAGGGUAUUACCUCCAUAGAGAGGGCCCGAACCUGGGUAAACAUCAUGUCCCCCGUCUCCUGUUACCAUCGACCUUAGACGCACAGUUCGGGACCCCCUACCCGAGAUCCGCCGGUUUUGACACCGACAUUGGUGCUUUCAUUGAGAGUUCCACUGUGCCGUCGACAAAGGGCUCGAUCGUCCAUGAUGACGUUGUCCAGGGAGAAACUUUCCUCCCCAGACAGAUCUUCGUAUUCGGCAGCUUCAUACUACGGGCCAACUCGCUUGGCCAUUUGGAGCAGGUCGAUAGCUAUGCCCCUGGCCAUCAGGUCAGGUAUGGGAGCUCUAACUAUGUCGCGGACAUCCGUGGAGACUUGAUCUUCGAUGGAUUUGAGACCGCAGCAACCGCUCCCCUUCGCCCCGAUGAGCACGGCUUAAAUCUGCGAUGGGGCCGCAUCCAAGAGAUAGCUCCUGGGACAACUCCGGCCUUAGAUCUGGAGCAGAUCGGGUCAUCCGAAUACGGGAAGCUUAACCCCAUCACGGAGGCUGUCGAGUCCGCGGCGUUGGAGCCGCACACAGAUUCUGCUUCAUAUGAUAUCUGUAUCAAUAGAACCCCGGACUCGUCUCCGGCGAUAAGUUCUGAACCCUGCGAGUCCGCGAAUACCGAACUCGAUCGGUUAUCGAUCUUCAAGUUCAGCGCCGCAGACAUCUUUCAGCACUCACCUUUGGGCGAUGUGCUAGAUUCUUUUAAGAAGCUGUCCUUGCCAGGGAACUCACGGCCAAACUAUGACCAGUUCGGGCAAGGGGCUAACGAGGGGGAAUUUUGUUUCCCACCCAUCACCCACUUCAUAGCCACCGUCGAUGACUUAAACGACGUGCUUGACUACGGCUCCGGAGACAUCGACGGUGUGGACGACGAUGCCAAUCAGGAGCAGGGACAGGACCCGCCAUUCACUGGACCCUGGACGGCCACUUCCUCAUAUGAUGUCUACAUGGUAGACAGGCCAAAAAAUAACAGCAGCGAUGGCGGGGAGAGUCCAGCAAAGGAGGACCCCCCCUAAAACAGAGCCAAAGUGCCGACUUCAGCGGCGCCUAAGUCCCGCCGCAGCAGGGACAACAAUACCAGCACAGGAGAUGACAACACUCCGGAUGGCGCCGAAGAAACAGAAGAACCCGAUGAGCAAACUAUCGAGUGAGACAAUCAGGAGCCAUGGCAAGUCAACCCUGACGAACAGGCCGCAGAAGAAAAUUCGGAGGAUGAUAGUUACCAUCCGCCCUCCGAAGAAGAGACGAGCCUCGACAACAAAGACUUCAUCGUGCCUGAGGACCCUCUGGAACAGGAGCGCUUUAAGCUUCAACUAAUAGCCACUGCAAGGACCCUGAAGAAGAAACAACAACAGCUUCAAGCUGAACAAGACCUGCUGGUCGACAGAUGGACCGAUGUCCUGACAGCUGAAGAAUAUGGCCUUAAGCGCCCAGCCAAGAGCUACCCGAAACGCAAAUUGCUACCUCAGUUCGAUGAGGAGGCACCGGAGGAACACUUACCUCCCUUGCGUAAUGUGGAACGACCACCUCGAGUCCGAAACAGUGCGGCGGACCGACCACCCCGUGGUCCGGAUAAAGCGGCAACUCAAACCGAGCAGCAGCCUGCUCCACCGCCCCGUAAAAAUAGAGACAGAACAACUCGAGAUCACACGUACGACCUGCGGCAGACCCUGCGCAGUAGAGCAGGACAUACAAGAUCGAUCUACGGAUCACGAGGACGUUACUCGAGACACGACGACGGCUACCUAUUCGGACGUGGCAAACCUACCACGCCCGAGCCGAAUGCCGCAGAUGGACUCCAUCAGAGCUACGUCGCGAUGCGGCCCGAUACAGAGGCGCCGCACACCCCCUCUACUUCACGAACAAAGUACUGGAUCACGAUUUCCCUGAGGGGUUCAAGCUCGUCAAUAUGGAAUCAUAUGACGGCACAACCGAUCCCGCGGUAUGGAUCGAGGACUUUAUUCUCCAUAUCCACAUGGCUCGCGGAGAUGAUCUCCACGCCAUCAAAUACCUCCCACUAAAGCUCAAAGGGCCGGCUCGGCACUGGCUUAACAGCCUGCCUGAAAAUUCCAUCGAUGACUUAAGCCAUAUAGUUCAACAACCUGGAGAAUCAGCCAGGCAGUUCUGGACUCGGUUCCUAACCAAAAAGAACCAAAACGUCGACUGUCCGGAUGCCGAAGCCCUAGCGGCCUUUAAACAUAGCAUCCGUGACGAAUGGCUCGCCCGCCACCUCGGCCAGGAAAAGCCAAAAUCUAUGGCAGCCCUCACGGCACUCAUGACCCGCUUUUGCGUGGGUGAGGAUAGCUGGCUGGCUCGCAGCAAAAAUAUAGCUAGCGAAACAGACCCCUCCGAGGUCAAAAGCAGCAGCGGCAGGCUCCGACGUAACAUGCAUAAACGCCGAAACAACAGUGACAACACCGAUGACACUGCAGUCAAUGCCGGAUUCAGUGGCUCCAAGUCCGGGAAACGGAAGAAACCGUACAAAGGGAACAAUCAGGGACCGUCCAGCUUAGACCGCAUUCUUGAUCGUCCGUGCCAGAUACAUGGCACCCUAGAUAAACCAGCCAAUCAUACCAACAAGGAUUGUUGGGUUUUUAAAUAGGCAGGCAAGCUAAACGCCGAAAACAAGGAAAAGGGAUCACAAAGUGAGGACGACGGUGAAGGGCCCUGGCAACCGAACACAGGGGGACAAAAGAAGUUCCCCCCCAGGUCAAAACGGUGAACAUGAUAUAUGCUACACACAUCCCCAAAAGGGAGAACAAGCGCGCACUCAGGGACGUCUAUGCGAUAGAGCCAGUCGCCCCAAAAUUCAAUCCGUGGUCGUCAUGCUCGAUCACCUUCGGUCGUCGAGAUCAUCCGACUAGUAUUCAUCAUGGCGGUUCAGCCGCACUAGUCCUCGAUCUGAUCAUCGAUGGAUUCCACCUGACACGUGUCCUUAUGGACGGCGGCAGCAGCCUCAACCUUCUCUAUCAGGAUACAGUGCGGAAAAUGGGCAUUAACCCCUGACGGAUCAAGCCCACAAAGACUACCUUUAAAGGAGUCAUCCCCGGCGUAAAGGCCCGUUGUACGGGCUCAAUCACGCUGGAGGUGGUCUUCGGAUCUCCGGACAACUUCCGCAGCGAAGAACUCAUCUUCGACAUCGUCCCCUUUCGCAGCGGCUAUCAUGCCCUGCUCGGACGAACUGCGUUUGCCCGAUUCACUGCGGUGCCCCAUUAUGCUUAUCUUAAGUUCAAGAUGCCCGGUCCACGCGGCGUUAUAACAGUCAAUGGAAAUACAGAACGUUCUCUCCGUACAGAAGAACACACCGCCGCCCUAGCAGCAGAGGUACAGAGCGGCCUUCUCAAGCAGAACCGGAAUCCGGCCGCCGAGCCCCUGGACACAGUCAAAAAGUCCGAACCACGCUGCAGGAGGACAACCCUGCUCGUCAUGAGCUCAACUAGCAGUCCGACCUCCGUCCGGGCCCUGAUCACAUAGUAGCGCGAGUACCAUGCGUACAUAACUACCCACUCAAAAUACCAUGGGCACCGACGGAGGUAUACCUUGUGGUCCAUAGUACGGUUCGACCGACCUGGGACUCACUCAUACUUUCAUCCUUUUUCUUCUUUUUUAUUUGUUUCAGGUUCCUUUUCCCGCGGGCCUGAUCACCAGUCCUUUCGCAGGAUCGACACACAAGGGCGGCAAGCAGCAUAGGUGUGUAGGGUAACCUCUAUACAUUCUUCUUGACGGUAUUUCUACUUAUUUCUCAGGACCCACAUGCUGCGUGUCAGUACCCCGAUUCUAAGUCACACCGAUCUAGCCUGUAACACCUCAUAUCACUUUGCGGCCUCACGCACGGUAUUCCCACGGGUGUCGCCUUAUCAUGGCCCGGGACCAUUUGCGCCUUUUGGCUCACGUAUAUGAUAGUGUCGCUAGCAUCCAUAUGACAGAGAACCCGGGCCGACAUGACUAGUCGUGAACCCAAAGUGGCACAAACUUACGGGGACAGGCAUACAUGAAUCAACAUCGAGCAUGUCGGUCAGCAGCGUGCGAAUCCGGGCUGUAGCACUGGGCUAACAGGACUCUGGGAACCCGGGCUGUAGCAGGCUAGGCAGGACUCCGGAUGUCACCGCGUGACAUUUCCCCGAAGGGACAGACACAGGAACGAAGUGAAACACAUGCCGUCUAGUCAAGUGUUCCGGAACAGUAGUGCUGGGCUAGCAGGACUCCGGUGAACCAGGCUGUAGCGGACUACUAUGGCUCAUGGAAGCACAAGACUACAUUUCCCCAUAAGAGAGGCCACCAAGGAUAAACAACUAGGUUGUCGGAUCCCACACAUACCAAGCAUUUCAAUCAUACACACAAUAUGCUCGAUAUGUGCAAAUACAACAUGGCAUCACAACAAGACUCUACGACUCAGAGUAUUUAUUGAUUAGGCUCUGAAGAGCCAGAUAUUACAAACAUGGGUCUCUCGACCCAGCAUUCAGAGCAUACACGUCAAACACAUGCGGAAGCUUAACAUGUCUGAGUCCAGACAACUAUAAAUGAAAAGGCUGAGAAGCCUGACUAUCUACUAGAUCCUGUCGAGGGCACAAUAUCGCAGCUGAGGUAACAAGCUAAUGGUCGAAGUCCAAGCGGUACUACUAGCGGGGCUGAAGUCUCUCUGCAAAAACGUAAAAUAGGCAAAUGUGAGUACAAAUGUACCCAGCAAGACUUACAUCAGAACUAUCUACAUAUGCAUCAGUAUCAAAAGCGGGUGGUGGAGUUUAACUGCAAUAAGCCAGCUUUGACUCGGUGGCUAUCCUAAACUACAACUGCAAGUAACUCUUUUGAGGUGGCGCACACGAGUCCACAUAUUCACCAUUUCAAUACACCACUAUGGAUCCGUUCCCGUCUCCCUACGAGAACGCCAUCCAUAGCACUCACCCUUAUCUUGCGCAUUUCAGAGUAUCCACUUUCACUUGUCUAUGAACUGUUAUAGGCAACCCAGAAGUCCUUUACCGCGGACACGGCUAUUCGAAUAGAUGAUGUUAACCCUGCAGGGGUGUACUUCUUCACACACGCUCUCGCCACUUACCGCCAUGUACACAUCAUGUAUCUCGGCAACCUUCAAGCGGAAGCCUGGCGAGGGUGUCGGCCACGGCCUACCUAAACACUCAAGUCUCUAGUCCAGGUUUAUCGCCUAUUCAGGUUCCAUCUGCAGGGAGUCCGCCCGAGGUUUCCACAUACGGCCCCGAACGAUGUGUGCAGGGUUCCCGAGACACCGAACGGGCGCCCGGUACACCGUGCCACGUGCCUACCGCAUCAUAGCCCACCCCUCGAGUCAGCGCUGCCCACGGCCUCCAGCAUACUACAAAUACCAGAAACUACUUACAACUCCUGGACAGAGGACAAGGGUGGUUAAGAAGCCGAGAGAGUCAAUUAAGGAUCCCAAUGUGUGGUAGUAGCUGUUCAUGGAUCACAAACACAGAACUCAGUUCCUGAGGACGGUUUCAAUGAGACAACCCACCAUGUACUCCUACAUGGCCUCUCACCGCUACCUUUACCAAUCGUGUUCACACACUUAGCUCACACACAAUAGGACAUGUUCAUCACCACUCCAAUUCAUCCCCGAUGAAUCAGACCCGACUCAACUCUAAGCAGUAGCAGGCAUGACAAACAAACAUGAAUGAGUAGGCACAUCAGGGCUCAAACAACUCCUACUCAUGCUAGUGGGUUUCAUCUAUUUACUGUGGCAAUGACAGGUCAUGCAGAGGAUAAGGGGUUCAACUACCGCAACAAGUAACAGUUGAAUCGUUGUUGUCCUAAUGGAGUAAAAGAGAGCAGGAGCGAGAGAGUAGGAUUGUAUCGGAAUGAACAAGGGGGGUUUUGCUUGCCUGGCACUUCUGAAGAUAGUAUAGUUCUUCAUCGGUGUCAUCGAACUCAUCGUCGGAACGUCGUCUACUGAGAGGGGGCAAUUACCGGCAAACAAGGAAGAAUACAAUCAAUGCAAUGCAACAAUAUGAUGCAUGAUCAUGACAUAGCAAUAUGCUGUGAUUUGGGCUAAUGCAAUAGAAAGUCAUUUUAAUUGAAGUGGAAUUCAAAACUACAUCAAAUUCCAACUCCAAACCUAUUAUGAAAUUUGCCCUAAUCAUGUUUCAUCCUAAACAGUGAGGUUAACUUGCUCAAACAUGCAUGAAAAUGACAUAAACAGAUUCUUUGGAUUUUUCUAAUCAUUUUUCAUAUAUAAUUCUUUUCAAUCUGAGUUAUAGAUUAUUUUCUAUGAUUUUUAGAAGUUUGCUACAUUUUCUGGAAUUUCCUAUAUAAAAAUAAAUCCAAAAAUUCCUUUACUGCGUCAGCAUGAUGUCAUCACCGCGUCAGCGAGUCAACGGGCUGGCCAGGGUCAAACCUGACCAGCGGGACCUACUGGUCAGUGACCCUGGGUUAGUUAGGUCGCCGACAGGUGGGCCUGGUCAACGUUGACUAAGUCAAAGUCAAGCUGACACGUGGGGUCACAUGCUUAGCACUAAUCUAAACAUAAAAAUGGGCGCUGGGGCCCACAUGGCAGUGGCUCUAGGGUGAUUAGCGCGGUCAUUAGUCUAAAUAACUUGUGGUUAGGCCGGAGUUUAGCCGGCGGCGACAGCACGCACGGCGGAGGCUCACCGGAAUUCCUCCUCCGGCGGCCUAAAGCGCGAUGGAGGGCAUCUACGCGUUGCUUGUGCUCGUCCGCAUCGAGCAGUACAAGCAGCAGUGGCUAGGGCGGCCCGUAGCGACGGCAAUGGCUACAAGUGCGGUCACCGGAGCUCGGUGGUGCACGAGCGCAGGGCUACGGCUCGCCCUCGAGGGAACCAGGUAGCUAGGCCGCAUCUAGGGGGCCCUAGGAGCACGGUGGGCAGCACAGAUGGGCGUGGUAAGCUCAGAGGUGAGCAGGAGGUCGGCCAUGGCGGGCGACGGCCUCGGGAGCUCGUGGGGCGGCGGCUAGAGGAAGCUAGCGAGAGGGGAAGGUGAGGGGAAAAGCUCAGGGGCUCACGGUGAUGUCGGUAGGGUGGUCAGUGGGCUCGGGGACGCGCUCGGGGCGACGAAUCGACAACGGCGAUCUCCGGCGGCCGAAGCUCCAAGACGAGGUCGAGGGCGACGAUGCGGGGCUUCCGGCGUCGCGUGAGUCGGCGAUGAGGAAGAGGGCAUCGCAGCGGACCUCGGGGACAGCUUGGAGAGACGAGGAGGUGGCUGUGGCCGCGGUGGUCGGCGAUGGUGGCGACGGGUGCGCUCGGGUGGGUGAGAGAGAGGGGUCCAGAGGAGGGGAACGGGGAAGAGGGGGAGAGCGAGGGGGUUCAGACGGCUCCAGGGGGUCGGGGCGUGUGCGUGGCGUGCUCAGGGCGCCUCGGGGAAGCAGGAGGUGGCUCGCGCGUGGACGCGCGCGGCGAGCACACGCCUCUGUCCUCCUGGCGAGAGGAGAGGGACGACUGGCAUCGGCAGGUGGUGGGCUGGGCCAGCCGGCUUGCUGGGCCGCCAGGUGAGCGUCAGGUAAGGCCCAGGUAAAACCCUUUCCCCUUUUGUUUCUGUUUUCUAUUUCUGACAUUUGUUUUAAUUUGGUUUUUGAACCAAAUCAAUUCAUUUUCUUCUGAAAGUUAUUAUAGGAACUAGUUGGAUUGUUCCAAAGCCCCACACUAAAAAUCAGAAUUAUUGGACAUAUAUUAAAUAUAUAACUUUUAUAAAUCCAAUGCAAAUAGUUAUUCAAUUAAUUUCAAAUGCCCAAAAUAAAUAUUUCUAAGACUCCAAAAAUAUUGGUUUGAAUUUUAGCUCUUGCUAAUAUUUUCAGGGAUUAGCAGGAACAUUUGUUGGGCUCAUUUGAAAAUAUUUUAAUGUUGAUCAUUAUUUUAAAAGAUUUCUGAGGCUUGAGAAUUCCCUCAAUUCAAUUUCCUUGAAUUUAAGAUGAUGCAUGGAUGCAUAUGCAAGGACAAGCAAAGGCCAAAGCUAGGGCUGUGACAACUCGCCCCCACUAAACAAGAAUCUCAUCCCGAGAUUCAAGACGUGAGGUAAGAAGACAGAGGGGACACAAAGCUAACACGAUCUUCAGGGUCCAACUGUCCUUCUCGAAGAUGUUGACUCAUUGCUUCAAAUUGAUCUUGACGUCUUUGCCUUCGAGAUCUUUAUCCAACACGAUGAUGGCAGAAAGAAACUCUAUAGAAAUCGAUCUCCUUAAAGAUCAAGAACUCACGAUCAACUCACGGAGUGAGACGUUGAACAUCUCUUGAGCUGAGACUCAAACACAUACAUCGGGAGAGGUGGAUAGUAACAGAUGACGAGGGUUCAAGUUGGUAAGCACAACACUUAAGUAAGAUGGUGCAAAGUUUCAGAGUAGCGAGGAGUUGAUUGCAAUGAUUCUGAACGGGGCACCUUAGGGAAGGUGACUCGUAGAAUUAGUGGCAAAAAGGAUUACUUUUGAUACGGAGAUCAUUGGAACUCUUCUUACCGGCCUAAGGCAAUUUACAAACGAUCCUUUGAUGGAGUUCGAAAGAGUGGCAUACUCAAACUAGAGUGGAUGAUGUGGACUACCUUGUUGAAGACAACGCAAUGGAUUAUUUUUGCUUAUCAUCGGAUGUGGAUGGGACCCAUGGUAGGACCACUUUUGAAGAUGAUCCUGAACAGCAAUUACUGAGAAGGGUAGCCCAUGGAAAAUUGGCACAAUGGCGGUGCAAGCUGGGAACAAAAUGCAAUUUUUGGGAAUGUUCCAACCAUCAUAUAUGCCUGAGAUUCAGAUCUGGUUGGUGUCAGGAUAUUCCAGACUCAUCAAGUCUACAAGAAAAAUGAAGGUUUGCAACACAAAUCGACGAGAUGCCGUUGCGAGAUUCUCGGGAAAUGGACUACGGUAGUAAGCUCCAAACAUGAGCUGGUUCUGCUACAAACAUGUGAACACGUUGUCCCAGACAAGCAUGCCCACAUGGUAGUCUUACAAUAAAACACUACCAAGUUCUGGUUGGGAACCAUCAACGAGGAUAUCGAAGUUCUUUCAUAAGUCCGGAUUAGCUCUUAUGAAGGAAGUCCUUCUCCUUGAACAAAUCAGUCAGUGGCUUGGUGUGUUAGAGAAUUCAUAUGGAAUGAAGAUGAUCAGUCUAACAGACCACGGAAUACUUCGCACGUGCAUAACUGACUUGGGAUGAUUCCAGAGGAGGCAAAACAAACUUUCUUGAAUUCACGGCGGCAACUUGCAUCAAUGCACGUGAACUAAGAGGAAGUCACUACUUAUGUCGGGUGGUUGGUGCGACAUAUGCCAAGGGAUGGCUUAUCAUUGUGGGAGCCAAUAAAACGUCGCCGGUGCCUGGAAACGGGAUGAGGCGAAGACAUGCACGCCGGCGAAUCUUACCCAGGUUCGGGGCUCUCCGAGGAGAUAACACCCCUAGUCCUGCUCUACGGGGUCUCCGCAUGAUCACUAGAUCGAUAAAAGGUAGCUACAAUCGCUCCUAGAGCUGUUGAGAUCAAGGGAGAAGAAGAACAAGGCUAGCUCUUGCUUCUCUCUAUCUAUGGUGUGUGUGCUAUGCUUAGAAGGCAACUCUAUGCUCAGAAGCCAACUAUGCUUAGAUGCCAACCCUUUGCAUGGGUGCUCCGGGGGGUUUAUAUAGGCCUACCCCCCGGGGGUACAAUGGUAAUCCGGCUGGGCUCUGGUCCCAGCCGUCAGUGUCUACGCUCGCCGGCUUCUCCGCCGGCUGGUGGGUCCCGCCGGCUGGUGGGUCCCGCCGGCUGCCGGCUACUUGGUCAACAGGCCGGCCCCACCGCCUAGGGUCUUGUCAGCGGCUGCUUACUGUUGCCUCGCCUGUGAUGACGAGGGCUUUGUCUAGGUAAGCGUGGCUACAGUGGGCCGCCUCGGGGGCUAUCACUGUAGCCUUACCUCGUCUUGUCUCCUUAAUGGGGCUCCUGCUUCGAGGAAGGGAAUAGCCGGCUUCUGGAGGCCGGCUACGCUCUUGGCCGACUGGGAAAGACCGGGCCGCCUUCACGCCUCUCUCUGGCUGAAGGGGCCCGCCGCCCGCGGGCCGUACGGGAGUCGGUCGUGGGUGACGUCGAGGCUAGUAUGGCUACAGUGCCGGGCCGCACGGGAGUUGGCCGUCCCGUACGGCCUCCUGUAGCCAUGCCUGCCUCGGGCUUUGGGGGUAGUGGGCCGCACUGUGGCCACACCCCGUUGCGUCGCCGUUAUGUGGGAGUGGCUUGAAGUGGUUGUGGUCUUGGCCGGCUCCUAGGAGUCGGCGUCCUUCUUGGCCGGCUUCUUGGAGUCGGCCACCCCGUAGUCGUCCUGGGGAGGAGUUGGUGAGGCUGGGUCGCCUUCUAGGAGUCGGCUUCAGAGGUAGCCGGCCAGGGAAGGCGGCCCAAAUGCUCGGAGUGCUUGGAGGCCCGAAGGCCUGAUAAUUUUUUCAGAAGAACCAGGGGCAGUCGGUUAGGCUACCCGUGGCCAUUUACUCCGACAGUAGCCCCGAAGCUGAUCGGGCUUCGAGGCGGAGUGGGGGUUGAGAAGCUCGAUCGGCUUCCUAUCGUGACAAGCCGGCAGCUGGGAGCCGGCCUUGGUCAGGCGCGUCGCCUGAGUCGAAAUCUUCUGGAGUCGGAGGGCGGGAACCCGCUGGCACGUGCAUCGGGCCGCGGGCCGGCCACGGGCCGUCGGCGAACCACGUGGCCGGAAAGCCUGCCAGCCCACGCGCAUGACGGGAUGUCGCCGCAGGGAGGGGGGCCGCCACGUCCGCGCCGCGGCCCAGGCGCGGAUCCUUUGUAUCCCGAAACCGCCCGCACGUUCCGUGCGGCAGUUUCGGCUCGCACUUAUGCGCAAUAAUCGCGAGACGUGGGGGGAGUGGGCGUAGUUAAUCCCACGUCUCCCCCCCCCCCACGUCCGGCCUCUUCGGCCUCGUGAGGCUAUAAGUAGGGGGAGGUGGAGGGCGGCAGGCCCUCGCACGCUCCUCCUACUUCCACCGUCUUCUUCGUCUUGUUAGUUCUUGCGACAGCGCCUCGCCGCCGCGCUCUUCCACCGCACGCUCCUCCGCCGUCAUGCUUGCUUUCGCCAUGCCUCCCACCGUAGAGCAGCUUGGCGGGGAUUGGGACGGCUCCAACGUCCAUGACGACCACGUCGACUUUCUCCGCGACACGCGGCGGCUGCCCAGCGCAGACAAAGUGGAGGUCCGCCUCGCGCCGGUGAAGGAAAUCAGGCCGCAGCCGCAGGAGGGCGAGCGGGUAGUCUUCCGCUCGCACUUCUUGCGCGGCUUCGGCCUGCCAGUGAGCGCCUUCUUCCGCUCCUGGCUCGAAUUCUAUCAGCUUCAGCCGCACCAUCUCACCCCCAACACGGUGGUGCUGCUGUCGGCCUUCGUCACCCUGUGUGAGGGCUAUCUCGGCGUCCUCCCCACCCUUGAGCUCUGGGGGGAGUUCUUCCAGUCGAAGCUGGGCACGCGCAGUAAAGGCGUGCCGGCUCAUACUGGCGCCUUCAUCGCGUCGCGGAGAUCGGGCGCCGACAACCCCUUCCCCGUCAUCACGUUGAUCCAAUAGGUGAAGAAGUGGCAGAAGUCGUACUUCUACGUGCGGAACAUUGCUCCACGGGGCGACUACAUCAACCUGCCGGCUUACGUAGCCGGCCCACCGGCGGGGAGGCUGCCCCAGUGGUCCUUCCGGGCGGUGACGCUGUCACAGGCUGGAAACGCCGCCAUCGCCCGACUGCGGGUGAUGGUCCAGUCGGAGGGCCUAACGGGGCCCGAUCUUCUGGCUGCGUUCGUCAUGCGCCGGGUCCUUCCGCUCCAGAGCCGGCCUCAUCUGAUCUGUCAAAUGAGCGGCCAGCUCGAUCCGAGCCGGAUGUGCACCAAGGAGAUGCCGCGCCAUGAGGUCGCCUACAUGGUGAACUACCUUGCAAACUGCCAACUCACUUAAGAGUGGUAGUUUGCCAAGGAGCCAUAUAGCCGAGCCAAUCCUCCGCCUACGGUACGCUCCCCUUGUCUCUUUUUCUCUCUCUCUCAGCCUUGUUGCCGAGCAUCUCUUGGCCGACUCUAACUUAGUCGGCUUGUUCUUUGACAGAGCCCUCUGCUUCGGCCGGCCGGUGGGUCAGACGUGGAGCGCCGCUUCGUCCCCGACCGGACCGAGCACGACCUGGAGGACCCCGACCUGGGGGCGGUCCAUAUGGACGACGUCGUCGAGCCGGGCGGUGGCCAAGCCGGCGGCGAAGCAGGCGGCUCCGGGUUCACUGCUACCUUUGACGACUGGCCGGACGAGGAUGAAGCCGAAGCCGUCCCGCGCCGCCAGCCGGCAUCUGGACGCGGCGCGGGCUCCUCCACCGCGCAGCCUGCUCGGGGUGGAGGGCAGAAGCGUCGCGCCGCCCAGGGUCUAUUCGGCAGCCGAACGAAGAAGCCCAGGGGCGGGGCGGCAGCCACCAGGCGGGAAGAGGCGGCCGCGAAGGCGGCUCGUUUCCGCAAAGUGGUGAAGCAACCGCAGACCAUGUCCGCGUAAGUUCUCUUUCUAUGUGUACUCUCUUUCUUUCUUUCUUUGGUGGUUCUGAACCUUUGUCUUUUUCUUCAACGAUCAGAGCUCUGUUGUCACUUGAGCGGGCAGCUGCCGGCUCAGUCGUCGAGUCGCCAAGGGGCUCUGGGAGCACCACCCGCCGCGUGGACCCCCGCGCCGACCUCCAGGAGGCGACGGAAAGGAACGCGCGGGAGGCGCGGGAGGAGCAGGAGGCACGGGAGGUGGAGGCUCGGAAGGCGUCCGCCGCCUAGGCGGCUCGGGAGGAGGAGGCGGCGAAGGCACUCGCCGAGGCCGCAGCCAGGGCCCAGGCAGAGGCUGAGGCCGCGUCGACGGCGGGGGAGGUUUUGAUAGUCACCCCCCUGCGCGCCAUGGCGCCUGGGGACAUGGAGCCCUCGCCAGGGGGAGUCAGCGGCGACCAGCCAGGACUGGCGGGAAGCGGCGACGACGUCAUCAUCUUGGAGAAGGCGUCGGAGCCGACCCCUCCGACUGGGGCGGCCCAAGGUGGCUGGCCUGAACCGCCGCCUGCACAGUCGGCGGAGGGCGAGCCGGCCGCGGGGGUUGAGGUGGCGGUCAGGAUUCCGCCAAGCCGACGUGCGGGGAAGGCCGUGUCGGAGCCGCAGAAGGCUGCGUCGGAGCCACAGCCGGCCGUGGGCUCCAGCUCGUCGGCCCAAGAUGCGGAGGCGGCCAGCGCUACCUCGAGGUGGACACUAGGCGGAGGGACGGCCGUGGUAAACGUGGCUGCACAAGACGUCCGGACCCGGCUCCAAGGCCAAGCCGCAGCGCUGAGGCAGUUCACCGACGAGUUCCUCGCAACGAGGGCGGCCAUCCGGGUUAGUAUUCCCAUCUUGUUCUUUCUUGAUCUUGAUUUCUCUUCUUGAUCUUGAUUUCUUCCGUGGGGGCGCGUCAGCGCACCCACUGGGUGUAGUCCCCGAGUUCCGAGUCGGCUGCUGAGCAGGCGGCUUGGAACUUCUUGGAGGUUUUUGUCUUUGCUGUUUUUGUUCUCACUUCGGUCUUCUGCCCAUCUUGCAGGACUACCACAACCUUCGAGCGGCCGCCUUCAACUCCCAGGCUCGGGAGCUGACUCAGAAGACCGCCGACCUUACUGAGAGCCGAGGUACGUGACUUGAUCUUUAUCUCAUGUGGGGGCGCGUCAGCGCACCCACUGGGUGUAGUCCCCGAGAUUCGGGCCGACUGCUGAGCAGUCGGGUUGGAUCUUCCUUGACGACUUCUUCCAACUUUGCAGCGGCCAACGCCAGUCUGAGGGCACAGCUGGGGGAGUCCCAGAUUGCUCUUCGUGCCAAGGAUGCCGAGCUCGCCGCCUUGGUGCAGGAGCGCGACCGCUUGGUCAAGAAGCUGGCCGACCAGGAGGAAGGCCACAAGGCAGCGCUGAAGGCUGCACAGGAUCGCGAAGCCGCUCUCCAGGCCGAGUUCGAGACGGAGGCGGCUGGCUGGGCUGAGGCCAGGCAGACUCUGGUCUCUGGCUACGGCCAGAUCGAAGAUCUGGUUGACGGUAAGCUGCCUACCUCUCCGUCCUUUCUUGCCGUCUGCCACUUUGGCUUGUUUUUCUGAUUUUGGUGUUCCUUUCUUCCUUUCUCCUUGCAUAGAGUAUUUCCCUGGCUAUUCAACUGCCGCCAACCAGACCAUCGAGGCCCGUCGCCAAGCGAAGAGGCAAGCUGGCUUUGAGAUCUCGCCAACCGCCGGCCGCUCGCUGGAGGAACAGCUCCUGGCGAUCCAGGCUCGCAUCCAGCUGGCUCACCGGCUGCUCCGCCGGCUUCAGCAUGCCGGGGCGCAGGUCUUGGCCGCCCUCUGGCUCGGCCAAGCGGUCCCUCGCACCCCCAGUCAGACCGCCGACUGGCUGGAGGUGGCAGUCGGCCGCCUCGAGGCUUGGAAGGCGUCGGCGGCUCACUCCGGUGCCAGGCGGGCGCUGGAGUUCGUCAAGGCCUGGUAUCCCGGCCUGAACCUGGACCAGCUGGCUACCUGGCGGCAGCAAGCCGACACGGAGCUGGAGCCGGCGCGGCCGGCCAUCAUCCGGCGGGCUUCGGCGAUCGCCGACUACACCGACACCAGUGUCUUCGCCCCCGAGGUGGACGACCAUGGAGUUGCCCAGCCGGAGGAGUGGUUCGGGCUGGACCCGGCGUAUGGCGAAGACUCAGCGGAGGAGAUCGACUCCAGUGACGAGGGUGAGGAGGAGGAGGAGGAAGGUGAGGACGCCGAGCCGGCUGGUGGAGCAGCCGGCCAGCCUCAGCCUGACCGCACCUCCAGCACCACGUCGCGCGCGAGUGCGUCGCCUGCCGUAGGUGGUGGCCAAGCCGAGACCCGCUAGGCGGCCACUCCUUCAGCCGGCGAGGCCGCCUUCACCGACCAACUCGGCCUCCAUGUCGCGCCCUUAGUCCGCCAUUUUUUUGCUUUUCCUGUCUUGUUACUCUUUAGAACAAUGUUUGGUUAAAUUCUGCACAAUUCCACCCACUGGGUGUAUUCGAACUUAUGUCUGUUGCUGCCUGUUGGCGGCUUUAUGUAUAUAUAACUUAUGCAAUUGGCCUUUCCUUGUACUUUUGCUUUUUUGUCCUUCUGCUUUUUCCUUUGCCGCCCUCCCUUGGUUGCCGCCUCCCCAAUCAAACAGUUGCUCUGCAAUCUGUAGCCGGGGGAGUGCCUGGCCGAUUGGGGAGGGGGAAGUACUUUAGCUCUGCUGGACUAAAGCUAAGUUUUUUAGGAAGCCGGCCAGCCGGCUGCUCCGGUAGCCGGCAGGCAUGUUUGGAGGCCGUCUCUUUGCUAUAUAGAUUGGUUGUUCCUUAGCCGUUUUUCGUGUGGGCGUCCUUUCUGUCUUUCCUCUUGCUAGUCGGACAGUCAGUUCUUUGAGCUGCGACUUUCAACAAGGGAGGACUCGGGAGCCGGCGCACUACUUUUCUGACUUUAGGACAAACUUUCAAUAUAGCUCAAGGCGGCCAGUCCCCGAGCCGACUAGUCGAACCCGGUGCCGGACAGAAAUUCAAAAUGUAAUAAUACAUUCAUGGAUAUGACACUCGUCAUUCAUAGAUAAAUAAAAGGCAGUCCCCGAGUACUGUUCGGGGGGGCCUGUUGGUUUGUACUUAAUACAAAAGGGGAGCGUGAUACAUACUGCUUUUCAGCUGUAAAAUUGUCUUAGGAGGUUUGCAUUCCAUGGUCGCUCUGACUCCUUGCCGGAGUCGUCUCUCUUGCGUGCUCUUGGUUUUUGCGCGUCGAUCAAGUAGUAGGAGUCAUUGCCGAGUGCCUUGCUGACGACGAAGGGGCCUUCCCAAGGGGCCGAGAGCUUGUGCUGGCCGGCUGUUCGCUGGAUCAGCCGGAGCACAAGGUCGCCCUCUUGGAAGGAUCUUGGCUUGACCUUGCGGUUGUAGUAGCGGCGCAGCCCUUGCUGGUAGAUGGCGGACCGACUGAGGGCUAACAGCCGGCCUUCUUCCAGUAGGUCGACGCCGUCUUCUCUUGCUUCUUUGGCUUCCUCCUCCGUGUACAUGGUGAUCCGAGGCGAGUCGAACUCGAUGUCUGUUGGGAUGACAGCCUCGGCACCGUACACGAGGAAGAAUGGAGUGAAGCCGGUUGACUUGUUGGGUGUAGUGCGCAGACUCCAGAGGACAGCCGGCAGCUCUUCGAGCCAGCAGCCGGCCGAUCGCUCCAGUGGUACAACUAGUCGGGGCUUGAUGCCGGAGAGGAUGAGUCCAUUUGCUCGCUCGACCUGGCCGUUUGACUGUGGGUGGGCAACGGACGCUAAGUCCAGUCGGAUGCCCUGCGUCGCGCAGAAACGUGCCAGUGCUCCUUUGGCGAAAUUCGUGCCGUUGUCGGUGAUGAUGCUGUGCGGCACGCCGUACCGAGUAGUGAUGUCGGUGAUAAAUGUUACGGCAGUCGGCCCAUUGAGCUUCUUGAUUGGCUUUGCUUCAAUCCACUUUGUGAACUUGUCCACAGCAACAAGUAGAUGUGUCAGGCCACCGCGGGCUGUCUUGAAAGGGCCCACCAUGUCCAGUCCCCAGACGGCAAAAGGCCAAGUGAGGGGAAUGGUCUUGAGGGCAGAAGCCGGCAGGUGUUGCUUGGAACUACAAACUUGGCAUCCUCUACAACUCUUGACUAUUUCUUUAGUAUCCUCCAAGGCAGUCGGCCAGAAGAAACCGUGGCGGAAAGCCUUGGCCACGAGGGAUCUUGAGGCUGCGUGAUGGCCGCAUUCGCCUUGGUCGAUGUCUUUGAGGAUUGCCACUCCUUUUUCUGGCUCGACGCAAUGCUGGAAGACUCCAGUGACGCUGCGCUUCACAAGCUCUCUGUUGAUUAUUGUGUAUGCUGCGGCUCGUCGUUGCACUAGUCUUGCUGAGAUCUCGUCAGCCGGCAGCUCUCUGCUGACUAGGAACUUGAGGAUGGGCUGGGCCCAUGAGGGAGCUGUGACUUCUUCUUCUGUUAAUGUGGCCACCAUGACUCGGGUGGGUGGGUUAGGUGUUGCAUUGGAGUCGGCCACCGCUUCUUGUGUUGUUGCAGUCCCCGGGCCGACUGCUGCAGUCCCCGAGCCGGGUUCUGAAGUCCCCGGGCCGGGUGCGACUACGGCAGUCGCCGGGCCAGUCGUCGAAGUCCCCGUGCCGCCUGCGGGAUUUCUCCAGUCGGAUCCGGCUGUUUCUGGUGCAGGCAGUACGAAGAUGGAAUCCGACUCUGGAGACGGCUUGAUGGACGGCUUGAGGAGGCGCUGGAGGGAGACGCCAGUCGGUAUGGCUUGUCGGGUGGAGCCGAUCCGUGCUAGGGCAUCUGCUUGGUCGUUGUCGGCCCUUGGCACGUGAAGGAACUCGCACCCUUCGAAGUAGCCGCUUAUAUGCUGGACGAGGAAACGAUAGCUCGCCAUGUUCGCGUCAUUGGCGUCCCAGUCGCCAGAUGAUUGCUGGACCACCAAGUCUAAGUCGCCGUAGCACAGGAUCCGGCGUAUGCCGAGUUCUUUGGCUAGCCGGAGCCCGUGUACGAGCGCCUCGUACUCGGCGACGUUGUUGGAGGCGGCGAAGUGGAUCUGCAGCGUGUACAUGAGCUUGUCGCCUUUGGGAGAUGUGAGGACGAUGCCGGCUCCCAAGCCGGUGCGCAUCUUGGACCCGUCAAAGUGCAUCCGCCAAUGGGUAGAGUCGGGAGCCGGCGGUAAGUACUGGGUCUCGGCCCAGUCGACGAGGAAGUCGGCCAAUGCUUGCGACUUGAUGGCGGUGCGGGGUUGAUAGAAGAUCGUGUAGGGCGCCAAGGCAAUGGCCCAUUUGGCCACCCGGCCGGAUGCAUCCCGGCUGCCUAUGAUCUCGGCGAGCGGGGCAGUGCACACGACCGUGAUGGGGUGCUCUUGGAAGUAGGGCUUCAAUUUCUUGGCAGCGAAGUACACUCCAUAGCACAUCUUUUGGUAGUGCGGGUAGUUUUGCUUUGAGCUGGAUAGUACUUCGCUUAGAUAGUACACCGGCCUCUGGACCAGCUGGGCUCGGCCUUCCUCCGGGCGUUGGACCACAACAACAGUACUGACGACUCGGCUAGUCGCGGCGAUGUAGAGGAGCAUGGGCUCCUUCUCAGUCGGCGCUGCCAGGACAGGCGGAGUGGUCAACAUUUUCUUCAACUCAUGGAAGGCUUGGUCGGCUUGAUCAUUCCACUCAAAGUGAGUGGACUUCUUCAUGAGUCGCUACAGGGGGAGAGCCUUUUCUCCUAGUCGGCUGAUAAAACGAUUCAGGGAGGCUAAGCAGCCAGUGAACUUCUGCACAUCUCGCAACUUGGUGGGAAUCUCCAUCCUCUCGAUGGCCUUGAUCUUGACGGGGUUGCACUCAAUGCCGCGUUCGGAGACCAGGAAGCCUAGCAACUGGCCGGCUGGCACUCCGAACACGCACUUCUCGGGAUUGAGCUUGAUCUGGAAUCGGCGCAAGUUGGCAAAUGUUUCUUUCAGGUCUUCCAACAAGGUACCGCGCUUCUCUGUCUUCACCACAAUGUCGUCUACAUAGACGUGGGCAUUUCUGCCAAGUUGUUUCAAGAGACAUUUCUGCAUGCAACGCUGAAAAGUGGCACCGGCAUUUCUCAAGCCGAAUGUCAUUGUCAGGUAGCAGAAAGCUCCAAAGGGUGUGAUGAAGGCAGUCUUCAGGCGGUCAGCCGGGUCCAACUUGAUCUGAUGGUACCCUGAGUAUGCAUCCAAAAAACUUAACAGCUCGCAUCCGGCUGUGGAGUCUAUCACUUGGUCAAUCCGUGGCAGAGCAAACAGAUCCUUUGGGCAGGCCUUGUUCAGACUAGUGUAGUCUAUACACAUACGCCACUUGUUAUUCUUCUUCAAAACCAGAACUGGGUUGGCAAGCCAUUCUGGAAAGAACACUUCCAUGAUAAAGCCAGCGGCAAGGAGCCGGGCUAUCUCUUCUCCCACAAUUCUUCGCUUCUCUUCUGACAGUCGGCGGAGGGGCUGCUUGACCGGCUUCGCAUCAUCUCGGACAUGUAGCUUGUGCUCGGCGAAAUCCUUCGGGACACCCGGCAUGUCCUUUGGGGACCAUGCAAAGAUGUCUCGAUUCUCACGGAGGAAGUCGACGAGCUCGCCUUCCUAUUUACUGUCCAUGUUCGCCCCGAUCACAGCGAAUCUCUCCGGGUUCUCUGGGUCCAGAGGUAUCUUCUUCGUCUCUUUUGCAGGCUGGAAGGAGCCCUGCGCAUCACAAUCCUUGGGGUUGGGGGACAAGGCCGGCUGCUUGCCGGCCAUGGCCACAACCCGUUCCAACAUCUUCUUCUCUUCUGCCACCACGAGGGACUCGGCCAGCCGGCUACUGGCCAUGGCACACUCGAUGGACUUCUUGUCGUCGCCGGCUACCGUGAUGAUCCCCUUCGAGCUCGGCAUCUUCAUCUUCAGGUAGGCAUAGUGGGGCACAGCCAUGAACUUGGCCAAAGCAGGUCGGCCAAGUAGUGCAUGAUAGGGGCUCUCCAAAUCCACUACCUCGAACCAUAUUGCUUCCCGGCGAAAAUGAUCUUUGUCUCCGAAGAGAACAUCCAUUUUGAUCUUGCCGAUUGGAGAGCAAGAUAGGCCGGGUACGAUACCAUGGAAGACGGUGUGGCUCGGCAUGAGCUGCUUCGCUUUGAUGUUCAGCUUCUCCAUGGUAUCGCGGUACAGUAUGUUGAUACUGCUUCCGCCGUCUAUCAGGACGCGGGAAAAUCUGGCAGCUCGCCUCUCCGUCGCGAGGGUGACGUCCAAGACCAUCGCAUAGGAUCCAGGCGAAGGCAUCACCUCUGGGUGGUCGGCCUGGCUCCAGCUGAUUGGCUUUUCUGACCAGUGCAUGAACUCGGUGGUGCUAGAGGCGACUGCAUUCACUUCUUGGUGCUGUCGGCGUCGGCUGCGCUUGUCGUCGGCUUUACUUGUGAAGACGACGUAGGCGGCGUGCUCUUCGGGGAAUUCGUCUUGGAUGGCGCCGACUGCCGGCCGAGCCGCCGGCUGCUGGGGGGCUGGAGGCGGCUGGCCGGGAGGCGGAGGCGGCAACAUUCCCUCACCCUUGGUGAUGCGGGUGAGCCAGUGGCAUUUCCGGGUUGUGUGGUUGGACGGCUUCGCGCCGCUGUCGAACUUGCAGGGGGCAUCGAGUGCCUGUUCGUAGGAAAAAGACGGCUGGCAAGGCGGCCGGCCACCCUUCUUCUUGGGAGCGGGCCGAUCCUCGGGCUGUUCGCCUUCAACUGUGGCCACCUGCCCACUGGAGGAAGUCGGCAUGGGGCCCUUGCGCUUGUGGUCGUUCUGGUAGGGGCGCCGAUUAGGGUCGCCAGCCGGCGUCUUGGGAGCCGGAGUAAUUACUUUCCCCGAGGCGUCCACUCGGAGCUCGGUCUUCAUGGAGGAGUCGGCAGUGGCGUACUUGUCGGCGGUGACUAGCAACUCAUCGAGGGUAGCCGGCUCGUCGCAGAGGAGUCGGUGCUUGAGGAGGGUGCCCUCUCGGCACCCGACGGUGAAGUACUCGAUGGCCUGGAACUCGUGCACUCCCUCGCAGGAGUUGCGGAGCUCGGCCCAUCGCGUGAGGUAGUCGCGGGUCGACUCGUUGGGCCCCUGGACGCAGAGGGAGAGCUGGCGAGGCUUGGGAGGCCGCUUGUAGGUGCUGGUGAAGUUGCGGACGAAAACUUCGGUGAAGUCCAGCCAACUGUUGAUGCUGUAGGGCUUGAGGCUGUUGAGCCAUGUGCGCGUCGUGCCUUGCAGCAUCAGGGGGACGUACUUCACGGCGACGCGCCGAUUGCCGUUGGCGAUGCUGACGGCCGUGGAGUAGUUGAUGAGCCAAUCUUCCGGCUUCACUGAGCCGUUGUACUUGGGCGUGUCUCUGGGGAGCGAGAACCCUUUGGGGAAGGGCUCGUCGCGGAUGCGGGGGCCAAAGCAUGGCGGGCCGACAUCGUCUUCUUCUUCUAACACCAAGGAUCGAGCAAGGCGGUCGAUCCUGUGGCGGGCGUCACUCUCGCCGACUCCUUCUCGGCGGCCGAGUCGGUCGCCAAGAGUCGGAUGUGUGAUGGGCGGCGGAGUGAGGCGUCUUUCUCUUCGAGGCGGGGGAGGAGGCAGAUUUCCUUGGUGCUCUACAGCUCGAGGGCGGCCAUCUGCGUCGCGCUCGAUGGUGAUGCGAGUCCGGCUGCGGCUGGCAGCCGGCUCCUUGUCUUUCUUCUGGCGCGCGCCGCUCGCGGUCGGCGAGCGGGACGUCGCGGCGUGCUCCCGGCGUGGGGGAUGACUAUCAGCACGGGCGCCGGCUUCGUGCCGUUCUGCAGCCGCGUCGAUCAGCUGCUGGAUCCGUCUCGUCAUGUAGGGGAGCUCAUCGGCUCCCAGCCCAUUGAGCUCUUCUGCAGCCGCCCGAGCGGCUCGCAGAUUCUCGAGCGGGGUGGCGUAGACGGGGCGAUCUGCGCCCAGCAUGCUGGCGACGGCUGCGCCGCGCUUCUGGACGAAGCCGGCUCGGCUCGGGCCGCUAGGCAGCGGCGUGCCAAAGGCGGCGCAGUCGACUUCGCGCUGGUGGGCCUCGGUGAGGCGUCUCAUCGAGGCUAUCUUCUGGCCCUCCGCGAUGUGGGCAAGGCGGCGUGCCUCCAGGGUCUCGGCGUCGGCGUCGGCCGGGAUGGGGACGGAGAGGUCGUGCAUCGCCGCUUGCUGAGCGUCGCGGGCAUUCUCGCCCGAGUUGGAGACGUGGCUGAUAACCAGCACUUCGGUGACAGCGCUGCUGCCGCUGUCAGCUCGAGGGAGGGGGUCGUCGAAGACCACCACGUCGGAGGGGUAAGCGUCAAGCGACGCGGUGUCGGAGUCGAUGAGCAUCGGGUCUGUGGAGCCGACAGACUCCAUGUCCGCAGCAGGCUCGCUGGAGACGUGAAGUUGGUCGAGGAGGCUGACGAGGCGGCUCUCGGGGUAGUCGGUGCCUGCGUCGGACGCAGGCUCGUCGGAGAUGCGAGUCUCGCCAAGCAGAUCGGCGAGGCGGCUCGCUGCGCAGGCGUCGUCGACGCCCUGCAGCGCGUCGAGGCAAACGCCAUCGGGCGCAGCAGGCUGGCUGCGCUCGUGGGGGAGGAAGAGGGUUCCCGUUCAGAACAGGUCUCCGGACGACGGUGCACCUGGCCCCACGGUGGGCGCCAAAUGUCGGGUGGUUGGUGCGACAUAUGCCAAGGGAUGGCUUAUCAUUGUGGGAGCCAAUAAAACGUCGCCGGUGCCUGGAAACGGGAUGAGGCGAAGACAUGCACGCCGGCGAAUCUUACCCAGGUUCGGGGCUCUCCGAGGAGAUAACACCCCUAGUCCUGCUCUGCGGGGUCUCCGCAUGACCACUAGAUCGAUAAAAGGUAGCUACAAUCGCUCCUAGAGCUGUUGAGAUCAAGGGAGAAGAAGAACAAGGCUAGCUCUUGCUUCUCUCUAUCUAUGGUGUGUGUGCUAUUCUUAGAAGGCAACUCUAUGCUCAGAAGCCAACUAUGCUUAGAUGCCAACUAUGCUUAGAUGCCAACCCUUUGCAUGGGUGCUCCGGGGGGUUUAUAUAGGCCUACCCCCCGGGGGUACAAUGGUAAUCCGGCUGGGCUCUGGUCCCAGCCGUCAGUGUCUACGCUCGCCGGCUUCUCCGCCGGCUGCUGGGUCCCGCCGGCUGGUGGGUCCCGCCGGCUGCCGGCUACUUGGUCGACAGGCCGGCCCCACCGCCUAGGGUCUUGUCGGCGGCUGCUUACUGUUGCCUCGCCUGUGAUGAUGAGGGCUUUGUCAAGGUAAGCGUGGCUACAGUGGGCCGCCUCGGGGGCUAUCACUGUAGCCUUACCUCGUCUUGUCUCCUUAAUGGGGCUCCUGCUUCGAGGAAGGGAAUAGCCGGCUACGCUCUUGGCCGACUGGGAAAGACCGGGCCGCCUUCACGCCUCUCUCUGGCGGAAGGGGCCCACCGCCCGCGGGCCGUACGGGAGUCGGUCGUGGGUGACGUCGUGGCUAGUAUGGCUACAGUGCCGGGCCGCACGGGAGUUGGCCGUCCCGUACGGCCUCCUGUAGCCAUGCCCGCCUCGGGCUUUGGGGGUAGUGGGCCGCACUGUGGCCACACCCCGUCGCGUCGCCGUUAUGUGGGAGUGGCUUGAAGUGGUUGUGGUCUUGGCCGGCUCCUAGGAGUCGGCGUCCUUCUUGGCCGGCUUCUUGGAGUCGGCCACCCCGUAGUCGUCCUGGGGAGGAGUUGGUGAAGGCUGGGUCGCCUUCCAGGAUUCGGCUUCAGAGGUAGCCGGCCAGGGAAGGCGGCCCAAAUGCUCGGAGUGCUUGAAGGCCCGAAGGCCUGAUAAUUUUUUCAGAAGAACCAGGGGCAGUCGGUUAGGCAACCCGUGGCCAUUUACUCCGACAACUUACAUCCAACCAUAUCCUUCAUGAGCUGACACGAGGAAAAUGCUUACACAAGUUUCCAACACUAGCUUAGAUGUUCAACAUGAAUCAUGGACAGGAUAAGGAUGUUGUCGAUGGCUCAACAAGAAUUCAUCCAGGUUUCCAUAUAAAUGGAAUCCCACAACUAUGUGAACAAGAUGAUAGCAUUGGUCAGACCCAAAGGAUAUAAUGGUGUAUGCUCGAGGAAACGACCACGAGUAAGACAACAUUACGAACAUCGUUGGUUCUGAUUUGAUUUGAAGAUAGCCCAUACUCAAAUCAAAGUUUUGGAUAAAAUGAUAGGUCCAUUAACUGAUCACGAGGAUCAAUCGAUGAAAAUACCAUCUUUCUUCAACACAGAUACAAGAUAUCCCUUAGGGAUGAACUAGGCCGGGCAAGAUUUUAUCUUCCAACUCUCCAAGUUGUUGUCUAGCUCAACCAACUAGCUCAGGGAUAUCCAACACAGAUUCUUGGAGAAGGGGUGAUUUAUAAGAAAACAAACUUGAUCACGAACUCAACAUAGCGGUCAGGUGACAACCUGGUAACACUUCCGAGAAGAUAUUCAGAAAUCACGAGCCACCGGUAUGUUACUAAGCUCGAGAACAAUCUUGCUUUUCAGGGCAAGACGAUGUGAUCAAAUGAGCGAGGAUUUGUCAAAAUCCUAACUCAUCAAUCGAAGAGUGCACCAGAAAUAAGGACAAGGUAGCACGAUCAAUCCUAGUAUAGUGAUUCAAUAACGAACACGCUAAAAAUGAUAUUAAUGUCCAUUAACUACCAAGCAACGGGGUUGCUAGGAGUAUUGAUUUCACACAGCAUAGUUCACUUGUCGGCAUUCUAGUUGCAACAACACGGGACCAAGAAAUGAAUGAUGAUGGCGAGGAGUAUCACUGUAUCAAGAAUUCAUAAGAGGAUGUGCAAUUCUCACGUCAUUCUUGAUAAGAAAGAGGGUGACACUCCAUGGUAGAACAGAACAAAAGAUGGAUUAUCAUUUUGAUCUGUGGAAUACAACUACUUUGACCCAAUCCUAGACAUGGACGAGGUACUGGAGUUUGUUUCUCCUAGUCAUUCCGGAUUAGAAUGGCUUGACAGACCACAAGAAUAAUAGGCAUCGAUAACACAAAUGCACAAUUACUCCUGACUAUCAAUUGAUAGACGAGGGCCGAAAUACAACUAAAGAGGGACAACUCAAAGGAACAUAUGUUUUUCUGAGUUGUGGUUGCAUGGAUUAGUAUGUCGAACAAAUUCAACAUAUUUCUUCCGGAUAACCCAUGCAGAAAGUAGAACUGGCAGAUUCAUAAUAUAGAAAGGAGAAUUCAUCGAGAGCACUCUGGUUGUGAUCUUUUGUUUCAAAAGAACUCCUGUCAAGAAUGGUUCAUGGUAUUUGGAAGAACGAUAUACCACAGACCUCGAAGACUAUCACAAAGGUUACAAAUAUCUUAAGGGAACUAGCAAAUACUAACAACAUGAAGUAAGGUGAAUCUCGGGUUCAAGAACCCAGGAAUAGAAUACCUACUAACUAAUAACAUCACGGGAUGCUUUCGAGAAUGACGGCCAGAAUCAUCUCAUUGGGAAUGCUAAUCAUGGCUAGAUUACUAGAUGGUUUCAUAAGACACCUACGGUCAUAAUAAUAGUUCCAACAUAUAUGUCGAGGCAAUAGAGUACCUCAACUCACCGAUUAGUGUGGUUAAUCUGGCCCAAAGGAACAUCGGAAACGGAAAGAAGGAAUUUGCAAAUGCUUCAGACUGUUUAGAAACCUGGGAUGACUCUGACAGCAUAACGGCUGUAAAUGCUCAAUGGAUUUGAGACAUCCUGCAAGAAAUGGUGGCAUAACCACUCAACAUCACAAUAUCAAGGUUCUGAGAUCAACUGUGAACAUACGGAAGUAGUAGGAACUGAACUGAUACUUGAAUCCAACAAUCUUAUAAGUCUAUGGAUUAGUAACACGUCAUCCUGAUAGAUAGAUGAGAAGGCCUAGUUCUUAAUCCCCGUAGAAAAGAAGAGGUUGACACAGAUCAGAAGGGCAUAAGGUAAAGGAGUAAAAAGAGCCUUACGUUCCCUUCCACAAUCAGUUCCCUUAUAUAACUAAAGCAUUUCUAAACUCAACUUCGACCAGUUUGGCUUCGUAAUCCUACAGGCAGUCAGGCUCUGAUACCAACGCUGUCAGGACCCUGAUUCUAAGUCACACCGAUCUAGCCUGUAACACCUCAUAUCACUUUGCGGCCUCACGCACGGUAUUCCCACGGGUGUCGCCUUACCAUGGCCCGGGACCAUUUGCGCCUUUUGUCUCACGUAUAUGAUAGUGUCGCUAGCAUCCAUAUGACAGAGAACCCGGGCCGACAUGACUAGUCGUGAACCCAAAGUGGCACUAACUUAUGGGGACAGGCAUACAUGACUCAACAUCGAGCAUGUCGGUCAGCAGCGUGCGAAUCCGGGCUGUAGCACUGAGCUAAUAGGACUCCGGGAACCCGGGCUGUAGCAGGCUAGGCAGGACUCCGGAUGUCACCGCGUGACAUUUCCCCGAAGGGACAAACACAGGAACGAAGUGAAACACAUGCCGGCCAGUCAAGUGUUUCGGAACAGUAGUGCUGGGCUAGCAGGACUCCGGUGAACCGGGCUGUAGCGGACUACUAUGGCUCAUGGAAGCACAAGACUACAUUUCCCCAUAAGAGAGGCUACCAAGGAUAAACAACUAGGUUGUCGGAUCCCACACAUACCAAGCAUUUCAAUCAUACACACAAUAUGCUCGAUAUGUGCAAAUACAACAUGGCAUCACAACAAGACUCUACGACUCAGAGUAUUUAUUCAUUAGGCUCCGAAGAGCCAGAUAUUACAAACAUGGGUCUCUCGACCCAGCAUUCAGAGCAUACACGUCAAACACAUGCGGAAGCUUAACAUGUCUGAGUACAGACAACUAUAAAUGAAAAGGCUGAGAAGCCUGACUAUCUACUAGAUCCUGUCGAGGGCAUAAGAUCGCAGCUGAGGUAACAAGCUAAAGGUCGAAGUCCAAGCGGUACUACUAGCGGGGCUGAAGUCUCUCUGCAAAAACGUAAAAUAGGCAAACGUGAGUACAAAUGUACCCAGCAAGACUUACAUCAGAACUAUCUACAUAUGCAUCAGUAUCAAAAGGGGGUGGUGGAGUUUAACUGCAGCAAGCCAGCUUUGACUCGGUGGCUAUCCUAAACUACAACUGCAAGUAACUCUUUUGAGGUGGCGCACACGAGUCCACAUAUUCACCAUUUCAAUACACCACUAUGGAUCCGUUCCCGUCUCCCUACGAGAACGCCAUCCAGGGCACUCACCCUUAUCUUGCGCAUUUUAGAGUAUCCACUUUCACUUGUCUAUGAACUGUUAUAGGCAACCCAGAAGUCCUUUACUGCGGACAUGGCUAUUCGAAUAGAUGAUGUUAACCCUGCAGGGGUGUACUUCUUCACACACGCUCUCGCCACUUACCGCCAUGUACACGUCAUGUAUCUCGGCAACCUUCAAGCGGAAGCCUGGAGAGGGUGUCGGCCACGGCCUACCUAAACACUCAAGUCUCUAGUCCAGGUUUAUCGCCUAUUCAGGUUCCAUCCGCAGGGAGUCCGGCCGAGGUUUCCACAUACGGCCCCGAACGAUUUGUGAAGGGUUCCCGAGACAGCAAACGGGCGCCCGGUACACCGUGCCACGUGCCUAACGCAUCACAGCCCACCCCUCGGGUCAGCGCUGCCCACGGCCUCCAGCAUACUACAAACACCAGAAACUACUUGCAACUCCUGGACAGAGGACAAGGGUGGUUAAGAAGCCGAGAGAGUCAAUUAAGGAUCCCAAUGUGUGGUAGUAGCUGUUCAUGGAUCACAAACAUAGAACUCAGUUCCUGAGGACGGUUUCAAUGAGACAACCCACCAUGUACUCCUACAUGGCCUCUCAUCGCUACCUUUACCAAUCGUGUUCACACACUUAGCUCACACACAAUAGGACAUGUUCAUCACCACUCCAAUUCAUCCUCGAUGAAUCAGACCCGACUCAACUCUAAGCAGUAGCAGGCAUGACAAACAAACAUGAAUGAGUAGGCACAUCAGGGCUCAAACAACUCCUACUCAUGCUAGUGGGUUUCAUCUAUUUACUAUGGCAAUGACAGGUCAUGCAGAGGAUAAGGGGUUCAACUACCACAACAAGUAAUAGUUGAAUCGUUGUUGUCCUAAUGCAGUAAAAGAGAGCAGGAGCGAGAGGAGAGGGACGACUGGCAUCGGCAGGUGGUGGGCUGGGCCAGCCGGCUUGCUGGGCCGCCAGGUGAGCGUCAGGUAAGGCCCAGGUAAAACCCUUUCCCCUUUUGUUUGUGUUUUCUAUUUCUGACUUUUUUUUGAACUUGGUUUUUGAACCAAAUCAAUUUAUUUUCUUCUGAAAGUUAUUAUAGGAACUAGUUGGAUUGUUCCAAAGCCCCACACUAAAAAUCAGAAUUAUUGGACAUAUGUUAAAUAUAUAACUAUUAUAAGUCCAAUGCAAAUAGUUAUUCAAUUAAUUUCAAAUGCCCAAAAUAAAUAUUUCUAAGACUCCAAAAAUAUUGGUUUGAAUUUUAGCUCUUGCCAAUAUUUUCAGGGAUUAGCAGGCACAUUUUGUUGGGCUCAUUUGAAAAAAAAUUAUGUUGAUCAUUUUUUUAAAAGAUUUUUGAGGCUUGAGAUUCCCUCAAUUCAAUUUCCUUGAAUUUAAGAUGAUGCAUGGAUGCAUAUGCAAUGACAAGCAAAGGCCAAAGCUAGGGUUGUGACACUGCGCCCCCUAGAUUCCGGCAUGUCAAAUAGCCCGGAUACUUCUCGCAUUAUCUGUACAAGAUACGCCUUGACGUAUCCAUCCAUUUAUAAUGAAAAUAAUUUGCGACCCAGUUCCUGUGGUUUUCGCUUCUUACUGCAUUUUAUUUCGAUUUGCUUAUCGACGGCAUUCGUACACUUUGGUACGCCUCUUAUUCGCUAGGGGCUCACGAUCGCCCCAUAAUACGGCGGCAAAGUCCGAACACUUCUUAUCGAUAAGUUCGGCACCCCGAAUUUAGCAUUAUAUGCAUUGGCUCCGAAUCAUGUCUUUGGUCAAUAGUUGGGUUGCCCGGCUCCUGUGCUUGCCACCCUACGUUCCGCUACAUCGGCUAGGGUAGUAAAGGGAGAACUACUGUGAUUGUGCCCUGGCCUAAACCGAAUGAGCACCUCAGUAGAGAAAGCCGAAAACUGACUGUCAUGAUGCGGCAAGAGCCGGUCUGCUAUUCGGAUGUCACAAAUCGUUAGGGAUUUUUUCCGCGUUGCACGAAGGAUCGGUACUUCCCGAUCAGACGCAGACAGCACUCUGGUUAGUAUAACAGGGGCUGCGCCUAUGUUUUAUUAUAAAACUCCUAUGGCUAAGUGAGGGCGUUUAAGCCGCAUAUUCUGAUUGCCUGGUUCGUUGCGCUAAACAGAUCCUUCAAGGACCAUAUAAUUGGACAAAGAUUGUUUAGAUAACAUCCUGAACACCUCCGUACUACCUACGUGAGGGCAGAAGCUGACGACUGGCCAACCCUCAGAUUAAAUGUAACACGGCCGCACAGGAGGAUACAAUUAAAACAUAACAAUCAUUCCAUUACAAGCCGGCUUUGUUUUUAUUACAUAAGGCAGGGACAAAACCCGAGUGUAUUCAUUCGAAAAUUAUGUCCCGCCCGCACUGCCCUGACGCAAGCUGAGACCCUUCAAGGACGUCAGCAAAAUAUCGCUCGGGUGUGCGGUGCUCUUUGCCUUCCAGCGGCCCCGUGGCCACCUUUACGGCGUUCAUCUUUGCCCACCACAUCUUGCAGCGGGCGAAGGCCAUGCGGGCACCUUCGAUGCAGACUGAUCGCUUGACGAUGUCUAGACGAGGACAUGCUUCUACCAUCCGCUUCAUGAGGCCGAAGUAACUGCUGGGUAUCGCCUUGGUUGGCCACAACCGGAUUAUCAAAUACUUUAUGGCCAGUUCGGCCAUCCUGUGCAGCUCGACCAGCUGUUUUAGCUUAUCGGUAAAGGGCACCGGAUGUUCUGGCGCCGCGUGCUGCGUCCAGAACAUCUUCUCCGUCGAGCUCCCUUCUUGGGCCUGAAAGAACUUCGCCGCAUCAGACACGCUGCGUGGUAGAUCCGCAAAAGCCCCUGGGCAACUCCGAAUUCGGGUUAGUAAAAGGUACUUCCUCCCGUAACACUCGCUUUGCAUGUUAAAUGCCUUACCCGCCGUGAUCUUCCUGGCCUCCUGGAUCUCCUUGAGGGCAUCCCGGGCCACAAUCCGCGCGGCCUCCACGCUCUGAUGAGCCUUGGCAAGUUCGAUCUCUCGGACCGACGCAUCAUGCUCCAAGGCCUCGCAUUUCUUCACCGCGUCCUGGAGCUCCUUCUAGACCUCGCCGACCCGGGCCUUAAGCUUCUUACGAGCGGCUUGUUGCUGGACAGCCUUCCCCUCGGCUUCGGCCAGGGCCUUUUUCAAGGCCUCGACCUCGGUCGUCGCUCCUACACAUAUUAUGACACUCUGUCAAUACAAGACGCUUACUCUUUCCGAAUACAAAGCAAGUCGUUACAUACCUUGCUUCUCCUGGAGCUGAGUUUUCGCCUCGCCGAGCUCGUUCUCGGCUCGCUCCAGCCUCUGCUUUAGUUCAGAGACUUCAGCAGUAUGCGAGGUCGAGGCCAACUGCGACGUCUGCAUCGCAAUUUAAUGCAGACAUCGUCUGUUCCCUGUAAUAUAUGAUCGAUCCUCUGCCCGGCAUUUCCUUCCAAAUGCCGGACAGUGUCUCAGGGGCUACUGACCAUAUACGAAACCUGUUAGCAGGCUGCGACAGGCUUCGGUUAAUCCGCUUUCGGCGGACCGAACCUUUUCAGUCACCGUGCCCAUAAGGACACGAUGCUCCUCCACGAUGGCGGCGCCUCGUAGCACCUCCAUCAGAUCAGUUGGUGCCCCUGGAUGGCCGGGGGUCACCAGGGGAGCUGUGGCACCUCUCUCUUUUGAAGGAGGGUGCGCUCCGGAUUCUGGAACCACUUCGGUCUCCGGAACCGUGUUCGGCUGGGUGCCGAACACGGUGCGGCCCCUACUCUCAGUCUCCAGGGGCCGGAAUCCCCCUGGUGCCCAAGGAUGGAGGUUUCGCCUUUUGGCGCCUCCUGAGCCCCUCCCCAGCCUGGGGAGGUCCUCCGGGACCUCACUUCCUCAUCACCCGCGGCCUCGGUGGAGUGAGCAGUCGGUGGCGACUCGCUAGCCAUCUCCUUUGGAUCUAGCGAACCUCCACAUGAGGAACGCUGGAUACUGGCGCGGGCCGGACUGUAACGAUGCAACUGAAUCACAUUAAACACAAUGAGGAUGAGAAGCCGUACACACGGAAACGUGUGAUUCAUGGAACUUACGACGCGGCUCGGGGCUUUGUGCGGGGGUGUCGCUCCAGACUGCUGUUGAUGUCCCACGCGGCGUUAGCCGCGAUGACACCCUUUCCCUUCUUGGGCGCACCCGCCUCCAGAUUCGUGGAGGCCGCCCUAUUCUUCUUUCCCUCCUCAGGGGGAGGGUUCUUUUCCUCCUCCUCCUCUUCACCGUCGUCGUCCUCAGGGAGGGAGGAAUGGGUUUCUUCGUCUUCGGACGUUAUGUCCGAAGUACCCUUACGACAGGGGCCACCUUUGGCCCCCUUGGCCUUCUUCUUGGCCUUCUUCUCCAGCGCCUUAUAGGGCGCCGGCACCAACAUCCUCGCCAACCACGGGAUGACUAGCUCUUCAGGCGGUGGGGCCGGACACUGGACCCGCUCCGCCCUCUCCGUCCAGCCCUGAAAAAGCGGCGAUGAAAGAUCAGACAUCGUCCCCGAAGCAAACAAAUAAGGGAUGCUUUAAAAAUAACAUACCUCGCUGGCGGGGUGGUUAAUGUCGUGCCUGCGGUCUGAAUCUGUGGCCGGCGGGUUCUCGUUGCUAUUGAAGAGCAAUUUCCAGGCGCCCUCGUGAGUGGUCUCGAAGAUCCUCUUUAGGGUAUGGUGCUUCUUCGGAUUGAACAUCCACAGAGGACGGCUUCAGCUUUGACACGGGAGAAUCCGGCGAACUAGCGUCACCUGGAUUACAUCGACGAGCUUGCUAUCAGCUCGUCUGGCGAACACCAAUCCGGGCUUUUCUCGACCUAGGAGGUAAGCCGCAUCGGGGCACCUGGGUUGAAUUCAGCAGCUGCGGCCCAAUCGGAACCGCGGGGUUCUGUGAUAUAGAACCACUAUUUCUGCCACUCCUUUACUGUCUCCACAAAAGUGCCCUUUGGCCAGGAGACAUGGGACAGUUUACUUACCAUGGCUCCUCCGCACUCCACUUGCUAGCCAUCCACCACCUUCGGCUUCACAUUGAAGACUUUGAGCCACAGCCCAAAGUGGGGCUGGAUGCGGAGGAAAGCCUCGCACACGACGAUAAACACCGAAAUGUUGAGGAAGGAAUUCGGGGACAGAUCGUGGAAAUCUAUCCCGUAACAAUACAUCAACCCGCAGACGAAGGGGUGGAGUGGAAACCCCAGUCGCGGAGGAAAUGAGGGAGGAAUAACACCCUCUUGUUGGGCUUCGGUGUGGGGACAACUGGCCCCUGGGCUGGAAGACGGUGGGCGAUCUCCUUUGCCAAGUACCCGGCCACCCGAAGCUCAGUAAUGUCCUCCUCCUUAACGGAGGAGACCAUCCACUUGCUCCGGCCUCCAGACCCGGACAUGGUUGCAGUGCUAGCCCAAGUGGAAAGAAGAUAAGGACUUGAGCGCUGGAGCUCGAGAUUGGAAGGGCGGAGGAAGAGAGAAGGCGUUGGGGAAGAAAGGAAUCCUUAUCCCCUUAUAAAGGCAGUGAAUAUCUCACGCCUCCCUAGUCGCCUCGAAACCCACCUAUUCCCAAGGUCUGUGUAAACGGCACGGUUGGGUUACCCACGGCCAUAUUAAUGAGAAUGCCGCGAUAGGGGGACAUGAUAUCUGCUUUGACAAGACGUGCCAACGAAGACCGCAUCUCAAAAACACGAAGCGGCAGGCGAAAACGGUUCGAAAUAAUGAGCCGGACAGGUGUGAUGACGCAUUACAAAAAUUGUCAGCGGACUGGACUCGUGAAAUAUUGUAUUCUCUGUAGUUGCCUACACAGGUCUGGACAUACUCACUAUGUCCGAAAAUUAUUCUAGAGUUCGGAAGAAGGGAACCCGCAUUGCAAUGCCGAAGACAAAUAUGUGCGCCAGACUCCUCGUCAUUGAAGCCAGGUUCAGGGGCUACUGAGGGAGUUCAGGACUAUGGGGUCCUCGGGCGUCGGGCCUGUUAGCCAUGGGCCGGACUGAUGGGCCAUGAUGAUGUGAAGGCCGAAGACCCUUCGCGUGUCCGGAUAGGACUCUCCUUGGCGUGGAAGGCAAGCUUGGCAACCAAUUAUGUAGAUUCCUUUUUAUGUAACCGACUCCAUGUAACCCUAGAUCUCUCCGGUGUCUAUAUAAACCGGAGAGAGUCCAAAUAGGUGGACACACACAUUAUCAUAACCAUAGGCUAGCUUCUAGGGUUUAGCCUCUACGAUCUCGUGGUAGAUCAACUCUUGUAAUACUCAUAUUCAUCAAGAUCAAUCAAGCAGGAAGUAGGGUAUUACCUCCAUAGAGAGGGCCCGAACCUGGGUAAACAUCGUGUCCUCCGUCUCCUGUUACCAUUGACCUUAGACGCACAAUUCGGGACCCCCUACCCGAGAUCCGCCGGUUUUGACACCGACACAAACGACGGUUGAUCUUCUUCUGUAGUUACGUAUGCUUACCACAACCAUAUCGUCUCCCCUCAUCAUCCUUGCAUACCUCCCGACCCCUCUCUCACAUGCACGUGCAUAGACAGACAGACAUCCCCCGCCCUCACUUAUUGAUAUUGCACUCGUACCCUCCGUUUGUCUAGCAGGCCUCUACCACAAUUUGUGAGACGCCACUCCGCCACCAACCCCCUAACACUCUACCUUUGUAUUUCUCCCAACCUUAUUCCUCCGCUACACAUAUCCAUGGAUGCCGAUCGAUCCCCUCAAUACAUAGCUAGGUCUCUCUCCUUCCCCACAAAUAUACUAGUCGACCGGUCUCUGCCCCCUCCCCCCCCCACACACCGAUAGUCGAACGUUGUAGGUAGGUAUCCAUGCCACAGAGAAAAACUGCACCUCUGCCCUCUCAAAUUCCAGUAGGCCAGCCGCCCUGUAUCUUUGACGUGGGCAAACACAAAUUCGAUGGCACUCUUUAUCGAUCGCGCAGCCACACAAUUCAUCCCUGUUUUCAAUUCUAUCGAUAUCUCACGUCCAUGACUCCGUUUCACACACAUUGCAUAUGUUACGUUUUUUGUUUGAGAUAUCAACACAUUGCCUCUGUUUCGCAUAAACCAUCUCUCUCACACCCACCCACGUAUGUACGUGCACCUAAAGAAGAGGUGCACGUAGGACGCACGUACUCACGUCUUGUUCCCGGGCACACCCGCGCGGGUACACGGUGGAGUUCGUUUUUGUACGAAAAGGUAGCCCACGUGAUAAUUUGACGCGUGUAGCGGUUGUUUACUCGAAGGAGGGUCGUGUACCACGCCUAGACUAAACAAAGUUCGACUUGACGCGUUAGUACUAAAUAAAGUUAUAUAUUCCACAAUGGCACGUACAGAAUAUAAAACGAUUGCCGUGGGAAAAAUGGAAAAAUGGGUUUGUCUCUUGUCACAGCAUCUCACACAAGGCGGCGGUGGCCUCUCUCUCUCAGCGUUGGUCAGUGAUCCAGCCGCAUCCCGUCCACCGGCGGAAAGGGAGGAUGUGCAUCGUAUCUCCGUUCGACGGCGUUGAGGCAACACGUCCCGAUCUGCGGUACCCGCCGUUCUCUCUGACCAAGCUCCGGCGCGGUAGGGCCUUUGCCACUUGCUCGCUGUCGCAGUAUGGGCAGAUCCCGGUCGUCGGUGCCCUCCUAGUAACAUCCCGACGACCCUCAGAUCCAUCUUCCUCCGGCCUUUCUCCACUGCCCAUCUUCCCACAUUGCUGCAUGUGGAUCUUCUUUAGUUGUUUUCUUAAAACGUAUCCGGCCGACGUACUUUCCAUCUUGCAAUCUCGUCCUCAAACCAUUUUUGAUAAACCACCAUGUGCUAUCAUUCCCUUAUUACAUGGAAUAUGCUUCUUUUUUGUCAACGUAUGUGUCUUCAGCUCGUGUUAUUGGGCAGUAAUUGUUUCCUUUAUACCUCCUUUUGCAAACAGGGCUAUCCAUUUUCACCUCGUUGCUAUUGCGACCUUUGGGUGAACUGCACAAAUCACUUUUUUCUUAAGAGUGUUUUGUGCAGUUCCGCCAAAAUGUCACACGGGCAACGUUUUUACAUUUCUGUGGGACUGCGGAAAGGGAGAUUGGUUUUGCUAUCCUCCUCAUCCAACUCGGUGCCUAAUCUUCUCCAACAAGUAGUUAGUCCUAAAGAGAGAUCAUAGAGGUGAUCGGCUUCUAUUUGUGUGUGUUAUGUUGCAUCAUCUAGUUCCACUAUUAUUGUAAUCACACUAACUGUAUAUCUUUGCAAACAGGGAUGGUCCGCUCGAUUUUAGUGGAGCUGCACAAAAUGAUCGGAUUGUGGUGUCCUCCAUACACCUCUUUUUGGGCUACAGCGCUGGGUGAAACUAGCUGCCAAGCAAUGACCACUGUGCCAAGGAAAUGGAGCCAUGCCUACGAACAACAUCGAUCAAUUAUAUACUUUUCUUUAUUUGUACACCUUCUCACAACUUUGUCUUCAGUUGUGAUGUGAAUAUUGGCGCUGAUCUGCGAACCAUUGAGAUGCAUUAGCAGCCAUGGUAGUUUCAUUUGUAUUUGAUGGAAUGUUGUAACGAGAUAAUCUUGAGGCAAGACACAUGAAUCCUAAGUUGAAACCUUUUUUUCCCUGCGGGAACGAAAGUUGAAACCUUCAUAGCAUCACAGUAUAAUUUCAUUAAAAUUAUGCGUACAUAUAAACAAAUCCUAAAGGAUUGAUAGCAAUGUCAAAAACAAUUCAACUUCGUUUCGCCGACAUGUGGGACAUCCUUCAUCCGGCUCCAUUUGCCAUGCAGCAAUAUUGAGUGCACAACUGCAGGGAAAGAUUCACCCCGGUCGUUGCGCCACAGUAGUAAUGACUAGUGAGCAGUCAAAUCACAGAGCCCCGCCUUCGCCAUAGUAAGUUGCUCGGAUGAAGCAACCAUCAUUUCUCUGUUCCUUGAAUCCGCUGGUACUCCCAUAUUCCCAGAGUAAUAAGUUGCUCUGGUGAAUCAACCAUCACUUCACCUUUCCCACAGUAAGUACUAGUACCUCCUUUUUUGCUCUAGAAACAACCACACGCGAAUAUUGGAUGGUAGCAGCACAGCAACUGAAUCAAAAAUCGAAACCAACCAAUGAACUACUACUACUGGUGACUGUUUGCUAGUAUAUACAUGGACAGACGGAGUACAUGAUACGUACUAGCAAACGAUCACCAAUAGUUGUAGUUCAUUGGUUGGUUUCUAUUUUUGAUUUGGUUGUUGUGCUGCUACCGUCCAAUAUUCGCGUGUGGUUGUUUCUAGAAAAAAAAGGAGGUACCCCUACUUAUGUUACUCCCACUACGCCUAGCCUAAGGUUAGUAGGUGACCUUGCACUUGGCUCUUCGCCUCUUCCGGAAGUCGAUGGUUCGACAGUAGUACUUCUGGCAAUCUGACACCAAACAAACUGCUGCACGUCCACCGCUUGUAAGGAAAAGUUCCUCCUCGUGCUGCAAGCCACCGCGCACGCAUUGGCGAGGGAGAAGCCGUAGUAAGCAAGCUUCUCAUCGUUAUGCGAGUUGAUGGGACAAAUCAAAGUUAUUUAGUACGUACUCUCUCCAAAAAAAGGUUGACCAUGUCAUGGCUACCAUCCCGUGCUCCGUCGUUGAGUACAUGCACUAUUCACGUGCCAUCGAGGAGAAAAAAUAUUGCAUAGUAGGUGCCUUCGAAGUGCACGACUCACUUACGCACUGCUUAUCUGAUUAUCUCCAUUUUCUUGCAUGACAUGUGCACCUUGAUGCUAGAUGUCUUGCGUGUUGGCAAAAGGAUGAACAAAGCUCACGUAAAAAAAGAGUUGAAGAACAUAGAUUCCCGACGACCGAGAAGGAGCAAGGAACCUCGCGGUGGAGCGUCUGCAAGGAACCUUGCGCAUUUUCCCCUGUUUUUUUGCCGCCUGCCCACCUAUAAACAAAUAAAAGAACAUGAACUCUUUGCUAACCACUAGAGACGAUACAUCAGGAUGCUAAGUUGAAGAUGUUUUAUAGUUUAUAUUGAUAACCACGCAACCAGCCACGCAUGUACAGGACGCAUGCAGCCACGCAUGUACACACGCCAACGCACUAACUCCAUCUGAUCCAACUCAUGCACAUACGCGUACAGCAUGGAGCACACAAUGCACGUAACAACACGUGCAUGCACACACACUCGGCCACAGAAUGCACGUGAAUAACACAUGCAUGCGCACACACUCGGCUGCAUGGAGGCAUGCGCCAUCUGCAGCAACGUCCGGUUCAUCGUGCUACGGCGAAGCUCGCACACAACGGCGCCUAUGCAUCUCUUGCAGCACCUCUUUGCCGUCGUUGCACAACGACUAGUCGAAGACAAAGACGACCGCAGCCUCGGCCUUAGAGCUAUCACCGAUGGAAAAACACGCACGCUGCACGCACAUGAGCACAUACGGAGUGCCCACGACGUGGUGCGUCCCCAGUCGCCUCUACUCCUUCUGCGCAUGUUGUCUAUCAAGGCGGUUGCAUGCCUAGUGAUGAUGUGGGUGAGAUCUUCUAGGACUCAGAUGAAGACGAGGAAAAUUAUGAGACUACCCACAGUGGGAGUAACAUAGGUAGUAACAUCACACAUGUCUAGAUAAAGUAGAUGAUGUGGCAAGCAACAAAUGAAGAAAGAGAGGAAAGUAGUAACAUCACACAUAUCAAGGCAAGAUGUGUCUAUAGCCUAAUAAAUGAAGUGUUGCAUGUUACCACAGAUAUGUUACUAUAGAGGUAGUAACAUAGACUAGGGUGAUAUGCAUGAAACUACUAGUGAGUAUGGGAGCACAUGAUAUUUCCCCGUCCGGACCGAUCCCAAGUUGGCUUCUCACCUUCUUGGCCCAACAAAAACCCCUCCCCCCUCCCGCGCGCGCUUCCCGCCCGGCGCCAGCUGAGCCCUCCGCUCCACAUUGAUGGCAAGUCAGGGCGACGCAACCUCUCACUGCUUCUACCGUUAAGUGGCGCGCCGACCGAGGGCGCCGCCCGCUGCACGCACGACAUUUCAGACUACAUAGUGGAGAGUAACUUUAGAGCAAGUACUACAAUUAGAUGACAUAAGCAGGCUAUAAGGAUUUAAAUAUAGUAUUUGUGCUUAGUUGAAGGAGAAAGAAGAGGAGAGAGAAGAGAAGCGGGUUGUAAACUUGUAGUCGGUUGUAGCAGGAGCCCCAACAUACUUUGUGAGACAAAAGGUGGGGCCAUUAUUAAUGAUAUAGUAUUUAUACUAAAGGGACUAACGGACGCCUUAAUUACUCAGUUUUUUUGAGACAAACCUUGGUGGGGCUAUUAUUGACUUGGACGUGGGGUUUGGGGGCCAAAGGCCUACUAUUAUACUUGGUCUUACUCGCACGACCGACCUGACAUGCUCUACCCUAGACGUCGUUGUAUCAUAUGGUUUCGCACCGUUCCAGAUCUUAGCGCCGCCACGCAAUUCUUCUCCAUCCCUCCUUCCGGCGUGCACCGCGAGAAGGGACAGCAGUCCUCCAAACCCCGCCUUUCGUGAUCCUGUACGAGAGAGGGGCGGUCAGGUUUUUGGGGAGCACACUCCUGUGACUGGUGCCAGCGACGACUUCCUCAACGACAGCCUUCUUCCCCGACCUCGGUAACCUCUUCAUCAACGACAUGAGUGACAACAUCAACCACAGCGGUUCUGCUCCCGCUAUACAGUAUGUGAUUCCGUCCUCCUGGUUUAGUCCGCAUCAUUACUUUGAUGUUUGCAAUUGUCGUCAUGAUCUAUUUACUGCUGAUUCGGAUUAAAUCUCAUAGUAAAUUGCUCAUAUAUUCAACAAUCCAAUCCAAAAACCUGAUUAUAGGCAAUUUACUCCGAGUGGUUUUGUUGCGCUUUUGAAGCUGCCUACUUUUAAGGGGGUGCAAUAUAAAAGGUGGCGCACAAGAGCAGUAUAUUGGUUUCAGAUCAUGUACUGCUAUGACGCCACUAAGGGUAAGCCUGAGGGUGAUCUUAAUCCUACACAGCAGGAAGCUUUUGAGAACAUGGAUACCCUCUUCAAAGCCGCCCUGCUGAGUGUUCUUAACGAUUCCAUUAUGGAUUCAUAUAUGUCGUUUGACAGCGGCAAAGACAUGUGGGCUGUGCUCGAGGCCACGUUUGGGGCCUCGGGCGCUGGCAAUGAGUUGUACGUCAUGGAGCAAUUCUGUGACUACAAGAUGACUGAUGAGCGCUCUGUUGUUCAGCACACUCAUGAGAUACAGUCACUCUCUAAGGAACUUGAGUACUUUAAGUGUGUGUUGCCGGACAAAUUUUUUGCUGGGACCAUCAUUGCCAAGCUUCCACCUUCGUGGAACGAUUUUGCUACUUCUCUGAAAAACAAGAGACAUGAGUUUUCUGUUUUGGAUCUCAUUAGCACUCUUGAUUUUGAAGAGAAGGCGAGAGCAAAAGACACACGUGCUCGGGUCGCUGAGGGAGCUUCUAGUGCGCACAUGGUACACAAGAAGAACUUCCAGCCCAACCAGCCCCAAAACAACAAGAACAAAUCUUAGGGGAAAGGCAAGUUUGAUGCAAUGAACAAGCCAUCACAUUCUACCAACUUCAAGAAGAAUUAUCAUAACGGGAAGGGAUACAAACCUCAAUUUUGGUAGCACCGCACAAAAUUUAUAUGGCUGCAUCUACCUGCUAUCAGCUAACCUCAUGGUGCUCCAAGUAUUCCUACAUUUUUAACUAGGUACAAUGACCACCGCAAGAUAAAAUAAGCUUAUUCGUACGUUGACUUGCUGAUUGCAGUGUGGAACGAUCCUGUCAUGUGUGGAGAAGCAAACAAGCAGUGCAGCCGAAGGUGGAAACCAACCAAGGACUUAUGAAAUUAUAUAUAAUCUUCCUUAGGCAGGUCAGUAUCCCCUUCGUCGAGAUGAUCGUGUUUUGUCAUGCCGAGCUAUUGAUAUGUGCUACUGUUUUGCAACACCGUUUAAGUAUAGCUACUGUUUUCCUAUCUUUUCAGAUUCAAGAAGAUGAUUUCAGGGGAACUGCACAAUAUGGACUCAUGUUGAGUCAUCUCUAUUGCCUCAUGUGUUUGCUGCAAAUGUGUCAGCAUCAAUUGCAAAAUGAGGCAGCUAGCUAGCUGUGGAGUUGCCAACAUGCUCAAAGUGCUCGCAACAUUGAGAAGAAACAAGCAUGCCCAGGAAAUUAAUGCGUGUGCAGGGAGUCCCUUUGCUCAGAGAAGCAUCGACUGAUUUUCUUUAUUUCCACACCUUCUCACAGCUUUGUAUUGGUUAUAGUAUGGUGAAUCAUUGAGAUGCAUAAACAUGUUGAACUUUUGUUCUUCUGAAUAUUAGUAUGCAUACCGUAUCUUCUAAAGCUUAGUUUAAUGUGAGUGUCUGCAUCCAGUACCGCAUCCUCUAAUUUGGUGGAUGCUAAGUUGAAAAAGGUUACCGAUGAGUAGCCAUAAGCUGGAGGCAUCUCUUUUUUUUCUUUCGAAUGGGCAAUAAGCUGGAGAGUGUCUUGGGCUGCCUCUAGCACAAGGCCCUCCAGUACGAAAACGGGCAGCCGACUGGGCCGAUACAAAAGCCUAUCCAUCUUAAAGCCCAUUUGUUUUUGUUUUUUGCGAGGAGAAGCCCAUAUUUCUUGAAUAGGGGGUGAACCCAGAAAACCCUCCUUCCUCCUCGCUUCCACUUACACUCCCUCCGUCCGGGUUUAUUCCCAUGAGCCAAUUGCUAAGACCAAGAAGAUGCACAGGGAGAAAAUAAAUCUCCUUAAUUUACUCCAUAACCACCCUAUUAAAUAGGCCUAGUAACAAACCAGGCGCAUGCAGUGGCCGACGGGCACAUGCAUCCUGCAUGCAUGGCCAGUCAGCCAAGUCCAUGCGCCAGCUCCAAUGCAGCAAUGCAAAAGAAGAAAGCGAUUCUUGGGAAAAAGCGAGUAGUUAGUGCAGCGGGCCUUAUAAACACGAACAACUCGCUCUCCCGCUUCCGUCUCCCCCCAAUUCCCCCCGCUCCCCAAUCUUCCUCACUCGUCCAGAAAACCCCCGCGCACCUUCUUCCUCACUCAUACAUAAAACGUCUGCUCCUCUUCUUCCACUCCUACAGAAAUCCCCAGCCCUCCUUCUUCCCCACUCGCACUGCCACUAGGCUCGUCUCUGGCUACUCUGCUCAAACCCAUGAGCUCAGUGCAACGCCCACAAGGAAAAUGGAGUCGGUUGGCCCCAGCUCUAAGAAGAUGAGGCUCCCGCCAGCGGCGAUGNNNNNNNNNNNNNNNNNNNNNNNNNNNNNNNNNNNNNNNNNNNNNNNNNNNNNNNNNNNNNNNNNNNNNNNNNNNNNNNNNNNNNNNNNNNNNNNNNNNNNNNNNNNNNNNNNNNNNNNNNNNNNNNNNNNNNNNNNNNNNNNNNNNNNNNNNNNNNNNNNNNNNNNNNNNNNNNNNNNNNNNNNNNNNNNNNNNNNNNNNNNNNNNNNNNNNNNNNNNNNNNNNNNNNNNNNNNNNNNNNNNNNNNNNNNNNNNNNNNNNNNNNNNNNNNNNNNNNNNNNNNNNNNNNAGAAUCUCCGGUGGACCGCAUCAGCGAUCCCCCAGACGUCAUCCUUGAGGAGAUCGUCUUGCUUCUCCCCACCAAGGAUUGUUGCCGCACACAAGUCCUCUCAACUCGGUGGCGCCCUCUAUGGCGCACCGCGCCCCUCAAUCUCGACUGUCGUCAGAUAUCUGUCCUUCCUGAAUUUGAUCUCCUCAGAGCCAUCAUCACCUCUCACCAGCAGGGCCCCGUUCAAUGCCUCUGCAUCCCGACACGCUACCUGUUGUCCAUACCCGGCACGGUGGACGCUUGGCUGACAUCCCCUGAAUUCGGAAAACUCCAGCAGUUUGAGUUGUACCAUUACAACAAAAGUUUCAUACCACGAACACACCAAGAAUUCGUGCCCACACCACUGUUGUCCAUCUCGCGGUUUCCUCCUCUCUCCACACCGCCACCUUCGCCCGAUGCCAUCUACCAGACGAUCUGGUACAAAUGCUUCAACUCCCACUGCUAAAAAAAACUUUCUCUUGUGGUGGUUUAUCUGUCGGAGGCCUCACUACAUAGCAUCAUCCACUCCAGUUGCCCUGCCCUGGAGCACCUGUUGAUUGUUUUGGGAAUAGAAAUCCGUAUCAGUUGUCUCCAAAUAAAGUCGCCUCACCUUAAAAGCAUUGGAAUUUGUUUUGAAGUACAGCAGCUCAUCAUCAAAGAUGCCCCUUCACUUCAAAGGUUGCUCCUUGAUAAUUUUUAUAAACCUUCACAAAUAACUGCCGUCUCUGCGCCCAAACUGGAGACCUUGGGUGUAAUUCAUGACCCGUUUAAUGAUCACAAGGAGUUGGUGUUUGGCUCCUCACUUUUUCAGGUACCGUAUAUUAUCAUCUACACAUUUGUAAUCAUAAGCUGCAUUUUUCAUUUGUGCGCAAAAGUUUUAUAUCAUCUUGGAGUACACUUUGGGUACUAAUAUUAUGGUAUAUGCUCAAUGAAGAGUUCAUCCAUUGAUAGCCUAUCAAUGCUGCUGGAUUCUAUCAAGAUCAUAUAUAUCAUAAUGUUUAGUUUUGAUCUGAACAUAAUUAUUGGCUUGCUGCGAUGCUUUCGAUCUCUGGAGAAUUUAUAUAUAGAGGUGGUCAUUUCAUGCACAUUGAAAGCCCGUAUAUAUUGUACUAGAAUUAACUUUUCAGCUGUCGUUGUUUCGACAUACUCAUUUUUCAGACCUUAACUGUUUUCAAUCUUCAUGUCUACUUAGGCACAACCACAUGGAGCAAAACAUAUAACCAAUCGGUGGCGUAAUAAGCACCAGGAUUUUCUCAGUUCUCAUGACAUUCGUUUGAGUACAAUAACGAUGGAAGGAUAUGCAUCCAACCAGGCAAACAGAAGCUUUGUCACAUUCUUCUUGUUGAAUGCGAGGUUACUAUUGUCCAUGAGGCUUAAUUUUUACCGCAAAAGAUUUCUCACAGACGGACACGUUGAACAGCAAAAAAAGAAGUUUCAGGUGGACAAAUGGGCUUCUAAACGUGCUCAGCUUCUAUUUACAACAAGUUGUAGUCAUCCUGAAAUAAAUUUUUUUGCACAGGAUGUUGAUUUUAUGGAUCAGACCGAUCCAUUUGUUUGUGACUGCAAAAGAGAGUGGUUGGGUUAGAUGUUACUGCCAUGUUCAAUCUGGGUUUUGUCUGAAAAUUUGAUGAACAAUUAAUUCUCGGGCUUUGUGUACCAUUUGUAUGCUUGAGUUGCAUGUUGUUGCCCUCGAACUCCCCUCCACCUACCACUACACUGCCGCAUCUUCCAUGGCUGCUGUUCGUUCCUGUCCGAGGCCUCACCGUCGUUCUCCGCCUUGGUUCGCUCGUUGUGCUCGCCACCAUCUGGCGUUGUCAACAUGGUCAACACGAAGAGGAAUCAGGAGAUGACUGUAUGUGGAGAGGCUGACAGUAGGGACCCACCAGGGUCAUUGCAUUUCACAAGCAGGUGCCUCGUUAUUACAAGCCAAAAAAAUACUUCCUCAUAAUUGUUUGACAACUAGGUCCCACGCCAUUGUCAAUGUAGUCAAUAAACGAGAAAAUUACACAACAAGCGGAUAACACCAGGGACCCAGCAACUCGCCUAGUUGUUUUUUAGUUUCAGAGACGGAGCUCAACUGUGUGUUGUGCGGGGUCUGUGGCCCGUCUAGCCCAUGCUUACGCUUUUAUUUAAGCACAUGACGAGCCCAAUUGAUAUAUUUUUUCUUUCUAAAAAUGGCUAGCCCAGUUCUUUUUUUUGGAGAAUACCAAAACCGAGGCCUACUUGCUUUUCUCAGCCCUGUUGGGCUACAAAUCAUUCAAGAUGAGGAGCGAUGUAAGUAGUAAGAAAUGGGCUUCCCCAGAAAAUGGGCUAUAAGUUGUAAGAAAUGGGCUGUAAAUUUUUAAACCAAAGCCAACCGGCAAUUGUAUUAAAAUAUCAUUUUUCAGGAUUUCUCUACUCUCUACUCUUAUAAAAACCAAAGCCAACUGGCAAUUACAUUAAAAUAUCAUCUUUUCUCCCACAAGAUAAACUACUCAUACAAAUGCAUCUUCAUGUUCCGUGCAACGAACGGGCAUCUUGCUAGUUAAGAUUCUAAAUUUCAUUCUUUUUUUGCGGAGAAUUGUUUUUCGAAUUUUAUUUUGAUAUAAUUUUGAAAAAAUAUUUUUAACGUGACUCAAAAUUUUGUGAUUAAAAGAGUUCGGACCCCACCGAAAUAUGCAAAAUUUCGUUGAAUUUUUUAGCAGUGCCCAGAAUAUAUGGUCUAUAAUGCUAAUAAAAAGAAUAUGGGCAUCAAAUAUCCUUAAGAAUUAGCAAAUGGGCUGUAAAUUGUUGAAAAUAAUGGCUAAUGGGUUGUAUGCUGUUUUCCAUAGAUUUGGAGGCUGACUUCUGGGCCUACUAGGUUGACGAUGACGCUAUCCUAAAAAAAUUGACGCGUACGCAAGGCUUUGUAAACUUAGUCAAUACAGAGCAGUGACUGUUGGAUGUCCAUCCAACGGCCGCCGUGCUUCUUCAAUCUCUCAUCUUCCUGCUCCGGCCGCCCAAACUAGCGCCGGCGGGACUGCCUGCUCCCUCCUCCCGCGGCUGGCUGUGCUGUCGCUAGGCCAUCCCUCUAACCACCCACACAUCCUGUUAUUUUCCGGCGACGUCAGCCUCACCCCGAAGCCGACCAGUCAGCGCUCGUACUCCCCUCAGCGUGGGCAUCCGCUGCGGUGGCUUCGCCAGCUCCGGGUGGUUCCCUUCCUGGGCCUCAGCCUCGUCCACCGCGUUUGUGCUCUCGGCGUGGCGAGGUCAACAUGGUCAACAAACAAUAGCCAUCGGAAGAGGCUGACAGUAGGGGCCCACACAAGGAAAUUCCUCCUUAUUACGCGCAAAAUAAUGAUUCCUGCACCUGACAGCUGGGACCCACUGGAAGGGCCUCUGUGUUUCGCGAAGAAAAUGUUCCCCCCGCUGUCAGCUCGGAUCCACCGGAAGUGGCUCCUUAUUACGCACAAAAAAAGAAUACUCCCCCUGCUAGCUGGGAACCACCUUGGUGGGAGGCUGACUUGUGGGCCUACUAAGUUCAUGGGGAUGGAGGGCUUUGUCAACUUAGUCAAUAUGAACGAUUCUAGCUCUAGUGACCGUACGAUGUCCAUCCAACGGCCGUAGUGCUUCUUCAACCUCUGGUCUUCUUGCUCCAGCCGCCCAAAGCAGCGCCGGUUGUGCCGCAUGCUCCUGCCUCCCGUGGCCGGCUGUGCUGCCGCGGAGGCCUCACCGCCCCCUACUAUUCCCACCGCUGGCCAGGCCCUGCGGCGACGGCAGCCUCACACCGCAGCCUAACAAGUGAACCCUCAUACUCCUCUUCGCGCGGGCUUCCACCGCCGCGUCUUCCCCGGCUCCGCGUCGUUCCCUUCCUAGGCCUCGCCGUUGUCCACCGCCCUGGUGCUCUCGGCGCGGCAUGGUCAACAUGGUCAAGGAACGACUUCCAUCGGAAGAGUACUGUACGUGGAGAGGCUGAUAGCUGGGUCCACGGUAGUCGCAAGGAAGUGCCUCCUUAUUACAUGCAAAAUAACUAUUCCUCCACCUGAUAGCAGGGACCCACCGGACGGGCCACCGUAUUUCACGAAAAAAAUGUUUCCACCCUGACUACUGGGACCCACGAGCUACAUCUUCGCAUGCACGAAAGUGCUUGACAGUCGGGACCCACCUGGUCGAAGCGUACGUAGCGUUGUCAUUUUGGUCGCGAACGUGUACGUACAUACUGGUCGAUAUAGACGCGCACGUGUCAUAGUAGAGGCACGCACAUAGCAUGUACACGUACGUACAGCGGCCAGGGUGCAAGAAAGUAAAUACGGCCACGUACGUACAUACGGGCGGGGUCUCGAACGCCUACUCGCGCAUACGUACGGUCGGGGCUCGUGUACAUGGCUGGGUCAGAACGGAGAAACUGCGUCGUCGUCGUGUUCAUGGGGAGGCAACCGGCUGGGUCGGAACGGAAUGCGUUGUCGUGUUCAUCGGGAGGGCUUGGACGGAACAGCCGAUGGAAACGAGGCCUGGCGUACCACAAAACGGAGGAAACAGCCUUGUGUUCGACCGACCACGGUCGAAACGGGAUCUUGUUCAUCGGAGGGGUCUGGCGUACCGCAAAUCGGAGGUAACGGACUUCUGUUGGACCUCCUACGGUCGAAACAGGGUCCAAUUGAUCGGGAGGGGUGUGGCGUACUGCAAAACGGAGGAAACGGACUUGUGUUGGAGCGCUACGGUCAAAACGGGGGUCCUAUUCAUCAGGAGGGGUGUGGCAUACCGCAAAACGGGACUCCACGGGAUACUGUUCAUCUCCACCGUCGACCUCCUCCAGCCUCCACGGGCUACUGUUCAUCCACCGUCGACCUCCUCCAGCCUCCACCUGCGACUGUUCAUCCACGGGCUCCUGUUCAUCCAGCCUCCACCGCGCGCUCCUCCACCGGCUACUGCUCAACCAGCCCUCCCCACGGGCUCCUGUUCAACAACCCCUCCACGGGCUACUGUUCAUCCAGCCCUCCACCGGCUACUGUUCAACCACCCCUCCACAGGGUCGUCCUAUUCAUCCAGCCCUCCACGGGGUCCUGUUCAUCCACCCCCAACCGGCUUGAUCGGGGUCCUGUUCAUCCAGAGGCAACACCACGGGGUCCUAUUCAACCACCCCCACCGGGAACUGUUCAUCCAAACCCCCCAACAACGCUCAUUGUUCAUCAAGGGAAGGAGGCAGCAGGGCGUUCGAUCGGCUUCAGUUAGCAGCAAUAGCGAAGGAAUCACUCGGGUUCAGUAACAUAGCUAGUGCAAUCGCUUGGGUUCAGUUAGAGCCCAACGCCUUGCUCGGGUUCAGCUACAGUCCAACACCUCGCACACACACGCGUACGUGUACGAGAGAAACACGCAUCGCUCAGCCCCCGACCACCCACCGUAACGGGGAACUCCCCAAAAUUUUCCUCGCCCUCGCUUCUACCACGGUUUUUUCUGUCAUGGACGGCCCAAAGAAUGUCGUGCAGCUGCGUCUCUGGCCCGCCCAGGAAGAAAAGCCUAUUUUCUGUCAUGAUUUUUUGUCAUAGAAGUAGGAGCCCACCACAUCUAUGAUGAUACCAGGUUUUGUCACAAUUAUCAUCAUAGAAGUGUCAUAAGUAUGACAGAAAAAAAUUCGUUCGGCCCAAAAUGUCACGGAUGUGUCUUUUUUUUGUAGUGAUAGUAGAGUAGAUAAAAGGGGAAAACCCUAAGCAUCAAGAGUAAAAUUAGGAAAGUGGAACUAGCUGGACCAGUGGGUGUCGCACAUGCUUUUCGAAACGAAUAUAGGAACAUUAGGUGACCAAUUAAACGCUCUCUAUUUUAGUGAUAUGAGCAUCAUAUCAGAUUCGUAUUUCAACACGUAAGCUUUGGGUUGAGGUCUUGAGGAGCAGUGUAUCACGCCCAACAUGCGACCCUAUCCUAAAGGAACUCGAAGGUCCCACCAAGGAUAGAAGCGCAUAUUGGAGACGCUUUUGCAAGGUGGAUAUCAUUACAUCGUACCAUUACAUAAUAGUUGGGGAUACAUACAAGAGCCAGGCAAUGCCACAUGAAUACAACAACAUCAUACAUAAGAGCAACAUCCGACUACGGAUGAAACACAAACAGAAACUCAAAUGAUAUCCACCCUGCUAGCCCAGGCUACCGACCAGGAACCUAUCCCCUAAACGACUAAGCAGAAGAAGAACUCAAAACAAGCAUGCACCGCUCUCGCGUUAUGAUCAUCGCAUUACCUGUACCUGCAACUGUUGUAGUUGUAAUCUGUUAGCCACGAGGACUCAGCAAUCCCAUUACCAUGGGUAUCAAUACUAGCAAAGGUUAAUGGGUAUGAAAUGGAUAAGUGGUGAGGUUGCAGCAGCGACUAAGCAUGAUAUGGUGGCUAACUUACGAAUACCAGAAUAAGAUGAGAAGCUACGCAGACGGUUGCAAACUAGUAAUGAUCAAGAAGUGAUCCUGAAACUACUUACGUCCAAACAUAACCCAAACCGUGUUCACUUCCCGGACUCCACCGAGAAGAGACCAUCACGGCUACACACGCGGUUGAUGCAUUUUAGUUAAAUCAAGUGUCAAGUUCUCUACAACCGGAUAUUAACAAAUUCCCAUCUGCCACAUAACCGCGGGCACGGCUCUCGAAAGUUUAUACCCUGCAGGGGUGUCCCAACUUAGCCCAUUAUAAGCUCUCACGACCAACGAAGGAUAUUCCUUCUCCCGGGAAGACCCGAUCAGCCUCGGAAUCCCGGUUACAAGACAUUUCGGCAAUGGUAAAACAAGACCAGCAAGACCGCCCGGAUGUGCCGACAAAUCCCGAUAGGAGCUGCACAUAUCUCGUUCUCAAGGCACACCGGAUGGGCCAGACGUCGGGUUGACAUAGACCCUGGUUGCCCAGGGGGCCCCGGACAUUGCCCGGUUCAGACCAACACUUAGAGAAGAAUUAGCCCGGGGGGUUUAAAUAAAGAUAACCCUUGGGUUUAUAACUCCCAAGGGAAAGUUAGUAGGUUGUUAGGCAAAUGUAAAACCAAGGUUGGGCCUUGCUGGAGGAGUUUUAUUCAAAGCGAAUUGUCAAUGGGUUCCCAUAAACCCAGCCGCGUAAGGAACGCAAAAUCAAGGAACAAAACACCGGUAUGACGGAAACUAAGGCGGCAAGAGUGGAACAAAACACCAGGCAUAAGGCCGAGCCUUCCACCCUUUACCAGGUAUAUUGAUGCAUUAAUUAAAUAAGAGAUAUUGUGAUAUCCCAAAAUAAUCCUGUUCCAACAUGGAGCAAUCUUCAACUUCACCUACAACUAACAACGCUAUAAGAGGGGCUGAGCAAAAGUGGUAACAUAGCCAAACAACGGUUUGAUAGGAAGGCUGAAAAAGGUUAGAGGCUGACAUGGAAUUUGGGAGGCUUGAUAAACAAGUGAUAGGUAGCGCAGCAUAGCGAUAGAACGAAGCAACUAGCAUAGCAAUGAUAGUAGAGAUCCAGGGCAACGGUCAUCCUGCCUGAAAUCCCGCUAGGAAGAAGAACGAGUCCAUGAAGAAGAUGAACGGGCGAAGACGAACCAAGCGUAGACGAACGAAUCCUCACGAUCGCAACGAAACAGGAACUAUCGAGGAGAAGCACAAUCGAAAAGAAGCAAACAACAUGGUAAACACACAACACAUAAACAUGACAUGAUGCUCAACCAAGUAUGAUGCAUGACAAAGGCUAUAUGAUGCUACGCAUGGCAAGAGAUGAUGCAUACAAUAACAACAUAUCAAAGCAAGUUUAAAUGAGGUCGGAAACAACAUAUAACAAAUCCGGUAAGUCCCCAUAUGCAAAUUUCGAAAUUGGUCAAGAUCUAAAUAAACCUUAUGUUCAAGUUGUUAAACAGCAAGUUAAGAUGCACCAAGAUGAUCUACACGAAAUUCUGGUCAAGUUACAUAUAAAGUUCAUUUAAUUCGGAGCUACGGCCUAGAAGAUAUGAGCAAAACAAGUCAAACAUGACAUUUAUGCAAAACACAUUCAAACAUCAAGCAAACACUCUCAAAACAUGGAUGCAACAUUAUAAGAUGAAACUACAUGCAAAAUCAUACAAAUUUCAUAUAGAGCAUGCUCAAAACGGAGCAACGGUGCAACACAUACACUCCAAAAAAGAUAUAACAAUCUGCCCAAAACAGCAAGUAGGCACUUUGCAAACAUCAAAACAACAUACUACAAGAAUCAUAUGAGCACAAACUUGACAUGCACUUCAUUUAUAGAUAACAUAAUUCAAAUAUCAUUAAGGUUCAGGUUCAUAGGCAUCAAUAUUAAACCAAUAUGAUCAAAGCAAAAUGCAACUUUAUAACACAGGAGCAUAUACAUGAGCAGAGUUAACAUGAUGGCAACUUGAGAGCAACAAAGAGACAAGCUACAGCAAGUAAACAUAGCAACCAAGGGCAUGGCAUAACAUUAAACAUAACAAAGAGAAAAUAACAUCAUGACAUCAUAUACAUAUGGCUCAUGGAUUAGUAGGAACCAACAAGACAAGAUUGAAUGUUGAAACAGUUUCAGCAAGUGUAAAACACCAACAUUAUGAUAGCAUGAUUGCAAGCAUGGGACAGAGGCAUAUGACAUCCAAAAUUACUAACCAUGGCAUGUGAACAAAGUACUCAUAGCCUACUACAAAACAUGUAAUUGCAGCAUAUCCAGAAUAGGCGUGUAUCAACUAAUAUCAAGCUCACAACAAGACAUCAUGAAGUUAACAGAAAUCUGGAACAACAUGUAGGCAUGUUCAUUGCAACUAAAACAUAUUCUACAGACAUAUAUAGGGCAUCAAAAUGCAUGAAAAGAUAGAUCAUAACACGGAAAACAAAACAUGUCAACUAAGCAUCUCCAGAAUAUGCAUGGAUUAAUUGGUAGCAUCAAGCAAACAUGGCAUCCUGAUGUUACAGAUUCAGCAUUGACAGAACAUUAACAGCGAGUAGCCUAGUUCACGAGCUUGAUGCACUCACUACAAGGCAUAUAAAAUACAUGUAUUGCGCCCCUGUAAAGAAGGCAUGAUUAUGCUCCUAAAACAUGUAGACAUUAUGCUCAAAAAUAAUAACACAAAAAGAUAUGAAAAUGACAAAUAGGCAAGUUAUAACAGUUUUCAGCAGUUAACAGCAACAUGGAGUUUUGCAACAGAGAUUAAGAUAUCAGGAUGCACCUUAACGUGAAUGCAAAGCACAUCAACGUGUAGAGAAUAAAGAGUAGAACAGGUGCAUAUCAAGAUCACCAUCAUGGGAUCAACACGGCCAAAGUUAUGGCACUCACAACAUGCAUACAUGAUGUUAACAGUCAGCAGAUUUCAGCAGUUUAUAUCACUUAGCAGUUUUGCAAUGAAGAUUAAGACAUCAAUAUGAACAGAAACAUGAAUUCAAAUGCAGCCAUCAUGUAGAGCAUCAAGAGAGAACGUUUUGACAUAUUAUAUGCACAAAACGGAGCUAUAUGCAUGGAGAUAUCGCAUGUCAAAGUGGUGCACAUAACAUAGGAAUUUAGGGACUUGGAGAGAAAACGACCUCGAGGGGGAAAAGUCAACGGCGGCGGAUCUCGCCGGAGAUGACGAGGGAGGGCCCGGGGCGGCCGGAUCGGAGGCGGGGCGACGGAUCCGGGCGGCUCCUUCCCGAAUCCGGCCGGAGGCGGGGGCCGGCGAUGAGGGGGAGGCCUUAGGUGGGAUCCGGCAAGGGCGGAGGAGCUCGUCGUCCGGCGGCGGGCGGCACUCCGGGCGGCGGCCGGAGGACGGGACAACAGGGAGGCGAGGCGCUGAGGCGGCGCGGGACGAGCCAGGCAGCGAGGCGCGCGAGGCAGCGGAGCUGGAAGCGGGCCGGGCGGUGGCGAGAUCCGGGCCCGCACGGGUUUGGGAUGGGCUCCGCGGGCCGGCGGCGUGGAGGAGAGAGAGGGAGCCGGCGGCGGUGAUGUGUCGCCUCCUGGUUGGGCGCGGGAGGUGGCGGAGUUGAGGUGGUGGCGCUCGAUUGGUCCGGGCGACGUGGAGGGGGGACAUGUCUGGCACGGACGGAUGUGUCCGGCGGCGCGAGGAGGGAGACGGUAGGGUUUCAUCCACGAAUUUCGAGGGGAGGGAAUUAUUUAUAGGUAGAGGGAGCUAGGAGAGUCCAAAUGAGGUGCGAUUUUCGCCCACACGAUCGUGAUCCAACGGCGGAGAGCGUGGAGGGGAGUUUGAUGGGCUAGAGGGCUGUUACGGAGGGGUGCUGGGCUGCAAAGAGAAGGGAGUUUCGGUUAACGUGGUUAACCGUUGGGGCAUCAAACAACCUCCAAAUGGAACAAAAUUUGACAGGCGGUCUACCGGUGAUAUACCAAGGCCACUCGGCAAAUCUCGGCUCAUUCCGAGAACGUUUUUCGGCGGCUCACAAAACAAGGUUUGAGAGGGGCGACGGGUGCAUGCGAGUGUGUCUGGGCUCAGAACGGACAACGUAGAGAACCGGGGGAACCCGAACGGAUGCAUGUUUUGAAAAACAUACAGAUGAAAUACAGAUGAUGACAUGGCAAAGUGCAACACACAAGCGAAUGACAUGGCAACAAUGGCGAAUAACUGGAAGACACCUUGCGCAUUGGAUUUGGGGUGCUACAACUCUCCUCCACUAACAAGAGAUCUCGUCCCGAUAUCUUAGGAACGAGGCGGAAGAGAAAGAGGAAGAGGUGAAAUAAUAACGUAAGAGAGAAGAUGAACAAAGUCCGAGAGCGCUCGGGUAGAAAGAGGAACGGGAAUAUGACGAGAAUCAAAAGCUCAUGGAAUAAGAUAGACUCUGAAAUCACUCCGGUUAGAACAAGAUAGAAAAGGAAUAGAACAUAAGAAUUUGGGCAGCAUUCCGACUGAAAAUGGAAGGAAUGGAGACAUGAACUUCACAAGAUGGGAUGACACUAGAUGAGAUGAACAACGCAAUGCCUCUGGAAGAAUUGAAAUAAUGGACUGAAAAGAACGGAUAAGAGAACAACACUUCCACCAUAAAUGAAUUCGAUAGCAUCCUUAGCGGAAGGGUAGAACGGAGUUGUUGAGGAAAUCAACAACAAAAGAAUAAGCUUGUUGUGGACUUAUCAAAAACAUCUCAAAACUUGAGGUGAAAUUAUACCACAACCAAAUGUCUGAAUAUCUGAGAAGAACGAAGAAAUGGAAAACUCCACUUCAGAAGAAUACGAAGAAUUAAUUGCACUUUGAGACGCGAGAAGAAAAGAUACUUGAACUCCUCCAACAAAAAUCUUGAUGAAAUCUUGAAGAAUGAAUUAAAUCAUGAAGAACCACCAUGAAGAACUCCGGUGACAAAAGGAAGAUGAGAUAGAAUGAAGGAUGAAAGAAUAAGAUGAGCCUUGCGGUGAUUUAGAUGGAGGUUCCGACGAGAUGGCCGAGGAAAUUUGAACUCCUGAAAAGAAAAGAUGAAAACACUUGGAACUAGAAUUUAUUCAUCAAGAACAAACUCCGAAGGAAGGGAUUAAUCACUUGGAGGAAAUAAGAAUAAGAUUUAUUGUAUGCUUAUCCUCAUCAAAUUUAAUUGAUGACAACCGGAUUUUGCAUGCAACUUAUUCCUCUUGAAAAAGGAUUGAGAAGUGACAUAGCGCAAACUUGAGAAGGUGUUCAACGAGCCACCGGUAGGAUUGAAAAGAACGAAUGAAUUGAUAUGAUGACAAAGGAAGAGGAAUGCUGAAGGAACCACCGUAAGAAUUCGAAAAUGACUGAUGAAAGAGAAUGAAUCACCGGGAAGAAUUAUAGGAACAAAUAUGCUUGAGGAGAUUUAGAUACAAGAGAACGGGAAGAACUCGAGCUGAUUAAAGAGCACUUGAAUGAAGCGCUGGGAUAAUUGGAUAACGGUAGCUGAAAUAUGAGGACGAAGAAUUCCUAUGGAAUGAUGGCCUCCUGUGAAAAGAAACGGAAAACAACUCCUGACAUACUCCGGAUGGGUAAGAAAAUAAUAUCUGACAAAUGGAAUAGUUCGAGAGGAUAACAUGAAGCUAGAACCACGAAUCUUCGAGAGAACGGGCAAGAUUUAGAAGGAACUCUUCUUCGAUCUUCAAAUGACGACGGGAAACACCACCAAAAUUACUGAGAUACUCCGGGAUAAUGGGAGGUGAAGAGGUUGAGCCACCAAUGAAAUGAUUUGAAAUCGAUCUUGGAAAGGCAUCUGACUCAUGAAAUUCAUUCUUACGUCAAACUCCAAAAAGAAUUAGGAAUGGCUCCAGAAUAGAGUCAGGUAAGAUCCUAGGAAAAGACCUGUGGGUUAGGGCCCACUAAAAAGAAAACACCAUUGAAAAAGGAUUGGAGAGGAGAUAGAUGAUGCACCGGAACAAUUGAAAUAUUUGAAUGAGGUGAUAACCUCGAAUAAAUUGAAACACAGACGAAUCUCCUAAGAUGUCUUCCGAACUCCAGAAUGAUUAAAUGGCGAGAGGCGAACAAGCAAGGGGAAACCAUUUGAGCUGAGGAAAAGAAUAUGAUCAACACCGAAUACUUGCAUUGAGUCCACCAGAAAGAAAAAGAUGAAGAAUGACGAACUAGAUAAGAAAUCACCGGUUGACACAAUUGACGAAAGACUGAAGAGGCUCCGCGCGAAUGAAAUAGAUGCUCGAAAGAGACUCGGGCUCCGGGAAGAANNNNNNNNNNNNNNNNNNNNNNNNNNNNNNNNNNNNNNNNNNNNNNNNNNNNNNNNNNNNNNNNNNNNNNNNNNNNNNNNNNNNNNNNNNNNNNNNNNNNNNNNNNNNNNNNNNNNNNNNNNNNNNNNNNNNNNNNNNNNNNNNNNNNNNNNNNNNNNNNNNNNNNNNNNNNNNNNNNNNNNNNNNNNNNNNNNNNNNNNNNNNNNNNNNNNNNNNNNNNNNNNNNNNNNNNNNNNNNNNNNNNNNNNNNNNNNNNNNNNNNNNNNNNNNNNNNNNNNNNNNNNNNNNNNNNNNNNNNNNNNNNNNNNNNNNNNNNNNNNNNNNNNNNNNNNNNNNGAAAACACUGGUUUAAAGAGGGUGGGAGGGCGGGAAAACAAAGGCAAAUUGGAACGGGGAACCGACGAAUAACUUGAAGAGAAAACACUGGUUUAAAGAAUGCAAAGGCUUCGCACGAGUAGGAUGGAUACUCGAUUACGGACUCCGGCUCUGAGAAGAAAAAGGGGUGGGCGGGUGGGAAAAAGAAAACACCUGGGGAUGAGGAAACAACUUCGAUGAGAAAGAACUGAGGAUUGAUCAUGCGAGAACAAGGAGGUCGAAUCGACUUGACGACAAAUGCACCGGAUGAAAAGAGCUGAGAACCAACUAUCGGAAAACCAACUGCGUAAUCCUAAAGAAAAAAUUUGAAGGGAGGAGGAGUAAAUCAAAACACCUGCGUCCAGAUUCCUCACCAGAGCAACGAAGGGGCUGAGGAGUAAAAAGAAUUCCUACUCUCCGAUAUAACUAGACUCCGAAAACAGUUUUCUUCUAGACUCGACAACGGCCAAUCUACGAACAAUCAAGGGGGCUCCUAUGGUCGGUCGACGCUCUGAUACCAACUUAUCAUGCCCAAUAUGCGACCCUAUCCUAAAGAAACUCGAAGGUCCCACCAAGGAUAGAAGCGCAUAUUGGAGACGCUUUUGCAAGGUGGAUAUCAUUACAUCGUACCAUUACAUAAUAGUUGGGGAUACAUACAAGAGGCAGGCAAUGCCACAUGAAUACUACAACAUCAUACAUAAGAGCAGCAUCCGACUACGGAUGAAACACAAACAGAAACUCAAACGAUGUCCACCCUGCUAGCCCAGGCUGCCGACCAGGAACCUAUCCCCUACAAAGCAGAAGAAGAACUCAAAACAAGCAUGCAUCGCUCUCGCGUCAUGAUCAUCGCAUCACCUGUACCUGUAACUAUUGUAGUAGUAAUCUGUGAGCCACGAGGACUCAGCAAUCCCAUUACCAUGGGUAUCAAGACUAGCAAAGCUUAAUGGUAUGAAAUGGAUAAGUGGUGAGGUUGCAGCAGCGACUAAGCAUGAUAUGGUGGCUAACUUAUGAAUACCAGAAUAAGAUGAGAAGCUACGCAGACGGUUGCAAACUAGUAAUGAUCAAGAAGUGAUCCUGAAACUACUUACGUCCAAACAUAAUCCAAACCGAGUUCACUUCCCGAAGUCCGCCGAGAAGAGACCAUCACGGCUACACACGCGGUUGAUGCAUUUUAGUUAAAUCAAGUGUCAAGUUCUCUACAACCGGAUAUUAACAAAUUCCCAUCUGCCACAUAACCGCGGGCACGGCUCUCGAAAGUUUAUACCCUGCAGGGGUGUCCCAACUUAGCCCAUUAUAAGCUCUCACGACCAACGAAGGAUAUUCCUUCUCCCGGGAAGACCCGAUCAGCCUCGGAAUCGCGGUUACAAGACAUUUCGGCAAUGGUAAAACAAGACCAGUAAGACCGCCAGGAUGUGCCGACAAAUCUCGUGCUCAGGUCACACCGGAUAGGCCAGACGUUGGGUUGGCAUAGACCCUGGUUUCCCAGGGGGCGCCGAGCAUCGCCCGGUUCGGACCAACACUUAGAGAAGCACUGGCCCGGGGGGGUUUAAAUAAAGAUGACCCUCGGGUUUAUGACUCCCAAGGGAAAGUUAGUAGGUUGUUAGGCAAAUGUAAAACCAAGGUUGGGCCUUGCUGGAGGAGUUUUAUCCAAAGCGAACUAUCAAGGGGUUCCCAUAAACCCAGCCGCGUAAGGAACGCAAAAUCAAGGAACAUAACACCGGUAUGAUGGAAACUAAGGCAGCAAGAGUGGAACAAAACACCAAGCAUAAGGCCGAGCCUCCCACCCUUUACCAGGUAUAUAGAUGCAUUAAUUAAAUAAGAGAUAUUGUGAUAUCCCAAAAUAAUCCUGUUCCAACAUGGAGCAAUCUUCAACUUCACCUACAACUAACAACGCUAUAAGAGGGGCUGAGCAAAAGCGGUAACAUAGCCAAACAACGGUUUGCUAGGAAGGGUGAUAAAGGUUAGAGGCUGACAUGGCAAUAUGGGAGGCUUGAUAAACAAGUGAUAGGUAGCGCAGCAUAGCGAUAGAACGAAGCAACUAGCAUAGCAAUGAUAGUAGUGAGAUACAGGGUAAUGGUCAUCUUGCCUGAAAUCCCGCUAGGAAGAAGAACGAGUCUAUGAAGAAGACGAACGGGCGAAGACGAACCAAGCGACGAUCGCAACGAAACAGGAACUAUCGAAAAGAAGCACAAUCGAAAAGAAGCAAACAACAUGGUAAACACACAACACAUAAACAUGACAUGAUGCUCAACCAAGUAUGAUGCGUGACAAAGGCUAUAUGAUGCUAUGCAUGGCAAGAGAUGAUGCAUACAAGAACAACACAUCAAAGCAAGUUUAAAUGAGGCCGGAAACAACAUAUAACAAAUCUGGUAAGUCCCCAUAUGCAAAUUUCGAAAUUGGUCCAGAUCUGAAUAAACCUUAUGUUCAAGUUGUUAAACAGCAAGUUAAGAUGCACCGAAUGAUCUACACGAAAUUCUAGUCAAAUUACAUAUAAAGUUCAUUUAAUUCGGAGCUACGGCCUAGAAGAUAUGAGCAAAACAAGUCAAACAUGGCAUUUAUGCAAAACACAUUCAAACAUCAAGCAAACACUCUCAAAACAUGAAUGCAACAAGAUAAGAUGAAACUACAUGCAAAAUCAAACAAGUUUCAUAUAGAGCAUGCUCAAAACGGAGCAACGGUGCAACACAUACACUCCAAACAAGAUAUAACAAUCUGCCCAAAACAGCAAGUACGCACUUUGCAAACAUCAAAACAACAUGCUACAGGAAUCAUAUGAGCAAAAACUUGACAUGCACUUCAUUUACAUAUAACGUACUUCAAAUAUCAUUAAGGUUCAGAUUCAUAGGCAUCAAGAUUAAACAAAUAUGAUCAAGGCAAAAUGCAACUUUAUAACACAGGAGCAUAUACAUGAGCAGAGUUAACAUGAUGGCAACUUGAGAGCAACAAAGAGACAAGCUACAGCAAGUAAACAUAGCAACCAAGGGCAUGGCAUAACAUUAAACAUAACAAAGAGCAAAUAACAUCAUGACAUCAUAUACAUAUGGCUCAUGGAUUGGUAGGAACCAACAAGACAAGAUUGAAUGUUGAAACAGUUUCAGCAAGUGUAAAACACCAACAUUAUGAUAGCAUGAUUGCAAGCAUGGUACAGAGGCAUAUGACAUCCAAAAUUAAUAACCAUGGCAAGUGAACAAAGUACUCAUAGCCUACUACAAAAUAUGUAAUUGGAGCAUAUCCAGAAUAGGUAUGUAUCAACUAAUAUCAAGCUCACAACAAGACAUCAUGAAGUUAACAGAAAUCUGGAACAACAUAUAGGCCUGUUCAUGGCAAUGAAAACAUAUGCUACUGGACAUAUAUAGGGCAUCAAAAGGUAUUGCAAGAUAGAGCAUAACAUGUUCAACAAAACAUAUCAACUAAUCAUCUCCAGAAUAUGCAUGGAUUAAUUGGUAGCGUCAAGCAAACAUUGCAUCAUGAUGUUACAGAUUCAGCAUUGACAGAACAUUAACAACGAGUAGCCCACUUCACGAGCUUGACACACUCAAUACAAGGCAUAUAAAAAUAUAUGUAUUGCGCCCCUGUAAAUAAGGCAUGAUUAUGCUCCUAAAACAUGUAGACAUGAUGCUCAAAAUAAAAUCGCACAAAAAAAUAUAAAAAUGACAAAUAGGCAAGUUAUAAUAGUUUUCAGCAGUUAACAGCAACAUGGAGUUUUGCAACAGAGAUUAAGAUAUCAAGAUGCACCUUAACGUGACUGCAAAGCACACCAACAUGUAGAGAAUAAAGAGGAGAACAUGUGUAUAUCAAGAUCACCAUCAUGGGAUCAACAGGGACCAAGUUAUGGCACUCACAACAUGCAUACAUGAUGUUAACAAUUAGCAUAUUUCAGCAGUUUAUAUCACUUGGCAGUUUUGCAAUGAAGAUUAAGGCAUCAAUAUGAAAAGAAACAUGAACGCAAAUGCAGCCAUCAUGUAGAGCAUCAAGAGAUGAACGUUUUGACAUAUUAUAUGCGCAAAAUGGAGCUAUAUGCAUGAACAUAUGGCAUGUCAAAGGGGUGCACAUAACAUAGGAAUUUCGGGACUUGGAAAACGACCUCGAGGGGGCAAAGUCAAUUGAGGCGGAUCUCGCCGGAAUCUCGCCGGAGAUGACGAGGGAGGGCCCGGGGCGGCCGGAUCGGAGGCGGGGCGACGGAUCCUGGCGGCUCCUGCCCGAAUCCGGCCGGAGGCGGGGGCCGGCGACGAGGGGGAGGCCGGAGGCGGGAUCCGGUAGGGGGCGGAUGAGCUCGUCGUCCGGCGGCAGGCGGCGCUCCGGGCGGCGGCCGGCGGAUGGGACNNNNNNNNNNNNNNNNNNNNNNNNNNNNNNNNNNNNNNNNNNNNNNNNNNNNNNNNNNNNNNNNNNNNNNNNNNNNNNNNNNNNNNNNNNNNNNNNNNNNNNNNNNNNNNNNNNNNNNNNNNNNNNNNNNNNNNNNNNNNNNNNNNNNNNNNNNNNNNNNNNNNNNNNNNNNNNNNNNNNNNNNNNNNNNNNNNNNNNNNNNNNNNNNNNNNNNNNNNNNNNNCCACGCGGGUUCAGGAUGGGCUCCGCGGGCUGGCGGCAUGGAGGAGAGAGAGGGGGCCAACGGUGGUGACGUGUCGCCUCCUGGUUGGGCGCGGGAGGCGGCGGAGCUGAGGUGGCGGCGCUCGAUUGGUCUGAGCGACGUGGAGGCUGGACAUGUCUGGCGCGGACGGUUGUGUCCGGCGGCGCGAGGAGGGAGACGCUAGGGUUUCAUCCGCGAAUUUCGAGGGGAGGGAAUUAUUUAUAGGUAGAGGGAGCUAGGAGAGUCCAAAUAAGGUGCGGUUUUCGCCCACAUGAUCAUGAUACAACGGCGGAGAGCAUGGAGGGUAGUUUGAUAGGCUAGCGGGCUGUUACGGAGGGGUGCUGGGCUGCAAAGAGAACGGGGUUUCCGUUAACGCGGUUAACCGUUGGGGCAUCAAACAACCUCCAAAUGGAACAAAAUUUGACAGGCGGUCUACCAGUGAUAUUCCAAGGCCACUCGGCAAAUCUUGGCCCAUUCCGAGAACGUUUUUCAGUGGCUCACAAAACAAGGUUUGAGAGGGGUAACGGGUGCAUGCGAGUGUGUCUGGGCUCAGAACGGACAAUGGAGAGAACCGGGGGAACCCGAACGGAUGCAAGUUUUGAAAAACAUGCAGAUGAAAUGUAGAUUAUGACAUGGCAAAGUGCAACAAGCAAGCGAAUGACAUGGCAACAACGUUGAAUAACUGGAAGACACCUGGCGCAUUGGAUUCGGGGCGUUACACAGUGCUAGCAUGACACGAAGCACCUACGAUGAUGGUAGUGAAUAUAAAGGGGGGAAUCCAUAAGCUUUACGAGUAUAGUGACCGUGCCAUGGCGGAUCUGAAGGUGCAAACCGGACAAAGCUACUACACAACCAAUGUUUGCUUUCAACUAGCCACUACGAUUCGGUACGGACAAGAAAAGUACAGUAAACAAUUUACGAUCUAUUUUCUGGGUGAGAUCAAUAACUUAAGCACAUAUGGAAGAGUACCACCUCUCUUGCGACGCUGUGUAGGCCUCUGCUGAUAUGUUGAGGGUGCUGCGGGUGUGAUGGCUGUCGAUGGCGGGGAAGAAGACUUUAGACGGCAGACGGCCAAGUCGGGGGAUAAAUCCUGUUGCCGUGGACGACGCGGUCAUAGGAGCAGCAACGGCAAGGUGGACGACGGCGCUGAUGAAGCGAGAGGAUGCAAUGAAAGGAUCCUGGUCCGGCAUCAUGGAUGUGAGACGUCCAUCUCUUGCAGUGGAUGACGGGGUAGGGGUAGCGGGUCCGGCAAGGUGGAGGAUGGAGUGGUGGACAGAGGAGGCUGGCCACAGUGGGGAGGUUGUCGUGGCGCCGACGGUGUAUGAAUGGGGAAAUGGAGGGGGAGGGGGAUCUCAAACUUUGGGACGCGCUUGUCUGAAAUGUGGGAAAGUUACGAACUUAUCCCCCGUUUAAAAUUAUGGACAUCACGUCGGUUGGGGAUAGGACGGUAAUCUCGCAUCUCCCAAAUAUUUGCUGGUACCGAUUUUGGGCGAGGAGAGGGUGUUUUGCCGCCCACGGUUAGCGCCCACGGUGUAUGAACGAGGCUGACAGGUAGGGUGGUUGUGUCACGUCUGAGGGAAGUUACACAUCUACCCCUAUUUAAAAUAUUAGCCUACAUUGAUUUCGGACGAGGAGAGUUUGUUUUGCUGCCCACCAUGUAUGAGUGGGGAAAUGGAGGGAGAGACACAUGUCUUUCGGACGAGCUUGAACCAAAUGUGUUUUGCCGCCCAGGUUUGGCGCCCACCGUGUCUGAAUGGGCUCAAAGGCCAUCGUGUCAUGUCUGAUUGAAGUUACUAGUCUACCCCCAUCGACAGCAGUGUAAAUCCGAUCGAUAAGGAUGUCAAGUGUCAGGGGUAGACAGUAAUUUCCAUCUCGCAAACACUUGCUUCGGGCAGCACACAAAUUAUAGUGGGUGUUUAGCCGCUUCAUUCAAAACUUGGGACAAUUAGCAUGCACGUUUGCCCUGGGCCAUGGCAACUAAAUUCAAAUCCAAUUUGUAUUCGAUUACGAAUAUCCACAGAUAAUUCUAUGUUUUGUUAUUUAUUUCUUCAAAACCACAACAAAGAUUUAUUCCACCUUUAUAUAUGAUUAUGAUUUAGAAAUGUCGUGAUCUUCGAAUUCAGUAGGUUGGAUACACUUUGAGUCAAACAAUUAUUUCAUGCAAUACAAUAUGCUCACACGAAAAACAGUUCACCUUAUGUCAAUCAUACAAGUACUGAGGAUUACCUCGCCUAAAAAAUUCGGAUCAUUACAACACAUGGACAACAUAGGGGGUCUUACAACAUAAUCCAUUCGAAGACAUGACAUAACAUGCAAGUACAAUAAUCUAACGACAAUUUCAACCGGUAUCUAAAGAAGAACAGGGAAUACCCUGGGCUUCAGAUAGUAGAAAUAGCAGGACCUCCUCCGUCUUCAAAUGCAACAUUCUUACUUCCUCCAAUUCUUGGGUUGCUUGCAUAAUGUGUGCCGCUAAUUGCAUAAUUUUCAGCCUCAAGAUCAAGAUUACCUCAUUCAUGGCAGCCAAACCAUCUCUUUAUGCCUCUAGUAGAGCCUCAAGAACUAUAAUAUCUAUGCUCAGACUGCUCUCCGGCGGUGUUGCCUCUGAACUGCUACCAUCUGGUAACAUGGAUGGCGCACUGCUUCCACAAAUAGAUUCUGGGGUUGUACAGUGUGUCCUAUUGUGAACGGCAUCCUGAAAGGUUUCCGCUGGACAUAAGUAAGAGAUAGUUAUCGCAUGAUCCAGGCAGUAAGCUUACAUGGUAAACGACAUAUAAAUUAUUGCCGAGAAUGGUAAGCUAUAUUUAAAUGGUUCGAACCAGCAUCAGCCGAAAAGAAAUUAAAAUGGUAAGAUGAAACUAGGGAUGUAAGUGGCAAAUAAACGACAUCCGCCAGUCCCAUCUAGUUAGAUUUUGCUAGCUCCCUAGUUCAUUUUCCUCAAAAAACAGAAAAUCUUUUGAACUAUCAUAGCACUAGUGGACUUUAAUCGGGAUUAAACGGGGCCCAGUUGACAUCCAUAGUUGAAAGGGAGUGUACCACCGCUAUAUUUAAGUUGCCAAGGCAUCUAAGCAGUUGAAAUAAUCUGAGAAAUCACUUAACAAUGUGGCCUCAUAUAAACUACAAAGACAGUCUUGUGGUGAAGUUCAGAGGAAAAGUUAAGGACUCAAAUGAACUAGGCAUGCAUUUCUUUACGAUAGUAAAGCAGGCACUGCUGACAUAUUGGCCAACUCAGGUAUAGCGUAACAAGUAACAAACAAGCAUUCGAAUCAAGCAAUACCGUAAAACAGACAACUGAACUAUUUGUAAUUCUUACAGGUUGAGGGCACAAGCCAAGAAAACAGCCCACUCGCAUUACAUUUCACAUGUACUAAAACAUACUGGCUUACCAUAUGUUGCUGUGAACCCUCGCUUCUGUUGCAAUGUUCUUUGAGGAUAUCGUUAGCAUCCCGUGGUUGCAAAUCUAGUUGUUGUAGUUUAUUUUGCACCCUCUAUUUAGGUAAAAUUAAUUUUAAUCGCAUGCACUGGUUCGAAUUGAUCAUCAAUGGUUCAUCUAAACUAAUGAAAGAAGGUUGUGUGCAUACACGACAAUAUAUCUGCUUCCCUCUAUUUUUAUGCUUGUUCGAGGUGUCAGCCCCAAAAGAACAAAUAUUUUGCUUGAUGGGGUUGGCAGCUCCAUAAUUAAUAGAAGCAUCAAAUUAGUCAUGCAACUUGGGAAGAUCAAGAACACACAAAAAAGUAAUGAACAAAGGCUCGGAGCAGUGAUGUAAUAGCUAGCAUCAGAAAAUGUAGGGUAAAACAAACAAAAAGCAGCGGAACCACCUGCUAGUUUGUUGAUGUGUAAUUAAGCAUAGAGAACAUGAAGCAGACUGAUGGAACCAACAUGUGGCAUCAGAACAACACCAUUAUCAUAAAUAUAGCAUGCAAGAAGUAAAAUCAUAGGCAGUGAUAUCUAGGAAGCACAGUAAUCCUUAGGACAAAACUAAAGCAUAUUAACUAUGUGUGCACUGGUAUGUAAUUUAGCACAUGCAACAUGUUCACUGCCACACGUAUGGCCCUACAGGUGCAAGCAGAAUAACGCGUCUCAUGAAAAAUUGAAUGAUGCCCUGAAGAAAUUCAAAGGUGUCGUGCUUAUGCUAAGAAAGUGAACGCAUGGGGCCGGUCGUUGGAUAAUAGUACCUGAUUCUUGGCGGCGUAUGGGUAUCGUUGUCAUACUUGAUAGCUAAGGAUCGUCGAUGGUGCUCGUGUUGCGGUUGAGUUUGGGCCGGCUGUCGCCGUCGCUGAAGCGACUCCGUUGCUUCGGUUGCGGCGCCUGUCGACAUACAAGAAAGCUCAUCUGUGGUAAGUGAACAGUUGCACGAUAAAGAAGAGAAAAACCAAAGGAGUACAAAUCGAAAUAACCUGAGGAGGCUGCGGCGUCGGUAAAGCAGGGCCGGUGGAGUUGAAUAUGGCGUCCUAGCGGGUCCGGUGCAGUGCACGAAGGCUUCGGCGGGCGCGAUGUAUAGUGCUUUCGGUGAGGCGGAUCUGUUGCGGCGGAUGAGGGCUUGUAUGAAGGGCCAGCGAUGGGAGGAUGAGGGAGUUAGUGAAGGGCCUACACUGUGGAGGACGAGGGCGCCGGUUAAGCAGAUCCAGUGCGGUGGACCAUAGUGGCGGUCAAGGAGAUCUGGAGCGGUGGACAAGCCAGUCGCUGAAGCGGCUCCGGUGAAGUGGUAAGUUGGCAGUUGGGGGUUCCAAGGUGCGGAAGGUAGAUCCGGCGGGGUGUCAGGUCCAUCGCUGCGGCGGAGGACUAGAUUAUGCGGCUUGUCGUGGUUGGGGGGUCAGGGAAGGGAAGGGGAGGGGCUCUGGGGAAGAAUGUUGGUGGCAAAGAGGGAAAACAAUGGAGUUAUCAAAGCAGCACUUUUCCGUUCAUUUGGCAGGGGUAAAACAGGAAUAUCGCAGGGCUAAAAUUUUGGUCGCGAGAUAUUUCGAUGUGAGCGGGAAGUUUGAAAGCUUUUGGCGCCUGAAAUUAUAAGUGUUCUGCUCUUGUACGGCCGACUAUGAUAUCAUGGCCAAGAAUUUGUUUGUUUUGCACGUAAAAAAAGUGCAAGUUUUGAAAAUCAAUGUCUCCAACUCGAAACUUAGAUUGUCCAUUCAAUUCAAAUAUGGAUCAUUGAGCUAGUACAAGCAAAUACCAUCAUACGGUCCAAUUCAAAUGAAAUUCCAAAUGUGUUUAUCCUAAAUAUGAUGACAAAAGCAAAAAUGUGUAUGUGUAUGAAUAAAGUGGAUGAUUAUAAAGUUUGAACAUGCCCGUAUGUGUAUAUCUCUAGGUUUGAUAUAUGAAUUUGAAAUCACGAAAUCCCGGCUUAAAAAUGUACCUCUGUUUAAAUGAAUUACAAAAGCUAAUGAUGGAGUCGAAUUCCAAAAUUCCAAUCUUAGGUUUGUAAUUCUGGUACAUCAAGGUAUAUCACGCAUGUUCAAAAGUAUCGUUAUCUUAUAGUCCAAACUGUGAAACUAAUUGAUCAACCAUGAGUGCACACACUAUUGACCAUAUAUAUCUAAAUUACGCUAAAGUCCCUCAAAUAUAGACACCUCACUCUUUAUCUGAAGCCAACCCCCCACCCCCCUCCCCCCCCCACACACACACAAGUCGUUCUCUUCCCAGACACGAACACAAGAGCACAUUAACACCCCUCUCUCUUCUAAAGCCCGGACCCCAAUACAGGUCUCUAUCACUUUGUCUCUCGGGCAUGCACACAUCUCUUCCCCAACUCUCUAGGUCUCCCGGCAUCUCUCUUUCCCAAGGACACGCACUAUGUAGAGUGUAUCUUUCCCAUACACAGAAAACGUCGCCCCCAAACGUCUAUCUCCCUAGUUAUGUGGUUCUCGCACACUCACCUCACACAACACCCCCACUGCAAACAAGCACACUUUGUCUCCUUGUGCACCACUCUCCUCUUUGUAUCUCUCCCACAUGCGGACCCGCCCCAGCUCCUUCCCUGUAUACAUAUAUGUCGUGACUCUUUCCAUAGCUCCCUAAUGUAUCAUCAUUCUCAAUCUCGCACGUUGUUCUCUACACCAUCUAUUCUAGAUCUCUCAUGAAGUCCCUAUCACACACACGAUGACUCGCUUCCCUUGCGUCUCUGUACAUAGGCCAAUUUCGAACAACAUCAACAUUGUCUCCCUAUCUAUAUGCCAUUCAUGGACACAAACGAUCCCUCUCUCCCCCCUCUCUUCCUCUCUCUCUCUCUCCGUCGCUAGCUCUCUCUCUCUCACUCUCACACCCCUCUCACACACACACUCGAUGUCUCUUCCAAAUAGUCCACUCCCUGCCCGCACCCAUGCUAUCCCGCUACUACACAUGUCACACCAUUCCCCCUACCCUUAUACUAGGUUUACAUCAUUAGUGGUCUCUCUACUCCACAUACACACACACUCCCUCUCACACACAAACGCGCGCACAAACACACACAGACAUGCACAAACACCCAUUUAUCUGGAUCCUCAUCUCGCCCCAUGUCCGCAUGUGUAUCUCACACACUCACUCUCUUAUUAUGUCUAUGUGUCUCCAUGUUACACAACACGAAGCCCCAUGUACAUGUCUCUCUCUAUCCUCCACACACAUAGCCACACAGAAUCUCUUAUCAUUGCCUCAGUCUCUAGACAUAUCACACACGCACACUGUCUCUCUCUCUCGCUCAACAAGGGUUUCCCCGUGAAUAACUUACCGUCUAUUCAUCAACAGUCGUGGCAGUACGGCGAACACGAGACGUGAAAAAGAAUAAAUCUACACGUGCGUAGACCACCUAGUAUGACUACUAGGACUAGAGCAAGCCGAAAGCGCGCCGCCGUCACCCCCUCCUUAUCGGCGACGGGAAAACCUUUGUUUUACACAGUCGAGAAGUCAUUGUGCUAAGGCCCCACAUGCUGAGGCGUUGAAUAGAAUGUAGAUCCUAGUUUAUGGAAACAAGUAUCAAUAAUAUGUUUGUAUCUCCAUACUUAUAUUUCUUCUCUUAUAAAAAACCGAGUUGGUGAUGAUGGUACGCGUGCCAUCUUGCAAUAUAGACCGUCUGAUCUAUAUCUGCCGGAUGGAAAUUAAACUAAAAGAUACCCGCACCUCUCUCCACAUUUGCAGACAAGGCCUUCCCUCGUUCAUCCUUAUCUCCAACAACCUUAUUGUUGAGCAAUUAAAAAAGGAAGCCUCUGGAACAAACUGGCCUGGUGGCCGCUGUCGGCGUCGUCCAUCCCCAUGCCUCCGCUCAGUCCGACCACCAAUCACCACCAUGCCCCACUCCUCUUCACCUUAUCUCCUAUUUCUCAAGAUAUCAUACACAUGGGAUUACCCCCGCAUGGGUCAAUCACAACAAGUGUUUUAUAAAAAAUGCAUCUUGAUGUUCCGUGCAAUGCACGGACAUCUUGCUACUACUCCUACAGAAGACUAAGUUGGUGAUGAUGGUGUGUCUACCAUCCGUCAUUUCUGACCAUUAGAUCUACAUCUAACGACUGUGAGGUAAGUUGUUGCCUUUUCUCACCAACAUCCCACUUCUCUACCAAUUUACAGAAAACCCAUAAUUAGUAUCUUAAAACCAACCACAUCCCUCCCUCACCUCAACAAAAUAGCCCAAGGAAUAUAUUCUGAUUGAAACAUAAUAUAUCUCUAGUGAUAUAUGUAUAUCAAAAUUAGAGUGUUUUGUAUCAAGUUUGUGAAUAAGUAUUAUUCUAAUUAUGAUCCGUUGCAACGCACAUGAACAUUGCUAGUAUUUCCAUCCAUGCAAAAAAAUCCCUAGUAUUUCCAUAGUUUCGAGUUUUCCAUCAAGAUAUUAGUCACUCAUGGUUGAUAUUAACUUUCAAUCACAUACACAUAUGCACUAUUUAACUAGCCUUUCUUAUUGGCUUCCAAAACUAACUUUUACUCCUACUUACAAUAUGCAGACUAUUUAACAAAAAACUACCACUUUCAAUCGGCCCUUGGAAGAAACUAUUGUACAAAAAUUAGCAAAAACAUACCCAAAAUUUCUUAAUCCAUGCCAAAAACUACUACCUAGUACAAAUUAGGCUCGUUUAAACCCGUUUAUAACAGGGUUGGCCCACACGUCCAUGCUGACGAGGCAGCUUAAACCAACACAUUUUGUUUGACCGUUGACACGAGGGACCCACAUCUGACCUUCUAUCCUGUUAUUCCCCCUCAAAUCAUUAUUGUUCCUGAACAUUACUUCAAACAGCAUUGAUGCGUGUUCGUUAGUGGCGCCGGUGAUGACCGAGUUGGCCGCCACUCCGCCGGACGGGCCGGACGCCGCGCUGGCCUCCGCACGGGUUGGCAGGCUGGCCCGAGCGUGACUCACGAGCAAGCAAGCCGCCGCGCUGGCCUUCGCUCGAGCCAGAUGGCUAGCCUUCGCACGGCUCGCGCGAGCAAGCCGCCGCGCCGCCGUGCCAAUCUAGCUAGCAAACCUUGCAGACAAGCAGCUGGACGGAGCUAUCUUGGAUGGCUAGCGCCCGCGAGCGCCAGAUGGAGCUGGCAUCCGGGCUGCCGCAAGAUGGGCUCCGCACCGCCGGCGGUUUUGACCUUGCCUUCUGCCGGUGGCGGUAGCUGCGUCCCAUGGCCGAGAAUGAGUAGGUGGACGGGCCGGAGGUAGGAGGUCACUCGGGGAUUUUUGUGCAGACUGUCAUGUAUGUCCCACAAGUCAUAACGCCUAAUUUGCCGGUCGAAGAGAAGGCGUUGACUUAAGGGGCGACAUGGGUUGAAACGUCCCUAUAACGACACUUUGUAGAGUAGUUGUUUCUUGGUAGGGCUGGUUGGUAAGGGCAUGUACAAUGGUUGAUAUGGUAGUCUUAUCUUAAGUCUGCCACGUACGUAAGUGGUAGUAGUUUCUUGGCAUUAUUAGUGGUUUCUUGGCAUUAUUAGUGGUUUCUUGUAAGGAGAAUUGUACUACUAGAGACAAAAGGCGAUUCUAGGUUGCGUUGUACUCCAACAAGUACUACUAGUGGUCGCGGGAGUGUAUACCUUGUUUUGUGGGUUCGAUCCCGACCAAACGCACGGCGGCCUUUUUUAAAUAGUAACUUCGCUGUGAACCAAUAUUGUACACUGGUAGUUUGAGUUUUGAAGUCGAACGGACGUGUGGCACCACAAUCUGGGUGCACUGGAUAGCCUAGCCACGUGAACGGGUUUUCCUUCCCAUCAUCUCGUGGCUCGCGUGCUCGCCCUAGCCGCACCUCGCUUGCAGCUUCCUCAUCAGCUAGUAGCAUAUUUAAACUAACACCUCCCAAUUAAGCCCGAGGAGCUGGAAAAGCCUGGUGUGGCAUUGGGAACUGUGCAAUACGGCUCUGUAUGUAAAGUGCUACUAGUACUCUACUACUCUGUAGCUUCUGGCGUUGCAUGCAUGGAUUCACUCCCUUAUCGGCUCUAUAAAAGAAAUUCCUCUUGACGUGAUUUUUUUUAAAACGGAGGAAAAAGCUUUGCCUCGUCUCAUUCAUAAAGAAGGAACUACUAACAAAGUUCGUCGAGAUCCAUUACACAAAUGGAAGCGAAAAGCCUAAUCUUGUUGUAUCAAAUAACUCAAAUGUUCUGCCCCUGCAGUAACCGUCGCUGAUAAACAGGCUGCUAGUGUGUGCGUGAGAGGAGCGGCUGAGUAGGCCAGCUACGCGCUUGAAUAGAGCACCGAGAGUACCCACUACGUAGGUGUACUUUCCCUGCAUUGAUAGUACAGCGAUGGUUCUAGAGAACAGUAGUACCCUCCACUUCCAAUUGUAGCUCCUUGGCCCGGAGAUUCAAGAGUUCAAAACUGGUGCACUAUACUAGAAGUACAGUACAUCGCACUACUAGUUGAGAAAGUAGUACUAGUAUUGCUACAGUAUGAGUACGUAGUACUCCCUCCGUCCGGGUUUAUUGGGCCCUUGAGCCAUCAUUUGAUGUUCGUGUUUAUAAGGCCCGUUGCACUAACUACUCGCUUUUUCCCAAGAAUCGCUCUCUUCUUUUGUGUUGCUGCAUUGGAGCUGGCGCAUGGACUUGGCUGACUGGCCAUGCAUGCAGGAUGCAUGUGCCCGCCGGCCACUGCAUGCGCCUGGUUUGUUACUAGGCCUAUUUAAUAGGGUGGUUAUGGAGUAAAUUAAGGAGAUUUAUUUUCUCUGUGUGCAUCUUCUUGGUCUUAGCAAUUGGCUCAUGGGCCUAAUAAACCCGGACAGAGGGAGUAAAUAAUAGACUCACCCCUUCGCUAAGGAACGAUCGAGGAGCUACAGUUGGAAGGGACGGCGAUCUCCUCCUCGCUAGUUCCCCUCCCCCCGAAGAGAAGGCAGUUCGUUGCUGCUCCCAUGGAUUCACCAGGCGGUUCUCCUCCUCGUCGGGGCUGGGAGACCUUGGACGGCGAUCCUCUGGGAGAAAUUGCACGCCGCUCCGACGUCCUCACUGCCGCAAGACUCGGUGCUUCCUGCACCAACUUUUUCAAGACGGUGCUUAAACAUGCUUGGGAAAAGGCCAUGCUUGUUCGUCUUCCAUGCGUCCUCGAGGAGAAGGUUCUUCUAUGGGACAAUCCUUCGAACAGUCCACCGCUCCCUGGCCAUGGUUGCACGUUGACUCCGCUAGAGUUGCCAACGUUGAGAGGUAGUCGAAUUUUGUUUGAUGAGCAGGUCAGUCAUGGAGUUUGAUCAUGUAGUACUUAGUUAUUCAAUUUCCAUCCCGUAAUUUCUCCGCUGCCCACCGUCUUAUAUAUAGGUCUGGGUCAGUGCCAACGAAGAUUGGCUUGCAUACCUCUGGCCGGAUACCACCAUCAUUUUGCACAACAUCCACAGCAGUGCGGCCGUUCCCGUAGACCCCUUCUCCACCAUUGGGGUCGGCCUUCUGGACUGGCUGGGCUUGAAUACGUAUGAUGAUGCCUACAUGAGAUUGAAGAAGUUCGCAAUUGCGGACCCGCCGACAAAGCGACGCAGCUACGAUGAUUACAAUCUCAUCGCGGUGUUCGACAUAAGGAUUGCCAUCAAUGGAAGAGGCAGUAACGGGAGAGGCUGGCGCAUGUUGGCCGCGGCAGAUUUGUACCCCUACAUGUUUGAAGACACCGUGCGCCAUCUAGGCCACAUCUUCGCGGUGACAAGCCAGGGAACUUGUUUCAUCUGGUUGCCAUCCUACGGUACGGGAGAUUACAAACGGAAUGCACAAACCAUCAUUUGCAUCCCUAACGGUACUCCAUUAUUUUGCAGGGACCAGUCAUCCCCCGAUCAAUUAAGAUCGCCAAUCCUGGAUGUGCAUUUGCAUCCGUGAUUCGGUCUAACCUAUAACCUUGUAGCUGACUUUGGCAUAUUGGGAUCAACUAUCUUAGCAGUCGUUACCCAUGGUACCACUGAUGUGCAACAUGGGCACACAAUCUACCAUGAUCGGACCGUCACCAUCUACCGAGGUGUUCCAUUUAGUAUUAUAUUUUUUAACCCUCUCGCCUUCUCUUUCAUUGUUGUACUACUUACUAGUACUAGUAGGAGUACUUUUUACCUUGGAGGACGCGUAUAGCUAGCUAGGCCCUUGAAGACUUGAACCCACUAGCUGCCACCAUUUUUAUUUUUCCAUGUCUUACUAUCUCAUCCAUGUAGCCAAGAGUGGCUAUAUAAUAAUAAGCCAGUUAUUUUACUUCCUCUAUACCGGAGUAGUACUAUUUGCUCCACAGUAUUACUGACUGCCAUAUUUGAGCACAACAUUAUUAUGCAUGGACCUUGACUAUGUACGUCAUCACCAUGUGUCCAGAUCUGAGAUGCCGCGUGUACCAGAUGAACGACGAUGAGUUCGACCCCCGUGGUGCUACGUGGGUGCCAAGGAACACUCUUGGAGAGUACUCACUUUUCAUUGGGGACAGCUACCCCAUUGUGAAGCGGAUGCCACAUUCCGUGCACGACACCGAAGGCCUGCCGUUCAUGAAGAAUGGUUGUGUCUUCAGUGCGCACCGCCGGAUGAACGACAUGCUGGGACACGCUAUCCCUGAUUUAUGCCGCUUCAGCUUGGAUGAGUCUCCAUCGUGUGGAACCGGACUAGAAAGCUGCGACAAUGGUUCCCGUUGCCCACCGCUAUGGAUUGUGCCAUCCAUGAAGAACACCUGGGACUGGAACCUGGAGGAGGACAUGUAGCCCAUCUAUAAUGUGUAAGUGGAGUAUUGUAAAUUGUGAACGGUAGCGCUGUGAAUAUAGACUAGUCGUGCACAAAUUUAUCACAUGAAUUGGAGAUGAACUUGUGUGGCAUACUCGCAUUUGUCCUUUAGAAUUUAUUACUAGUAAAUGUGUUAUGUGUACGUGCAACUUGUGUGGUUGUUGCACGGGCUCUAACACGCUCUUUGAGAAAAAAAGGUGGCACAGCUUUGGAUAUAGGUGACGUGGCGGCAUCAUACAGUAGCAUCGUUCGCUAUAGUUGUAGUAUACUCCUACUAGGACGACAAAUCCUAUAAAACCUUGCGCUUGGCUCUUCACCACUUCAGGAGGUUCAACAGUUCGUACUCGUGUGAACCUUGCACUUGGCUCUUCGCCUCUUGGGAAGGUCCAACAAUGAUGAUACUACAGUACAAUAUGCUUCUGGCAAUCUGACACCGAUUGAACUGCUGCACGUCCACCGCGAGGGCGAGGGAGAGGGAGAGGGCGCUGUAGUCAAAACCCUCUCCUCGUCCUGCGAGCCACCGCGCGCGUGAGCGAGGGAGAGGUGUAGUAAGCAAGCUUCUCCUCGUUCGGCGAGUUGACGGGACACAUCAAAGCAGUACUAGUACUAGUCCAUACUGCGUCCUUUCUGGUUAAUAUGGCUUAAUUUGAAACAAGAAAAAUACAGUGGCGGUCAACGUAUGUAACAAUACGCUCUUUACAGUCACUAUAUAUAGUUUUGCGGUGAUUAUACGAUCACUAGCUCAUCGUAGAGCACCGUAUUGCACCCUAUUGACCGGCCACAUAGUCGACGUGGCACUUUGUUGACUGAUUAAAUUGUCACCUGGUUUCUGGGUCCCACCUGUCAAUUGGCAGAGCAAAGAAACCAGUUAAACAAAACUUUACGCAGGCGCGAUAGGAGUUCAACCCUUGCGCGCGAACCAUCCUGGCUGUGUAUGUGAGUGCAUGCACGUGUACUCCCUCGGUCUUCCAACAAAGAGUGUACUCCCUCCGUCCGGGUUUAUUAGGCCCAUGAGCCAAUUGCUAAGACCAAGAAGAUGCACACAGAGAAAAUAAAUCUCCUUAAUUUACUCCAUAACCACCCUAUUAAAUAGGCCUAGUAACAAACCAGGCGCAUGCAGUGGCCGACGGGCACAUGCAUCCUGCAUGCAUGGCCAGUCAGCCAAGUCCAUGCGCUAGCUCCAAUGCAGCAACGCAAAAGAAGAGAGCGAUUCUUGGGAAAAAGCGAGCAGUUAGUGCAGCGGGCCUUAUAAACACGAACAGCCAUCGAUGGCUCAAGGGCCCAAUAAACCCGGACGGAGGGAGUACAUCGGCUAAAGAACAAAGAGUGUACAUCUACACUUCCAAUGCAUUUAACCUUUAAUCUAAAACGAUAUUGGUUGACUAAUGCACCAACUUGUGUUCUAGGUAUAGGCUACAUGUCUAUCCUUAAUUACAGCAUGCAACAACCUUCAUUUAAUCUUCUUCUCUCAAUGGUCGCAUGCAUACAUAAGUCUGCUACUUUUGGGCGUUAAUUAUGUGUCACGACCGGUCUUUCAAUAAAAUAGUUAUUGAGAGACCAAUCCCUUUUACAGACCAGUAAGGAAGAAUUCCUUCUCACUGGUAGACAAUAUGUUGGUCACAGAAGAAAAAUACCAGGAGUAUUGAAUAUAAUACAAGGUUGAGCGGAGACUGCCCAACAAUUUAUUACAUGCACGCCGAUAAAACAAGACGGCGGAUAGGGUGGCAUAACUACUAACUCACGAUAAUAACGGUGGUGGAAAUAUCAUCGUGAAGCGAGUGAUAUGACUCCUGAAGACUACAGCUCUUCGAGCGUCGGAGUGAGGCUCGAGGAGACUUAUUGCGGGUGGCGGAAGCGUAUAUAAUACAAGUGACCAAUAUCCGGGAUCGCGCAGGACUGACUGGGACUCCUCUAGGCGUCGGACGCGCUAUCAAACUCUUCAUCCAAGAGAUCGCCUUCGUCAACAUCUGGCCAAAUCAACAAGCCAGGUGAGUACUAUGAAAGUACUCGCAAGACAGUUCGGACAUAAGAUAUAACAAAUGUAAACAUGAAGCGUAUGAACAAAUUAACCAGUGCGUUCAGACAUAGAGAUAGUACAUACUGGGUGCCAAACGAGGGUCUGAAUGACUCCUCGGGAGGAAACUGCAAGAAUAGUAAUACUGGUGCCAAACGAGGGUCUGAAUGACUCCUCGAGAGAAAACUGCAAGAAUAGUAAUACUGGUGCCAAACGAGGGUCUGAAUGACUCCUCGAGAGGAAACUGCAAGAAUAGUAAUACUGGUGCCAAACGAGUGUCUGAAUGACUCCUCGAGAGGAAACUGCAAGAAUAGUAAUACUGGUGCCAAACGAGUGUCUGAAUGACUCCUCGAGAGGAAACUGCAAGAAUAAUAAUGCCACAGUCGGGCGUCGGGGCGACACCACAUAAAGGGCUUAUAACAGAAAAUAAAGGCAGUGUGUGCCACAGUCGGACGUCUGAGCGACAUCACAUAAAGGGCUUAUAUUUAAAGUAAGAAACAAAAACACGCCACAGUCGGACGUCUGCGCGACGUCACAUAAAGGGCUUAUAUUGUAGCUCAAUAAUUCAGUAGCUCGAGAUUAUAAAUUAUUACAAGUACGAGACAAAUAUAAGGUUAGUCCAUCCACAGUAAUAAUAAUUAAACUGGGUUUACCACUUGAGCUUGUUCACCGGGGACAAGUUUUCCACGCGGAUAGAUAUGGAUAUACUGAUUACACUACUUGAUCAUGGAUACGAUGACUUGGAAGAAUUUGACUCUGCAGAGUUUGUACUUAACCACAGCCAACGGAUUUCAGUAGUCACGGGGACUAGUUCCGUUUACGGUGUUUUGGAAGAAACACGUCUAACCAGUACACACCCAUUCAACAUUCCGAAGCCAGGGAUCACCCUCGACAACGUUCAAGAAAAUCCUUGAGAUGGGGAGGCUACAACCUCGCGUAGCAUGGGAUCAAAUUUCUAUACGCGCGCUCUAAGGGGGUGCCCCCCCUCUCGGUCCCAACCGGAAACACCCAUGCCCCCUGACCGGAUGACUGGCUUUAAUCCUGGGCCAAGGAACCAUCAUCCUGGCCCCUCUGUUUGGUGUGUACACGGAAAGAGGUUACCAACUUACUAAACCGCACCCUGGCAAAUGAAACAUGUGGCAGCACGGAGGGGAAAAGAACGAUAACAUGACUCCGCCCACGUUAACGUCGGAAUUCGUCGGAUGACGCAAGGCUGGUAUGCUACAACAGUACCACCUUGCUGCCCUUCAUGUCACCACAUGAUUAGGCCAUCUCUCACCAGAGAUCAUCGCGACUUUGGAAAAAGCGGGUAGUUGCCUCACAAGCAACGAGGUACUCACUGACACUCAUAUGCCACGCACAAACUUUCACGCAAACAUGCAAAACACCUGUCAUAUCAAAUGUUCAAACAUGCUUGCCUGGUUCGGAGAAGUCGGAGUCUAGCUCGCCGAAGUUCGCGGCUCCGUCACCUCUUCCGGAACCUACGGCAUAACGAAAACGGGCACUAACGUGAAAACCAACGCGUGCAUAAAAAUUUCUCCAAAAAUUUUCCAAGUAAAUCCCAUAAAAAACUAGACAAAAUUUUAAGACUGUCAGAAAAAGAAUCACUCAAAAAUCCCUUUUUAUUAAAAAGUUAUAAAGGUUUCUGUCCAGGGACUCAUCUGUAAUGAAACAGAAAAGUUCCAGGGUUUAAACUGAGAAAACAGAAAACGCUUCGGAAAGAAAUGCGCCAGCUAAAAAGGGAAACGUAUUUUGCCCGAAGGCGCCAACAGAAAACGGUUCGAGGGAGAAUAGAACAGAGGCUGACAUGGGGGUCCACAUGUCAGGUUCAAAAAGCUCGCCGGCGCCCGAAGACUGCGGUGGACGCCGGCGUCGAACCACGGCGAGUCAGGAAGAUCGGGGGGUACUAAGAGCUUCAGUGUGUCCUUCCGCGUCGGUGGGGGUGGACUCGACCGACGGAGAGCACCACGUCGACGGCGACACUUUCUCCGGCGGACGGCGGUUCGGGUGAUGGUGGGGAACUCCGGUGGUGAGCUGCAAACCUCGAAUUGAAGCGCGGGUCAGAAGAGUGGAUGCAUAGGGAAGCUACUGGCAAGAGAUGGGAGGCGGAGGUGCACGCACGGGGGCGAAUCGAGCUGGAUCCCGUGGCGGGUCGCGGCGGCCGGAGUCGAGGAAGGAGACCUCCUCGGGGCUCUUCCAGUGGCUAGGCGUGCUCUAGGUGGAGUGCAGAGGUGGUGUGGGUUCGAGUUGAAGCUCAGGGCCUCUAUUUAUAGGCGGAUCGAGGGGGUGGCCGUGAACGGAGAAUCUCCGGCGAGCGAUUACGGCGAGGUAGUGGUUGAGCAGGUGGUUUGAGUGGCCAGGCAGCAUCGGUGAGGUUUACUGGUGCCGUUCCACUGCUAAACUGAGUUGGUCUUGGCGUAAUGGCGUCGGUCCACGGUGGGGUCGCCGCACGGGCACGUCGGCGGCAGAGAGCGCGCUCCGCGCCCAGCGGUUCACGACGAGGGUGGCAGCGCGUUCUGGGGAGUGGAAGGCCACGCGGCGAGCUCCGGUUGCUUGGGCGGCGCUGGGUGGCGCCGUCGGCGCCGCACCUCUCUCUGGCGGCCGCAAAGCCGCCGCUGGCGUCGGUCAUGGGGUGGCGCACCUCCUCCUGCUCGUCGCCGACGUUCGCAAGCGUCCAGGCGCUCGUGCGAUGCAGGAACAAGGGGGAGGGGACGGGGAGCAAGGCGACAUCGAGGCACUGUCGAGAUCGACAACAAGUUCUGAAGAAAACGACAGUGUACUGAAACUGUUUCUGAACUUUACUGAACUUGACAUUGACAAUGCACUGCAGGUGUUCGACAGAAUGAUUUGGCAAUGAGAAAAACUUUCCUAGGGCUGGGACUUGGUGAGGUGACCACUCAAUGCACCCAGAGGCUGCCUGAUUUUACUUGGAAUAUUUGGAGAAGGAUUUGAAUGAAUUUCACCAAAUUUGACAAAUCUGGUCCAAACUUGCAGCAAGUGUAGUUUGAAAAAUUUGAACUGAAGACCAGUGGAUCUUCAUGGAUCUUGGUUGAGGGUUCAAAGGACUAGGAAGGGGAGUUGGUUUGGGGGCAAAAAUCAAAACAGAGAUGGUAGCCCCUUUGUAAAUCUCCAAGGGCUAGAAUAGAAGACAGAAAUUUAUUUGAUAAGAUUUAAAUGGAAAAUAAUUAUAUGGAGAGGUACAACUUGCGGGAUUUGAUGCAAAACAUGAUCCAAAGAUGAGGGAAGGUUUAGGAUAAUGGAUUUGCACUAAGGCCAUGGCAAGAGGGAAUUGUUGAAAGUGGUAAAGGAUCAUUCCAAAAGCCAUAGUGCAAAUUUCAAAGAGAUUUUCAAAAGGCAUUUUUCUCAAGUGAAAAGUAUUCUGUCUUGAGUCAAAAUAAAAAGGCAAGGACCUCCAAGACCAAAAGCAAGUCUUGGGUGAAUCCAAAAUAAUAAUAAAACUCUUGCCAUAAAAAAUAUAUUGAAAGGGAGGUUUCUUUGGAAGAAAAAAUUUAAAUCACCUCCCUCAAGUCAAAUAAAAUCUUUUGAAAAAUCCAAAUAAAAUUUUGGGUAUCACAUUAUGCCCUGGUCAAUGUGUAAAUCUCUAAAUGUACAGUCUUUCACGGACGUAGGGAGUAGGUUGAGCACUUGAGCGUGAGCGUGUGUGUUGCGUCGUGUGCUAUGUGUCGCAUGGGUGCGUGAGUGUUGCAUGCAUCCAUGUGUAUGUGUGAGUGUUGCAUGUUGCAUGCAUGCAUGCAUGAGGCUUUUACUCCCUCCCAUUGACAUGUUCAUAUUUCGAACUUCCUUUGUUCCCUACAUAUGGUGAUACUCCCUCCGUUCCCAAAUACGGAGUAAAAGCCUCCAUCUGUUCCCAAAUACGACGUAUUUGUCUUUCUAGAUAUUUCAACAAGUGACUACGUAAGGAGCAAAAUGAGUGAAGUGAGCGUAGAGGCAUAGGGAUACUGUAGAUAGGAAGUCUUCGCGAUCCAUUAUUCCCCAUCUCGGUCAGAGAGAACUAUUCAACUAGUCUUCGCAGUGAAGUGACAAUACACGCCGCAGCAGAUGGGAUACUUAAUUAAUAAGCUGAACCAGUGUGUUGGUGUUACUAAAUCAGCCUUACACAGUACUGCCAUCAUAUUUGCCAGUAGAGCACGCUUCCGCAAAUACGCCUAUGCACCUCUCUCCUCCAUUAACUGACAUAUGGGCCCUCUUGAGGUAGACCCACAUGUCAUCAGUGUAACUAUUUACACUCCAAAGACAGUAUAUCCUGGUAGUAGUACUAGUAGAAUUGCGAUUUAAUGCACUUUCUUCCCCGUCUUUCACUCUUCUUCCUCCUCUCUUCUUCUUCCUCCUCUCUUCCCCAUCAUCGGCCGCACACCAUUUCCUCCCGCUCACUGCUCGCCCACCCGCGCCAUCUUCCUUGGUAGCUCGCGCGUACCAUAUCCCCUGCUCACUGUUCGGCCACACGAGGAGAAGCUUCUUCGCUCGCCCACCCAAAUCCACUUCCCCGCUCGCUCGCAGGCACCGAAAACCCCAAUGGCAAAACCCCAAUUCCCUCCCCGAUGUUCUCUUGGCCCACAUCUGUAAUCGUAUGGACCUACUCAGCACCGUCCGUCUGGCCGCAUGCUCAGUGUCUUUGUACCGUCUACUCGUCUGCAAAUGGCCGGCUCUUUUCAAGACACCCUUGUCGGUGUCAAAACCGGCGGAUCUCGGGUAGGGGGUCCCGAACUGUGCGUCUAAGGCUGAUGGUAACAGGAGACGGGGGACAUGAUGUUUACCCAGGUUCGGGCCCUCUCUAUGGAGGUAAUACCCUACUUCCUGCUUGAUUGAUCUUGAUGAAUAUGAGUGUUACAAGAGUUGAUCUACCACGAGAUCGUAGAGGCUAAACCCUAGAAGCUAGCCUAUGAUUAUGAUAAUGAGUAUCCGCCUAUCCGGACUCUCUCCGGUUUAUAUAGACACCAAAGAGAUCUAGGGUUACAUGGAGUCGGUUACAUAAAAAGGAAUCUACAUGAUUGAUCGCCAAGCUUGCCUUCCACGCCAAGGAGAGUCCUAUCCGGACACGGGUGCGAUCUUCGGUCUUCGUAUCCUCACAGCCCAUCAGUCCGGCCCAUGGCUAACAGGCCGGACGCCCGAGGACCCCUUAGUCCAGAACUCCCUCAGUAGCCCCUGAACCUGGCUUCAAUGAUGAGGAGUCCGGCGCACAGAUUUGUCUUCGGCAUUGCAAGGCGGGUUCCUUUCUUCGGAACUCCAGAAUAGUCUUCGGACAAGAGAUGUAUCCGUAUCUGUAACAUGAAUACCAAACACACAGCUGUGGAGAGUACAAUAUUCCACGAGUCCAAUACGCUGACAACUUUUCAUAAUGUGACGUCACGCCUGCCCGGUUCAUUAUUUCAAACCGUUUUCGUCUGCCGCUUCGUGUUUUGAGACACGGUUUUCGUUGGCACGUCUCGUCGAAGCAGAGAUCGUGUCCCCUUAUUGCGGGAUCCUCAUCAAUAAGGGUGUGGGUAACCCAACCAUGCCGUUUACACAGGCCUUGGGAAUAGGCGAGUUUCGAGGCGAAUGGGGAGGCGUUAGAUAGUCACUGCCUUUAUAAGGGGAUAAGGAUUCCCUUCUUCCCCCACGCCUUCUCUCUUUCUCCGCCCUUCCAAUCUCGAGCUCCAGCGCCCAAGUUCUUAUCUCCUUUCCACUUGAGCUAGCGCUGCAACCAUGUCCGGAUCCGGAGGCCAGGGUAAGUGGAUGGUCUCCUCCGUUAAGGAGAAGGACAUUACUGAGCUUCGGGCGGCCGGGUACUUGGCGAAGGAAAUCGCCCACCGUCUUCCAGCCCUGGGGAAAGUUGUCCCCACGCCGAAGCCCAACGAGAGGGUGGUAUUCCUCCCUCAUUUCUUCCGCGAACUAGGGUUUCCCCUCCACCCCUUCGUCCGUGGGCUGAUGUAUUAUUACGGGAUAGAUUUCCACGAUCUGUCCCCGAAUUCCUUCCUCGACAUCUCGGCGUUUAUCGUCGUGUGCGAGGCCUUCCUCCGCAUCCAACCCCACUUCGGGCUAUGGCUCAAAGUCUUCAACGUGAAGCCGAAGGUGGUGGAUGGCCAGCGCGCGGAGUGCGGAGGAGCCAUGGUGAGUAAACUGUCCCACGUUUCCUGGCCGAAAGGCACCUUCGUGGAGACAGUAAAGGAGUGGCAGAAACAGUGGUUCUACAUUACAAAACCCCGCGGCACCGACUGGGCCGCAGCUGCCGAAUUCAACCCAGGCGCCCCAAUGCGGCUCACCUCCUGGGUCGAGAAAAGCCCGAACUGGUGUUCGCAAGACGAGCUGAUAGCACUGCAGACGCGCAUUCAAAGCAUGGUGGACAAGGACGUCAAACUCGUCGAUGUAAUCCAGGUGAUGCUAAUUCGCCGGAUUCUCCCGUGCCAAAGCCGAAGCCGUCCUCUAUGGAAGUUUAAUCCGAAGAAGCACCAUACCCUGAAGAGGAUCUUUGAGACCACUCACGAGGGCGCUUGGAAGUCGCUCUUCAAGGGCAACGAGAAGCCGCCGGCCACAGAUUCAGACCGCGGGCACGAUAAUAACCAUCCUGCCAGCGAGGUGUGUUAUUUUUAAAGCAUCCCCUACUUGUUUGUUUCGAGGAUGAUGUCUGAUCUUUCAUCGUUGCUUUUUUAGGACUGGAUGAAGAGGGCGGAGCGGAUCCAGUGUCCGGCCCCGCUGCCUGAAGAACCGGUCAUCCCGCGUUUAGCGAAGAUGCUGGUGCCGGCACCAUAUAAGGCGCCGGAGAAGAAGGCCAAGGGAGCCAAAAGUGGCCCCCGUCGUAAGGGCGCUUCGGACGUGACGUCCGAAGACGAAGAAGCCCAUUCCUCCGUCCCUGAGGAUGACGACGAGGAAAAGGAGGAGGAGGAGGAGGAGGACAAUUCUCCCCCUGAGGAGAGGAGGAAGAAGAGGGCGGCUUCCGCUAAUCUGGAAGCGGGGAAGCCCAAGAGGGGGAAGGGCGCCCUUUCGGUCAACACCGCGUGGGAUGUCGACAGUAGUCCGGAGCGACACCUCCGCACUAAGCCCCGGGCCGCAUUGUAAGUACUAUGACUCACAUGUACCGUAUCUCUGGCCUCUCCUCUUUAUUGUUUUGAUGUGGUUAAUUAUGCUAUUGCAGUCCGGCCCGCGACAACAUCUAGCGAUCCUCUUCUGGAGGUUCAUUGGAUCCGGCGGAAAUGGCCAGCGUGUCACCGCCGACCGCUCACUCCCCCGAGGCCCAGGAUGACGCCGAAGUGUUGUCCUGAAGGACCGCUCCGAGCCGGGGAGAUGCUCAGGACGAUGUCCAGGGGGCGCUGCAAGGCGAGACCCCCACUGCCGGACACAUGGGGGACCAAACCCCUAUGGAGACUGGCGAGGAGGGACGUGUUCAGUUUGGCCCUCAGCCGAAUACGAUUCCGGAGACCCAAAUGGCUCCGGAAUCCGGCAAGCACCCUCCUUCAAAGGAGGGGGUGUGCCGAUUCCACUGGUGGCCCUUGUCCAACCAGGGGCACCGGAUAACCUGAUGGAGGCGCUGCGAGGCGCCUCCAUUAUGCACGAGCACCGUGUCCUUAUGGGUGCGGUGGUCGAGAAGGUUCGGUCCGCCAAGAGCGGACUAAACGAGGCCUGCAGCAACCUGUUGACAGGUUUUGACGUAAGUCGCACAGAAAGAGAACAAUCCCAUGCAGACAGUAGCCCCUAAGACACUGUCCGGUGUUCGGAAAGAAAAGCCGGACAGAGGAUCAACCCUUUGUAGGAGACUAACUUGAUAUGUACGAAUAAGCAAGCGUCGCUGUUAGCCGCGACUUCACAUACUGCCGAAGUCUCUGAACUGAAGCAGAGGCUGGAGCAAGCCGAGAACGAGCUCGGCGAGGUGAAGACUCGGCUCCGGGAGAAGCAAGGUGUGUAGCGACUUGCUUGUGUAUUCGGAAAGAAUAAGUAGUGUGUAUUGACCAGAGUGUCAUAAUAUGUGUAGGAGCGACGACCGAGGUCGAGGCCUAAAAAAGGCCCUGGCCGAAGCCGAGGGUAAGGCUGUCCAGCAGCAAGCCGCCCGUAAGAAGUUCAAGGCCCGGGUCGACGAGGUCCAGAAGGAGCUCCAAGACGCGGUGAAGAAGUGCGAGGCCUUGGAGCAUGAUGUGUCGGUCCGAGAGACCGAACUCGCCAAGGAUCGUCAGAGCACGGAGGCCGCACGGACUGAGGCCCGGGAUGCCCUCAAGGAGAUCCAGGAGGCCAGGAAGAUCGCGGCGGGUAAGGCAUUUAACAUGCAAAGCAAGUAUGCGGAGAGGAAGUACCUUCUACUAACCCGAAUUCGGAGUUGCCUAGGGGCUUUUGCGGAUCUACCAUGCAGCGUGUCCGAUGCAGCGGAGUUCUUCCUGGCCAGAGAAGGGAGCUCCACGGAGAAGCUGUUCUGGACGCAGUACGCCGUGCCCGAACAUCCGGUGCCCUUUACCGAUCAGCUGAAGCAGCUGGUCGAGCUGCACAGGGUGGCCGAACUGGCCAUGAAGGAUUUGAUAAUCUGGUUGUGGCCGGCCGAGGCGAUACCCCGCAGUUACUUUGGCCUCGUGAAGCGGGUGGUAGAGGCAUGUCCUCGGCUAGACAUCGUCAAGCAAUCAGUCUGCAUCGAAGGUGCCCGCAUGGCCUUCGUCCGCUGCAACAUGUGGUGGGCAAAGAUGGACGCCGUCGAGGUGGCCAAGGGGCCGCCAGAGGGCAAGGAACACUGCACACCCGAGCGAUAUUUUGCGGAUGUCCUCGAAGGGUCUCGACUUGUAGCAGCGCAGUGCGGGUAGGACAUUGUUUUCGAAUGAAUACACUCGUGUUUUGUCCUUGCCUUGUAUGAUGAAAACAAAGCCGGUUUGUAAUAUAAUGCUUAUUAUGUUUUAAUUGUUUCCUCCUGUGCGGCCGUGUUAUAUUUAAUCUGAGGGUUGGCCAGUCGUCGGCUUCUGCCCUCACGUAGGUAGUACGGAGGUGUUCGGGGUGGUAUCUAAACAAUCGUUAUCCAAUUAUAUGGUCCUUGAAGGAGUUGUUUAGCGCAACGAACCAGGCAAUCAGACUAUGCGGCUUAAACGCCCUCACUUAGCCAUAGGAGUUUUAUAAUAAAACAUGGGCGCAACCCCUGGUAUACGAACCAGAGUGCUGUCAGCGUCUGAUCGGGAAGUACCGAUCCUUCGCGUAACGCGGAAAAAAUCUCUAACGAUUUGUAACCUCCGAACAGCUGACCGGCUGUCGUCGUAUCAUGACAGUCAGUUUUCGGCUUUCUCUACUGAGGUGCUCAUCCGGUUUAAACCAGGGCCCAAUCGCAGUAGUUCUCCCUUUACUACCCUAGCCGAUGUAGCAGAACGUAGGGUAGCAAGCACAGGAGCCGGGCAACCCAACUAUUGACCAAAGACAUGAUUCGGAGCCAAUGCAUAUAAUGCUAAAUUCGGGGUGUCGAACUUAUGUAUAAGAGGUGUUCGGACUUUGUUGCCGUAUUAUGGGGCGAUGGUGAGCCCCUGGCGAAUAUGAAACGUGCCAAAGUGCACGGAUGCGGUCGAUAAGCAAAUCGAAAUAAGAUGCAGUAAGAAGCGAAAACCACAGAAACUGGGCCGCAAACUAUUUUUAUUAUAACUGGAUGGAUACGUCAAGGCGUAUCUUGUACAAAUAAUGCGAUAAGCAUCCGGGCUAUUGAAUAUGCCGGAAUCUAGGGGCGCAGCGUGCGGGUCCUGAGAAAUAAGUAGAAAUACCGUCAAGAAGAACGUAUAGAGGUUACCCUACACACCUAUGCUGCUUGCCGUCUUUGUGUGUCGAUCCUUCGAAAGGACUGGUGAUCAGGCCCGCGGGAAAAGGAACCUGAAACAAAUAAAAAGACGAAAAAGGUGAAAGUAUGUGUGAGUCCCGGGUCGGUCGAGCCGUACUGUGGACCACAAGCUAUGCCUCCGUCGAUGCCCAUGGGAUCUUCAGUGCGUAAUUAUGUACGCGUGGUACUAGCGCCACUAUGUGAUCGGGACCGGGACGGAGGCCGGGUUGCUAGUUGAGCUCAUGGCGAGCCGGGCUAUCCUCCUACAGCAUAGUUCGGACUCUUUUAAUGGUGUCCAGGGGCUCGGCAGCCGGAUUCCGGUUCUGCUUGAGAAGGUCGCUCUGUACCUCUGCUGCUAGGGCGGCGGUGUGCUCUUCUAUACGGAGAGAACGUUCUGUAUUUCCAUUGGCUGUUAUAACACCGCGUGGACCGGGCAUCUUGAGCUUAAGAUAAGCAUAAUGUGGCACCGCGUUGAAUCGAGCAAACGCAGUUCGUCCGAGCAGGGCAUGUAGCCGCUGCGAAAGGGGACGAUAUCGAAGAUGAGUUCUUCGCUACGGAAGUUGUCCAGAGAUCCGAAGACCACCUCCAGCGUGAUUGAGCCCGUACAACGGGCCUCUACGCCGGGGAUGACUCCUUUAAAGGUAGACUUUGUGGGCUUGAUCCAUGAGGAGUUAAUGCCCACUUUCCGCACUGUAUCCUGAUAGAGCGGGUUGAGGCUGCUACCGCCGUCCAGAAGGACACGUGUCAGGUGGAAUCCAUCAAUGAUCGGAUCGAGGACCAGCGCGGCUGAACCGCCAUGACGAAUACUAGUCGGAUGAUCUCGAUGAUCAAAGGUGAUCGGGCAUGACGACCAUGGAUUAAAUUUUGGGGCGACUGGCUCUACCGCAUAGACGUCCCUGAGUGCGCGCUUACGCUCCCUUUUGGGGAUGUGUGUAGCAUAUAUCAUGUUCACCAUUUUGACCCGGGGGGAAACUUCUUCUGUCCCCCUGUGUUUAGUUGCCGGGGCUCUUCGCCCUCGUCCUCGCUUUGUGAUCCCUUUUCCUUGUUUUUGGCGUUUAGCUUGCCGGCCUGUUUAAAAACCCAACAAUCUCUGUUGGUAUGAUUGGCUGGUUUAUCUGGGGUGCCAUGUAUCUGGCACGGAUGAUCAAGUAUGCGGUCUAAGCUGGACGGUCCCUGAUUGUUCCUUUUAUACGGCUUCUUCCGCUGGCCGGACUUGGAGCCACUGAAUCCGGCAUUGACUGCAGUGUCAUCGGUGUUGUCGUUGUUGUUUCGGCGUUUAUGCCUGUUACGUCGGAGCCUGCCGCUGCUGCUUUUGACCUCGGAGGGGUUUGCCUCGCUAGCUGUAUUUUUGCUGCGAGCGAGCCAACUAUCCUCACCCACGCAAAAGCGGGUCAUGAGUGCCGUGAGGGCUGCCAUAGAUUUUGGCUUUUCUUGGCCGAGGUGGCGGGCGAGCCAUUCGUCAUGGAUGCUAUCUUUAAAGGCCGCUAGGGCUUCAGCAUCCUCACAGUCGACGAUUUGGUUCUUUUUAGUUAGGAACCUAUUCCAAAACUUCCUGGCUAAUUCUCCAGGUUGUUGAACUAUAUGUCUUAAGUCAUCGGCGUCUGGUGGCCGGACAUAUGUACCUUGGAAGUUGUCUAGGAAGGCUUCUUCCAAGUCCUCCUAGCUACCGAUAGAAUUUUCAGGGAAGCUGUUAAGCUAGUGCCGAGUUGGCCCUUUGAGUUUUAGUGGGAGGUAUUUGAUGGCGUGGAGAUCAUCUCCGCGAGCCAUGUGGAUAUGGAGAAUAAAAUCCUCGAUCCAUACUGCGGGAUCGCUUGUGUUGUCAUAUGAUUCAAUAUUGACGGGCUUAAACCCCUCGGGGAAUUCAUGAUCCAGUACUUCAUCUGUGAAGCAGAGAGGGUGUGCGGCGCCUCUAUAUCGGGCUGCAUCGCGAUGUAGCUCUGAUGGAGUCCGUCUGCGGCAUUCGGCUCGGGCGUGGUUAGGUUUGUCACGUCUGAAUAGGUAGCCGUCGUCGUGUCUCGAGGCACGUCCUCGCGAUCCGUAGAUCGAUCUUGUAUAUCCUGCUCUGUUGUCCAGGGUCUACCGGAGGUCGUACAUGUAAUCUUGAGUUGUUCUGCCUCUAUUUUUAUGGGGCGGUGGGGCAGGCUGCUGCUCGUCUUGAGUUGCCGCUUUAUCUCGACCGCGGGGUGGUCGGUCCGCCGAACUGUUUCGAACUCGAGCUGGUCGUUCCGUAUUGCGCGGGGGAGAUAUGGGCUCCGGCGCCUCCUCAUUGAACUGAGGUAGAAAUUUGCGUUUCGGCUAGCUCUUGGCUGGGCGCUUAAGGCCGUAUUCUUCAGCUGUCAGGACAUCAGUCCAUCUGUCGACGGGCAGAUCUUGUUCAGCUUGAAGCUGCUGCUGUUUCUUAUUCAGGCUCCUCGCAGUGGCUAUGAGUUGAAGCUUAAAGCGCUCCUGCUCCAGAGGGUCCUCCGGCACGAUGAAGUCUUCGUUGCUGAGGCUCGUCUCUUCUUUGGAGGGUGGAUGGUAACUAUCAUCCUUUGAGUUUUCCUCUGUGGCCUGUUCGUCAGGGUUGACUUGCCCUAGCUUCAGAUUGUCUCAUUCGACAGUUUGCUCAUCGGGUUCUUCUGUUUCUUCGACGCCAUCCGGAGUGUUGUCGUCUCCUGCCCCGGUAUUGCUGUCCCUGCUGCGGCGGGAUUUAGAGCGGCAUCGCUGACGCCGGCGCUUUGGUUGUGUUUUAGGGGGGUCCUCCUUUGCUGCAUUUUCCCUGUCAUCGCCGCUGUUAUUUUUCGGCGUGUCUACCAUGUAGACGUCGUAUGAGGAAGUGGCCGUCCAACAUCCAGUAAAUGGCGGGUUCUGGCCCUGCUCCUGAUCGGCAUCGUCGUCCAUACCGUCGAUGUCUUCGGAGCCGUAGUCAAGCACGUCGGUUAAGUCAUCGACUGUGGCUAUGAAGUGGGUGGUGGGUGGGAAACAAAAUUCUCCCUCCUCAGCCCCUUGCCCGAACCGGUCAUAGUUCGGGUGUGAGUUCUCUGCCAAGGACAGGUUCUUAAAAGAGUUUGGCACAUCACCCAAAGGUGAGUACUGAAAGAUGUCUGCGGCGCUGAACUUGAGGAUCGAUAACCGAUCGAGUUCGGUAUCCGCGGACUCGCAGGUUUCGGAAGUUGUCGCCAGAGGUGAAUCCGGGGUUCCGUUGAUGCAGAUAUCAUGCGAAGUACAAUCUGUGUGCGGCUCCAACGCCGCGGAAUCGGUAGCCUCCGUGAUGGGGUUGAGCUUCCCAUCUUCGGAUGACUCGAUCUGCUCCAAAUCUAAGGCCAGAGUCGUUACAGGAGCUGUCUCCUGGAUGCAGCCCGAUGGCAGGUUUAAGCCAUGCUUAUCGGGGCGAAGGGGAGCGGUUGCCGCGGUCUCAAAUCCGUCGAAGAUUAAGUCUCCACGGAUGUCCGCGACAUAGUUCAAGCUUCCAAACCUGACCUGAUGGCCAGGAGCGUAGCUAUUGAUCUGCUCCAGAUGGCCAAGCGAGUUGGCCCGCAGUACAAAGCCGCCGAAUACGAAGAUUUGUCCGGGGAGGAAGGUUUCUCCCUGGACAACGUCGUUAUAGACAAUCGAAGGGGCCAUCGAGCCCUUUGCUGACGGCACAGUGGAACUCUCAAUGAAAGCACCAAUGUCGGUGCCAAAACUGGCGGAUCUCGGGUAGGGGGUCCCGAACUGUGCGUCUAAGGUCGAUGGUAACAGGAGACGGGGGACACGAUGUUUACCCAGGUUCGGGCCCUCUCUAUGGAGGUAAUACCCUACUUCCUGCUUGAUUGAUCUUGAUGAAUAUGAGUGUUACAAGAGUUGAUCUACCACGAGAUCGUAGAGGCUAAACCCUAGAAGCUAGCCUAUGAUUAUGAUAAUGAGUAUCCGCCUAUCCGGACUCUCUCCGGUUUAUAUACACACCGGAGAGAUCUAGGGUUACAUGGAGUCGGUUACAUAAAAAGGAAUCUACAUGAUUGAUCGUCAAGCUUGCCUUCCACGCCAAGGAGAGUCCUAUCCGGACACGGGUGUGAUCUUCGUUCUUCGUAUCCUCACAGCCCAUCAGUCCGGCCCAUGGCUAACAGGCCGGACGCCCGAGGACCCCUUAGUCCAGGACUCCCUCAGUACCCCUUAGUCCAGGACUCCCUCAACCCUACUUGUUGAUGCCCGAUCCUCGCAGGUGGCCCAGACACCGACUUGACGAUCCUACGGAGGUUGCCGUGGUGCCCCUCGACAUGCUACCACUACCCGUCCACUUGUCCUUCAUGUGCGGCCACUACUGGGCGGGCAUGAAGGCCAACUGGAUCGUCCUCAUCCACCAAUCCGGUAGUCCGUGGCGUCUCGUGGAUAUCUACACCCAGCAAGAGAUCACCCUUCCAUCGUUGGUUACCACCGCCAUCGAGCCUCGCAGGCCGCCGGACACUCCUGCCUACUACGCACGAGACGCGUCAAGCUUUUGGCUUGACCUCUGUUUGCUGAAAGUUGUAAUCUGCGAAGUGCCCACACCAUCAGAAGACUACAUGGAUUACAAGCUCAUUGCCUUGUUCAACAUGGGAUUAGUCUAUCUGGAAUCUGGUCGCCAUACAUGGUUAUGGCUCAUCGUCAAUCCUGUUGAGGCAACAUUUCUGUCUGAUGCUAUAGUGCAUGAUGGCACCGUUUACGCGAUCGACGCACAGAUUGGCUGCCUAUACUGGUGGAAUCUAUCGUCGUGUAAUUUGUUCUAUCUUGUCUCAUCUUUACCUUAUGAAUACGACUGCCUAUUCAUUGUUACAAAUUUAGAAUAGAUAGUAUGUCUAUAACCACAUCAUUGCUACAUGUUCCUCUCAUUUCCUAGAUUUUUAUGACCACACAUGUUAUUGUUAGAGUUGAUAUGAGAAAAAUUGACAUCUAAUGAUUGUUAGAAUAGAUAUUAUGAGCAUAACCUCAUGAUUCCUAUAUGUUACUCACAUUUCCAGGAUUUUUAUAACAACGCAUGUUAUUGCUUAGAGUUGAUAUGAAAACAGUAGUAAGUGCUAUGGUAGAAUAUGAGUAGGCCCUGUCAUAGCUGUUUUCCUCUUAUUGUUACAUGAUGUUUGAACUAUGACAUAUUGCUAGAAUAUGAAAGCCAUUGGCUUAUUUUUUUAACUUGGGGUAUGAUUAUGACCACGGCAUUGCAAUUCUCUGUCUAUGAUAUGUGUCACUGUUAUAAUAAUCUUAAUUCCACACAUACUCUGAACAUGAUUGUUUAUUUUUGUCCUUUUGAUUUCCAAUUUGAAUUGUUGCAGCAGACGCAAAUGCGCUGGCCUUCAUGAUUCCAGGACCUGGAAUGAUACCAGCCGAUGGGUGGUGGUUUAUCGCUCGUUCAGCUAACGGCGGUCAUUUGAUGCUCAUUCGCACAUCCAAAUUGACCAAACCAUUACAUCAAACCACAUGCAGUACAAUGCCUAGGGCGUUCGUGACAUUGAUGGCUAUGGUUGCUUCGUGUUCGAGAAAAAUCCCAACUCCGUUGGGCCAGGCGUAUUCAACUAGAGGCGGGUUUACAGCCUCGGCAACCACUCCAUGUUCCUCGGGCUCAAUUAUCCGAUCAUCCAACCAAUCAUUGAUUAUAUCACCGGCGAUGAGUACCGUGCUAUGCAACUUCCAUUCGCCAAGAGGGACUGUGUUUACACAUCAUACCAUGGGUUUCAUGAAUCACCAUAUCCAGAGAUUCGUCGACACAGCUUGUUGCCGGAUAAUCAUCAGUGUGUGAAAGGCAUCAAGCUUCCAUGCGAUGGAUGGCUUUUGCAAACCCGACAUGCGGCGAUGUGGUUCAUGCCAACAGCAAAUAUGCACAACUUGAUUCGUACUAAUAUCUAGACUGAGCCAUGUAUUCUGCUGCUGUAGCACGACCCUCUUUUGUUGGAUAUUAUGUAUUGUUGUUAGUUUGAAGCACUCCUCUGGUUUGAAGGAUAGAUACCUUUUUGGGAUCAAGUGCAUCCUAACUCACCUGCGUAGGAUGUAUUGAUAAUGAUGAUGGAGAUGCUGUGCAGAAGCCAUAUANNNNNNNNNNNNNNNNNNNNNNNNNNNNNNNNNNNNNNNNNNNNNNNNNNNNNNNNNNNNNNNNNNNNNNNNNNNNNNNNNNNNNNNNNNNNNNNNNNNNNNNNNNNNNNNNNNNNNNNNNNNNNNNNNNNNNNNNNNNNNNNNNNNNNNNNNNNNNNNNNNNNNNNNNNNNNNNNNNNNNNNNNNNNNNNNNNNNNNNNNNNNNNNNNNNNNNNNNNNNNNNNNNNNNNNNNNNNNNNNNNNNNNNNNNNNNNNNNNNNNNNNNNNNNNNNNNNNNNNNNNNNNNNNNNNNNNNNNNNNNNNNNNNNNNNNNNNNNNNNNNNNNNNNNNNNNNNNNNNNNNNNNNNNNNNNNNNNNNNNNNNNNNNNNNNNNNNNNNNNNNNNNNNNNNNNAUGGUUAAAAUGUGACACUAAAUACGACUAGUAAGUAGUACAGUAGCAGUACUAGUAUACAUCGGUCAAAUUAUUCAUCAUGUCCACACAUUGAAUUGACGUGACAACACGCUGCGCGUGAGGUGACACAAGAAUCCCGGCGGCGUGUUCGGGUAUUCUGGACUUCAGAUUUGGAGUACCACUUAUCUGUCAAAAUCUUUCAUCAUUCACUUAAAACAGUCGAUUGAUCAUACAUUGAGUACCAUAUAAUUGGAAUUAACCAAUGCAAGUCCAAGAAGGAUUGGUCGGUGCUGCCGGCUGGCGUCAAGUUCGAUCCCACGGAUCAGGAGCUGAUCGAGCACCUUGAGGCCAAAGUGAGUGCUGACAGCGCGAGAUCUCACCCUCUCAUCGAUUUGUUCAUACCAACCAUCGACAGCGAGCACGGCAUAUGCUACACCCAUCCUGAGAAACUCCAGGUAAGACACGAUCGGCCGUCUACUUGCACAAACAUAUUCCUUUGUAUAUAGCUCUAUUUUUCUUUUUAGACGCAGACCUAGUGAAGCAAUUACAAUUUGACAGUUAAUAAAAAGUGAAACAAGUGACUACAACAUGCCAAAGAUGUUAUGAAAAUGCCAACUACGUACACUAAAACAUGUAUUCGACAAUACUUCAGGUAUCACACUGAGUGGCCUAAGCAAGCAUUUCUUCCAGUGCAAUUCCAGGGCAUCCAAAAGGGGCACGUGGACACGAAGCAAGAUACAGUCGGAGUGCGGCAUGCAUGCGAUGUGGCACAAGACCGGCAAUACCUUUCUGGUGAUGGUCAACGGCCAGCAGACGGGCAGUAAAAAGGUUCUGGUGCUGCACACCAACAAGAACUUCGACCAGCAGAGGACCAACUGGGUGAUGCACCAGUACCACGUCGGGGACCUGGAGCAAGAGAAGGAGCGGGAGCUGGUCCUCUGCAAGAUUUUCUACCAGACGAACACUAGGGCCAGGAGUAAAAAAGAUUAUAAGCUAGUUUGGUAUUGGUACUUGUACUACCUUGUCGUCCGCAAGUUGGUAUUGUUGUUAACGAUCUUUCGGUAUGAACUUGGCAUUUGCUUCCAACCAUCAUGCCGAGGGUCAACGUGGAUAUAAAGCUGAAUCAUUUGCUUCGAAACGAAUUUUCAGGCACCUAAUUUUUAUUUGAUGGGUAGCAUAAGCACCUGCCGUUUGAAUUCCCAGUUCUCCAAAUUUUUCGAAACAAGUGCAUGCACAUAUUAUCACGAUGAAAAAACAAUAUACCUACGGCAUCCCAGUUAUCAAUCUAUACUUGCAGAAUUCUCUCGUUUAUUGAGCAGGUAUAUUGUUUUUUCAGGUCGAGCAAGUUUCAAAUGGGUUGUAGACUGCCCAAGCUUAGUUUUAUUUUUAACAGGCCCAGCCCAUGACGACAAGGGGCACAAAGAUCCAGCAGGUAUCUACUGGCCUCUGGCCCGCCAGCGUUAGUUAUAUUUUGUCUUACAACAUCCGCAGGCAGUUUUUUUACUGAAUCAAACACACAACCCAGUUCUAUUUUCCUCUUGAAACGCCAUGUCCUACAUCCGUUUUCUAAUCUCCACCUAUAGUUUUACUAGUUCAUAUACACGUAUCAUUAUAUGGAAAAUACAUAAAGUUCCCUUUUCAUAUUUACAUCCUUAUUUUUGUUGUUGUUUUCCCUCCCAGCGCUGAUUUGUUUACCACUGGUUUUCCCUUAAACCAACUCAAUUGUCCCACGUCUUAUUUGCUUACAAAAACAAAACAAUUUUUUGGCAAAUCAAUAAGUUCUUAAAAUUUUUUAUCAUUUCGGGAUUACAAUAGUUCGGACUCCACCGAAAUAUGCAAAAUAAGGUUGAACUUUUUGACCGUGGUCCUAGGCAGAAAAUUGGUUGUAAUAAAUUACUUAAGAAUUAGCAAAUGGGCUGCAAAUUAUUAAGAAAUAGCAAAUGGGCUCUAUGUUGUCUGCCACAGAUUUGGAGGCUGACUUGUGGGCCUACUAAGUUCAUGUGUACACAAGGUUUCUCAAAAAAGGAAACUUAGUCAACAAUCGACUCUACCAGCGUCAGACCGUUAGAUGUCAAUCUAACGGCAAUCGUGCUUCUUCAUUCUCUGAUCUUCAUGCUCCAGCCGCCCAAACCAGCGUCGGCAGAACCACCUGCUCCCACCUCCCGUGGCCGGCUGUGCUGCCGGGCAGGCCUCACGGCCCCAGCAUACUCGCAUCCAUGUCCUGUCUAUCCCUCUACUCACCCACACCUCCUGUUAUUUUCCAGCGACGACAGCCGAACCAAUCAACCCUCGUACUCCCCACCGCGUGGGCAGCCACUGCCGUGUCUUCCCCGGCUCCGUGUCGUUCCCUUCGUAGGCCGUCGUCCACCGCCCUGGUGCUCUCGGCGCGGCGUGGUCAACGAAUGACAUCCAUCGGAAGUGGACUGUACGUGGAGAGGCUGACAGUUGGGUCCACGGCAUACAAGGAAAUGCCUCCUUAUUACGCACAAAAUAAUGAUUCCUCCACCUGACAUCUGGGACCCACCCGAAGGGCCUCUGUAUUUCGUAAAAAAAACGUUCCCCCGCUGACAGGUCGGACCCACCAGCUAUAUCUUCGCACACAAAGAAGUGCCUCCUUAUUGCGCACAAAAAAUGAAUACCCUUCUGCCAGCUAGGACCCACCAUAAUGGGAGGUUGACUUGUGGGCCUACUAAGUUGACGGGGACGGAGGGCUUUGUCAACUUAGUCAAUAUGAACGAUUCUAGCUCCAGUGACCGUAUGAUGUCCAUCCAAUGGCUGUAGUGCUUCUUCAACCUCUGGUCUUAUUGCUCCAGCCGCCCAAACCAGCGCCGGUCGUGCCGCGUGCUCCUGCCUCCCGUGGUCGGCUGUGAUGUCGUGGAGGCCUCACCGCCCCCUACUACUCCCACUGCUGGCCAGGCCAUCCCUCUACUCACCCACACCCCAAGUUAUUCUGAGACGACGGCAGCCUCACACCACAGCCGAACCCGUGAGUCCUCGUACUCCUCUCCGCGUGGGCUUUCACUGCCGCGUCUUCCCCGGCUCCGCGUUGUCUCCUUCCUAGGCCUUGCCGUUGUCCACCACCCUGGUGCUCUCGGCACGGCAUGGUCAAUGUGGUCAAGGAACGACUUCCAUCGGAAGAGUACUUUACGUGGAGAGGCUGACAGCUGGGUCCACAGCAGCCACAAGGAAGUGCCUCCUUAUUAUGCGCAAAAUAAUUAUUCCUCCACCUGACAGCAGGGACCCACCGGAUGGGUCACCGUAUUUCGUGAAAAAAAUGUUUCCCCCCUGACUGCUGGGACCCACCGGCUACAUCUUCGCACGCAAGAAAGUGCAUCCAUAUUACGGGCAAAAAAACGAUUUGCCGCUGACUGCUGGGACCCACCAGCUGCAUCUUCGCACGCAAGGAAGUACCUGACAGUCGGGACCCACCUGGUCGAAGCGUACGUAGCGUUGUCAUUCUGGUCGUGAACGUGUACGUACAUACUGGUCAAUGUAGAGGCGCGCACGUGUCGUAGUAGAGGCGCGCACGUAGCAUGUACACGUACGUACAUCGGCCAGGCUGCAAAAAAAGUAAAUACGGCCACGUACGUACAUACGGGCGGGGUCUCGAACGCCUACUCGCGCAUAUGUACGGCCAGGGCUCGUGUACAUGGCUGGGUCGGAACGGAGAAAUUGUGUCGUCGUCGUGUUCAUGGGGAGGCAACGGAAUGCGUCGUGUUCAUGGGGAGACAACGGAAUACGUCGUGUUCAUCGGGAGCCAACCGGCUUGGACGGAACAUCCGAUGGAAACGAGGCCUGGCGUACCACAGAACGGAGGAAAAGGCCUUGUGUUCGACCGGUCACGGUCGAAACGGGAUCCUGUUCAUCGGGAGGGGUCUGGCGUACCGCAAAACGGAGGAAACGGACUUCUGUUGGACCUCCUUCGGUCGAAACGGGGUCCUGUUGAUUGGGAGGGGUGUGGCGUACCGCAAAACGGAGGAAACGGACUUGUGUUGGAGCGCUAUGGUCGAAACGGGGGUCCUGUUCAUCGGGAGGGGUGUGUCGUACCGCAAAACGGGACUCCACGGGAUAUUGUUCAUCUUCACCGUCGACCUCCUCCAGCCUCCACGGGCUACUGUUCAUCCACCAUCGACCUCCUCCAGCCUUCACCUGCGACUGUUCAUCCACGGGCUCUUGUUCAUCCAGCCUCCACCGCUCCUCCACCGGCUACUGUUCAACCAGCCCUCUCCACGGGGUCCUGUUCAACCACCCCUCCACUGGCUACUGUUCAUCCAACCCUCCACCGGCUACUGUUCAACCAACCCUCCACCAGCUACUGUUUAACCUUCCCUCCACGGGGUCCCGUUCAUCCAGCCCUCCACGGGGUCCUGUUCAUCCACGCCCAACCGGCUCGAUCGAUCGGAGUCAUGUUCGUCCAGCAGCAACACCACGGGGUCCUGUUCAUCCAACCCCCCACCAGGAACUGUUCAUCCAAACCCCCCAACAACGUUCACUGUUCAUCAAGGGAAGGAGGCAGCAGGUUCAAACGGCUUCAAUUAGCAGCAGUAGCGAACGAAGGAAUCGCUCGAUUGGGUUCAGUUAACAGCCAUCGAUCGAUCGCUCAGGUUCAGUAACGCGUAGCCUACAGUGCAAUUGCUCGGGUUCAGUUAGGCGAACGCCUCGCUCGGGUUCAGUUAGAACCAAACGUCUCGCACCCACACGCGUACGUGUACGAGAGAAACGCGCAUCGCUCGGCCCCCGACCACCCACCGUAACCGGGAACUCCUCGAAAUUUUCCUCGCCCUCGCUUCUACCAUGGUUAUUUCCGUCAUGGACGGCCCAAAGAAUGUCAUGCAGCUGCGUCUCCGGCCCGCCCAGGACGAAAAGCCCAUUUUCUGUCAUGAUUUUUUGUCAUAAAAGUAGGAUUCCACCACAUCAUGAUGAUAACGGGUUUUGUCAUAAUUAUCGUCAUAGAAGUGCCAUAAGCAUGACAGAAAAAAUUUCGUUCGGCCCUAAAUGUCACGGAUGUGUCUUUUUUAUAGUGGGUGCUCUGCAUUUAUGUUUUGCGGUCUCAGAAAGGGCUAGCGAGAUACCAUCUUGCUAUAUCAUAUUAUGAUUGUUUUGAGAAAGUGUUGUCAUUCGAGAUUUAUUAUUAUUGCUCGCUGGUUGAUUAUGCCAUUGAUAUGAGUACAUAUGAGACCCAAAUGUUAUUGUGAAUAUGGUUAGUUCAUAAUCUUUGCUAAAAACUUGAAUGCUGGCUUUACAUAUUUGCAACAACAAGAUCAAACAGAGUUUGUAAAAGUUUUUCUUUAUCACUUUUAGUUAAUCAACUGAAUUGCUUGAGGACAAGCAAUGGGUUAAGCUUGGGGGAGUUGAUACAUCUUCAUCGUAUCUACUUUUCAAAACUCUUUUGCCCUUGUUUUGGACUCUAAUUUGCAUGAUUUGAAUGGAACUAACCCGGACUGGCGCUGUUUUCUGCAGAAUUGCCAUGGUGUUAUUUUUGUGCAAAAAAUAAAAGUUCCCGGAAUGACCUGAAACUUCAGGAGGUCAUUUUUUGAAUAAAUAAAAAAUAUUGGCUAAAGAAUCAACCAAAGGGGACCCACACACUGGCCACAAGGGUGGAGGGCGUGCCCACCCCCCUGGGGCGCGCCCUCUGGUCUUAUGGACCCCCUGGAGCUCCACCGACCUCAACUCCAACUCCAUAUAUUCUCAUUCGGGGAGAGAGAAAAUCAGAGAGAAGGAUUCAUCGCGUUUUACGAUAUGGAGCCGCCGCCGCCUCUAGUUCUUCCUCGGGAGGGCAGAUCUAGAGUCCGGUUGGGGCUCCAAAGAGGGGAAAUCGUCGUCGUCGUCAUCAUCAACCAUCCUCCAUGACCAAUUUCAUGAUGCUCACCGCCGUGCGUGAGUAAUCCCAUCGUAGGCUUGCCGUACGGUGAUGGGUUGGAUGAGAUUUACCAUGUAAUCGAGUUAGUUUUGUUAGGGUUAUAUCCCUAGUAUCCAUUAUGUUCUAAGAUUGAUGUUGCUAUGACUUUGCUAUUCUUAAUGCUUGUCACUAGGGCCCGAGUGCCAUGAUUUCAGAUCUGAACCUAUUAUGUUUUCAUGAAUAUAUUUGUGUUCUUGAUCCUAUCUUGCCAGUUAUAGUCACCUACUAUGUGUUAUGAUCCAGCAACCCCGGAGUGACAAUAGUCGGGACACUUCCUGAUGAUGACCGUAGUUUGAGGAGUUCAUGUAUUCAUGAAGUGCUAAUGCUUUGGUCCGGUACUCUAUUAAAAGGAGGCUUUAAUAUCCCUUAGUUUCCAAUAGGACCCCGCUGCCACGGGAGGGUAGGACAAAAGAUGUCAUGCAAGUUCUUUUCCAUAAGCACGUAUGACUAUAUUCGGAAUACAUGCCUACAUUAUAUAGAUGAAUUGGAGCUAGUUCUGUGUCAUCCUAUGUUAUAACUGUUGCAUGAUGAAUGCCAUCCGAUAUAAUUAUCCAUCAUUGAUCCAUUGCCUAUGAUCUCGUUUCAUAUUGAACUUUGCUAAGUUACUUUUCCGUUGCCACUGUUACGAUUGCUACCAAACUGCUACUGUUACUUUUGCCACCGUUAACGUUACUUCCAUACUACUUUGCUACUAAACACUUUGCUGUAGAUAUUAAGUCUUACAGGUGUGGUUGAAUUGACAACUCAGCUGCUAAUACUUGAGAAUAUUCUUUGGCUCCCCUUGUGUCCAAUCAAUUAAUUUGGGUUUAAUACUCUACCCUCGAAAACUGGUGCGAUCCCCUAUACUUGUGGGUUAUCAAUCUCCAAGAACAUCGAGGAGAACAUGGUAUUGAGAAUCAAAAAGAGAAGAAGCCAUCUAGCUACUAGCUAUGGACUCGUAGGUUUGUGGUAAUCUACUCACGCUUCAUCGGAAGGGCAAUAGAGUUGAUGUAGAAGCCCUCCAUGAUCGAAUCCCCCUCGGCACGAUGCCAGAAAAGGCCCCUAGAUGGGAUCUCACGGGAACAGAAGGUUGCGGCGGUGGAAAAGUGUUUCCGUGGAUGCCUCUGGUGGUUUAGGAAUAUAUGUGAAUAUAUAGGAGGAAGAUUUAGGUCAGGGGGUCACCGAGGGGCCCAUGAGAGGUAGGGCACGCCCUACCCCCUGGGCGCGCCCUCCCCCUUGUCGCCGCCAAGUGUCUCUUUUGACUUGCACUCCAAGUCUCCUGGGUGUCUUCUGGUCCAAGAAAAAUCAUCGCGAAGGUUUUAUUCCGUUUGGACUCCAUUUGGUAUUCCUUUUCUGCGAGGCUCAAAAACAAGGAAAAAACAAAAACUGGCACUGGGCUCUAGGUUAAUAGGUUAGUCCCAAAAAUAAUAUAAAAUAGCAUAUUAAUGCAUAUAAAACAUCCAAAACAGAUAAUAUAAUAGCAUGGAACAAUAAAAAAUUAUAGAUACGUUGGAGACGUAUCAAUUUGUCAGGCUCUAGACAUCGAUCACGUUGAUCGUGUCAUCGGUCGUCAAGCGGGGGCAACUAGGACAAGGUGAGGGGUCACUGGUGGAUCACUAACCAACCUAUACUAAGCAGUUUAGGAUAAGCAAAUAAGGUAACAAUUGCAAGUUACAAAAUCAGACUAUGCAUCAGAAUAGGAUCAUACAAAAGCAGUAGCAGUUCUAAUGCAAGCAUAAGAGAGAAGGGAAAUGGGCGAUAUAAGAAUGAUCAAGGGGGUUUGCUUGCCUGGAAGCUCUGCAGACAGAUAAGAACCCUCGACGGUGAAGCAGUCGAUCACCGUAUCAACAGUGUCUCGGGGUCUAUCGAAAAAGAAGUAAUGGAGGGGGAACACAAUAAAUAACAGAGCAAUCGAAGGCAUCUCAAAGCAUGACAUGACAAUAUGAUGUGUUAGGGGUGACCUAAUGCAGUGCUACGCGUUACAGACGGGGCGAAAAAUAUCCGGGAAUAUUUCCCCGGCUUCAUGCAAUUAUCGGACAAGCAAUCCGGAGGAGAAGGUUCCAUGUUCAUUGUGUUACAGACAUGUGACACGUACAUGGAGGACAUAUUCAGGUUCGUCUUAUUUUUCUGAUCAUUUUUCAUAUAUAAACCUUUUUCAUCUGACUUACGGUUUAUUUUCUAUUAAUUUACAAAGUUUUAAAUGAUUUUUUGAAUUUUCUAUUUAUUUUAAUUUUGAAAAACACCAGUUAGAAAAUGGGUGCACUCGGUGCAGUGCAACCAUGGGUGCACCAGAGGCUGACCAAUGGGCCACGGGGUUGCUGAGUCGGCACGUCAACGCUGACCAGUUGACCAGUCAACUGGUUCAGCAGACCCACAGGCCAGGACCCGGGGGGGCUAUGCCCUGCCACGUCUGCAGUGGCGGCGUGCGAGGGAGGGUCGCGCGGCGCGGGCUCCGGCGGCCAGUGGCCGUGCGGGCGGCGGCCAGAGCAGGCACGGGGGCGGCGGGCGGCGCCAAGCGGGUUGCACGUGCGCAAGUGAUACUUCACCAACGUAUCUAUAAUUUUUUUAUUGUUCCAUGCUGUUAUAUUAUCACUCUUGGAUGUUUUAUAUUCAUUUUAUAUCAUUUUUGGGACUAACCUAUUGACAUAGUGCCCAGUGCCAGUUGCUGCUUUUUGCUUGUUUUUUACUUCACAGAAUAUCAGUACCAAACGAAGUCCAAAUGCCACGAAACUUUUUGGAGAUUUUUUUGGGCGAGAAGACAACUUGGGAGCCAAGGAAGCACCAGAGGGGAGGCCCAUGGGGCCCACCACCCACCUGGGUGGCGCGCCCUGAUGAGUGGUGGGGCCCAUGGAGGGGUCCUCCACCGCCUCCCAGCUCUAUAAAUACUCAGAUAUUCUAGAAACCCUAGGGGAGUUGACGAAACACAAUUCCGGCUGCCGCAAGUUCCAGAACCACGAGAUCCAAUCUAGAUCCCUAUUUCGGCACCCUGCCGGAGGGGAACACGAUCACGGAAGGGUUCAUCAUCCUCAUUGGUGCUCCUCCGAUGAUGCGUGAGUAGUUCAUUAUAGACCUACGGGUCAAUAGGCAGUAGCUAGAUGGUUUGUUCUCUCUUCUUGAUUCUCAAUACAAUGUUCUCCUCGAUGUUCUUGGAGAUUUAUUUGAUGUAAUGACUUUUUGCGAUUUGUUUGUUGGGAUCCAAUGAAUUGCGAGUUUAUGAUCAGAUCUAUAUCCAUGAAUAUUAUUUGAGUCUUGUUUGAUCUCUUAUAUGCAUGAUUAUUUAUAGUCUCGUAUUUCUUCUCCGAAACUUUGGUUUGGUUUGGCCAACUAGAUUGAUUUUACUUGCAAUGAGAAGAGGUGCUUUGUGAUGGGUUCGGUCUUGCGGUGUCCUCACCUAGUGACAGAAGGGGUAGCGAGGCAUGUAUGUAUCAUUGCUAUUAAGGGUAAAAGAUGAGGUUGAUUCCUACAUGAAUAGAUCUUGUCUACAUCAUGUCAUCGUUCUUAUUGCAUUACUUUGUUUCUCCAUGAAAUUAAUACACUAGAUGCAUGUUGGAUAGCGGUCGAUGUGCGGAGUAAUAGUACUAGAUGCAGGCAGGAGUCGGUUUACUAAUCUUGGACGUGAUGCCUAUAUACAUGAUCUUGGCCUUGGAUAUUGUCAUAAUUAUUUUUUCUUCUAUCAAUUGCCCAACAGUAAUUUGUUUACCCACCGUAUGUUAUUUUCUCAAGAGAAGCCACUAGUGAAAUCUACGGCCCCCGGGUCUAUCUUUUAUCAUAUUGUUUUCAGAUCUAUUAUUCCAAUAAUACAAAAAAACCUUGCUGCAUUUUUUCUUUACUUCUUUUAUUUUGUGUUUUCGCUAGAUUUAUUUAUCCAAACUCAUACAAUUUAAUCUAUAUUUUUACCGUGGAGGGAUUGACAACCCCUCUUACGCGUUGUGUUGCAAGUAUUUGUUCUUUGUGUGCAGAUACCGUUUACAUAGUGUUGUUUGGUUUUCCAAUUGGAUUGAUAACCUUGGUUUCAUAACUGCGGGAAAUACUUGUCGUAGUUGUGUUGCAUCAUCCCUUCCUCUUUGGGAAAAUACCAAUGUAGAUUCAUGCCACGUCAGCAAGGUAGUGGCGGGGAACGGCGGGCACGGGCGGAUGAAGGCGGAGCGAGCGGGGUGGGGCGCGGGCGCGUCGGGCACGCGGGCACGGCGGCGAGCCAGGCCUGAGCAGGCGAGCAGAUGAGACCGAAGGAAGCAGGCGCGGUUGGCUGGCGAGUGCGCAGCCAGGAACUGCAGCAGCAGCACGGGGGCACGCGUGCGGUAGGCCGGGGCGCGGGGGCGGAGGCGCGAUGCGAACGUAGCCGCGGCCAAGGAAUAGCCCGGAACAGGGCGAGCGUGGCCUGGUGCGGCUGGGCGCUGGCCGGAGGCGAGGCCAGGCAGUGGGCGGNNNNNNNNNNNNNNNNNNNNNNNNNNNNNNNNNNNNNNNNNNNNNNNNNNNNNNNNNNNNNNNNNNNNNNNNNNNNNNNNNNNNNNNNNNNNNNNNNNNNNNNNNNNNNNNNNNNNNNNNNNNNNNNNNNNNNNNNNNNNNNNNNNNNNNNNNNNNNNNNNNNNNNNNNNNNNNNNNNNNNNNNNNNNNNNNNNNNNNNNNNNNNNNNNNNNNNNNNNNNNNNNNNNNNNNNNNNNNNNNNNNNNNNNNNNNNNNNNNNNNNNNNNNNNNNNNNNNNNNNNNNNNNNNNNNNNNNNNNNNNNNNNNNNNNNNNNNNNNNNNNNNNNNNNNNNNNNNNNNNNNNNNNNNNNNNNNNNNNNNNNNNNNNNNNNNNNNNNNNNNNNNNNNNNNNNNNNNNNNNNNNNNNNNNNNNNNNNNNNNNNNNNNNNNNNNNNNNNNGUCUCGAUGGGGUGGAUCGACGAGGUGGACGACGGCGGCCGUGGUUGGGGAAGACGGUGAUGGCAGUGGCGGCGUCAAUCCAGCUGCGUAGGAGACGAAGAUGAAGAUGGCGGUCCUCCUUGGCACAGUCUCAUCGCUUGAGGAGGCUAGUGGUCAUGGCUAUGACGACGGCGCGACGAUGGCCGAGCUCGGGCCGAAGCGAGGGUGGCGCGAGGGGGAGGAAACGAAGCUAGGGUUAGUAAGGAUGGUCGGGGUGGCCUUGUAGACGCAGGCGUCACGGGAUGGCCGCCGCUGGGCCAUCCACGGCCACGGACGUGUGCGCGGCGUCCAGCGCACUUGAUGAACAGGAGGUUGAAGGAGAGUGUUGUUGGGCUGGCCUCGGUACUAUUCAUCAUGGGCCAAAGUGCAUAGGAGACUUUCUCCUUAUUCUUUUCUUCCAACAUUUGUCUUUGUUUUGCAUUUAAUUAAAAUAACAAACGAUUUUUGUUUGAGUUGAAACUUGGCACAUAAUUACUAGGCUAUAUAUUGGAGUUGUCCACAAAGUUUCAGAUUAAUUGGGAAAGCGAAACUAAUUGUUUUAUUUUUAAGAGGACAUUUUAUUUUCUCAUGGACCACUUAUUAGAUUCUUAGGAAUUUGUUAGUGAGUCAAAUGAAGUUGGUUUCAACAUGAAAAUGACCAGGGGAAUUUUUAGAAUAAAGCGAACAUUUUAAUUUUACUGUUUGAAGAAAUAAAAAUUUCGCCUGCUAUUUAAAUUUGAAUCUAACUUUGAUUUUUGAACAAGUGACAGUUUGCAUAGUAAUCAUGAUGACAUGGUCACCAUUAGGGGGAGAUUACUGUAGCAAGAUUCUCGAGGUGUUACACGAAGAUUGAAAGGGUCGAGGUUGGGUUCUAUCUAGCAGUGGCAAUGGAGAGUACAACUGGUGUUAUUAACAAGGUGGGGAUAAAGUAUCGAUUGCUCAAUAGUCCUUGCAUUUCAAUAAAUGGUACUUACAGUCCAGGCUUGGGCCUAAUUUAUUGUCGGCUAACAUGUACGCAAUGUGCCAAUCUAUACUGGAGCAGUGUAUUCAACAACAACAACUCAUUUCAUCAAAUUGUGCACCGAUCCCUAUACAGCAGAGCGGCGGGUGAGAUUCCAGUGAGCGUCGUUGCCGAGUGCUCCUAGUCCGCAUCCGGUACUACUAGAGUUGAUUGUCAUGAGCCGGGUCCAAGAUCAUUGCACCACACAUAUCCAUCUCUUUAUUUAUUAUUUUGUUGAACGUGUUGGAUGUGUGCGUCAUGUUAUGUAGACAUCAAGCAUUCGUUUUGUACGGUUAUAUCACCUCGGUAUAUCACACUGAACGAAAAUAUCCUUUUAUCGUUAAAAAAAUGUAUAUCCAGCGACAUGAUUUGCCCCAUCUACUGCCUUGGAUACCUUUGGCUGUUGAGGCAGUAAAUGAACCAAUCAAUGUGUGCACGGCGUGUGAAUUCUAACAUGGCAAUAGGUACCCGCGAACCCCGCGGGUAAACACCCUAUUAGAGUAAGGGUUUGAAACAAAUAAAUACCCAUGAGUUUAUGAAUUAGAAAAAUUGUACCCAUCGGGUAAGCCGGGUAUAGGUACGGGAAUGCAAUACUCAUACCCGUGCACCCGCGUACCCAUACUAAUUUCUUCUAAUAGGAGGCUCCAUGUGUCAUUCACUAAAGGAACCUAGCCAUUGUACCCUAGGCUAACGCAACCGCUAACCUCGACCCAAAAGUCUCUCCCCUUACGUAUGUGCAUGUUGUUUAAAUGUGUCGAUCUUGUUUCGUGAACUCGUGGUUUUGUUUAUCUUAUUAUAUAGUCUCUUUCGGUUGAUUAUUUCGAAGUAGGGGCUGCAAAAGUACCUUCAAUAAAAGAAAAUUAGAGAAAAUUGUGCCUGUCUUGUUUUUGUAACUGAAAGAAAAGAAUAGAUGUGAGUGUGUCUCUAAAAGUUCACGCACAGGCUACCCACCCAUGUAUAUAACUGGACAUUGUUUAGUGCCAUCUAUUUCGUGCUUAUUGCUAUGCAUUUCUGAAAAUUAAUAUCAUUCUUUUUAUUCCGUCACACAACAAGUCAUCAUCUAUAUGUGCUCAAAUGCUAAAAUGUGGUAUAUAUGUACUGAAAUGUUGAAGUAUAAAUGUUGAAAUGUUGUGUACAUAUGUGUAAAUGUUGAAAAAUACAUGAUGAAUUGUGAAUUGGGUACGGUGACCGAGGUGGGUAUUUUUACCCGCGAGUAUUACCUGCACCCGUCCGGGUGCGGGUAUGGGAACAGUUUGAAACCCGAGGUGCGGGUACGGAUACGGGUAUGGGCAAAAAAGAAUAAGACGGUACGGGUUUGGGCGACCAUUACCCGCAUCUGAACCCGGCGGGUGCCAUGUUGGAAUGCUCUGAUGACACUGCUCGUCAAGUCAAGUCAAGAUAACUACUCCCUCUCUUCCAUAUACUACACUAGUGUUAAAAGAUGUCUUACAUCAUGGGAUGAAGGGAAUAGUAUAUUCUUUUUAAACGUGGCUGAACUUUCAAACAAAUGUCUCUCGGUAGUUAAUUGGAGGUCAGAACUGAAAUAUCUUGUCAUUUUACAGUCCUUGUUUUAGUUCACAGAUUUAUAUUGUAAAUAGGCUUGUAUUGUUCAAAAGGCAGGUGGUAUUUUGGCCAAGUGAAAUGGUAUAGCGCAAAUGAUUGCCUGAAGAGAUGCCCCAUGGCUGCCCAUGGCGGCCGACCGCUCGUUGAUCAUCAUGAGCCAGGGUCUCAAAUCAUUGCAUACCUCAUCAAUUUCUCUAUACAUCGACAUGAUUUAACGUGGCUAGUACCACGGGUAACCGGUUAUAAGGACAUCUCCAACAGCAACCCGCAAAUUUUCUCCCGCAUCCGUCCACGGAUAGGGGUGACCAAUUCGUGGACACAGAUGCGGGAAGCAGUUAUUCAACCGUAGCCGCAUACAUUUUCACAACAAUUUAAACCAACCAGACAAAAUUCGUUCAAACAAGUCCGGAUUUCAUAUAAACACGACGGAUUUCAGUACAAAUACGUCAAAGCAGUGCUAGGCGGGCUCUGAAGUAUAAUUAAUACCUAAUCAAAAUGAUCGCCGGUGUCCGAUCCCCGUGUCCGGCCAUCGGCCCCGAGAAUUGAAGCUACACCAUCUCCAGUUCCGCCUCGAUGCUCUCCAACUCCGCCUCCAUAACCUCCGCUUCCGAAGCCCCAGGAACUGAAGUUGUUCGCCUCCACGUCGCCGCCAAGCGGCUAACCGACCGAAGAUGCUCAGCCCACCAAGCUUGGCGUCGACGGGAGGGGACGAGCAGUGGCCUUCCUGGGACACGAGUGGUAGCGACCUCCCGUGCACUACUAUUCCUCACUGUCGGCAGCGCCCACGGACGUGUCGGCUUCUUCGUGGUCGUGGCGCCGAGGGCGCGGCCUCAUGUCGUCGGUCUCGCCGAAAAACGCCUCACCCGCCUCCUCGCCGCACUCCUUGCCGGCGGCAUCCACCUUCGACACCCGCUGUCGGUACCGCCAGCGGGCGAGGCGAAUCUCGCGGGCGGAGCGGUAGGACUCGAGCAGCACCUCCUGCUCCACCAAAUCCGCGUCUGGCGCGACCGCCCUGCCGGCGGCGACCUGCUCCUCAGCCUACGGAUGCUCCUGGAGGAGGUUGUGGUUGUAGUUGGCGUCGGCCUGCGCCUCCCGGAACUGGUCCCCCUACUCUUCCUCACCAUGUCCAUAUAAUGGGCACGAGCCUAGCGAUGGUCAUGAUGCAAUGCACCGGCGAGGAUGGAGCGGAGGAGCAGGGUGUCAUGGAGGAAGAGGGUGGCAUUGGCUCGUCGUCAAAGGCGUCCUCUAUUUGCACGUCAUUGUCGGAGGCGUCCUUCGGCUGCCUACCAGCCUGCCAGUCGGCAGCAAUGGUGGCCAUGGCCUUCUUCUGCUUCGACGUCAGCCGUCCUAUAGAGCUUUGACGACGGAGGGGUCCAUGGGGGGAGUGGUGCGGAAAGGGAUGACUGUGGCUAUGGCAGGGCACCGGGCAGCGAUUUAUAUAGCACCGGUGGGCGGUAGAGGGACGGAGGGGUGAUGUCGGAGGACACACCUCGGCAACCGUGCGCCAUCAGUGUGGACGGCAGACGGAUGGAUGGGCAUCAUGUUGUUUGAACGCGCGGCAAUCGCCUGCACCAGGGAGCGGCGCGGGCGACGCUCUCUCGGCCGAUGCGCCGCUUCAAUGCCGCUCCAGUAAGCGGUCGCGUCCGCUCUAGCUGGGCAUGAAUGCGGGCGCUGACUCUCUCGAGCGGCGCUAACCGAAAACGCGUGAGAGGGGGAGGGGUUUUUGAUGGGUCAUGGCGGUCAGAAGCGGGCUUGGGAUCGGUCCGGACUCCCGCAAACCUCUGUCAGUUUUGUCUCCGGUUUGCGGGAGAAAUCACGUCCGAACCACAGCACGGACUGAUACAGGACCGCGCGAUCUGGAUGGUUGCGGGAGGUUUGUGGGUCGGCGUUGGAGAUGCCCUAAUGUUAGAGCAUUUACGUCCGCAAAUAGCUAAUGUGACCUUCUGUACGCCUGCGGACACGUCCGUGAACAGUGCUAGGGAGGUCCCAUCUGGCCCUACCCACAACCACACUUCCAAAUCUUAAUAUCCAUGAAAAUCCAUGCACGGCGAUCAUAUAACGCAAAUUCAUUAUAUAUUUAACGAUAAAAACAUAGUGUAGCCCGAAUAAAUUCAGUACAUGCCAAAAUAAAAUUUAAUACUUCAUGCAUAGAUAGGUAGAUAGGUGAUACAUGAAUGAAUCAAUGACUUUAGUUGUCACGGGCAUUGAUACUCUUCUUUAUGCGGAGCAACCACUUCUUCCCUUCCUCAUCCAAGAGGUUGAUGUCUUGCAACAUGAUUCUCGACUCUUCCGUCUCUCUUGCAAGCCGCAACUUCUCUUUCUCGAGCUCAAUACUAAGCAUUAUCACCAUUUGCUUAGGUUCCCACGUUGCAACCUUCUCUUGCCUCUCCAUUUUUGCUUUGUUCUUCUUCAACAUCAACUUUUCUCGGCCGAACUUCAUCUUCUCCCUUUACACAUCAAUGAACAUCUUGUACCUUUCCUCCUUCACCUCUUUAGCAUAAAAACUGCCGGUCCAAGUGGCGGACAUUUUGCUUGCCGCGCCUUCACGCACCACCCUCUCUUUCUCCCACUUGUUCCCCAUCACUUGCCAGUUUCUUGUUGGCGCGGUUGACUGCAAGUCCGCUCUCCUUCCUCAUCCAAUCCAAUUGAUUGACCCGAGCUUGACCCAUUGUUUUUCUUCAUCUUCUUCGUGCCCUUUUCAAUCUCUUUGAGCAUGGUUUGCCACUUGGUUUCCCAUUCAACUUCAACCAACAAUGAGAAAAAAUAAAUGUCUUCUUCUCUGUUUGAUGGUACAAAGUCGCCGCAAAGUUGCAUGGGUUUGGACUCUGAUGCCGCUUUGGUUCCGGCCUACAACUUGUUUGAGAUAACCAACAAAUUUGCUAACGGGAUGCCCGAUGGUAUGUGUAAUAAAAGAAUCUAUGAAUGCAAUUGGAAAGAGGCAAAAAAAUUAUACCGGGUCUUGGUCGGGCAUUCCGUCGAAUACCAAGCCGACGAAGCCGGAUGCAUUUGGAGCACCGCCGAGUGAGCCAUCAUGUCCGCGUCGGGGACGGCUUGUGAAAAGCUCAAAUCCAGGAUGCUAGUCCACUAGGAGGGAAAACGGAGUCGAGCUCCGGCGACAAAUUGUUUGUCUCCACGACCACGACGGAGGGAUUGGCUUGCGUCACGUCCAUGUCCUCGGCAGCGGUCAACAAGGCCGCAUCUGCAGCUGCCUUCUCUGCCGCCUCAUACCCACGCUACCACCGACGGUGCUCCUUCCGAGCAAGGUUCUCUACCUUACAAGGAUCUGCCACCAAGCCGGGGAGCCUGACUAAUUCCGUGGCCAUGGUGACAGACAAGAUCGUUGCAAUGACAUCAACGAAGGUGGACGAAAUGGAGGAGGGAGGCGGGACGAGUUCGUCCGAUGCGGGGUACUAGUCAAUUUUUAGAGGAAUUGUGAUGGGUCCGACUUGACAGAGCUUACGUGGCUGGCUGGCUGGCCCGGGCACAUCCGGGCGUCUCGAUCUCCGUCCCAGAUUUGGGCCGGAUAUGAGGAGUGUCGGUCAGUCUGGGCAUUUGGGCCAAAAAUUGAAGCCCGGUUGGGUCACGUUCUUUUGUCGGGGCAUUGAUCGGAUAGCCCGCCUGGGUGUUUGGGUGGGUAUGGGGGGUCCAACUAUAGAUACUCUUAGGGCAUCUCUGAUAGGAUCCAUCGAAACGCCCCACCCCUUUCUCUCCCAUGGGAGAUUAGAGCAUCUCUAGCUGAUCCCUUAAAGGUCCGACGAACUACACUCUUCCGGCCGAUUUACGGGACAGCCCAAAAAUCCGGCCCGAGAAGAUAAUGCAAAAUGGUCUGGACCGUAAAAAGUUUACGGGAGGCCUGUAAACCGCCCUCGCUUCCGGUAUAUAUGUCGGCGCCCAGACGAUUUAGGNNNNNNNNNNNNNNNNNNNNNNNNNNNNNNNNNNNNNNNNNNNNNNNNNNNNNNNNNNNNNNNNNNNNNNNNNNNNNNNNNNNNNNNNNNNNNNNNNNNNNNNNNNNNNNNNNNNNNNNNNNNNNNNNNNNNNNNNNNNNNNNNNNNNNNNNNNNNNNNNNNNNNNNNNNNNNNNNNNNNNNNNNNNNNNNNNNNNNNNNNNNNNNNNNNNNNNNNNNNNNAGGGGUUUCGGCGACUGCAGGGGCUUCGGCUGCCGCGGUGGAGGCGACGGCCGCGGCGGCGUCGUCGCCCGCAAGCGCAGGAAUGACAACGAGGCAGGCGGCUCCGGCCUCCGCCCUGUCGUGUCGGACAGGCAGAGGAAGGCGGCGCGCAAGUGCGGCGCCAAGUCCCGCAGCGCCGACGCUCCGACUUGGGCCAGCUUCCGUCGCCUCGAUGACAUCUUCGAUCCAGCACUGCAGCGUUGUAGGGAGGCGGAGGUCGCAUGGUUCAACGCGAAGGAGGCCGCCGCAGCCGGAGAUGUAGAUGCGGCCGCGCGCGUGCCAGCGCUCCUGGAGGAGUUCCAGUUGCAGGCGACCAUCUGCUCCAUGCUGAUCUACAACACUCUGCACGGCAACGAGCCUCCGCCCAAUCACGGUAGCGACAGCAACUCCGACGAGGACUCAGGCGACGAGUAGAUCUUUAAGCUAUGGGUUUGUACUAAAAAACCCCUAUGCUAUGCGUGCGAACUCCCGUAUGCUAUGCUAUGCUAUGUUGGUGUGGUGAACUCCGGCGACAUGUUUUUAGCGCAAAGUAGUUCGUUUAAAUUUGUAUCCUAUGCGGGAUCUAUUCUUGCAGCGCGCCCGGCGUCCUAAAUAAUCGUUUUUUUAGAAAAGGAGGAGGACCCCUGGUCUGUGCAUCUGGACGAUGCAUACGGCCACUUUAUUAAUUAUUCUUACAAGACCUUACAAAGCCAUACAACAAUAAGACUAAAGCCACCGUCUAAACAACAACUGUCGCUACACCUAUCCAAUUGAUGAAGGGGCGCUGAUAGCCUGGGCCUAAUACCAAACAGACAUCGCAGCCAGACCUAACAUCUAAGACCUGAGGUCCCAACCAGGACGCCUGCCGGGUAUGGGCACCCAUCAGUUCGGCGUGCUCCUCAACCAGGAAGCCUGCCGGGUAUGAAGCCGCCGCAACCACUUGCCACCAAUCCAUCUUCAGAGUUGUAUUGUUGCAUCAACCUUGCCCGGUCUAGCUGCCACCACGACGCCAGACAGUGUCAACCUCCUGUGCGUGUCCAUCACCACACAUCUGACGCCAAGCCUCCGCUACUCCAUGCCGCCAAGAGCCGCCAUGAAUAUGUAGAACGAAACACCGCUCCACCGAAGAAGCCAUCCGUUGGUCCCUCGAGCCCGCGUGCAUCUCCAAGAAUGCCGCCCCCAAGGGGGUAACGACACAUGAAUGCCGCCGUCAUCCUAUCAAUUGAUCUAGGGUUUUCCCCGGAGGUAUUGGGUGGGUUUGGGAUUUGUACCUCGAUGAUGCCUUCAUGAAGGAAACGAUGAUAAGGGCAUCGUCAUCACCGGCUCCGUCCAACGACCGAAAACUAGGCUUUCACCCGGAUCCGUCCCAAGGAAUCCACCCGACAACCUGUGCACCGUCUCGACCGCCUUCAAAGCCCCAGAUCUAGCUACCUAGAUCCGGCGACCAACCGCAACAGCAGUGCCACCGUAGGAGUCCUGGCGCACCUGCCACUGCCAGAGUGUGCCUCCAGUGGAGCCUGGGAGGAGGGCUCCCACCCCCACCUCGCCAAACCGCGAGAGCCGCAGAGAUGGAUCCCGCGCGCUCGUCACCGUCUCUGAUCCGAACCAAUCUGCAAACAGAUCACCGUCACAGAUCCGCCUUGGACAGGGACUGCACCACGCCAUGUCGUCGCGGGAAGCCCGAGCUUCACCCGCCACCACCAUCCAGGGCCGCCGCCCCGGGAUCCAGACAGAACAUCGCCGCUGCCACCGGCCUUGUUCCGCCGCCGCCCACCGGCCACUGCGACCUCCGCCGCCAUGCCGCCGACAGAUCUGGGCGAGGAUAUCCAUCCUUCCCGAGGGCACACGUCGCAGCCUCUUCUCGACAUACCUCCGGUCGCACGGGAAGCCAUUGUGGCCGCGUGCCCACCCCUCGCCGGAUGCCGCGCACGUGCCGCCCCGCCGGCGGCGAAGGCCGCCGCCACGAGGAGACCCGCACGCAGCCGNNNNNNNNNNNNNNNNNNNNNNNNNNNNNNNNNNNNNNNNNNNNNNNNNNNNNNNNNNNNNNNNNNNNNNNNNNNNNNNNNNNNNNNNNNNNNNNNNNNNNNNNNNNNNNNNNNNNNNNNNNNNNNNNNNNNNNNNNNNNNNNNNNNNNNNNNNNNNNNNNNNNNNNNNNNNNNNNNNNNNNNNNNNNNNNNNNNNNNNNNNNNNNNNNNNNNNNNNNNNNNNNNNNNNNNNNNNNNNNNNNNNNNNNNNNNNNNNNNNNNNNNNNNNNNNNNNNNNNNNNNNNNNCGCCCCCGCAUGCCAUGGACGCGAGGAGGGGAGAAGGCCCCCGCCGCCAGCCACCGCGGGGGGGUUUGCCCCGGCAGCUCUGGCCGGCGGCGGCGGGGAAGGGGAGGAGGGGGAGGGCGAGCGGCAGGAGGUGGCGGCGCCGCCCGAGUCGCCCGCGGGAGGGGCGACGCGGGGGCUAGGGUUAUCAGUCAAAGGGGCGGUCGCACGGGAAGCCCUCCUGAAUAAUCGUUUACGGGAUACCAUAAACGAUUUUUCCGGGACGGCGACUUGCAGGAUCUGCUAGAGAUGAUCUUAUCAGAUACACCGCAAUAUUUGGUAUUGUUGAUGCACCCGAUUUAGUUUAGCUAAUUUAUAAAUGUUAGAAAAUACGCUAAAAUUUACUAGGCGUCAAGCCUGGUAAGCUGUGCAAAAAAACAUCAUAGAAAAUAUGCUAAAAUUUAACACAUUCACACAAUAUAUAUGAAUCUAUGUUGUCACAAGAAAAUUCAGAUCAAAAUUGAAACAUAGUUUGAGAUACUCAGAUCGAGCAAACUAGUACUAGCGGGGAUUGGGUUGUGCACCACAAGCAUCAGUGCAGUAGAUACACCCCCUGGGAAAUUUGCGUUGUGCGCCACAAGCAUCAGAGCAAACAUGGUAAAUAAAUUUGUACUAGUAUUGUUCAAGAAGCAAUUACUUUGGCCAAGUGGAAUGGUAUAGCGCAAAUGAUUGUCACAAGAGGUGCCCAUGGCAGCCCCAACCGCUCAUUGUCAUUGAUCAUCAUGAAUUCAUGAGCCAGGGUCCCAGAUCAUUGCAAACCCCAUCAAUUUCUCUAUCCACCGACAGGAUUUGUCGCGUACUAUACCUCGGGUACCUUUGGGCUAUUGAGGCAGCAAAUGCAACUGGCUACAAUGUUCAUCACAGUGCGUGUGAACGCCCUUGACGACACUGUUCGUCAAGUCAAGUCAAGAUUUACAUCAGUGUGUGGCCCGUGAGGGCAUCAGGCCAUCUUGAAACCUGUUCGGCUCGUGCACUGAACCCCACCGAUUACAGAGGCGCGCCCUAUUCCUUUGAACCGAUUCAACACUCGUACAUCCUCCUCUGGCUCUCGCAGACGAGAAGAAUGAGUGCGUCCUCGUCACCACCCUCACCCAGCUCAGCUAGCCUCCACCAGUUCGACUAGAAACCACCCAACCGCCUGGCGCAAGGAGGGAAGGAGCCAUGGCCGAGCUCGCGACGGGCGCCGUGAGCUCGCUGCUGGUCGUCAUCCGCAGCGAGGCGCUGCUGCUGCGCCGCGUCCGGGACGACGUGCAGUUCAUCAAGGAGGAGAUGGAGAGCAUGAAGAGCUUCCUGACGCACCUGGCCAGGUGGGCGCCCCCUGGCGGCGAGCACGACGAGCAGGUGCGCACCUGGAUGAACCAGGUGCGGCUGCUCGCCCAGGACUGCAACAACUCCAUCGGCCUCUACCUCUACAGGGGGAACCCUGACAUCCACCGCGCCAGAGGCGGGCUUCGAGGCUACCUCUGGUGGGCGACCUGGUUCUUCCACAAGUUGGCCGCGCAGCACCGCGCGGCUGAGGAGCUGCGUCUGCUCAAGGAGCGGGCGCGUGACGUCGGCGAGCGGCGGUUGAGGUAUGGCGUGGAGGUCCCGGACAAGUCAGGGAAGGGGCCAUCGCCUCCGACGGCAUCAUCGUUGUCGCGGGCUGCUGCUGCUGGGGACAACGAAGAAGAAGAAGAAGAAGAAGAAGAAGAAGAAGAAGAAGAUGAUGAUGAGGAUCAACUCGUGGGGGUGAGGACGAUGGCUGCCCGUGGUCAUUCUGCUCGAAUAGCCUUCAUUGAGCCUCGCACUCUGGACGACUACGUUAGGGAGAAGCUAUGGGAGUGGUCAGAAGGAAUUCCUAUGAACGACAGCGAAAGUUUGUCAAUGGUCGUGCUGACAACCUACACAUAUCAAUACCUCCUCGCCCUUGUACAAGAAUUAUGGAUUUUGAGACAAAACCCAAAGGGCUUCGGCUACCAUCGCAGGGUCGUGGUUGACAUCCCGGCCGUGCACCACGAUUUUGCGCCCCUACGGCCCAAGGAAGUUCUCUUCUACAUUCUGCGCGAGCUCAAGCAUGCCAAAUCCAACCCCCAGGAGCAAGGCACAGAAGGCCAAGAGGAUCUUGACCCUUGGGAAGUUUACCUGAGAAGAUGGCAAAUUUACCGUCAAAAGAAGAGGGGUAUUGCUCUUCUUAAGAUCAAGGAUAAUAUCAAAGAAAUGAAGAUUAAUGAAAAGCUUGAGAAAAUCAAGAGUGACAUUCAAGGUCGACUAGAGAAGGGUGACGGACUACCCAAGGGCAACAAGCUGCAGGGUGAUUUUGACCAGCUGGACCUAGACGUACUACUUCAGCUGCUGCUCCAGGCAGCAUGUCAACAAGAUCAAAAAGGGAAGAACAAAGACAUGCAUAGAUUACCAGCGUGGGAAAACAACAACAGCAUCGCCAAGAAGCUUAAGGAGCAUAUGGAAGCAAAGGAAAAGGAGAAGAAGCUUGAAGAGGAAGAAGCAGCCAAACAUAUGGAGGCAGAGGAAAAGGAGAAGAAGCUUGAAGAGGAAGAAGCAGCCGAGCAUAUUGAGGGGGAAGGAGGAGGAGGAGCAGUAACAUGCAAACAUAUGGAAGAGGGUGAAAUAGAAGUAGCCACACAUAGGGAGGAGGAUAUCGGGGAGGGGAAAGGAGAAGUAACCAUACAUAGGGAGGAAGAGGAAGGAGGAGAAACAACUGAGCAUAUGGAGGGGGAAGAAGUAGCCAUACAUAUGGAGGAGGAGGAGGAAGAAGAGGAGGAAGAAGAAGAAGAAGAAGAAAGUCAGCAGACGACAUGGAUUCAGCUCGAUGAGGCACAAUAUGCACACAUCCUGCGGAAGCUGUUCCCCAAGAGCAGCACCAGUAGUAGCAAGCCCCUGCAGGCUCAAGACAGAUUCUUGGACAAGCAAGCUACAAAGACCACAACGGCUAUACUGGGUGAGGAUCAAAUCAAAAAACUCAUCCACGACGCAAAGGAAGACAUCUUACAUGAGCUGCAGCAAGGCAAAUAUGACAAGGGUGAAGGGACAGGUGAACCUGGUGCUCCGGAUCAUAACUCAGAAACUGUUUCUGAAAAAAUAUUUGCCUGUUUCGUGGAUCAGAUGAUAGAAAAAAUGAAGCACGAGUUCAAAGAGCAGCUCAAGAUCAAAGGACUCGUGGACAAGAUUAAAAACAACUUGAAUUAUCUUCCGGACAGGAAUAUGUAUGAAUGCCCCCUGUUUAUCAUCAAAGUUGAUGAGCUGAUGGAUGUUUCCGCAUGGGAGGAUACCAGAAAUGCUUUGAGCCUCUUAAACUGCAGCGCCGAUUUAAUGAUCGUCACCACCACAAAGGACAUCCAGCUGGCUAAAGAAUACUGCUAUCCACCACGAGAACCUAUAGACUAUUCUCUUGCUGGUCUCUACCAUGAUACAGUGCUCAAGCUUACUGGUCAGCAGAAGAAUGAAGACAGCUACAACCCCCAAAUUUUUCAUGAUAUCUUGUAUGAGUGUGAGCCACAUGAAUUCUGCAUGAAGGUCUUCACUCAUGCUUUGUAUGCUAACCCCAAGAGGAGCAGUGAGGAGUUACACAAGCUGCACGGCACCUUGGAGGCUUUACCAACAACAUCAUUCAACAGCAUUGCUAAGGUGAUGGUCAAGUUCUCUUACAAUGACCUGCCUCCUGCUUGCUGUACCUAGCUAUCUUCUCUCCCGGACAAAAGAUCAGGCGGUCAACCUUGAUUGCACGCUGGGUUGCAGAAGGGCUGACAUCCAAGGAAGAUUGGCCCAGUUCUGUGCGUCAGGCCAACCGAUGUUUUGACACACUUGUUGGCCGGUGCCUUGUUGAUCCUGCUGAUAUUGAUGCCAUGGGAAAAGUAAAGAGCUGCGUCGUAAGUGAUUCAGUUCAUGGAUUCAUUACCACCAUCGCCAGAAAACAACACAUUGUGGAGACACGCCUGUCACAUCACUUGGCUCGCCACUUCUCCAUUUUCAAUGAUCUCCAACUCCGCAGCUCUGAUAGAAUUGAUCAAUUCUUCCAUGGGCUCUCUAAAUCAUCUCAAGUAUCCCUGCUCAAGGUGCUAGAUCUAGAAGGUUGUCGGUGCUUUCUUGAGAAGAACCAUCGGUACCUCAAGGAAAUCUGCAGCAAGAUGUUACUGCUCAAGUAUCUGAGCCUAAGGAGAACAGAUAUUACCCAGCUACCUAGUGAAAUCAACAACCUCCGUGAGCUAGAGGUACUGGAUAUCCGAGAAACUAAUGUGCCUCCACAUGCAACAGCACAUAUCCUGCUAUUGAAGCUGAAGCGUCUGCUUGCUGGUCACAUUGAUCCAAGUAAUUUUGAAUCUAAUCCCCAGAUUCCUCAUAGGAUCGACAAAAUGGUAAACAUGGAGGUACUAUACAAUGUCAAGGCCAAGCAGAGUCAUGACUUAAAAGAUAUUGGAAGGCUAUGGCAGCUGAGGAAGCUAGGUGUGGUUAUCGAUGAUAAGGAUAAUCACCUAAGGAAUUUGCUUAAGGCGAUCAGUGACCUACAUGAGUGUCUCUGUUCUCUGUCAAUCACUAUUCCUGUAGCCGGACCACAUGAGGCAGAGUUACCAGAAGUCAAUGUAUCUUACCUAAAAAAACAUCCCAAGAUUCUUGAGUCUCUAAGCAUCAAGGGAACCACACAGAAGGGGCGUCUUCUUCCAUUGUUCAUAAAAGGCGAUAACAACAAACUUGCCAAGAUAACUCUAUGUCACACUCUGCUGAGCCAAGAUGAUCUGGAAGUCCUUGCCAAGCUGCCCAAGUUACGGUGUGUCAGGCUCCAACAUAUUCUAUGCACCGAGCACAAGCUGAACUUCAAGAAAGGUGAAUUCGGAUGCCUCAAGUACCUUCUUGUUGAGGACUCAGACUUGACUAAUAUCACUUUUGAGGAUGAGGCAGCCAGUGAGCUCGAGAAGAUGGUUUUGUCUAUCACCAGCAAAUGUUCUAUUUCAGGAGUUGACUGCCUUCUUAACUUGAAAGAGCUUGAGUUGAACAGCAGCUUCUGCGGCAGUUUGCUUGACGAUGCCAAACAGAUAUCCAAGCUAACUCUUCGUGGUACAUUGCUAGAGCAAGAUGCUCUUCAAACACUCGCCAAGAAACCAAAUAUACGCUCUCUGCUGCUCCGGGACAAGUCUUUUCGUGGAAGUCAAAACAAGAUUACAUUGAAAAAAGAUGAGUUCUUGUGGCUCAACCUUCUUGCUGUUGACUGCUCGGCCAUCACAAAGAUAGUCUUCACCAGAGGAUCUGCUCCUAGGCUCGAGAAGAUUGUCUGGUCAUCUUCCACAUCUCUCUCCGGCAUCAACAAACUUCCCAGAUUGAAGGAGCUCGAGUUCAACCUCAACGGUGUCGGUGACCAAGUCCCUGUUGAGAUGAGGGAGGCCAUUAAAAACCAUAAAAACAAGCCUAGUCUUAAACUUAAUGGGCCAGAAACUCAAGACAAAGCAAAAGGAGAUGAACAAGAGGAUGACGAUGAUGCUGCAACAUCCUCUUUCUGCUGGAAGAAACAGGUCUGACGCUGGAAGGGCCUCUCCGUUGAUCCCAUGGUGUGGUUUGCGUGUGCUAGUGUGGAUUGCACUCUGUUCUGCUUGCCUGUUGAUUUCAUUCUGCUGUGUGUUUAUGUUCUGCGUGCAUUACAACUGAAGUAUGUCCGUUUACUUGCUCUACAUGAGUGCCCUAGUGGCUCCGAUUGAGCAUAAACGGUUGUAUCUAUGCUUGGAUUUAAAUUCGUGUGGCUUUCCUCUGUAUCGAACAUCAUUUGCUUUUGUGUACAGUAUCAUGUAAUAAAGUGUGAAGUUUGUGCACACAUUUGACUUCUUAUUAAUGUACAGCGUGAUAUCACUAUGCUUUGGUUGGGUUUCUGCAACUCAAAGAUGAACUGGUGUGGUGUGUGUCAUGAUAUAGUUACCUGUAAUGUAGGCAUCCGUUUCUGCAAACCAGCUGAGCAGUUCUUGCAGUAAUGCCUGAUGAUGUACUUGAAGCAGAACUUUGUGCAGAUUAGGCAUGUGUAUGAUCCACAAUCUGUCUGCAGCUCCUGAUUGCCAGGCAAGCACUAGCGCCACAGGAAGAAUGGAAACUGUUUUCAGCUGUAUGUUGGCGUGCAUUUGGUUGGUAGCUCGCGUAGUUUCUCCCAUUGUUUGCUGGUGGAGAAGCCAGUAUAGUUCAUGAUAUAAAACUCAGUCAGACAGGGCACCUCGUCACCCAAUUUUCACCCCUUGGAUCAGAACCUGACGGUGGAACUACACAGUGAGAAGUGAUCCGUUAGGCUGUGACGUAUUAUCUAUGGUAGUCAUCUAUCCGAAAAUCCAUCUACCACAAUUCAUUCAGAAAAAGAACUUGUAUAAAGAUCUACAUGGGUGCAGAGGAGCAUCAGACCUUCAGAAAAGUUCAGACACUUGCAUAACAAUCUUCACUUCCUAAUGCAAGAAAUCGAAUCGAAGCAUAAGACCUGCAGAGACAGAAGCACGCCUAUUAUUGAGGCAUCGAGGAGGAAAAUCAGCAAGAAAAUGUAGUCUCUGCUGCUCUAAUUCCUCUUUCAGAUAAACAGAUCGGAAGGGGUUGGAGGAGGCGCAGCGCCCCCGCCUUACCUCGAAUCCGUGAACGACGACGAGCCGCAAAACACGACACUGACGACGGCUUUGUCCUUCCGCUUCGUUGGCACUGGGUGAUCUUUUCGGUUGGCCGCGACGGAGGAGGCCACGGCGAGGGUCCAGCCGCCGACCCUGGAAGAGGAAGACGGAGAAGAGAGUGUGGGGAUGCGGAUGUGACGGCCCACGUGUCAGCCACUGUAAAGUCACCUGACUUAAGUUAGAUGAGGCAUGGAAGUGCAUUCUCCUUUAUUGGUGAAACUUAAUUUUUCUACACAAAUUACACAAAUUCACUUUUUUGGGAAUAAUUCACCUUUUCUGUUUAGCCCUAAACAAAAUUUUGGCAUGAUCUAGUCUCAUAAACUAUUUUAGUUGGCCCAUGUUUCAAAAAGAAAAAAAAACUAUUUUAGUUGGCCUGAUCUACCCAUAUAUCUUUAUCUUUAUCUUUACCUAAUAUUAAAGGGAGGAGUGUUUCUUCAUUUUUUUCAUCUUAUAAGUCUUUGUACGUUUUAUCUCAUGCACAACCAUUUAGCCAAGCCAAUGCCUUUGCUAAAAAAGCCGAAGUUCCCUUAUUAUUGAGGCCGAAGGUAGAUCGCCUCGCUACAGGCUGCUUAGGCCGGCCCAUUUGAAAGGAUGACGUCCCACAUAAUUUUAUACUUUUGUUUGUAAGUUUUCCGUUUGUAUUUUUUAUCUUGCGUUUUUUUUCAUUUUCCUUUUUUCCUAUUUAGGUUUUUAUAGUAUUUGUCACACUUUAAAAAAAAUCAUGUAUUAUAAAAAUGUUAAACAUGUAUACAAGUAUGUACAAUGUGUAUUACAAAAUGUAGACAUGUGUUCAAAAAACAUAGACAUCAAACACUUAUUUAAAGAAUGUAAUUAUCUAUUUGAAAAAUAUUAAACACUUAUAAAGAAAUGUUCCUGAUAUAUACAAACAAAUGUAAAAUGUGUAAGAAAAAACAUAGACAGUAAAACCUAUAUUAAAAUAAUGUUAACCAUGUCUUUCAGAAAUGUUGAACAUAUGCAAUGAAAAUGUCCGUUAUGUAUAAGAAAAAUGUACAUUAUGCGUGAAAAAAGUAGAUAAGUGUUGAAAAAAGAAAAAAAUGAAAAAAAGAUGAAAACCUGAAAGGAAAAAAGUAAAGGAAAUCAUACAUAAACAAAGGAAAAAAACACUGAAAAUGAAAGAAUAAAAUAGAAAAAAGGAAAGCCAAAAAACUUAAGAAAAGCCAGGCUGCAGGCAAUGGGAAAAAACUGAAAAAAUAAAAAAAUGUACAGUAUUGGGCCAGCCCACUAUUUCCUACACGUAGACGAUUCAUAGGAAUCACUAAGAAGAGAAAUAACCAUCACUGGUCUUAUUGUGGAAGAGAGUUUUCUUUUAAAAAAGUUGUUCGCUCCACAAGCCCACUGAAUUGUUUUGCCGUUCCGUAGUACAUUACUUGACUUUUCUUCGUCAAGCUGCAUGUCCCUAUUCUCGAUGUGUUUUGACUUUUGACGAUCAAAGCGUUCGACAUCCAAACUGGUCUUGCUCUCACAUACAAAAUAAGCCUACAAAUCAGAAGAAAAAUCUAUUAAUUUUUUUAGGAGAAAAGUAAUUCCAGGCAAGGGAGAAAACCAACUCUAUGCCCAAGAGUUCAUGGAGCACAUGUCAGAUCCCCAUCAUCCAUCUCCGAUAUGUCCUUGCCUUCAUGACUUGCACCAUCGCGGACAUCUCAUGUGCGUGCGAUGUGAUCAGACACCACCCAUAUCGGAUUGAUUGCUAAUUAGUACCGCGUCCGAAGACAUCUUCUAAGGAAGGCAUAUAUAUAUGCACUGUAAUUUUACGUUUUGUAAGUUUUGUCUUAUUUUAGACAUAAAAAAAGAACGUAAGAAAACCUAUACUCGUCGUAAAAAUAUUUUAUGUUACAUAAAAUAAAAAAUGUAAAAACAUAGUGUAAGAUGUAGAUAAAAAAUUUUGACCUAUAUUUUUUUUGUUAUGCCAAAUUUUAUGCAGUAAAUCAAUAUGAAUGUAACUAUUUGUAUUUCAAAUAUAAUUUAUAUUUAUGAAAUGAUCGUAAGAUUACCUCGGGUGAAGAAUAACUUAUUCUGCACCCUGGGUGAUGAAUAGUAACAUCUCGGUGUGCCAUCAAUAUUGAUGCUAUCGUGUACCUCCCGCCAGAUGUCCAAAUACAGGCAGAUGCGCUAAUUAUCGUGACCCUUUUUAUUUUCCGAUGAAAGUUCUCAUUGAUAAUCUAGACGUAUGAAAUCGUCCAGGAGCCGUGUCCAAGGCGAUAGCAUUAGAUAGGCGGAUGUGAACGUGUACAAGGUGUGUGCAUGGCUGCAUGUAAACGACAUAGCAUCACAUCUUCAUCAACUACCGCGUCAACUAGCCGACUCCCGCAUCAAUGCACUUUGUCUUGGGCGCCAUCAGGCAGGAGCCCACCUCAUUUACCCCACUACCAUUGCUGGGUGGCAUCGUCCAGAGGCUGGUAUCUCGCACUGGUGAAUAUUCUGAUGAACAUGAUAAUUUUAUCUCCCGUUGCAACGCACGGGCAUAUGUGCUAGUAGGAUUCUUAAAUGAUAAAUGCCCACACGUGUGUCACUUAUCAACACGCCCACACGCACUCGAUGCCGUUCGAUUCAUUUGCAUGAAUUUUGAAGCAGUUGUCAUCUCGGUCGAGACCCACGUAAGCAUCCAGCAUCGUGUGGGCAUUAUCACUUAGUGCCACACAUAUGGGUGCUCCUCAUCCGAACGGACACAGGAUGCUCGCCCGAUCGUGUGGGCGAAACUGCUCUUCGCCCGCACGACGCUCACACAGUGAUAGAUGGCAACUACAGGUGUGCAUAUGUGGCAACUAGUUAAUCACACACUGGCAAUUAUGGUUGACCAUACACAACAACUAUGGUUUUAACCACACACGGCAAUUACAGGUGUGCAUAUGUGGCAACUAGUUAAUCACACACGGCAACUAUGGUUGAUAAUACAUGGCAACUAUGGUUUGACCACACGUGGCAACUUCAAUUGGUUACACAUGGCAACUAUAUUUAAUGAUACAUGUCAGACAUGACAACUACAGUUAAUUACAAAUGGCAACUAAAGUUGAUUACACACACGUUCGUGCUCACGGGUGGGGGUGAGCAGUUGCCACACAGAGUCGUGUGGGCCGUCGUAGCUGCACCCAAACGUGUGGGAAGUUUUAAUGUUCGCCCACACAGGGUCGUGUGGUCUGUCUUCUGGGUACGGCCACACGACUCGUGUAGUCGGGUAUCCAUUGUGCCACAUGUGUGGCAAUUAUCGGCAUCCAUAAGAUUUGGUUUUUAGCUUCUUCGUUUUGCCUUAUAUUGGCUACUGCGUAUCUUUUUUUGACAAAGAAUGAUUUUUAUUGGCUCCAAUGGAGCAUCAAGUGGAUACAAAUGCAAUGAGUGCACACCCGGCCUCUGCAUAACAAGCUACAUGAGUUGUCAUGUCUAGUAGCUUGGGUACCUUUAGCCUAUUGAUGCAUUCAUGCAACCGAGCACAAUGUUAAUGACAGUGCAUCGCAUGUGAACAACCUUGACGAUGCUGUUCGUCAAGUCAAGAUUUACAUUAGUGCAUGACCCAAGAGAACACCACAUCGUCUUAAAAGGGCAAUUCAUCGAAGAGCUCCUGGAAUCGGUUCGAGGCCAAUGUCCCUCGGUGCCUUCUAAUUCCCCCCCUCAAGUUACUAACUUGCAACUAGUAGUGGGUCAGUUGUUGUGAAUCGGAGGUCAAAAUUGAAGUACUUUGUCAUUUUAUAAUUCUUGAAACAAAGGAAAAGGAUAUGAAUUAUGGAGGAUAGGAUUCUUUCUGGAAUUUUUCUUUAGGUGUCAUUUGGAUGUUAUCCUAUAUUUCUUUGAACCCACCUCAUGUUUUCUUCUAUUUGUGUCUAUAAUUUUUGUGUUUUCCUAUGUGACAUAGUUUUGUAGUCUUCUCAUGGUUUUAGUUCAUGUAGGAAUCUAAGACUGGCGACAUCCUAAUUCCUCCGUUCUUCCUAUUCCUAUGUUCCAAACGGUGCCUUAUAUGAUAAAUAAGCUUGUACUUCAUCCGUCUUGGUGUACAGGGCAUGAGCGUAGUUCUAGGUUGAUAAUUUAACUAGCUAAAUAUGUAUUAUAUGUGAUAAUAAUAUAUAUUUAGAAACUAUAUCCGGUUAAGAAUACAAUGAUACACUUUAGUGAAAUAUAACACAUAUUUAGUUAAUCAAAUUGAUAAUCUAGAACUACAUGCACGCUCUAUACACUAAGACAGAGGGAGUAUUGUUCAUUGACCGUUGUGGAGUACACCGCAAAUGAUUGCCUGAAGAGGUUUCCAAUGGCCGCCCCAACCGCUCGUUAAGCAUCAUGAUCCACGGUCCCGAUCAUUGCACACCCCAUUAAUUUCUCUAUCCACCGACUGGAUUUGUCGCAUCUAGUACCUCACAUACCUUUGGGUUGUUGAUGUAGAAAUGCAACCUGCCACAAUGUUAAUAACAGUGCAUGAUAUGUGAACACCCUUGACAACGCCAUUCAUCAAGUCAAGUCAAGAUUUACAUUAGUGUGUUUCCCAAGAGAAUAUCUGACCAUCUUAGGGUGAUUCAUCGAAGAGGUCCUGGACGGGUUCCAAGCAAAUAUCUCUCGGUGGCUAUCUUUGAACUUUUUUCCUCAAGUCAUGAAGCGAAUCUACAAUGUCGGUGCUUAGGCUAGGCGCCUGGCUUCAAUUCCGAGCCAUUAUGGGCGAAACCUGGCUUCCGUUGACGCAAAAACUAUCACCAUGCACUUGCCUUUUGUUUCUCUGCGGACACUUAUUUCAGGUAUAACUGAUCAGGGUUGUUCUGAAAGCAAGUCAACUGGUGCUUUAUAAAGUGAGUGCCAGCGGCUAAUCACUGCUUUGUUCACAGAAGGGAAGAGAGAGAUACUGGUAGCCCUGUGUUGGAGACAGAAGCGCUAGCCAACAUUCCUUAUUUCUCUCGUGACGCUAGUUGCAUUGCAUAUAAGGACUCUAAACACCGAGGCUAAAGUAAUUUUCAGGAAAAAAAAUCCUCUAAUGAGUAAUGUCUCCACAAGUGUCUGAGCAUUGGAGAUGGCCUAACUUGGAACUAAAAGUUGGUCAGUUCUUGUUAAUUGGAGGUCAGAAUUGAAAUAGCUUUGCCAUCUUAAAUUCUUGUUUUGGUUCACAAUUUUAAGGCCCAUCAGAAACAAAUAAAAAAGGGUAGGAUUUAUGUAGGAUAGUAUUCCUUCAAGAAUUUUUUUUUGUUGACGUUUAUAACAAAGGAAUUUUUAUCCUAUAUUCCUUCAAAAAUCGUAUGGAAUGGAAUGCCAUAGGAAUUUUGGACGAAACGAAACGUGAGGACCUAUGUUUUCUUCUAUUUGUGUCUAUAAUUUCUGUUUUCUUAUGUGACAUCCAAAGGAUAGUUUUGCAAAAAAAUUGUGGUUUCUGUUCCUGUAGGAAUCUAGGAUACACGACAGCCUAAUUCCUCCUUCAUAUUCCUAUGUUCCAAACGGUGCCUUAUAUGAUAAAUAAUCUUGUAUUGUUCAUUGGACAUGUGGAAUGGUAUAGCACAAAUGAUUUACCGAAUAGGCUUCCUAUGGCGGCCCCCGCCGCUUAUUGAUCAUCAUUAGACAGGUCCCAAAUUAUUGCACACCCCAUUAAUUUCUCUAUCCAUCGACAUUAUUUGCCACGUCUAGUACCUCUAGUACCUUUGGUCUAUUGAUGCAGUAAUGCAAACAAGCACAAUGUUAAUGACAGUCCAUCGCAUGUGAAAACCCUUGACGACACCGCGGUCAAGUCAAGAUUUACAUUAUACUAGUAGGAAAAGGGGCUUUUACCCCGGUUUGUAAGGGCCUUUUGUCCCGGUUUUCGAACCGGGACUAAAGGGUCGUUACUAAAGCCCUAACCCUUUAAUCCCGGUUCUUACACGAACCGGGACAGAAGGUCCUCCACGUGGCCGCUGCUGCCAGCCCAGGCAGGGGGGCCUUUGGUCCCGGUUGGUGCCACCAACCGGGACCAAUAGGCAGGGCCUUUUGUCCCGGUUGGUGUCACUAACCGGGACCAAUAGGCAUCCACGCGUCAGCAUUUCAGNNNNNNNNNNNNNNNNNNNNNNNNNNNNNNNNNNNNNNNNNNNNNNNNNNNNNNNNNNNNNNNNNNNNNNNNNNNNNNNNNNNNNNNNNNNNNNNNNNNNNNNNNNNNNNNNNNNNNNNNNNNNNNNNNNNNNNNNNNNNNNNNNNNNNNNNNNNNNNNNNNNNNNNNNNNNNNNNNNNNNNNNNNNNNNNNNNNNNNNNNNNNNNNNNNNNNNNNNNNNNNNNNNNNNNNNNNNNNNNNNNNNNNNNNNNNNNNNNNNNNNNNNNNNNNNNNNNNNNNNNNNNNNNNNNNNNNNNNNNNNNNNNNNNNNNNNNNNNNNNNNNNNNNNNNNNNNNNNNNNNNNNNNNNNNNNNNNNNNNNNNNNNNNNNNNNNNNNNNNNNNNNNNNNNNNGCUAGCUAGCUAAUUAAUAGAGAGAAGUGUCCACUCUCAUCUCCGUGCUUGGUCGACGCUACGUACUAUAUACGUAUGGAGAGGACUAGACACGCUAGCUAGUAAUCAAAUGAAGGAAACAGAAGAUCGUCAUGAACAUAUGCAUACAGAGAGAAGUGGUAUCGACCACCUCUCCUUCUCCGAGAGAUUGGUCGAACAACAAGUUCUCGUAUAUCUAUCCGACACUACCGGCUACAUAUAUACAAUAAUUAUCUCUUACAAUACAAUCUCCUAAUUAAAUUGUAAGAACACAGGGUCCACAUAGUAUUCUCCGUUUUCAGCGAUCACAUGGUCAAGGAAGAAUGCCGCCAAUUCCUCUUGAAUUCCUCGCAUACGAUCUGGUGCUAGGAGUUCAUCCCGCUUCCGAAACAUCUAAUUUGAAGAAGGGGGUCAAUACAUAUAUAUAUGAAUAAAUGAAACUCAACACAAAUGAUGGUAAUAAAAUAAAAUUGUGAAUAUUAUUGCUUACGCACUUCAUAUUGUUUUUCAGAGUAGCCCCGCUCACAGGUCGUGUAGCGGAUGGACUCGCAAACGUAGUAUCCACAGUAAUUAUUCCCGGGUUCCUGCCACAACCACUUUACAAGAAAUAGAGGUCAAUCAAACCGAUAAGCAAGCAUGCUAAAUGCUAUUGAUGAAACUAGCGCUUGAAUCACUAGGAGAUGCGCGGAACAUGCUACUAUAGUACUUACUUUCGGGUGUUUAAAUUGCAGCUUCUUUGACAGUCCCGGAGCUUUUGUGGUGAAUUUUCUCCAAACCCUGCCAGACAAAGAAAACAAUUACUUGAUAUCAGGAAAUGAACAAAGUUGCUGAUAUGGUGGAUAAUGAUCGAUUUAACUUACUUCUCGAGCAUUUGAGUCAUGUUCGCAUAGUCCUGGGGAUCUUUUCGUCUCGAGUCUAAGACGGUUACUACUCCCUGCUCAAGCUUAAUCUCUAGGAGAAUAUAGUGGAAGCUGCGCAUGCAUGCAUAAGUCAUCAAUUACAUUACCAUAACCUGCACUAAUAAGGGAAACCGAAUAUGCACAAGACAGUAACACUCACUUGAAGUUGUAAGAAAAGAGUAUUAUAUCUUUGUUUUGAUUUAAUACCAACGAUUGUAGCAAGUUGGCCUCGGCUUCUUUGGGAUGUUUUUCAACCGUAUAUGCAUCUAUGAGAUUUGUGUUAAUGAACCCACUAUCACCGAUUUGUCUUUUCUUUAAUUCGGCGAUCUUCAAUCUGCAUAAUAUAGUGAGGAUAAUUAUAAAUACAUGCAAUGAAAGAGCUGACCUAUAUAGAGACUUAAUGACAGAAGUAGUACUACUUACAGACAGUAGCAAGUGAUCGUUGUUUUAUCGAGGGCCUUUUGAUUGUAAACUGGAAGAAAUCCUCAAAUGGAACAUUCAGCAGUUCAAUUCCAACGAGGUCAUGCUCCGGUUUAACUCUCAGCGUCAAAGUACUCGUCCCAUCAGACUCUCUGCAGGUUUUCAUGUACCAAUCAUGUAAUCUUCGCAUCAUCGUUGUUAGAGAUCUUUCAUCUUUGACGAGAGGCUUCCUGUAAUGGUAUUUGUGUUCGUCCACCUCCAUGAUUUCAUAAUAUACAUCGUCGGGCAGGUAAUCUCCAAGAUUGCUAUAACCGGGCACCAUCCUCGGAUCAUUAGCGACGAUGUCUUUUGACACCUUGAGCGGGGGGCACGAUUGGUUCGCUUGUUCGCUGAGCUGGGCAAUUUUUUUCCCAGCUCGUCGUUCUUUUAACCUUUGAUCACUGACAGUACUUCCCGACCGCUCCGCUUCGGCAUAUGUCUUUGCAAGAAUGCGCUCAUAGUUGCCUCUCGGCGGAGAUUUUGGUGGUUUUGUUAGGGCAGCCAGAGUGCGCUUUGCUUUCACCGGAUCUACCUUCUCCUCCGAAGGUGGAUGUUUCUUUGCUUUCACCCCUUCAAAGAAGUUUGUCACUUCGGCUCGCACGAUCUUCCUGGUUUCCUCCUCGGUCCUCUCGUAUGGUAACUUCUCUGGAGUCUUCAGAGAAGGACCGAAUCUGUAUUGCCUCCCGCCUCUGGCAGCUGUACUGCUAGACGCCGGCAGAGCAGACGGAGCGGCUGCGGCUGUCUUCUUUCCUUGCUUACGAGGCGGAGGAGAAGGACUACGACGCGCCGGAGCAGCCGCAGCGGCGGUGGGUCUCUUCCGCCCUUGCUGACGAGGCGGAGAAGGAGGAGGCUGGCUACUCUGGCGCGCCGGCGCAGGCGGAGAAGGAGGCGGAGUGCCGCCACGCGCCGGAGAAGGAGGCUGAGUGCCCUGAUCACUCGCCGGAGGAGGAGGCGGAGGAGGAGGCGAACUGCCCUUACUCGCCGGAGCCGUCCAGUUCGGAAGGUUGAUGAGCUCCUUCCGCCAUAGGCACGGAGUCUUCAGAGCUAAACCCAGCCGAGUCUCCCCUUCACCGGUAGGGUGGUCAAGCUGGAGGUCCUCAAAUCCCUCCGUUAUUUCAUCCACCAUCACCCUAGCAUAUCCUUCUGGAAUCGGCCGGCAAUGGUAGGUUGCGCCGGGUUCAGGAGGUAAAACAGAGCCAACAGCCGCCUUGACUUUGAACUCUUUGGUCCCGGUUCGUGGCACCAACCGGGACUAAAGGCCUUUGGUCCCGGUUGGUCCCACGAACCGGGACCAAUGCCCCCUUUCGUCCCGGUUGGUGGCACCAACCGGGACCAAAGGCCUUGUGCUGCCCCGCGUCAAAAGUUUAGUCCCACCUCGCUAGUUGAGAGGGCUCGAGAGUGGUUUAUAAGCGCUGUUGCGCCCACCCUCUCGAGCUCCUCUCAACUGCAGGCUUUCGGGCCUAACCGUUCUCUUUGCCUGUGGGGCCUACUGGGCCUUCUGCGGGCCUGAAUCCUGGCCCACGGAUGGGUUUCAAGUCGUAUUCAGGCCGUGGUGGCCCAGUAGGUGGCAUAAUUUUUUUCUCUGUUUUUUGUUUUCUCUUUUGCUUUAUUUGUUUUGUUUUGUUUCUACUUACAACAAAAAACUUAUUUAUUUUAUUUCUAAUUACUUAUGUAUUUUACUUUAAUUAUUUUAUUUUUAUUUAUUUUACUGCUGCUAUUUUUAUUUAUUUUACUGCUGCUAUUUUUAUUUAAUUUAUUAAGGUUUAUUUAUUUUAGUUACUAUAGUUUAUUUUAUUUUAUUUUAUUAAGGUUUAUUUAUUUUAUUAAGGUUUAUUUAUUUUAUUUACUAUAAAAAAUGAACAUAGAUGCGCUUAUAGAGGAAAUUCAACCUAAAUUCAUAAUAAAUUUCUAUGAAAUUUACUGUGAAUUUAGGUCAAAUUCCCUGUAUAAGGGCAUCUAUUUUCACUUUAAGAGGAGCUCAACAAGGCAGAGAGGGACGGGCUUAUAAACUGGUGUGAGCGCCCUUCGGUUGGCGAGGUGGGACUAAACACUGGCCGCAACUAGGACCAGCCCUUUAGUCCCGGUUUGUGGUAGGAACCGGGACUAAAGGGUGGUGGGCCAGGAGCGUGGCCCAUUGGUCCCGGUUUGUCCCACCAACCGGGACCAAAGGGUCCGAACGAACCGGGACCAAUGCCCCCACGAGGCCGGCAGGCCCCUGGCCGCACGAACCGGGACCAAUGCUCACAUUAGUCCCGGUUCGUGACUGAACCGGGACUAAUGUGAAUAUUGCCCUGUGACCAAAGCCCAGUUUUCUACUAGUGUUAGUGCAUGGCCCAAGAGACAUAACACCAUCUUGAAAGGGCAAUUCAUCGAAGAGCUCCUGGAAUCUGUUCCAUGCGAAUGUCUUUCGGUGGCUAUUCUAGUUUUUUCCUCAAGUUACUAACUUGCAACUAAUAGUUAGUCAGUUAUUAUUGCACACCCCAUUAUGGCGGCCACAACAGCUCGUUGAUCAUCAUGAGCUAGGGUCCCAGAUCAUUACACACACCAUCAAUUUAUCUUUCCACUAACAUGAUUUGUCGCAUCUAGUACCUCUGGUACCUUUGAGCUGUUGAUGCCGAAAUGCAACCGGCCACAAUGUUAAUAGCAGUGCACAAUGUGUGAACACCCUUGACAACACUAUUCUCCAAGUCAAGUCAAGAUUUACAUUGGUGUGUUUCUCAAGAGAACAUCUCUUGAAAGGGUUAUUCGUCGAAGAGGUUCUGGAACCAGUAUCAAGCAAAUGUCUCUUGGUGGGUAUAAUAAAAAUAUUCCUCAAGUCACGAAUCUAGCUUCCGUCGACGCUAAAGCACUUGGUCAUUUUUUCCCUCCAGAUGCAGGCUACGAGCGCUAUUGUGGACCCUAACAAAAAUCAAUGAUCCUGCAUGUGGCUACGUGUGUUUUCUAGCGGACGCUUGGUAGCCCUGCGUUGGAGAGGGAAGCGCUGGCCAGCUUUCCAUAUUUCUGUCGCUUGUUGCAUUUCAGAUAAGGACUCUAAACACCGACUCUAAAGUAAUAUUUUUGAAAAAAAAAUCCUCUAACAUCUACACAAGCGUAUGAGCAUUGGAGAUGGCUUAACUUGCAACUAGCAGUUGGCCAGUUGUUGCUAAUUGGAGUUUACAAAUGUAAUAUCUAUGCCAUUUUACAACUUUAAGGCCCGUCCGAAAUAAAGGAAAAGGUAUAGGAAUUAUGUAGAAUAGGAUUCCUUCAUGAAAUUUUCUUCUGCUGUUGUUUGUAACAAAGGAAUUGUUAUUCUAUGUUCCUUUUAAAUCCCUAUGGAUUGGACUAUGCCAUAGGAAUUUUGGAAUAAACUAAACAUGAGGUCCUACCUCUCAUGUUUUCUUCUGUUAGUGUCUAUAAUUUCUGUGUUUUCCUAUGUGACAUCCAAAUGAUAGUUUUUGCAGUUUUUUUUCGUGAUUUUAGUUCCUGUAGGAAUCUAGGAUAGGCAACAUCCUAAUUCCCCGCUCUUCCUAUUCCUAUGUUUCAAAAGGUGACGUAUAUGAUAAAAAAAGCUUAUACUGUUCAUUGAACAUGUGGAAUGGUAUAGCACAUUGCCGAAGAGGUUUUCUACGGCAGCCCCAACCGCUCUUUGAUCAUCAUGAGCCCGGGUCCCAGAUCAUUGCACACCCCAUUAAUUUCUCUAUCCACCAACAUGAUUUAUCCCGUUGGUACGUCGGGUACCUUUGGGUUGUUCGUGCAGAAAUGCAACCGGCCACGAUGUUAACUAGAUGACACCCUAGAGUACCUUUGGGUUGUUCAUGCAGAAAUGCAACCGGCCACAAUGUUAAUUAGAUGACACCCUAGGCCCGCGCGUUGCCGCAUGAAUCGAUUGCAAUAUAUUUUAAUGAGAUUUGAUUUGUGAAAUAGGUAAAACUGUGUCUACUAUAGCUUGCCACAGAACUAGUUAAGGGUCGCUAAACUUUUAACGGUUUAAAAGUUAUCAAAAAAUAUGAAAUAAAUAUGGGAGCGUCUCUCUAAUGUAAUAAGAUGAUCCAACGAGAGGGAUUGUCAAAAUAUGCAUCUAUGUGUCCUAGGCAAAAAUAAUAAGCAUUUCAGCUCACUGCGACAUAAAUAUAUACUGAACUAUUUGUUUCUUUUGUCCAGGACACAUACAGUCAUAUUUUUUUAAUCCCUCCGUUGGAUCAUGUUAUAUUACUAGGACAAAUGCCCGUGCGUUGCAACGGGCGAAAAAAUAUCGUAAAACUUGCUCCGUGUGGUAGUACGCGUCAAUUUUAAUAUACAUUUCUGAUAAACAUCAGUAAUAAGUUUAUACUAUUAUUGCUUUUCGAAAUAUGAAGUGUGGACGUAAAGAAGUCACCCUAACAUCAGAUAGAGGAGUAGUGCUGCAUAGAAUAGUCUAGUAAUCAGCUUUGUAUUUUAUAUUUCGGAAAACACAAAUAUUCCUUUACUUUUAAAUAACUAAAAAAAGCAUAUUUUAUUAGAAUUGAAACAUGUUUUGAAAAUGAACAUUUUUUUGAACACAAGUUUUUUGUGAAAGAGAAUUUUUAAAAAUUUGUGAUCAAUUUUAAAUGAUUUUUUUUAAAAAAUUGAACAUAUUUUGGGAAAGCGUGAAAAACAUGAAUUUCGAGCAAUAUUGAAAAGCAUGAAUUUUUUAAAGCAAGAAGAAUUUGAAACACUCUUUGUCUUUAAAAAAACACACGCUCGGUGUCUGCAACGAAAAAUGGAUUGUUGGGUCCAUACCAUGUAGUAUAAAGUUGAGAAAGUCGUAGGGAUGUCCUUUGAUGGCGCCUCCUUCAGCUUAGUACUAUCAUCAGGUGAAAGAGGAAAUGGUGUAAUUGUUUUCAGCAGGAUAUACAAACUGUGGAAUUGUUGUAUACUAUUCGAGAGUUUAACAACCAAUCCAAAAGUUUUUCUUAGAAAUUUCAAAAGAUUUGCAAAAUAUUUUUUUGGAUGAAAGAGUAGUGGUGCAUUGAAGUGGGAUUGUUUAUGUACAAUUAUUUUUGUUAAUAUUCGAAAGCAAACAAUUUUUUUACUAUAUUAAUUAUAUUUUUAGAAAAUUUUGGUUAUUUGAUUUGCAAGAUUAUAUUCCGUUCUUUUUCUUUUGCACUAUGAACUUAGUCAUCAUCAUCAUAAAAAAGCAAGCUUUUCUCUAUUCCCCAUCACAGGUAAAUUUCGGGUGAAUUGUAAAAACAAAGCUAAAUUUCAAGAUGCACCGUCGUCACAUUCUUUCUACUCUUCACAAGAAAUAUUAUUUCCAAUAUUUCACUAACUUUAAUUAUUGUAUUUGAUGAUGUAUUCAUAAGAUGUGGUAAGCUAGAACAUUAAACUAUGACAGUAAUAACAAUAAAACAACAACAAGUAAAUCGGUGCUCAUUUUUCUCAAAAGAAGUAAAUCGGUGCUCAUAUAUUUAGAAAGAAAAGAAUUGCAAUCGAUGCUAGCACGCAUGGCAAGCUCCAGCAGCUUCUGGUCGGUGCAGCCAAUAAAGAAAGCAAUCCACACAAAAGAAAAUCCCCCCCGAGACCACUACUCCGUGGACAUCGCCAUUCCUCCAGCAGCGCUGCUGCUCUUCUUGCUCUUUCUCUUUAUCCAUCCACAUCCAGUGCGCCGACAAGCCCACCCCAUCAGCGGUGCUCUCCUUCCUCUCAUCUCUAUCCGUGCUCUAGCCACACACCACCCACGCGCCCUUCUUGCUUCAGUCGACGGCUCCUCGUUCCCCUCUCCCUUCCCUCCUCCACAACUAACCAAGCACCGCCCUCUCAUGGUUCACGUUCGUCGGCCGGUUGCAGGCGGCUCCUGUUGGCCGAGCCUGCGCGCGCGGGGGCUGGCUGGGCCGAUGGCUGAGGCGCGGCAAUGGUGGCCUGCUCACGGUCGAGCUCGGCGGCUACUUGACGGGGCCGCGUGGAUCUGCCCCGAGGCUCCGGGCUCCGGAUCUGCGUGGUCAUGUCCACCUCACCCUCCGACGGCGCCUUACUGCGGCGCUUCGGGCCCAGAUCUCGCCGGUUGGCGCGUAGAUGUGCGUGCGCUCGGCUUGAGGUAGCGCAAGGAUGAUGGGGCAGCUUGGAUGGUGGCCCGUGCAGUGUGCGGCUGCCCUGUGAGCCCCGAGUUUUCUCUUUCGCGAGAGCAUCCAUCUAUUAUGACGGACAAAUCUUUGUUCAAUUUUUCUGAAUCUUCACCUCGUCUCUCAGCAGAACGCAGGCGUCCCACGAUGACGACGCAGGGGGGUGCAGCAUCUGGUCCAGCAUGGUGCGGAGGCCGGCGGCGACCUCGUGGCUCUCUCAGCAGAACUCGGGCUGCGGCGCGACGCCAAGCCACGCCUGCACUCUGCCGUCAUCUGGACGCAUGCCAUGAUGGUCACGCCCUCAAGCUCCAUGACGGAGGACCAUGGAGGCGCGCGGAGCGAGGCGCAGAGGAACGGAUCUGGUCGCGCAGAGGCCCACUUGCGGGAGAGGCAGGGAGGCGGCCAUGGCAGGUCGUUUUGGAGGGAGGCGUCCAUGGCAUGGGACGGCGGCGGCUGAGCGCAGCGCCGGCGCUCGAGAAGACGACGGACCAUGGAGGCGCGCGGAUCGAGGCGGAGACGCACGGAUCGACGCGGAGACGCACGGAUCUGGCCGCUCCCAGGUCAGAUCUGGCCGCAGUGGAGCUCCACAUCGGGAUCCAUGGUGCUCCAUCGGGAUCCAUGGGCCAGAGACAAGAUUUGUGAGAGAGAGGUCAGGAAGGGAGAAGGGAGACGGGAGAAUAAGAGAGAUAGGGCGCGCGGGAGGAGUUACGGGACGAAGGCUGGAGGUCGGUAGCGGUGGCGCUGGACGCCGGCGUGAGAUGCAAGCCAGAGGGAGAAAACCGUGAGGGAGAAAACCGGGAGGGGGGAAAGAAAAUCAGUGGGACGAGAGGUGGGUCGGGACGGGAGGAAAGAAAAUCGGGAGCGAGGGGGUCGUACGAAAGGCUUGACGAACAUAAGAGGGGAAACGAAACACUACGUUUGUUUUAGAUAGUAGAGAUAGAGAUAUAUAGGUGUGUUGGUUCAGUAUUUUUUUCAGAAUUUUUGAGAACUUUUGCACCGUUUAAACCCUUAUAGAAAAUGCUACUCCUUGUGAAAUAUAUAUAUUAUAACACAUGAAACAAAAUUAAAGAUGCAUACGACUUAUUAUAUUUGAUUAUGUAUAAUUGUAAAAUAUUAUUAAAUAUAAGUAGAAUGAUAGAAUGAAAAAUAUUUCCUCAUGCAUGGUUGCAUGUGGUGAUGGUUCUUUUUCCAUGCAUGAUUGCAUGUUGAGGUGAGCCUUAUCCCAUCAAUAAUUGUAUGGUGAUACGACAUACUUACAUAAUGAGAUAAAUAAAUUAGUGGGGAUCACUUCUUAGGUAUGUAUAGGACAACAGUGCACAAUAUGUGAACACCCUUGACAACACCAUUCGUCAAGUCAAGUAAAGAUUUACAUUAGUGUGUUGCCCAAUAGAACAUCAGACCAUCUUGAAAGGGUGAUUUGUCAGAGGGGCCCUAGAAGCGGUUCCAAGCAAAUGUCUCUUUGUGGCUAUCCUUUUUUUCCUCAGGUCACUAAGGCCAUCUACAACGUUGAGACGUAGGCCAGGUGUGAGGCCUCGAUUCGAUGAUUCCUGGCCAUUAUGGGGGGCGGGGGAUCUCUGUCCUACUAAUUGUACUAACACUGUGAGCAGAGAAGACAACGAGUACAACUUUAAUGCCCGAGAUCAGACCAUAGCAUGGGGAUCUGGUGGGUAUCCCAAUUUGCAACUCCUUUGUAAUCACGGCGCAGUCCAUCUCCAAAGUGACUGGCCGUCUGGCCGUCUGUACACUUUUGCCAGAGCAUUUAGUCCAACCAGUGCUGCUCUGGCAUCCGCCUCAUCAACACCGCUCUUGCCCUCUGUUGUUGUUAAUUGGAGUUCAGAACUGAAAUAUAUUUGCUAUUUUACAGUUCUUGUUUUGGUUCACAAUUUUCAAGUGAGAAACAAAGGGAAAACAAUAGGAAUUAUGUAGGAUAGAACUCAUUCAGAAUUAUUUAUUUCACUGAUGUCUGUAGCAAAGGAAUUGUUGUUCUAUUUUCCUUUGAAAUUCCUAUGGAAUGGACUAUGCCAUAGGAAUUUAGGAGGAAACCAAACAGGAGGUCCUACCUCUCAUGUUUUCUUCUAUUUGUGUCUAAUUAUUUCUGCGUUUUCCUGUGUGACAUCCAAAGGUUAGCUUCACAGAUUUUUUGUGGUUUAGUUCAUGUAGAAAUCUAGGAUAGGCGGCAUCUAAAUUCCUCCGUUCUUCUUAUUCCCAUGUUUUGAAUUCGUAUGUUUCAAAGGGCGCCUUAUAUGAUAAAUAAGCUUGUAUUGUUCAAUGAAUAUGUGGAAUGGUAUGGUGCAAAUGAUUGCCGAAGAGGAUUGCUAUAUGGCGGCCCCAAUCGCUCAUUGAUCAUCAUGAGCCAUGGUCCCAGCUCUUAAUGCAGUAACGCAACCAAGCACAAUGCUAAUGACAGUGCACCGUGUGUGAACACCAUUGACCACACCGUUCUUCAAGUUGAGAUUUACAUUAGUGCAUGACCCAAUAGAACAUCCCACCAUCUUGAAUGGGCGCUUUGUCAAAGAGCUCCUGGAAUCAGUUCCAAGCAAAUGUCACUCUAUGGCUAUCCUAAUUUGUUUCCGUAUGUUACUAACUUGCAACUAGUAGUUGGUCAGUUGUUCUGGAUUGGAGGUCAAAAUUGAAAUACUUUGGCAUUUUACAAUUAUUGUUUUCGUUCACAAAUUUAAAUCCCGUGGGAAACAAAGGAAAAGAUAGGAAUCGUGUAGGAUAUGAUUCCUUCAGAAAUUUUUCUUUUUGUGCCGUUUGUAUCAAAUUAAUUGUCAUCCUAUAUUCCUGUGAAAUUCCUAUGGAAGGAACUAUAUAUGCCAAAGGAAUUUUGGAGGAAACCGAACAUGAAAUCCUUCCUCAUAUUUUCUUCUGUUUGUGUCUACAGUGUCUUUGUUUUCCUAUAUGACAUACAAGCGAUAGUUUUUCAGUUUUCCCAUGGUUUUAGUUCCUGUUGUAAUCUAGGAUAGACGACAUCCUAAUUCCUCCGUUCUUCCUAUUCCUAUGUUUUGUAUUCCUGUGUUCCAAACGAUGCCUUAUAUAUGAUAAAUAAGCUUGUACUGUAGUUGGCUAUGUGGAAUUGUACAGCGCAAAUGAUUGCCUGAAGAGGUGCGCCCCAUGGCAGCCCCAACCGCUCAUUGAUCAUCAUGAGCCAGGAGAUCAUUGCACACCCCCGUCAAUUUCUCCAUCCAUCGAGAGGAUUUGCAUCGUCCAGUACCCCGGGUACAUUUGGGCUGUUGUGAUCGUGGCAGUAAAUGCAACCGGUCACAAUGUUGUGGUAGCGCACAGCGUGUGAACGCCCUUGACGACACCGUUCGUCAAGUCACGUCAAGAUUUACAUUAUUGCGUGGCCGGCCGGAAGGGAGAUUCGUCAAAGAGCUCUUGAACCCGUUCAGUUCGUGCACUGAACCCCAGCAAUCACAGAGGCACGCCUCUUUGCUUUGAACCGAUUCAACACUCAUACAUCCUCCUCUGGCUCUCCCAUAAGCGGGGAAGAAUGUGUGCGUCCUCGCCACCACCCAGCUCAGCUAGCCUCCACCAGUUCAACUAGAAGCCACCAGCCGAUCGGCACAAGGAGAGGGAGCCAUGGCCGAGCUCGCGGCUGGCGCCGUGCGCUCCCUGUUGGUCGUCAUACGCAGCGAAGCACGGCUGCUGCGUGGCGUCGGGAACGACAUGCAGUUCAUCAAGGAGGAGAUGGAGAGCAUGAAGAGCUUCCUGGAGCACCUGGCCAGGUGGGCACCUCCCGGCGGCGGCGAGCACAACGAGCAGGUGUGCAGCUGGAUGAACCAGGUGCGGCUGCUCGCCCAGGACUGCAGCAACUGCAUCGACGUCUACCUCAGCAGGGGGAACCCCGACGUCCACCGGGCCAGAGAGGGACUCGCAGGCUGCAUCUGGUGGGCGAGCUGGUUAGUUCAUAAGUUGGUCGCGCAGCACCACACAGCCGAGCAGCUGCGCCUGCUCAAGGAACGGGCGCGUGAAAUCGGCGCGCGGCGGUUGAGGUAUGGCGUGGAGGUCCUGGACAAUUCAGGGAAGGGGCUAUGGCCUCCGACGGCAACGUCGUCGUCGUCGUUGCGGGCUGCUGCAGAAGGUGGCUAUGCUACUACAGACGAAAACGAAGACAACAAAGAAGAAGACGGUGACGGUCAACUGGUGAGGACAAUGGCGACUGGCGGCCAUUCUGGUCCAAGAGCCUACAACGAGCCUCGCACUCUGGACGACUACGUCAAGGGAAAGCUAUGGGAGUGGGCAGAUGGAGUUCCUGCAAACGCCGGUAAAACUUUGUCCAUGGUCGUGGUGGCAGUGGCACCCUACACAUAUCAGGACCUCCUCGCUCUUGUACAAAAAAAUUGGCUUUUGAAUCAAAACCCAAAGGGUGGCUACCAUCGCAUUGUCGUGGUUGACAUCCCGGCUGUGCACCACAAUUCUAAGAUGCUACGAGUCAAGGAGGUUCUCUUCUACAUUCUGCGCGAGCUCAAGCAUGCCCAAUCCAACCCCCAGGAGCAAGGAACACAAGGCCAAGUGGAGGAAAACUAUCUUGACCCUUGGGAACUUUACAUAAGAAGAUUGAAAAUUGAUGAAGAAAAGAAGAGGGCUAUUGCUCUUCUUCAAAUCAAGGAGAAUAUCAAAGAAAUGAAGGUCUAUGAAAAGCUUGACAACAUCAAAAGUGAUAUUCAAGGUCGGCUAGAGAAGGGCGACGGACUACCCAAGGGCGACAUGCUGCAGGGUGAUUUUUGUUAGACUUAUAAUAUAAGUCAUGUACCCCUUUGUAUUUAUCCCGUUGUAUAAGGGGUUUCCUGCAUAUGUUCCACACCUGUACAUGUAUAUAUAUCGGCCUAUGGCCUCAUGGGAAUACAAGUUGCUUAUUCCUAACAUGGUAUUAGAGCUUUAGGUUUUUUUUUCGCACGCGCAACUCGUGCUUCGAUCCACUCCUGCCGUCGCCGCGUUCUCCCUUCGCUCGGCGUCGCUGCUCCAUCUCCUCCCGCCAGGCGCCUCUCCUCCUCGAUCGCCGUAGGGAGGCCCCCGAUCGCGCCCAGCUGGUUCCGCUCGGCGGUCGUCUCCUCUCCCGCCAGGACUCCGCCGCUCCCGCGCUCAGGCGCUCCCGCCACUCCCGCCCGCCAGCUCCCGCCGCCCCCGCGUUCAGGCGCCGCUCCCGCCUGGCAGCUCCCGCCGCCCGCCAGGUGCCCGCUGCUCCCUCCGUUCCCGCGCUCCAGUGCCUGGACUCCGCCCCUCCCGCCUGGACUUCGCAUCCCCUUCCCGCGGCCGCCGAUCUCUGCUCAGAUCGAGCAUCUCGAUUGGAAGGUCUGAUCUCUGCUGAAAAAAAAAUGUCUGCUGCAUCGGGCUAUGUUGUUGUCCCUAGCUGCCCGGUGAUUCCUGACGGAGUUUUCAGUGUUUGCUCUACUGACCCCGUCUCGCACAUGUGCCUUUCUUCCGCGCUUGGUGCUCGUUCGUCUGUGCUAUCGUCCCCUGUGGCGACUCUCGCACGUGGUGAUUGUCGCUCUACAUCGACUCCUCCUGCGACUUUCAUCGGUGAUUAUCGUUCUACACCGGCUCCUCUCACGGCCCCCAUCGGAUGUGUUGAUGCAUAUGACUCUAUUGACCCGCGUCUUCCUUUGGCGCUUGGGGCUUGUCUGCAUGUGCCCUCGUCUCCUUCACCGGCCUCUACGGAUGAUGUUGGUUAUGCUAUGUCGCCUCCUCUGGCGGUUUCCACAGGUGGUGGUGGGCCUGGUGGCCGCUCCUCUCCCAGUGCUACUGCGUCGUCUACUUCAGCUAUGUACUUCACCGAGCAGGAGAUUGUGGGACUUCGUGGUCUGCUCACUGCCUCCGGCUCUUCAUUGCCGGGUGCAUCUACGUCGACCUCUUCAGUUGAGCUCCUGACUGAGCAGGAGAUUACGCGCCUUCGGUGCUUGCUCGCUGCAUGCUCUGGUUCUUCACCGACGGGUUCUGCUGGUUCUGCUACUGACUCCUCUGACAUUGUGAGACCACCUUCAACACAGUCAGGUACAUCUCCAUGGAUUCUUGAUACUGGAGCAUCUUUUCAUAUGACUCAUGAUUCAUCCACCUUGUCUUCUAUUCGUGCUCUUGAUUCUCCUAUUCAUGUUCUUACUGCUGAUGGUACCUCCCUCCCGGUUAAUGGUCGAGGCAUUCUUAGCACCUCAUCUUUUCAUGUUCCUGAUGUUGCUCAUGUUCCUCGACUUACCAUGCAGCUCCUUUCUGGUGGUCAGAUUGUUGACUCCGGUUGUCGGGUGAUUCUAGACUUUGACUCUUGUUCUGUUCUGGAUCAUCACACUGGUGCUCUCCUUGGUGCUGGCCCCCGACACCGUGACUCUCAGGGUCUCUGGGAGCUUGACUGGCUUCACCUUCCCUCCGCUGCUACCGCCGCCAGUCUUUCCCCCUCUGUUGCCUUGUCUACCAGCUCUUUUCAGCAGUGGCAUCAUCGCCUUGGUCACUUGUGUGGCUCUCGUCUCUCAUCCUUAGUUCGACGUGGUCUUCUUGGAUCUGUCUCCGGCGGUGUGUCUUUAGACUGUCAGGGUUGUCGGCUUGGUAAACAGGUCCAGUUACCUUAUCCUCAUAGUGACACUAUGUCUCAGCGUCCUUUUGACCUGGUUCACUCCGAUGUCUGGGGUCCAGCUCCCUUUGCCUCGAAAGGAGGUCAUCGCUACUAUAUUAUUUUUAUAGAUGAUUUCUCGAUACACCUGGAUAUAUUUUAUGUCUUCUCGUAGUGAGGUGUUAUCCAUCUAUAAGCGUUUUGCUGCCAUGGUUCACACUCAGUUCUCUACUCCUAUUCGUGUUUUCCGAGCUGACUCUGGUGGAGAGUAUAUCUCCAAGAUGUUGCGUGGAGUCCUUGCUGAGCAGGGUACUCUUGCCCAGUUCUCUUGUCCUGGUGCUCAUGCUCAGAAUGGCGUGUCUGAGCGCAAGCAUCGUCACCUUCUUGAGACGGCUCGUGCGAUGAUGAUCGCCGCCUCUCUUCCGCCUCAUUUUUGGGCCGAGGCUAUCUCCACUUCUGCCUAUCUCAUCAACCUUCAGCCGUCCGCUGCUUUGCAGGGUGGCGUUCCUUUUGAGCGUCUUUUUGAUCGUUCUCCUGAUUAUUCGAUGCUUCGCUUGUUUGGUUGUGUUUGCUAUGUUCUUCUUGCCCCUCGCGAACGCACCAAACUGACCGCUCAGUCUGUUGAGUGUGUCUUCUUAGGCUAUAGUGAUGAGCAUAAGGGCUAUCGUUGUUGGGAUCCUAUCGGUCGUCGGAUGCGUAUCUCUCGCGACGUGACUUUUGAUGAGUCUCGUCCUUUCUACCCAUGCCCAUCUUCCUCGAUUUUUUCAGUGGAGGAUAUCUCUUUUCUCACUUUUCCUAACUCACCUAUCACCCCCGUUGCGCCUGUGCCUAUUCGUUCCACUCCCUCUGCUUCUCCACCUCUAGUCGAUUUGCAGCACACAUCUUCUCCGGUCUCCUCGCCUAGCAUGUCACCGGAUUCUACACCUUCAUCUCCGGUGACUUCUUCGUCGCCACCCACACCUUCAUCUCCGGUGACUUCUUCGUCGUCACCCCCCGAUUCUACCUUGGCGAUUCCUCCUUCUAUUGUUCCAUCUUUUCCUCAGCAUUACACUCGUCGUUCACGACCUGUGGAUGCCUCCUUGGAUGAGUCGUCCUCUUCCACUCAGCCUACUUAUGGCUUGCGUUCUCGUCCUCGUCCGCCUGUUGAUCGCUUUGGAUUUCCCACUGCUGGUGCUGCUGUUCUUGAGCCGACUUCUUAUCAUCAGGCUGUUGUUCAUCCUGAAUGGCAGUUUGCGAUGGCAGAGGAGAUUGCUGCUCUUGAACGCACUGGUACCUGGGAUCUUGUUUCUCUUCCUCCCGGAGUCCGUCCCAUCACUUGUAAGUGGGUCUACAAGGUUAAGACUCGCUCCGAUGGUUCUCUUGAGCGUCACAAAGCUCGUCUUGUGGCUCGUGGUUUUCAGCAGGAGCAUGGUCGUGAUUAUGACGAGACUUUUGCUCCUGUGGCCCAUAUGACCACUGUUCGUACACUUCUUGCUGUUGCCUCUGUACGUCACUGGUCUAUAUCUCAGCUUGAUGUUAAGAAUGCCUUUCUUAAUGGUGAGCUACAUGAGGAGGUGUACAUGCAGCCACCACCUGGGUAUUAUGUUCCUGAUGGCAUGGUAUGUCGUCUUCGUCGCUCUCUCUAUGGCCUUAAGCAAGCCCCUCGCGCCUGGUUUGAGCGUUUUGCCUCUGUGGUCACUACUGCUGGUUUUUCAGCAAGUGCUCAUGAUCCAGCAUUGUUUAUUCACCUUUCUCCUCGUGGUCGGACUCUUCUUCUUCUCUAUGUUGAUGACAUGAUCAUCACUGGGGAUGACCCCGAGUAUAUUGCCUUUGUAAAGGCCCGUCUUAGUGAGCAGUUUCUUAUGUCUGAUCUUGGACCUCUUCGCUACUUUCUUGGGAUUGAAGUCUCUUCUACCUCUGAUGGCUUUUUUAUAUCCCAGGAAAAGUAUAUUCAGGAUCUCCUUGCUCGUGCUGCUCUUACUGACGAACGCAUUGUUGAGACUCCUAUGGAGCUCAAUGUUCACCUCCGUGCUACUGAUGGUGUUCCUCUCCCUGACCCGACGCGUUAUCGUCAUCUCGUUGGCAGUCUUGUCUAUCUUGCUAUCACUCGUCCGGACAUCUCUUAUCCGGUUCAUAUUCUGAGUCAGUUUGUUUCUGCUCCCACAUCGGUUCACUAUGGUCAUCUCCUUCGUGUUCUCCGAUAUCUUCGGGGCACGAUCUCUCACCGUCUAUUCUUCCCUAGCUCCAGUUCUUUACAGCUUCAGGCCUAUUCGGAUGCUACGUGGGCUAGUGAUCCUUCUGAUCGCCGUUCACUUUCUGCUUACUGUGUUUUUCUUGGUGGUUCUCUCAUUGCCUGGAAGACGAAGAAACAUAUUGCAGUUUCCCGUUCGAGUGCUGAGGAUGAGUUGCGAGCCAUGGCUCUUUUGACAGCAGAGGUGACUUGGUUAUGGUGGUUACUUCAGGAUUUUGGUGUUUCUGUCACUACACCGACUCUGCUCUUAUCUGACAGUACAGGUGCUAUUAGCAUUGCGCGCGAUCCUGUGAAGCAUGAGCUCACCAAGCAUAUUGGUGUUGAUGCUUUCUAUGUGCGCGCUGCUGUGCAGGAUCAGGUUAUUGCUCUUCAGUAUGUGCCUUCCGAGUUACAGUUGGCAGAUUUCCUGACGAAGGCCCAGACUAGAGCACAACAUGGCUUUUAUCUCUCCAAACUCAGUGUUGUUCAUCCACCAUGAGUCUGAGGGGGGGUGUUAGAGUUAUAAUAUAAGUCAUGUACUUAUUGCUCUUCAGUAUGUGCCUUCCGAGUUACAGUUGGCAGAUUUCCUGACGAAGGCCCAGACUAGAGCACAACAUGGCUUUUAUCUCUCCAAACUCAGUGUUGUUCAUCCACCAUGAGUUUGAGGGGGGGUGUUAGAGUUAUAAUAUAAGUCAUGUACCCCUUUGUAUUUAUCCCGUUGUAUAAGGGGUUUCCUGCAUACCUCAUGGGAAUACAAGUUGCUUAUUCCUAACAAUUUUGACCAGUUGGACCUAGACGUACUACUUCAGCUGCUGCUCCAAGCAGCGUCCCAACAGGAUGAAAAAGGGAAGAACAAAGACAUGCAUAGAUUAUUAGCCUGGGAUAAAAACAACAUCAUCGUCAAGAAGCUUAAGGAGCAUAUGGAAGCAGAGGAAAAGGAGAAGCUUGAAGAGGAAACAACAGCCAAGCAUAUGGGGGUGGAAGGAGAAGCCACGGCCAAGCAUAUGGAGGAAGCAGGAGAAGUAACAUGCAAACAUAUGAAGGAGGGGGAAGGAGAAGUAACCAUACAUGGGGAGGAAGAGGAAGAAGCAGGCGGGGGAGGAGGAGAAACAACCAAGCAUAUGGAGGAGGAAGGAGGCGGAGAAAUCAAAAGUCAGCAGACGACAUGGAUUGAACUCGAUGAGGCACAAUAUGUGCACAUCCUGCAGAAGCUGUUUCCCAAGAGAAGCAGCAACAAGCCCCUGCAGGCCCAAGACAGAUCCUUGGACAAGCAAGCUACAAAGACCACAACGGCUACAUUGGGUGAGCAUCAAAUCAAAAAACUGAUCCAUGACGCAAAGGAAGACAUCUUACGGGAGCUACAGCAAGACAAAUAUGACAAGAAUGAACCUGGUGCUCCAGAUCAAAACCCAGAAACUGUUUCUGAAAAAACAUUUACCUGUUUCGUGGAUCAUAUGAUGCACAAAAUGAAGCCCGAGUUCGAAGAGCAGCUCAAGAUCAAAGGUCUCGUAGACGAGAUUAAACACAACUUGAAUUAUCUUCCGGACCUGGAUAAUUAUGAACGUCCCCUGUUUAUCCUCAAAGUUGAUGAGUUGAUGGAUGUUUCCACAUGGGAGGAUACCAGAAAUGCUUUAAGCUUGUUAAACUGCAGAGCUGAUUUGAUGAUCGUCACCGCCACAAAGGACAUACAGCUGGCUAAACAAUAUUGCUAUCCACAGCGGGAACCUAUAGACUAUUCUCUUGCUGGCCCCUACCAUGAUGCAUUGCUUGAGCUUACUGGCCAGCAGAAGAAUGGAGACAGCUACGACCCCCAAAUUUUCCAUGAUAUCCUGUACGAGUGUGAGCCACAUGAAUUAUGCAUGAAGAUCUUCAUUCAUGCUUUGUAUGCUAAUCCCAAGAGGAGAGAUGAGGAAUUAGUCAAGCUGCACAGCACCCUCCGGGCUUUGCCAACAACAUCAUUCAACAACAUCGCUAAGGUGAUGUUCAAGUUCUCUUACAAAGAUCUGCCUAAAGAAUACAAGUCAUGCUUGCUGUACCUAGCAAUCUUCCCGCCCAGACACAAGAUCAGGCAGUCAACCUUGAUUACACGGUGGGUUGUAGAAGGGCUGAUAUCCAAGGAAGAUUGGCCCAGUUCUGUGCGUCAGGCCAACCGAUGUUUUGAUGCACUCGUCGGCCGGUGCCUUGUUUAUCCUGCUGAUAUUGAUACCACGGGAAAUGUAAAGAGUUGCGUCGUAGGUGAUCCAGUUCAUGGAUUCAUUACCACAAUCGCCAAGAAACAACACAUCGUGGAGACAGGCCUGUCACAUCACUUGGCUCGCCACUUUUCCAUUUUCAACAAUCUCCAACUCCGCAGCUAUGAUGGAAUUGAUAAAUAUUUCCAGCAGCUCUCUUCAUCUAAAGUAUCCCUACUCAAAGUGCUAGAUCUAGAAGGAUGCCGAUGCUUUAUUGGGAAGAACCAGCGGUACCUCAAGGACAUCUGCUACAAGAUGUUACUGCUCAAGUAUCUGAGCCUGAGGAGAACAGAUAUUAGAAAGCUACCCAUUGAAAUCUGCAACCUCCGUGAGCUAGAGGUACUGGAUAUCCGAGAAACUAUGGUGCCUCCAUAUGCAACAGCAUCUAUCCUGCUACUGAAGCUGAAGCGUCUGCUUGCCAGUGAUCCAAGAAAUUUUGGAUCUACUCCCUGGAUUCCUCAUAGGAUCGGCAAAAUGGUAAACAUUGAGGUAUUAUUCAAUGUCAAGGCACAUCAGAGUCAUGAUUUAAAAGAUAUUGGAAAGCUACGGCAGCUGAGGAAGCUAGGAGUGGUCAUCGAUGAUAAGGAUAGUCACCUCAAGAAUUUGCUUGAGACGAUCAGUGACCUACAUGAGUGCCUCCGUUCUCUGUCAAUCACUGCUAUUCCUAUAGCCACACCAUGGGAAUGGGAGGGUACUCCUUACAGUGCAGAGUUACCAGAUGGCAUAGGCUCUCUCUUAGAAAACCAUCCCAAGAUUCUUGAGAGUCUAAGCAUCAGGGGAACCACACAGAAGGGGCGUCUUCUUCCAUUGUUCAUAAAAGGUGAUAAAAACGAACUUGCCAAGGUAACCCUAUGUCACACUCUGCUGAGCCAAGAUGAUCUGAAAGUCCUUGCCAAGCUGCCCAAGUUACGGUGCAUAAGGCUCCAACACAUUGCAUGCACCGAGUCUAUGUUGAACUUCAAGAAGGAUGAAUUCAGAUGCCUCAAGUACCUUCUUGUUGAGGGCUCGGCCUUGACUAAUAUCACUUUUGAGCAUGGAGCAGCCAAAGAGCUCGAGAAGAUGGUUUUGUCUUUCACCGGCAUAGGUUCUAUUUCUGGAGUUGACUUUCUUCCAAAAUUUAAAGAGCUCGAGAUGAACAACAGCUUCUGUGGCAGUUUGUUAUCAUCAUUUGACAAUGCCAAACAGAUAGCCAAGCUGACUCUUUGUGGUACAUUGCUAGAGCAAGAUGCUCUACAACUGCUCACCAAGAAACCAAAUAUACGCUGUCUUGUGCUCUUGGACGAGUCUUUUGGUGGAACACAGAAUGAGAUUACAUUAGAAAAAGAUGAGUUCUUAUGGCUCAACCUCCUUGUUGUUGACUGCUCGGCCAUCACCAAAAUUGUCUUCAACAGCGGGUCUGCUCCUAGGCUCGAGAAGAUUGUCUGGUCAUCUUCCACAUCUCUCUCUGGCAUCGACAAACCUCCAAGAUUGAAGGAGCUCGAGUUCAAUGGUGACCAAGUCCCUGAUGAGGUGAUGGAGGCCAUUAAAAACCACAAAAACAAUCCUAGUCUUAAACUCAAUGGACCAGAAACUCAAGACUAAGCAAAAAGGAGAUGAAGAAGAGGAUGACGACGAUGCUGCAAGAUUCUCUUUCUGCUGGGAGAAACAGGUUUGACACUGGAAGGGCCUCUCUGUUGAUCCCCCAUGGUGUGGUUUGCGUGUGCUAGUGUGGAUUGCAAUAUGUUCUGCUUGUAUGUUGAUUUCUUUCUGCUGCGUGCAUUACAACUGAAGUAUGUCCGUUUACUUGCUCAACAUGAGUGCCCUAGUGGCUUCAAUUGAGCAUAAAUGGUUGUAUCUAUGCUUGGAUUUGAACUCGUGUGGCUUUCCUAUGUAUCGAACAUUGUAUGCAUUCGUGUACGGUUUCAUGUAAUAAAGUGUGAGGUUUGUGGACACAUUUGACUUCUUAUUAAUGUACAGUGUGAUAUUAGUAUACUUUGAUUGGGUUCUGCAACUCAAAUUAAAGAUGAACUGGUGUGUCAUGAUAUACAGAUAUAGUUACCUGUAAUGUACAGCAUCCGUUGCUUCAAACUAGUUGAGUACCUCAUGCAGUAAUGGCUGACGAUGUACUUGAAGCAGAACCUUAUGCAGAUUAAGAAUGUGUGAUCCACAAUCUGUCUGCAUCUCCUGAUUGCCAGGCAAGCAUUAGCGAAGAAUCGACAUUGUUUUCAGCUGUAUGUUGGCGUGUAUUUGUUUGGUAGCUCGCAUAGUUUCGCCCGCUGUUUGCUGGUGAAGAAGCCAGUAUGCUGAGAAGUUCCUCUGCUCCCGUAGAAUAGGAUGUGUCCAUCUACUGCAAUUCAUUCAGAAAAAAACUUUUGUAACGAUCUGCAGCGGUGGAGAGGAGCACUAGCAGUCUAUCACCUACCAAUCCACUUGAAAUGUGCGGACGCAUGCAGCAAUCGCGGCUCUUCACUUGAAAUGUGUAACUGUGUAAUCAUAAGACCUGCAGAAAUAGAAGCACGCAUAUUAGGCGCCGAGGGAAAAUUCAGCAAUAAAUGUAAUCUAUGCUUCUCUUAUUCCUCUUUGAGAUCAGCAAAUCGGAAGGAGUUGGAGGAGGCGCAAUGCCCCUAACUUACCUCAAAUCCGUAAACUGCGACGAGCAGCAAAACACAACACGGACGGCUUGUCCUUCCUCCUCGUUGGUACUGGGCGAUCUUUUCGAUGUCGAUUGGGUUCCGCGACUCAAAGAUGAACUGGUGUGUGUCAUGCUAUAAUCACCUGUAGUGUAGGCAUCCGUUUGCUUCAAAUCAGCUGAUUAGCUCUUGGACUAGUGCCUGUCUGUUACUUGAAGCAGAACUUUAUGCAGAUUAAGAAUGUGUGAUCCAAUCUGUAUGCGUCUCCUGAUUGCCAGGCAAGCACUUGCGCCCCAGGAAGAAUGGAAAUUGUUUUCAGCUAUAUGUCGACGUGCAUUUGGUUGGAAGCUCGGGUAGUUUUCUCAUAACUCAUAUUGUUUGCUGGUGGAGAGGACAGUAUAGUUCAUGGUAUAAAACUCGGUCAGACAGGGCACCUCGUCACCCAAUUUUCACCCCUUGGAUCAGAACCUGACGGUGGAACACACAGUGAGAAGUGAUCCGUUAGGCUGUGACGUAUCUAUUGUAGUCAUCUAUCCGGAAAUCCAUCUACAACAAUUCAUUCAGAAAAAGAACUUGAUAACAAUCUACAUGGGUGCAGAGGAGCAUAAGACCUUCAGAAAAGUUCAGACACUUGCAUAACAAUCUUCACUUCCUAAUGCAAGAAAUCAAAUCGAAGCACAAGACCUGCAGAGACAGAAGCACGCCUAUUUGGCAUCGAGGACGAAAAUCAGCAAGAAAAUGUAGUCUCUGCUCCUCUAAUUCCUCUUUGAGAUCAGCAGAUCGGAAGGGGUUGGAGGAGGCGCAGCGCCCCCGUCUUACCUCGAAUCCGAGACCGACGACGAG